UAUCUUAUUUUUACCAAUCUUAUAACUAAUAUGAUUUACUCAUUUUUAUAGAGUCAUAAAGAAGCCGAUCAAUUCAGACAUCGUAGUUUCCCUUACUACGACCAACUUACUGCCAUAUACGCAAGAGAUCGUGCGACUGGGAAAGAUGCUCAAACAGCCGCUGAUGUUAUUGAAGAAAUAAAUGUUCAGGAUGUACCUACUACAGAUAUUAAUGAAGAAAGAAACGAAUUCUAUGACUACGAAGCUGAUGUCUCUUUGGAUGACAUGGAUGUUUCUGCUACGGAGCCGCAACGAGAUAGAAACCAAGGGGGUUCCUCAUCUUCAAAGAAACAAAAAAAAAAAAAAGAAUUCUGAUGCAAGUGAUCAUUUUUCUUCUUCAUUUCAUGAUGCUGCCACUUUAUUGGCGAAAAACAUGCGGGCCAUUGGCGAACAAAUCAGUAGGAGUAUUGCCUCUGAUGUGGUAGUUCAACAAAAGUCAGAAGAAUUCCAGAUCAUCCAAGAAAAAGCUACAAAUUUAUAUCCAACCUUAUGUGAAAUAGAAGGUUUAACUGUGGAUGAGCGGAAUCGAGCAUUGAGUAAAAUUCCAGAUCAUCCAACUCAAAUGCUCGUUUUCUUUAGUUUACCUUCUGAUGUGCAGUUGGAAUGGGUUAGAAGAUUUCUUACUGACCAUUAAAAAUCAUGGUUCUGUUGAUGAUAUUUUCGUAACUUUUUCUGUUUGUAAUAUUUGGGAUGGUAUGUCGUUAUAAUGUUCUAACUUUUUGAUGUUGUAAAACUGUAUAACAUAUGGAUUAUGACAUAGAAUUUCAUGAAUUUCAUGUAACCUUUUGUUAAUAUAUGAAAAUUAUGUUUAUGCAAAAUAUAAUUCUCAAGUUAUUUAUUACUUUUAAUAUUUGUUUUAUUGUAGAAUAAUUAAAUUAUUUGUUUCACUAAUGAUAUUUUAGCACAUUAAAUAUGUAUUGCAGUUUAAAAAUAAUAAAGUAGAUUAUAAAUUAUAUUUAAUAAUAAUUAUUUUAAAUUAUAUUUUAUAGUAUUAUAUAAUAUGAUUUUAGUAUAUUCAUAUAAGAAUAUUUAAUAUUAAGAAUUUUAUUAAAUUAUAUAUUUUUAUUAAAUUAUAUUUAAUAAUAAUUAUUUUAAAUUAUAUUUUAUAGUAUUAUAUAUUAUGAUUUAGUAAAUUCAUAUAAGAAUAUUUAAUACUAAGAAUUUUAUUAAAUUAUAUAUUUUUAUUAAAUUAUAUUUAAUAAUAAUUAUGUUAAAAUAUGAUUAAAUUAUUUAUUAUUUAUAUUAAUAAUCUUAUUAAAAUUUAAUAACAAUAACAAUACCAAUACCAAUUUUCCUAAAAAAAAUUCUGCUAAGGGUAUUCUAGUCAUUUGAGUUUUUUUCCUUAUGCUAUUACAACAUCAUUCUAUUCAACCAAACACAAGAAUACUAUUACGCCUCUAUUCCAUUCCAUUCAACCAAAUAAAAGGAUUACCUAUUACGCCUCUAUUCCAUUACACCUCUAUUCCAUUACAGCGAACCAAACGUGAUGUUAAGAUUUAAUAUAUAUUGUAAUUUUUUUAUUUAAUUUAAUUCUUGUACUUUUACAAUACCAUUAGUUAGCAUAAAUAGUUAAUAUUGUUAAUUAUUUUAAUUAAAAUGUUAAACCUAAAUUUUUCUUAAAUACACUAUUCUAGUUUUUUUUAUCAUAAGGAAUUCAAAUUAGUGUUUUUAAGAAAACUCUUAGGCCUUGUUCUUUAUUGCGUUUGGGUUCCAAAAAGUGCUUUUCAACUUCAUAAAUAAAGAACACCUAGCUUUUUGGGUCAAAAUUGCAGUAGAAAGGUGCUUUUCCAUGCAAAAGUUGGAAUUUAAGUGCUUUUGAUUUUUGACUUUUGUGUUUGGAAGUGAAAAUUGUUAAAAUACCCUUAAUUAUAUUAUUUAUUUAAAAGACAUAUAAAAAUUAAAUUAAUUUGUAUUUAAUGUAUCAGUAUAUUAAUGUUUUAAAUAUAAUUUAUUAUUAGAUUUAAGUUUUAAAAUUUUUUUAUAUAUGAUUAAUUUUAUAAAUAUUUUAUAUUGAUUAAUUAAAAGGUAUGUAAAAUUUAUACUUCAUGUACCAUUAUAUUAAAUUAUUUAAAUAUCAUAUAACUUAAAUAAUUUUUAACUUUUCACUAAUAUGUCCAAAAGAGAUAUUUUAACCUUCAAUGAAGAAUAAUAAAAUUUACAAAUCACACUUUUUUACAACACUUUUUACCAUACUCUUUAAAAACACUUUUUUUUCUAAAAGCAUUUUUCAAUCGUAACAGCAACGUAGAACUAGCCAUUAAUCAACAUUUUCAACAUUUUUUUUAUUGUUACACAAUUAUCAAAUAAAUAUUUUUUUCUUUCAAAAUGACACGCUAGUGAAUCCAGAAAAGGAAUUUUAAUGACGAUGACUACUGGACUUGAAUUUUUAAAUAUCGAAAGUAGAAAGAUAAAAAUCCUGAAAAUAAAAGUAGGAGACUAAAUUACAAAUAUACUAAGCGUAUAGAAACUUAGAACAUAAUUUAAUCUUUAAAUUUUCUUUACUCUAUAAUUUAAUACAAACAAUUAAUUCAUCCAAUGCAAAGCAUUAGAUUACCAUAGUUAUAGUCAGACUUGUCCAUGGGUCAAUGGCCCACUUAAAAAGUGGAAGAGUUUGGGCAAAAAAUAUAAGUUUAAAAAUUGUGUUUGAGAAAAAAAAGCCCAUUUAGAAAACAUGUUAGGCCUCGGGUAAGAUUUUUUGGCUCAGGACCAGCUUGGCCCGACCUGAAUUUGCAAAAAAAGAAUCCCUGCUAUUUUGUUUUUUUAUUAUUAUUUUGCUGCCAUUUGACUAUUAUGUUGCUACUAUUUUGUUAUUAUUAUUUGGAUAUUGUAUAACUCUUGUUUUAUUCUUAAUUUUGCUACUAUUUUAGACAUUAGCAUGUUAAAUCGCAAACAUGUUAGUUUUUUUUAAAUUUAUUUUCAAUUUGUUGAGAAACAUUUAUUUUAAUAUUAUUAAUAUUUUGAUGAAUUCUAUUUUUAAAUUUUUAUAUAAAAAAAUAAAAUGAGUCAAGCUUGAAUUUUAAUACUUCUAUCUAUGUCGAACUUAGAUAAACAUUUAAAUCCAUUCUUUGAACUAGAUUAAACCCCAGUCUAUCAAUCGUGCCUAGAACAUCACAACUCUAGUUAUAGUUAUUAUUAUUGAAUCCGAGAGAUAAGUCCAUUUUAGUAUGUUGACUAGAUGGGGUUAAAUGCUAAGGGGACAGUGGUCCCAAUAAGGUGGGUUUGGGCCACAUGGUCUUAUCAAUUGCGUGGCCGAAUUACAGAUGAACUAAACUGUUCAUAUUUUAAAUAUUUAAAUAAAAUAUAAACAUAGUUCUUGUAAAAUAUAAAUAUUUAAAUAUUUAAAUAAAAUUCAAAUGAAACAUUAAUGGAAUUAUUUCUUUAUUUGAACUCAAUGAAUAUUAAAAAUGAAAGUUCUUAAUGCCUUUAAUUAAUAUAGAUUGUAGUCGAAAAUGGAGUUUUAUAGUAUAUAUUAUUUCUUUUUGUUGGAGGUUUGAUAAUUGAUGAUGAGAAAGAGGAGGCACGGCACAUCAAUGCUAUGAAUCUAUCUCGAGGAUGAGGGCCUUGGGUUUUUAAUAAUAAUUUAUUGUUGAUUUAGAGAGGACCUAUUUUUAUGGAUUUCUGUGUUUAGAUCGUACGGUCUAAUGUUGAAACUUAUGGCAAAAUAGUUUGGUUAGUGGUUAAUUACAAAAUACAACCUCUUUUAUCACCGAAUCCAAAUUAGACUCUAACUUUUAAUAGUUCAUUUUUUUUUUAUAAUUUUUAAGAAGUUAGAUUAAAAUUUUAUCAUUUUUAAUGUAAUUAAUUUAAAUUUUUAAAGGACCUAAUUUUCCAUUUUAGGGGAGGCUGGGGGCCAUGCCAGCUCCCUUAGAUACGCCACUGGCUUGGGGGAUUUUGAUUUAAGUGAUUUGGGUUUCUAGGGACUACGAUUGACUUGGUAGCAAGGUAGAGUUCCUAAGGAUAAUAUACGUGAACAAUUAUAUCGAGAUAAAUUUUUGAAUAAUUCAGUGAUUAAAUUAUAAUUAUUUUUAAUUAAGUGACCAAAAUAAAAAUUUACCUAUAGUUUAGUAACCAAUGAUACAAUUUACCCAACAUAUUUCAACUUUUCAAUUUUGUUUUAUAUAAAUAAAUAAUAUAUAUUAUAAUUUAAAUAUUUUAUAAAUUAUUGAAUUAAUUGACAUUUAUAUUUUAAUAAUAUUUUUUCUUUCUUCGCAUUCUUUUGUUUCUUUCUUCUUUAUUCUUUUGGCAAUUUGUUUUUCAUUCUCUAAAAUACAAAUAAAAACAAUAAAAUUUUAUUGACUCCUAAAAACAUUUAAUAUUUAUUAUAUUUUUCCUUUUUUAUUGGUUUAUAAAUAAAUACAAAGAGAAUUAGGUAAUACUUUAAAUUAGUAAGUAUAAAUUUUAUUUUCACUAAUUUAAUUCUAAAAACAAAAAUAUUAAAUGAAAAUAUAAGAUAAAAUACUCUUAAUUAAGUAAUGUAAAAAAAAUAUUCUAAUAAAUUAUUUAUUUAAAUUGAAUUAAUAUAAAAAUAUAAAAAUACGAGUUUGAAUAAACUUUUAAACUAAUGAGAAUACCCUUUCUUUUUCAUCAUAUUACUAAAUUUACAUUUAAAAAUAACCAUAAUAUUUAAUCUAGAAUUAUUAAUUGAUAUAAACAAAAGUUGUGCAAAUUUUUUUGAUGUAAAAUAGAGUUAUUAUUUGAAUAUGAUUUUAAGCAUAUUGAUUAUCACUUAAUUAAUAUUAGAAUUAAUUAUGUUGAUUAGUUAUUAUUCAGAGUAAUGCUACUUUGCAUUAAUUAUAGAAACUAAAUUUGCAUAUUGUAUGCUGAAUAUGUUAAAAAUGCUUUAAUUAUUAUUUACAUUUUUUAAUUAUAAUAUUUUAAUUGAAAAAAUUAUAUAUUUUAUUAUAUUUAAUGAUUCAAAUAAAAAAAUAUUAUUUUGCAUUAAUUAUUGUAAUUAAAAUUACAUCAUUUUUAAAAACUAAUUAAAUAUUAAAUGCAUAAAACUAGUGGUGAGCGUUCGAUCGAAUCGAAUGAAAAAAUUUCGAGUUAAUUGAGUUGACAAAUCAUAUUUUAUCAUCCUAAUUUGAUUUAAAAUUCUCGAAUCGCGUCGAGUGAGAUGAAGUUCGAAUCAAAUCGAAUAGAAUAUAUUUGUUCAAGUUAAAUUUUAAAAAAAUAAUUUUGGGUCCUUGUAACCACUGUCACCCACCGUAAUAAAAUUUGUCCACCGUAAUAAAAUUUUUUAUUAACUCUCAUCACCUCAUAAUUUAUUUAUUAAUCUUUUAUAUACGGGUUAGCUUCUUUGCUUGCUUAGUUCUUUCAAUUAUCUGCAGAUUCUUGUCACUAUGUAUUUUGGAAUUAAAAAAUAUAUUAAAUGUAAAAAUGUGGUUUUUUAAUAAAAGUUAUUUUAAAGAUAAAAUUUAAAAUUGAUACCAAUAUAAAAUUUUAAUACGAAUAUUGUAUGACAUCAUUAAUAAUUCAAUUUUAAUAUAACUAUUUAAUAUGACUAAACAAUUCAAUAAUAUAAAUAAUAUAAAAUGUGAAAUUUAAUUUAAUAAUAUAAAUAGUAGAUAUAAAAAAAUUUAUUACUAUUUAUGUUUAGGGGUUUUUUUGGAUAAUUUUGAUUUUUAUUUGAGAGUAGAGGGUGAGAAAAAAAAAUUUAGGGGGAAAAUAAAAUGUUUUGGGGAGUAAAAGUUUGAGGGAAAGUAAAUAGGGGAAGUAGAAUUUUGGAGGGAAAAUAUUAAAAAAAAUUGGGGGCUGGGGAUGGGUUUAGGGUAGAUGGGGGGUGGGAUGGGAAGGAAGUAAAAGCUUUCAGGGGGAUAAUGGGAGGGAGUAAGAAUUUUAGGGAAAAAUAAAAAGUUUUGAGGGUUUUUAGAAGUAAAAUUUUGAGAAAAAGUAAAUAGAAGAGUAAAAUUUUGGUGAGAAAUGAAUUUUGGGUGGAUAGAGGGAUGGGAGGGGAGUAAAAGUUUUGAGGGAGAAUGGGAAGGAGUAAAAGUUUUGAGGGAAAAAUAAAAAGGUUUGGGAGUUUGAGGUAAAAAUGUAAAAAUGUAAAAUAUUAUAGUUUUAUAUUUGAUUUGUUCGAAUUCGAAAACUCAACUCGAUUCGAACUCGAAAUUCAAAAAAAAAUUCGAGUUGACUCGAAUAACUCGAUUCAUUUAACUCGAAAUUCAAUUUGUUUUUUUAAUUUUUUCGAGUCGAAUCGAGUUCUGGUCACCUUUGCAUAAAACAAAAGGGAGAGUUAAAAAAUAAUUUUAUAAAAUUAAGAGUAUUAAAAUUAUUAAUAAAGUAACUAAGAAGCGGCCAGAAAAAGUAAAAACAUGUUAAAAGUUUUAGGGAUGAACAUAUGGGUAGUUUAACAACAUUUGGUGCAAUUAGGACUAGAAAAUGGCAACCACACAAGUAGUAAUAUCUGGCAGCUCUAGACUCAACGUGACUAAAGGCGGACAUCCACAUGGCAAACAUGUGCACCCUCCAAAGUCUCACUCUACUAUUGAUUUACUACUAAACAGAUAACUAAUAGUCUUUCUACUUUCUAUUCCAAGAGUCUUGCACCUUCCGUCCUUACUCCCAACCUACGUUCUUCUUUUCAUACAUCUUAAUUUGCACUCUUAUUAUUCCCAUCCUACUCAUUUUAUUAUUAGUUUAUAUAGAUAUAUGUCAGAGUUUGAUGUUCAGAUUGCCUUUUCCCCCAUUAUUACCGUUCUAUCCAAAAGACAGUACAAUCAUGCCAAAACUUAGCAAUCCAUCUGUACUAGCUGAGGUCCACUGAGUCUGAGCAGAAGCAGCAGCAUCUUUAUCAAUUAUUAUCACUUAAAGGUGGAGCGGGUGAGAACCAAUAAAUAUUCACAACCAAGUUACCACUGUUACUGUCUUGGUGUUAGCAUGGAAUAUAAUAAGUUUUUUAUUAUUAUUAAAAUAAUAUCUCACAUAUGCUAUCUAUUAGGCACAAGGUAAUCCUUAUCCCUCUUCUCCACCUUCACCCAGCUGGCCAGCUCCUUCAGGUUGGGUAGCCUAGAUUAAGUAUUAAGAAUAUAGUAUGCAUAGUACUAUAUGAUUCUCUUGUAGUGACUGGCUGAGUGGUUUCUGUUUGACAAUAUGGUGAAGAAUGGUGGUUGUGCAUUUGACUUCGAGACCCUAAAAUCUCAUUUACUUGCUACUACAGGAAGGACUCUUUUCUUCUCUUCUCUGGUACUAGUGCUAGUAUCUAGUUACAACAGCCAUCCCUUCCUCUGUCUCACAAUAAUUUUAAGUAAAAGUUUUCGUUUUCAAACUCUCUCUCUAAUAUAUAGAUUUCCAUCUUCUGUACUUUAAAUUCUGUCUCAAAAGGUUCACUUCUCCUUUUUGGCUCAUACAAUACAAGGUUACUCACAGCUACUAAAAGAUAUAAAUAUUUUUGGUGCAAUGAAUAGUUUUGUUUUAUUUUUGAGUAUUUGGGGGGGGGGGCGGGGCGGUUGAUGUGCUAUUGCGAUGAUUUUGGGGUAGAGUCUAGGUGGGUUGAUUAAAUGCAAUCAAUGUUUGGUGUCUUUCAAAUAAAGAUGGAGGAAUGGUUGAUUUGUGAUCCAGGUUUCUUCUCUGCUUGCAGAUAAGUUCCAGGCAAGGUGUUUGAUUCAUUGUUGAAAAGAGAUGAGGGGUGCUGCUUUUGUAGCCAUUGCUGCUACAAUUGGUAACUUUUUGCAGGGAUGGGAUAAUGCUACCAUUGCUGGUACUUCCUUCUUUCACAUUUAUAUUUGUUACCUGCUUAUUUCUUCUCAGCAUCAUGGUGUUUCCAUGCUUCCAACAAACAAUAUCUAGUACUUGUUUCAUUCAUUUGUGCUUUCAGGAGCAAUUGUGUACAUUAAGAAUGACCUCAAUCUAGGAACUAGCGUUGAAGGUCUAGUGGUGGCUAUGUCACUGAUAGGAGCAACAGCUAUUACAACAUGCUCAGGGGCUAUAUCAGAUUGGCUUGGUCGGCGUCCAAUGCUGAUAAUGUCUUCAAUGCUUUAUUUUGUCAGUGGUUUGGUAAUGUUGUGGUCACCUAAUGUCUAUAUUUUGUGCCUAGCCAGGCUAUUAGAUGGAUUUGGAAUUGGUUUAGCCGUGACUCUUGUCCCAGUCUAUAUAUCUGAGACUGCCCCAUCUGAGAUAAGGGGAUUGUUAAAUACGUUACCACAAUUCACUGGUUCCGGGGGAAUGUUUCUAUCUUAUUGUAUGGUUUUUGGGAUGUCAUUGAUGGACUCACCAAGUUGGAGGUUGAUGCUUGGGGUUCUAUCCAUCCCUUCUCUCCUCUAUUUUGCCUUUACGGUUUUUUAUUUGCCUGAAUCUCCUCGGUGGCUUGUGAGUAAAGGAAGAAUGCUUGAAGCUAAACAGGUUCUUCAGAGAUUACGUGGCAGGGAAGAUGUUUCAGGUUUUUUUUUUUCCUUAUUUUUCUCCCCUUUCCUUUGAACAUGUUGAAAAUAUAGGGGACUUGGCUGUUGAAUGGUUAGAUACACUACUAGGAGCUAAUAGUAUGACUUGUUUGCUUGCUCUACUGGAUCCACUGAGAGGUGUUACAUAAAUCAUGAAUGAGCAUAAGCUCCAUUUGUUAUUUAUCUUUUUAUUCUUUAAGAUAUAAACAAAAAGGCAUGAUGCAUGCAUGUAGGUCAUCGGAAACUUGAACAGGUCUGAUUUAUAUAUUUGUAGACUAUACAAGGGAUUGGAAAGUUAGUUGGUUUUAUCAGUAUUUUUGGGAAGGGUUUCUGACCUUGGGGUGUUCACAUCAAUAUAAUACUUUUUGAGUGCUUUUCUCCCAAUUUUGUUGGCAUCCUUUUCAUGAGUAUUAGCGAGGUAGGCAUCAUGUGCAGAAUAGAUGUUGGGGGCAAGAAAGAGAGGAAAAUCUUCUCCAUUCCUGUCUAUUAAGUCCUUUCACGGCACGCACUUGCCUAAUCUUUAUGCCUGAUAAGUAAUAACAAAGAAGCCUCCAUAGCAUUUCUUUUUUGGUUUAUUGAAAAUGACAGAAAUUCCUGUGUCCUCCUAUUUAACUCGUUUUAGACUAAUUGAAGGUGUGGAGCUUACUGAGACUUCUUUGGUCUACAGGAGAGAUGGCUUUGCUGGUUGAGGGCCUUGGCAUUGGAGGUGAAACCUCUAUAGAAGAGUACAUAAUAGGUCCAGCUGAUGAACUUGAUGAAAGUCAGGAACCCGGUGCUGAUAAAGACAAAAUCAGACUAUAUGGACCGGAAGAGGGCCUGUCUUGGGUUGCCAAGCCUGUCGCUGGACAAAGCAUUCUUAGUAUUGCCUCUCGCCCCGGAAGCAUGGUGAACCAAAGUAUGCCCCUUAUGGACCCUCUUGUGACAUUAUUUGGUAGUGUUCAUGAAAAGCUUCCCGAGACAGGGAGCACGCGUAGUAUGCUUUUUCCGAAUUUUGGAAGCAUGUUUAGUACAGCAGAGCCUCAUGCUAGAAAUGAACAAUGGGAUGAGGAGAGCUUGCAGAGAGAAGGUGAGGACUAUGCAUCAGAUGCUGCAGGAGGAGACUCGGAUGACAAUUUGCAUAGCCCAUUAAUCUCACGUCAAACAACAAGCUUGGAAAAGGACAUGGUUCCCCCAGCUUCCCAUAUCAGUUCUCUAAGCAUGAGACGCCAUAGCACUCUUGUGCAAGAUGUUACAGAAUCAGUUGGUGGUACAGGGAUUGGAGGUGGUUGGCAGUUGGCAUGGAAAUGGUCUGAGCGAGAAGGUGAGGGUGGAAAGAAGGAAGGAGGGUUUAAAAGGAUUUAUUUGCACGAGGAGGGAAUCCCAGGAUCUCGACGUGGCUCUCUUGUAUCACUUCCAGGUAAUGAUAUGCCCGCAGAAGGUGAGUUUAUCCAGGCAGCUGCACUAGUGAGCCAACCUGCUCUUUAUUCCAAGGAGCUUAUGGAUCAGCAUCCUGUUGGACCAGCAAUGGUUCAUCCAGCUGAAACUGCCUCAGAAGGACCAGUUUGGACUGCUCUCCUUGACCCGGGAGUCAAACGUGCUUUAUUAGUUGGGAUUGGGAUUCAGAUUCUUCAGCAGGUACUCAGCAGUUAUAUGUUUCGACUUUUUCAUUUUCUCUACAAAGUUUAUAGAUUUUAAACAGCAGUGGCAGCUUGUUACAUAACAAUGUUUGUGAAUUUGUACUUUAAACGGAGAAGUUUGAAUCUUGUAUUUAUCAGUUGAGGCUAAUUGCAUUAUGAUUCCCAUGGUAAGUUAAACUAAUUUUCGAACUUCACAUGUAGUUUUCCGGCAUUAAUGGAGUUCUCUACUACACUCCUCAAAUUCUUGAAGAGGCAGGUGUUGAAGUGCUUCUUUCAAACUUGGGCCUUGGUUCAGAUUCUGCAUCAUUUCUUAUUAGUGCAUUUACAACCUUGCUGAUGCUGCCCUGUAUAGGUGUAGCCAUGAAACUCAUGGAUAUAUCAGGCAGGAGGUAAUCUCAGUUUCUCUUAAUAUUCUCCUUAACACCCCUUCCCUUUUUUUAUCCUUAAAAAUGGAAAGAAACUAAUACUUGUAUCGUUUGCAGGCGGCUGCUACUCACCACGAUCCCGGUGCUUAUAGUGUCACUGAUCAUUCUAGUUUUUAGUGAACUUGUGGAUUUGGGCACGGUUGUGAAUGCUGCCAUCUCAACUGCAUGUGUUAUUGUUUACUUCUGCUGCUUUGUGAUGGGCUAUGGACCAAUACCAAAUAUCCUCUGCUCUGAGAUCUUUCCAACAAGGGUCCGGGGGCUUUGUAUUGCAAUCUGUGCUUUGGUUUAUUGGAUCGGAGACAUCAUUGUUACUUACACACUGCCAGUGAUGCUGAGUUCUAUAGGCCUAGCGGGCAUCUUCGGGAUAUAUGCUGUUGUAUGUCUGAUAUCGUGGGUGUUUGUGUUCUUGAAAGUACCAGAGACCAAAGGAAUGCCACUUGAAGUCAUUACCGAGUUCUUUUCUGUUGGUGCAAGACAAGCUGGUGCUACAAAGAAUGAGUGAAGUCACACUGCUUUCAAUGGUGUCAAAUUCUAUUUUCAAUUUCGGCCGUUAAGCUUUCAUCAUUUUUGUUCCUUCUUGUUGCUUUGAAAAUUAGGGAUCCUCUUAUUCAAACAUUAAAAUUAUAAAAUUUUCCCACUAGAAAUUGAGUUUACGUGUAUUUUACAUGGUGAACCACCCUUUUUAACUUGGAUUUCAUAAACAAUAAUUGCAUCAACAAGGUAUGUGGUGGUAUAUAGGUCCUGCCGCCUAGACGACUAGGGUUCUCUUAUGAUAAUAAAAUAAAAGACGGUCAGAGAGAGGCAGGACUUCCAAUCCCAUCGUAUCUCAGUUGAUGGGUUAUUCUGCUCCAUUAGUGGACCAUCCACCUUAUUUUAAUGGACGGCUUGAAAUCAAAGGCAUAUAUUAUAUGUUUUACCAAUGAAGUAAAAUUUCAUAGUAACAGGCAUAAAGAAGAGUGGACUGGAAUAUACCAUCUUUGUUAGGUCAAGAGAAGAGUUAAUUACUAGUUUAAAAAUUCCCAGUUAGUGGGUUAUAUACACUUUUGUUCCUAUCACCCUGUGAAUAAUAAUAAAUACAAGUAUGAUCGUUAGUGAUGCAUUCAAUUUUUAGCACCACCCACCCCACCCCCACCUUUCAAUCACAAAUUCCAUUUCACAAGUUGCCAAAAUCAGUUACAUUUACUCAGAAUGGAAACAAAUGCCUGCUUUCCUUCCAUCUUCCUAAAUCCUGGAAUUAAUAAAUUAAUGAAACCUUUUGCUCACUAUCAUCAUAUCUCUUGGAUUGCACUCAAUGGACUUGGGAAGAAGUUGGGUUUUCAUUAAUUUUGACCUAUUUUUAACCCAUGUAGAAAGUGAAAGCUUUUUUCAAUGCUGAAUAUAAUAACAUAUCCAACCCAAGAGGAAUGAUUUUAUUUUUAGGUACUUUUUAACCUGUAGUGAGUGAAGAGUAAGUGGAGGUGGAACAAGAAUCUUGAUGCCCCUGCCCAGCCCCACAGCCACCAAACAAGGGGAGGAUAAAAGACCCCCCCUUCCCCAAAAGCCAAAAAUAAAGCAUAAACCACUUGUUUAACGUUAAGCUACCCACUUUAUACUUUGCUAAUCAGAUAGCCUAAAAGUGAUGAAGAAAAACAAAAGAGAUGGACUCUUAUCACCUACUGUUUCCAAAUAUUUUCUCUUCAUCACAUGCCCCUUUUUACCUUUUAUUAUUUCUAUUACAGGUAAAAUUUCCAACCCUCAUUUCAUCGGAAUAUAUUUAAAUCAAAUCCCAGCCUGAAACCGGAUUCACUUGGGAGGACCACAUCAAAGCAAAGAACAAUGCAUACUUUACAAGUGAAGAAAAUAUCAUGGAUGAGCCCAGAUAACAUCUAUAUAUUACUAAAUUGCAAUGUUUUGAUGGUGGGUAUGAUUCAGGUAAAGGGAACAGAGAGGAGUUCGUCUUACAGGAAUUUCAUAUUCUGAUUUUCUGCCUAUAAUUAUAUUUCACAAAUAUAUAUAUUAUGUUCAACUUUACAUACAUAAAUACACCAAAUCAAAUACUAUUACAUACAAUUCAAAUCAAUCAAAACCUAAAUGUUCCUAUUAGGAAUAGUAGUGGUAUUAAUAAUAAUCAUUGGCGGAGGUAAUUAGCUAAUGAAAAACCUAACCUAACAUGAUUUCACUUGGAAAAGAAAGAAAAAAAAAUGGAGGAACCCAGAAGGUGGCUUGGGUUGGCUAGGGCAGGAAUGUAUUCACAUCAUCUUCACGCUCUUUCAAUCUAGCUUCAGUGUUAGUUCCGGAAGUUGAAGCCCCCGGGCCGGGUAAACCCCCACACUUUUGGCACCUGGCAACCAGAAUCUGACGGCAGGAAGGGCAUGAAGAAUGGGAGCCCAGCCAGGUGUCGAUGCAGACGACGUGGAAGCCAUGGCCGCACUGUGGAAGAACCCGGAUUUCGUCCCCUGCGGCGAACUCCGUGAGGCAAAUCGCGCAAUCGGAGAAUUUGGCGGAGAAAUCAGGUGAGAAGGUAGCCUUAGGGAGGGACUUGAGGAUCUUCUUCUUGAGGCCCUUGUUAGCAGGAGGGGUGGGACGGGAUGAAGCAGAGGGAUUGGGAGCAAAGGCACCGGAGAGACGGCGAAGCCAGGCGCAACGAGCGACAGCAAUGAGACCGAGGACGCAAAUAAGGGCACAUAGGAGGGCUGCAAGGAUAACGACGAAGUCGGAGUCGACGGUUGCCGAUUGUUCAGGUGGCGGCUCAGUAGUGGCCGAGGAGUUGGCGGCGCCAAGGAGCCUAAAAGGACGAGUCAUGUGAAGAGAGAGAGAGAGAGAGAAGUGGUUUUGGUUGAAGUGAAGACUGCGUUUGUCUUGUGUUAGUUCCAACCUUUUUCUCCGUCGAUGUCAUGAUUUAUAAUAAAUCUCCCUUUGUUUUGUUUUGUGAAUGCUCAUUAAAUUACUUCAAUUAUAUUUUGAUUUAACUAAAAAUACAUUAUAUAAUAAAAAUAUUUGAUACGAGUCUUUAGAUUAUGCAAAUGUUCUAUAAAAAGUAUAAUAAAACAUUUUUUUAAACAGUAUCGAAAUACUCACCCAUUAUAUAAAAAAAACAAGAGUUUAAGUGGGACCCAUUUGCCAAAAUUCAGGGUUGGGUCAACAAGGCUGUUGACUAUUGGGAGCUUAAAUGGUGUGAAUUUAUUCCACGGUUUGAUUUUAACAUUUUGUUCCUUCAAUUUCUAACUUAGCUAUCACAUAUUUUAACCAAUCAAACCAAGCCAAUGACAACAUCUUAAAUGUUUUUUAGACUUCCAAAAUACGUGUCAUUCCUAAAAAUUAAUAUAUGUAAUUACAAAUCCAUAUAAAAAUCCCUAAUUUAGAAUAUAAAUAACAUACCAUAGAUAACAAAACCUAUGGUUUUAACUAAUUAACAAUAACUUUUUUUUUUUAGUUUUUACUUUUAAAAGUUAUACGAUAAUAUUUUAUUUUCUUAAAAAAACAUUAUUUUAUAUUUAGUUGUAUAAGAUUUAACAUGUCAUUUAACAGUUUUAAUAACGAAAGGACUUGAUGAUAUAACGUCAAUAGUUUAAGGAUAUAAUUAGAACAUCUUAAAGUAUGAGGACCAAUUGAGAAUGAGGGUCGUAGUUUGAGAUGUCAAGUGCAAUUAACUCAAAAUCGAGUAUAUAAUUAUCCAUAGAAUAUACGAGUUUUAAUAAAAGUAUAUUUGGUGUUUUGUGGUAGUGAGUCAAAAUUUUGAUAUAAACAAUUUCGUCGUCAAUAAAAUAUCCCAUACAAUUAAGCGAUAAUGAUAAAAAAAAAAAACUUGUGUGCCGAUGAGUUCAAAUACGAAAGUACAAGCUAGGAAGGUAUAAGAAGCAAUUUCUAACUUAAUGUUACGGAUUCUUAGAGAUAAAAGUAUGGUCCAGUAAGCCAAAAUCGUUUAUUAUUUUGGUUGCAUAGUGAAGUGUGUUGACACCAUUUUUUUUGAUGGAAAACGGGGUCGACUUGGGUUUUUGAAAAUGAAAACGAAAACGGGAGUCGCCACCAAUCCUUUUUUAUAAGAUGUGAUUGGAUCACCUCGAAAAGUGGUUAUUUUUAAUAAAAGGUUUGAUUUUAUUAAAACAACAAGUUUGGUCCACGAAACUCAGAAAACGGGUUCGGGAGUCGAUUACGCACGAGGAAGGAUUAGCACCCUCGAUACGCCCAAAAUUGGUACCUAGUUGAUUACUUAAUGUCUUAGUGUCGAAGAUUGAAAACUUUAAAGAAAUUUAAAGUACGAUCCUUAAAAAAAAACUCGAAUGGCAUGGAUUAAAAUUCAAGAGGAAACUUGGCAAUUUGGUUAAACGAGAAAUCGAAACCCAGCACCUUAGGGCACGUUCCUCGAAUUUCCAAAUGCAAAAUAUUGCCUUAUUUUGAAAUUUUUAUGAAGGAUAUUAAGCCAUUUGAACGAGAAAAAUCGACACCCAGCACCUUAGAGCGUGUUUUCUCGAAUUUCCAAAUGCUAAAUAUUGCCUCAAUUUGAAAUAUUCUCCUUUUUUUUUGAAAUAUGGUAUUUAUAUGCAUGAUGGGAUAAUAAAUAAAAUAACGCGACUAAAAAAAAUAAUAUGAGCACAAAAAUGAAUAAUAAAUAAAAAACAAAUCACUCAUGAAUAUACAAUAACACGUAAAUAAAAAAAACUAAAGCAUUAAAUAAAUGGACAUAUAAAUAAUCAAAUAAAUGAAAAAAAAAUAAAGAAAAUAGAUAAAAAAUUAUAAAAUAUGAAAAUAUAUAAGUACAUAUAAAAUAUAUAUAUAUGAAGGUAUUCAUAUUUUAAUACGUAAUAUAUAUAUAAGUAUGUAUGGACAUAUUCGUGAGAAAAACAGGAAGAAAAAAAUGUAUAUAGAUAUAUAUCUAUAUAGAAAAAAAUGUAUAUGGAAAAAAAUGUAUAUAGAUAUAUAUGUAUAGAUAUGUAUAUAAAUAAAAAAUAUAUGAAUAUGUAUGUAUCUAUUAAAUAAGUUACUAGAUAAAUAUAUAUGCGUGUAUACAUAUAGAUUAUAAAAAUGUAUAUAUAUAUAGGAAUCUAAAAGAGUUUAUACAUAUAAUGAUUUAAAAUAUAUAAUAUAUUAAAAGAAUUAAAUAAAUAGUAUGUAAAAACAAUUUAUAAUAAACAAUAAAUAAGAAACUCAAAACAAAUAAUAAUAAAGGAAACCCUAUUUUAAAAUGAUAAAAAAAUAAAAUAAAAUAAAUGGACUAGGGACGAUACUGAAACCAAAUCGAAUCUGGGGGUUUUAAUUGCAAAAACCAUAAACAGGUCACUUAGGGAUUAAAAUGGCGCUCGCACAAAGAAAGAAGGACUAAUUGGGCAAUAUACCCCAGUCCUAGAGUGCAAUGUUCCAGCGCAGAGGACUAUAUAUGGUCAAAGGACCUGAUUGGAGCAGAAAUAAAGUUUGCGGCCCAAAUCGAAAAGAAAUAGGAAGUUGGAUUGCACUUCCACGCAAGAUGGAGGGACUAAAUGCAUAAAUUACCCAUUAAGGCAAAGCAUGCAGAGAUUCCCCCCACCAAAUGGCGCCGUUUCACUUAUCCCCAUUUAAAACAAAAAAAAAUUUAUAACUUCAUUUUAUCAGUGUUUUAAAGAAAAAAAACUGAACCUAUCCUCUCCCUUUCAAGGUUCCCAGCAGCCAAACAUGGCCCACGCCGGCGAUCGGCGGUUCCAAAGGCCAAAGCUCCUUCACGAGCGGUGGUCGGAGUGAGAAAAGGAGGGCUUUUUAACCCCGUUCUCGACCUCCACCUUAAGGCCCGGUCCUCCAGACCAAACAAGCCGAAACAAUGAGAGACCUUUCGUCUCCUUCUCGGUCCGAUUCCAACACCGAAGAUGGUCUCCGGCGACGGGCUUUCGAGACCGGUAAGUGUCCAUUUUCUUUCUUUUUCGUUUUGUUUUUUUAGUUUCAAAGAGUAGUAAAAAAACAGAAAAUAGAAGAAUAUAUAAAAAAAAUUUAUUAAGAACAGAGAAAGAAAUUUGGAGUCAACCUUUUCAAUUUUUUUGAUCUGCUCCCUUUUUUUUUUAAUACAGAUUUUGGUGGCUUUUAUAGCCAAAAGAUAAUCCUAAAAAUCUAUUUCCUAUUUUAUUUUUAUCAUUUCUGUCCAAUAUUGCUACUGCUGCUGCUGUUGUUCCCCUUUCUUUGCUUUGCUUGCAGGUACUGGUGAAGUCAACAGGUAUUGGAAGAAUAAACCUAGCCUUUUUGGUACAAAACUGGUCGUGCUUCGGGCGUUGAGUGCGCUGCAAAUGCACGAGGAGACGUACGGCGCACUGAGGCUACUGGUUGUGAGCUGAAUUGGGCUAGGGUUUUGCCAUCUUGGGCCUCUGUUGUGUUUUUAUUUGGGCUACGGAUUUUGUUUUAAUUUUGUUUAUUAUUGUGUGUUUUGUGUUUAAGGUCAGGGUAGAAUUGGGCCCGUACAGCUGCCCCUCUUUACUCGUUGUCGUGUAAUGAGAACAGAGCAAAGACUUCAAAAGGGCCAAUUUUGCCCGGUCUCACCGAGUCUUGACUUCUUCUACUAUUUCUUUUCUUCAAAUAACUCCGUUCCAGUCCAUUGUGUCUUGUUGCUUCAAUCCACUCCACUGCAUUUCAAAAAGAUCUGACUUGUAGCUUUAAUUUUGUUCGCCACAACUUCUGGGGGACGAUGUUUGUGGUUUUAGUCUGUUCCACUGUAACUUCAGGGAGAUAAGACUGGAUGCAAUCUGCUCUACUACAUCUUCAGAGAGAUAAGAUCUUUGUUUUAAUCCGCUCCACUGUAACUUUAGGGAGAUAGGAUAGUGUCUUCGAUCUGCUCUGCUGUAAUCUCAGGGAGAUAAGAUCCCUGGCUUCAAUCUGCUCCACUAUAACCUCAGGGAGAUAAGAUCUGAAAUUCUUCGGUCUACUCUACCGUAACCUCAGGGAGAUAAGACCUGAUGCGAUCUACUCUGCUGUAACUUCAGAGAGAUAAGAUCCACUCCACUGUAACUUCAAGGAGAUAGGAUAGUGUCUUCGAUCUGCUCCGCUGUAAACUCAGGAAGAUAAGAUUUCUGGCUUCAAUCUGCUCCACUGUAACCUCAGGGAGAUAAGACCUGAAAUUCUUCGGUCUACUCCACUGUAACCUCAGGGAGAUAAGACUUGUAUAUUCAACCUGCCCCACUGUAACUUCAGGGAGAUAAGGUUUGUGGCUCCGAUCUGCUCCUCUGUAGUCUCAGGGAGAUAAGACUUGAUACGAUCUGCUCCACCGUAAUCUCAGGGAGAUAAGAUCUCUAAUAUUCACCGGUCUGUUCUCUAGGGAACAUGGCCUAUAUAAUGAACCUAAUUAUGCCUAAUGAUUAGGAUGGCACGAUCAAAAAUGAAUCAAAUGCUCCUAACUAGACAUGUGUGAAUGGUGUUUGCAUGAAUGCAGAAUUUUAUAUUUCCGAGAAUGAUCUCGCUUAUGUUGUCAUUACUCGAAGUUUAUUAAAGCUUUGUGACCGACGUGUUACAGCACCCUUUUUGCUUGACUGGCUUUUCUGAUAAAACAUUUAGCCAAGUUGUCCCCACUGUAAACCUCAAAGUUUAAUCCAUUUGGGCGCACAAUUUGUGCCAUCAUUAUCCCACUGCAAUCCAAUGGUAAAAAUAUGCGGCUUUCAUUUCAAUUCUAUCUUAUCAGAAAUCAAGGAUACAGGAUCUAAAUCGUUCUGGUUUCUUACACCAUUCUCAAGGUGUCGUAUUUAUGUGCAAAUGAAGGCUCUCUUCUCUAAGGUAACCUCUUCCUAUUGCUUGAUGGUCAUUGCUUGCUUGUUUGUGUAAGCUUUGUCACCAACAUGGCGUUUUGUCAAUCAACACAUUUGACAACAAAAAUCCAAAGAGAAAAUCUAAAUUUAGACUAUUCCUUCCCAAAUUUCCAACCUUUAAAUUUGGUGCGUUUUAAACAAUAGUCCUGCUUCAGGCUCCUUUAUUAUUUAGAAACUUUCCAGAGUUAUGUGUAAAACUUCCUUUGUGAAAGUUUUAUUAGUCCAUACAACAUAUUUGCAAAAAGGUCAUAACAAUGGAUAAGAAUAAAGCUGGUUCUGAUCAUAAAUCAAAAAGAAAUAAAACAUCGAAGAUAGUGAAAGAAAGACGACAAAGAAGUGGAUUGAGAAUGUGUAUCUUAGCAAAAAGAAAAACGUAUUUUCAAGAAUAUACAUAUAAAUAGAAUAAGAACUAGGUGCCCCAGUUAUCGCAGCUUGAAUUUCUCUGUACAAACUUUCUGAAGACCAUUCGGAGUUUGACAUGUGUUUAGGAGAUCUGCAAUACUCUGUCAAUGAUCCAAGACGUCGCAUAUCAUUUCUUGUUGGUUCGGGUAAAGCAAGAUCUUCACAUGCCCCUGAUCAGAAUUUGAUCUGCUCAAAUCACCUUAUAACCCAACUCGAUCAAUACUUGAGCCACCCUUUCCGGGUUUUUGACUUAAGCCCCCUUUGGCCUCAAGGUGCCCUUUGCGGGUUUUCACCCUGGCCUCUCCAAAGUUUUUUUUUGGAAGCAAAGCGCCCUUUGCGGGUUUUCACUUUGGUUCUCUUUUCUUUCAAGUGAAAUAUUUCUUGACGGAGUCUGCGUUUACAGGGUUUGGCAAACUUUUGCCAUCCAUCUCACAUAGGAUUAAAGCCCCACCGGAAAAUGCCUUCUUUACAACAUAGGGACCUUCCCAAUUUGGCAUCCAUUUUCCUCUCGAAUCCUUUUGCAUGGGGAGAAUCUUUUUUAGCACCAAGUCUCCUUCACGAAACUCUCUGGGGCGGACCUUUUUAUUAUAGGCUCGCAUCAUUCGUUUCCGGUACAUUUGCCCAUGACGGAUAGCUCUAAGCCUCUUUUCUUCUAUUAGGUUCAACUGAUCGUACCGAGAUUGGACCCAAUCGGCUUCGUCCAAUUGUAGAUCAGAUAGUACCCGUAGAGAGGGGAUUUCAACUUCAAUGGGUAAUACCGCCUCCAUUCCAUAUACCAGAGAAAAAGGUGUUGCUCCGGUAGAAGCUCUAACAGAUGUUCGAUAGGCAAGGAGAGCAAAUGAUAACUUCUCAUGCCAAUCCUUGUAAGUUUCAAUCAUUUUCCCCACGAUCCUUUUGAUGUUCUUAUUAGCCGCCUCCACUGCACCAUUCAUUUUUGGACGAUAUGGCGAUGAAUUAUGAUGUUUGAUUUUAAAUUGGCUGCAAACCUCAGCUAUUGUGCUAUUAUUCAAAUUUAACACAUUGUUGGAUAUAAUUUUCUCAGGCAUUCCAUAUCGACAAAUAAUCUCUUUCUUCAAGAAUUUGCUAACUGCUGACUUCGUGACAUUUGCGUAUGAAGCAGCCUCUACCCAUUUGGUAAAGUAAUCAAUGACCACAAAGAUGAAACGAUGCCCAUUAGAAGCCUUUGGUGAUAUUGGCCCAAUAACAUCCAUACCCCACAUGGAAAACGGCCAAGGAGAGGUCAUGACGUGAAGAGGUGAAGGAGGCGCAUGUAUUUUGUCUCCGUAAAUUUGGCAUUUGUGGCAUUUCUUGGCGUAAUCUAUGCAAUCUCCUUCCAGGGUGGGCCAAUAGUACCCAAAUCUCAUGAUUUGUCUGGCCAUCAUAAAACCAUUGGCGUGCGUCCCACAAAUACCCUCAUGUACUUCCUCCAAUAUUUUCUUGGCAUCCACGGCAUCCACACAUCUUAGCAAUACUUGAUCCUUCCUUCUUUUGUAUAACACUUCCCCAUCUAGGACAUAUUCGAUGGCUAUUCUUCUCAGAGUUCUUUUGUCAUUCUCUGUCGCUUGAUUGGGGUACUCCCGAUCCUUCACGUACUGUAGGAUAUUCUGAUACCAAGGACAAUCAUCUUUUCCCUCCUCUUCAAUAUUGCAGCAAUGAGCUGGGUUCUCAUAGAUACUCAUCUGAAUAGGCCUCAUUGCCUCGAGUCUAUUCACCUGAAUCAUCGAAGCUAGAGUAGCUAAUGCGUCAUCCAUUUGGUUUUCCUCUCGUGGGAGAUAACAGAAGGUGAUAUCAUCAAACUCACCAGCCAAUUCGAGAACUAGUUUUCUAUAAUCAAUUAGCUUAGGGUCCCUAGUUUCCCAUUCCCCUUUUAGUUGGUAUAUCACCAAUGCAGAAUCCCCAUAUACUCUUAGCACUUUGAUGUUUCGUUCAAUGGCUGCACGAAUGCCCAUAAUACAUGCUUCAUAUUCUGCCAUAUUAUUAGUACAAUCGAAGUCCAACUUGCUAGCAACAGGAUAAUGAUCUCCAUUUGGGGAUACCAAGAUUGCCCCAAUUCCAUUACCCGUAGCAUUCGAAGCUCCAUCAAAAUUUAACCUCCAUACGCUACCCAUUUGAGGAUUCUCUUCAGUGUUCGCCACAUACUUCAAGUCCUCAUUUGGAAAGUCGAAGUUCAAAGACUCGUAGUCUUCCAAGGCUCUACUAGCUAAGAAGUCAGCUAUCGCACUUCCCUUUAUGGCCUUCUGACUUACAUAUACUAUGUCAAAUUCUGAGAGCAGGAUUUGCCAUCUAGCCAUUCUCCCGUUUAAAGCAGUAGAUUCCAUCAUAUACUUUAAAGGAUCCAACUUUGAAAUCAGCCAAGUCGUAUGAUACAACAUAUGUUGCCUUAGUCUUCGGGUUGCCCAGAUUAAAGCGCAACACAACUUCUCAACUGAUGAGUAUCUCAUUUCGCAAUCAGUAAAUUUCUUGCUGAGAUAGUAUAUUGCCUUUUCUUUCUUUCCCGUCUCAUCAUGUUGGCCUAAUACGCAUCCCAUGGAAUUCUCCAACACUGUUAGAUAUAAUAUCAAUGGCCUAUCUGGACUUGGUGGUGAUAAGACUGGAGUAUUAACCAAGUACUGCUUUAUCUUAUCGAAAGCUCUCUGGCAUUCUUCAUCCCAUUCACCCGGAUUAUGCUUCUUUAAGAGACAGAAUAUCGGAUCACAUUUCUCCGUCAGUUAUGAGAUGAAUCGAGCAAUGUAAUUCAAUCUCCCUAGGAAACCUCGAACUUCCUUCUGCGUGCGCGGGGGAGGUAAAUCUCGUAUUGCUUUUACUUUGUUUGGGUCAACCUCAAUCCCUUUUUUGCUAAUUAUGAAGCCUAAUAACUUCCCUGAUCUGGCUCCAAAUGUGCAUUUUGCAGGGUUAAGCUUGAGCUGAAAUUUCCUCAAUCUCAAAAAUAACUUUUUCAAGACUUGAACGUGCUCUUCUUCCGUUCUAGACUUCGUAAUCAUAUCAUCCACAUAGACUUCGAUCUCCUUGGGCAUCAUGUCGUGAAACAAAGUCACCAUAGCUCUUUGAUAUGUUGCUCUCGCAUUUUUCAAUCCGAAGGGCAUUACCUUGUAACAAAAUGUUCCCCAUAAGGUAAUGAAUGUGGUUUUCCUCAUGUCUUCAGGAUGCAUCUUUAUUUGAUUGUACCCGGAGAAGCCAUCCAUGAAAGAAAACAAUGAAUAGCCCGCCGUGUUAUCUACCAAGGUAUCAAUGUGAGGCAGUGGAAAAUUAUCUUUUGGACUCGCCUUGUUCAAAUCUCUAUAAUCCACACACAUUCGUACCUUUUCAUCUUUUUUAGGAACAGGGACGAUGUUUACUACCCAAUCCGAAUACUUGACCUCUUGUAAGAAUCCAGCGUAGAAUUGCCUUUUGAGUUCUUCUUUUAUUUUCAACACAAUAUCAGGUCUCAUUCUCCUGAGCUUCUGCUGAAUGGGUUUACAAUCUUCUUUUAUGGGUAGACGAUGCACAACAAUGUUAAUGCUUAGCCCGGGCAUAUCUUGGUAUGACCACGCGAAAACAUCUUUGAACUUUCGGAGUAAAUUAAUGAGGUCUUGUUUUGUCUUUGCAGUGAUUUCAGUGCCAAUUUUCACCUAUUUUCCAUCCUCUAGGCUCACGAUUUCUAAUAAUUCCCCAUGAGGUAGGAUCUGUUUAUCCUCUUCUUCCACCAUUCUUAGCAAGUCCGGAGACACACCAUAAUCUUCGUCAUUUUCAAAGUCGUGAGAUCCCUCCAAACACAUUUCUUGCUCAAAGAUAGGCUCCGUGUUUGAAGCAGCAUCACUCAUGUCGUUGAUAUCUGAAGACCUAUGAAGGCAUACCAAAGAGUAUACCAAGAAUAUAUAAAUUUAUGAAUGAAUAUUUGUGCAAAAGAGUUACAAAUGAAAGAAUUAUUUAUAAGACAAUUAAUCAAAUGGAAAGUAUUUAUUUAUAUGUAAAGGAAAAAAGUGACUGAUUGAGAUGAAUGUAGAUAUGUAUUUCAUUAAAAUGAUGAUAUUUAGGCCCAAAGCCUAUUUCACAAAAGAUUUCAUAUCGUUCCUAGGCCAAAACAACAGGAAUGUUUUGAGCAUUACUCUGAAUAAGCCCUAAAGACUACAGGGAUUUCUUCAGCAGUCCAAUUGUUUAGCUCGCUCCCCGGCUCAUGAGGGCGGAUCUCCAACAAGGCCCUUUUUUCCGCUGCUUCCACAGUGUUGAUAUGAACAUUUUCCAACAUUCUUUCAAUGCCUUUGCUACCGGACACUCCGCACUCAGAAUGAAUAAAUCCUCCUGACACAAAGGAUGUAGAUAUGUGGGGAAAGGUUAAAGGCUCCCACUUAGCUUCAUAUCCGCUCAAACGUGCCCUUCUUUUCUCUUGUCUCUUCUCUAUUUCUUUCUUUUUCUGCUUCAUGUCUGGCUUGUAUCCUAAGCCAAAACUAUCGAACUUUUCCUUCAACAUUGGAGCUUCAAUCCUUCCUUGAAGAUAUUUUCCCAGUCCUUUCCCUGGUGCGGCUCCUCUUCCUACCAUCAAUCGCAACCCCAUUUCGGUGGUCCUGGAUAUUUUCGGUAUUGGAAUUCUACUUCCCUCCGCAAUAAACAUCGCGUUCACAAAUUCUAACGACCGAAAAGAACAUUUCAGUGCAUCAUCGUUGAUGUCCACAUAAGGUACAUCACUGGUCAUCAUUGCGAUAAUAUCUUUCUCUGCAUCUAUUGUUACCAACUGACCCUCCGAUACCAACUUCACCUUCUGAUGUAAUGAUGAAGGUACUGCCCCCGAUGAGUGUAUCCACGGUCUUCCCAAUAAACAGUUGUAGGAAGGCCUAAUAUCCAUUACCAAGAAGUCCACCUCAUAAGUGAUUGGGCCAAUCCUUAACGGUACCUCAAUUCUCCCCAUAACCUUUUUUUCCGUUCCAUCAAAUGCCCUUACUAUACUCUGGCAUGUUUUCAUGUGCGAACUGUCCACCGGUAAUCGACCAAGAGUGGAUAGAGGCAAUACAUUCAGUGCAGAUCCAUUAUCAACCAGGGCUCCCGGGAGUGUAUAUCCUUUGCAUCGGACAGUAACGUACAGGGCUUUAGUAGAACCCCUUCCUCCGGAUGGUAUUUCGUCAUCAUUGAAGAAGAUAAAAUUGUCAGCGCCUAUGUUGUUGAUCAACCGAUCUAGCUUGUUUACCGAUAUAUCGUCGGCCACAUAUGUUUCGUUUAGUACCUUCAGAAGCGCAUUCCGAUGUAUUUCUGAGCUUAGAAGUAAAGCUAAUACAGAAAUGUGGCUGGUUGUUUGUGCAGUUGCUCCACAACACUGUAUUCACUGUGCUUCAGAAACUUCAAAAACUCUUUUGCCUCAUCUUCUUUUAUUGGUUCAUUAACCAAUGGCUCAACUCCAACUGCUUUUCCGGUCCUCUGUUCUUUCUUCCAAUUCUCUUCCCUGGACGACUCUGCUUGAGUGUCAUAUCGUUUCUUAUUGCGUGUGUAAGAACCUAUUUCCUGGCUUUCUUCUGCUUUUUUUUUCCAAGAUGGUCACAUUGCACCCAUAAUUCCACGGCACAAUUUUGCUAUCCUUAUACAAGAAAUUUGAUGGUUUUUGAAUUACAACUUUCGGUGUUACCUGAGCCCUAGUUUCAUUACCUUUAGGGCGUGAGAUAACGACCACAGGAUGAUUUAUUUUCGGAGUUCCUGUUCCUGACUCUGUCGCGCAUAUGCUCCUCUUUUCUUCCGCCUCUUCAUAAAACGUCAUCUCUUUGUUAUCCAUCAUGCUUUGAACCAAAGCCCUGAAUCCUUCACAUUCUUGGAUUUCGUGCCCUGUUUUAUGAUGGAAUUCACAAAAAUUUUCCAGCUCGUACCCUUCCUCAAAAUUUGAAAUAACUAACCUUCUCUUUGCCAUCUCUUUCCAGACCCGUUUCAAUGGAGUUUUUACUUCAGCAAUGUCAGACUUGACUUCUCUUCUCGUACCUUCACUCACCAUAUUCACCCCCUUAUCAGCGUGAUUAGGUAACGGAUUUUCUGAGUUAGGUGAGUCGUCAAGUUUAACAACACCUAAUUUGAUAAGUCCUUCCACUACCUUCUUGAAAGCUGUACAAUUUUCUAUUGAGUGCCCUGAAAUUCCUGCGUGAUAAUCACAUUAUGCAUUCGUGUCAUACCAUUUUGGAUACGGGGGUUGUAGAGGACUCAAGUAACGAGGAGCAACAACAUGUGCAUUGAAUAAAGUCUGAUACAAUUUCUUGUAUGACAUUGGGAUUGGCGUGAAUUGGGGCUUUUCAGUAGUUUGCCUAGCUCUUGAUUCUUGUCUUGACGAUCCCGGUUGAUUAGCAACCCCUUUUUUUGGUUGAUUCACAGUAAUUGACCUACCGUAGGCAUUCACAUUAUUCACUUCAUUUUCUCUUUUCCUCGGGGCUGCCCUUCUAUUAUUUUCCCUUCCAUCUAUUCUUCCACUUUUAAUGGCAUGCUCAAUCAUUUCACCAUUCAUGAUUAUAUCCGAGAAAUUCUUUGAAGCGCUUCCCAACAUGUGAGUAAUGAAUGGGGCCUUCAAUGUAUUAAUAAAAAGCGUCGCCAUCUCUUUUUCUAAAAGCGGUGGUUGUACCUGAACCGCCACCUCUCUCCACCUCUGCGCGUACUGUCUGAAGCUUUCGUUUGAUUUUUUUUUCUAAAUUCUGCAGAGUUAUCCUGUCAGGCAUCAUUUCCGAGACAUGAUCGUAUUGUCUCAUGAAAGCCUGUGCCAAAUCUUUCCAAGUAGUAAUUUUUAUUCUGCUCAGCUGAUUAUACCACUUUGACACCGCUCCUGUAAGGCUUUCCUGAAAGUAAUGUAUUAAUAAUUGAUCAUUAUUAAUAUACCCCGUCAUUCUUCUACAAAACAUAGUAAUAUGGGCUUCUGGGAAACUGGUCCCGUUAUAUUUCUCAAAUUCCGGCAUUCUAAAUUUGUAAGGUAGCACCAAGUCCGGAACCAAGCUCAGGUCUUUUGCGUCUUUCCCAUGAUAGCUUUCAAUGCUUUCUAUUGCCCUAAACUUCUCUUCUAUCCAUUUCCAUUUCUCCUCAAGUUGUUUUGGAAGCUCCUCCUUCGCCUUGUCCUUUUCGGCCAUCUCGUCAAGAUCUAGGAUAGCAAUAUUAUUCGGGCUAUCUCCAGGAUUAGAGCCCACCCCGGGUUGAAAAUUCAUUGGUAUGGAAGCAUCGCCUUGGAACUGCUGAGGCCUAACCGACACAGAGGGUCUUCGUGGAUGCAGCUCAGUUUGAACCUGCGCGUGCGGAGGCGUAAAACUUGGAGGAUAAAGUGGUUCGCUAUUGUUUUCUUCCUCAUUAACAAUCACAGGUCCUUUCCCCUUAUCUACUCCAUUCAAUAAUUGUGUCAUCUUAGUUAUCAGAUCGUUUUGAGACUCCCGCAUCUUUUAUUCUAUGUCAUGCUGAAUCUUUUCUAUCUGCUCCUUCAUUUGCGCCUGCAACUGGUCUUGCAUUUCCUUUUGAAGUCGUUCUAGCUUUUCCAGCCUUUGGUCCAUAAUUUUUGACUUAGCUCGAGUGCCGUAACCUUGUUGGUUUUCUAGGUUAACUGAAAUAAUUUUAUUCGAUUAGGGUUCUUUAAUGGUCAUUAAUGCAUAUGAUGUGAUGCAAUGCAUGAAAAGAAUGCAAAAAGAGGCAGUGAUUCUAAUUCAACUUCAUUAGAAAAACUCAACUAGAAAACAAAUUUCUUUUACAUAAAGUGGAUUACAUAUACGGCUUUGCCUUUAUGCUCAAAGCCUUAACUCUCCUAAGGAGCCAAGCUAACUCUCGACCCCGACUUGAUUCCAAUUCAUAUUUCAAACUCAAUAUAUCGGCCUGAACUGCUAAAGUUUACAAAUGAUCAGCUACUUCCCGAAUUUGAGAUAUAGCUUCACCCAUCACGUAAUCCCUAUCUCUAAUCUGAUUUUGAGAAUGGAGGAGCUGCUCUUGGCAUUGUUCGUUACGCCUUUCAAGAAGUUCCUCUCGCGAUUCAGAGUUUUGCAGUGCAUCUUCAAGUUCUCCUAUUUUUUUCUUCAAUUCUUCGAUGUUAUUCAAACUUGCUUUUAGCUCGAUCACAGAGUUGCGAUUACGGCACAAGUGAAGCGACCUUUUUAACUCUGCUACCCGAUCUUUCAAUCUUGCUUCUUCAUUUUGGCAUUCUAAUAAACUUUUUUCCAAUGCACUUUCUCGAGCUCGGGCACCUUGAAAUUUCUUUUCCCACUGAUCAGCUUUGGUCCUUUCUUCCUCGAUCUCCUGUUUCCAUUGUUUCGAUGUUUUCCCCAAACCCGCAGUUCGCAUUGACAAUCGUAGCCUUUUAUAAUCUGUUUUUAAACUAUCUAAAUCCUCUUCAGCCUUAUUUUUCCCUUUUCUUAACUUUUCAGCUUCCAACUUGUGGAUAUCAACAUCUAGUCCCAAACGCAUCUUUUCUUCUUUCAGCUGUUCUAUCCUCUUUCCAAACUCUGAACUUCUUUUUUCGAAGUCUUGCUUGAUGAUCUCUAGUUCUGAAGGGACUAUUCGUAAAUACUCUUCUAUAGGACGACCACAUUCUUCUCCUGGCUUUGGGAUGUUAUCGUCGAUCCUCUUACUCCGCCACCCGUGAUAUUCGAGAGUUGUCGUUGCUCCUACGGUAAUUCUUUUCAUCCGGUGAAUUCGUUUCCAAGCGUUAGACAUCUCUCAGAUCUUUCCCUUGUAGUUAUUACCUUUAUAAGAAAAGUCACACUCGGCUAGCCCUUGCGUUGCCGGUAUAACUGCCUUGACUUAUAUUGCCUUAACAAAGCAAAGGGGCAUAUCCGACAGCUCCCCAAAUUCCAAGCAAAUGGACCCAGUCAAAGUCCCCACAUCGGUACAAAAUCUCGUCGGGCACCAUCCAAGAAGCUUUACAUUCAACAUCUUCAUCUCGUAGAUUAUGAAGGAUCGUCAUCCACUUUUCCUCCGUGAUGUCAUUACGUCUUGGUGUUGCUGCCAAUUCCUUCAAAGACGAGUAAUUUUUUGAGAAAACUUGAUAAGAAAUCUUAUCCACCUUCCAGAAGUGGCUGUGAAACCAAACCAACAGGAGUUGUGCACAACCAACGAAUCUUCCCUCCCCCGUUCUUCGACAUGCACUUAAAGACCUAAACGUUUCGGCCAAAAUUGCUGGAACGGGUGUGACCCUCCUAUCAAGUUGAUCAAACAAAUCUGUAACAGCUUCGUCUAUAUGCCCCAACGCUUUAGGAAAAAUAACUAGCCCAUACAUACUCAAAGCAAAAACAUCAACCUUUUUAUUCGUAUCCGGGUGUGCCAAAAUCUGAUCUCGCAAACUUCUCCAAGGGAUACAUUUAUUUUCUCCCUUUUGUUUGAUUCGUGCGGUGACCCAUUGCUCACUCAUUCCGGUAAUUCUCGUUAACUUCUUUGUAAAAGUCGAAACAUUAGCAGUUCUAGAAUAAACUUUAUCCACUUGGAUUCUUGGACAACGAAGUAAAGUUGUAUACUCCUCCACAGUAGGCACCAUGUCUACCUCCCCAAAUGUGAAGCAGCUAUAAGCGGAAUUCCAAAAUUGGGCCAAAGCUCGAAAUAAAUGUUCAUCUACAUUGAUGUCAAGCAAGUAGGGUAAAUCACCAUAAUUAUAGUAAAACAAUUGUUUGACUUUAUCCUCCCAUUGAGCCCAAAUUUCUUUCAACUCCUGAAGAUUGUUCUGAGUCACAUUGAUGCUAGUGUAAUCCCAUAACUCUGAUGCAAACCCCAUUGUCAGACUAUCACCUUUCUCGAGUUGUGACUUUUCUGACCAUAUUCGGAUAAUCGCAUUAUCUUCCACCUUGCUAAGAAAUUCACUUUCCAUGAUUGGCUUUUCUAUCUAGUAAUCGAAUGUGAAUCAACGCCUUUUACAAUGAAAUGCCAUGCAGACAAAAUGCCAUGCAAUCAAAACAAAAUAAGUUAGUAUCAAAAUUAAAAAUCCGAGACAAGCAAGAAAUAAUAAAGCACCUAUUUGAAGUAGUUCUAUCUAGGCUGGGUUCCUAGGGUUCACUAUAUGUGGUUUGGUUCUAAAGAUAAGGUACCCGAACCAGCAGAUUCCUCGAUCUUCACCCAUUAUAGGCUCAUAUAGACCGAGUUCGGUUCAGGGGAACACAUUUCCCUAUGGCUGCACGGAGAUGAAAAUCUCACGAAGACAUAGGUACGGAUGUAUCCCAAAAGCGAUCCACUAUCCUGCACGAAGGUGAAAACCUCACGAAGGAAAUAGCUUCUCACUCCCACUUAAAAGGUGUGACCAACGGUCAUGCAAUGCAAUGUGCAGAAAGAUACUAAAGUUUAGAAUACAAAACGUGAUGAAAACUAUAACUCAAAACCAAUGCAAUGAGAGGAUCGUAUAUUUAAAUCACAUUUUCAAAUUUCGACAAAAACACAAGAAAUGAUCAACACGUGGCUUGACUCUCUUAUUUUUUGAAAUCCCCAACAGAGUCGCCAAGCUGUUGACACCAUUUUUUUUGAUGGAAAACGGGGUCGACUUGGGUUUUUGAAAAUGAAAACAAAAACAGGAGUCGCCACCAAUCCUUUUUUAUAAGAUGUGAUUGGAUCACCUCGAAAAGUGGUUGUUUUUAAUAAAAGGUUUGAUUUUAUUAAAACAACAAGUUUGGUCCACGAAACUCAAAAAAUGGGUUCGGGAGUCGAUUACGCACGAGGAAGGAUUAGCACCCUCGAUACGCCCAAAAUUGGUACCUAGUUGAUUACUUAAUGUCUUAGUGUCGAAGAUUGAAAACUUUAAAGAAAUUUAAAGUACGAUCCUAAAAAAAAAAACUGGAAUGGCAUGGAUUAAAAUUCAAGAGGAAACUUGGCAAUUUGGUUAAACGAGAAAUCGAAACCCAGCACCUUAGGGCACGUUCCUCGAAUUUCCAAAUGCAAAAUAUUGCCUUAUUUUGAAAUUUUUAUGAAGGAUAUUAAGCCAUUUGAACGAGAAAAAUCGACACCAGCACCUUAGAGCGUGUUUUCUCGAAUUUCCAAAUGCUAAAUAUUGCCUCAAUUUGAAAUAUUCUCCUUUUUUUUUGAAAUAUGGUAUUUAUAUGCAUGAUGGGAUUAUAAAUAAAAUAACGCGACUAAAAAAAAUAAUAUGAGCACAAAAAUGAAUAAUAAAUAAAAAACAAAUCACUCAUGAAUAUACAAUAACAAGUAAAUAAAAAAAACUAAAGCAUUAAAUAAAUGGACAUAUAAAUAAUCAAAUAAAUGAAAAAAAAUAAAGAAAAUAGAUAAAAAAUUAUAAAAUAUGAAAAUAUAUAAGUACAUAUAAAAUAUAUAUAUAUGAAGGUAUUCAUAUUUUAAUACGUAAUAUAUAUAUAAGUAUGUAUGGACAUAUUCGUGAGAAAAACAGGAAGAAAAAAAUGUAUAUAGAUAUAUAUCUAUAUAGAAAAAAAUGUAUAUGGAAAAAAAUGUAUAUAGAUAUAUAUGUAUAGAUAUGUAUAUAAAUAAAAUAUAUAUGAAUAUGUAUGUAUCUAUUAAAUAAGUUACUAAAUAAAUAUAUAUGCGUGUAUACAUAUAGAUUAUAAAAAAGUAUAUAUAUAGGAAUCUAAAAGAGUUUAUACAUAUAAUGAUUUAAAAUAUAUAAUAUAUUAAAAGAAUUAAAUAAAUAGUAUGCAAAAACAAUUUAUAAUAAACAAUAAAUAAGAAACUCAAAACAAAUAAUAAUAAAGGAAACCCUAUUUUAAAAUGAUAAAAAAUAAAAUAAAAUAAAUGGACUAGGGACGAUACUGAAACCAAAUCGAAUCUGGGGGUUUUAAUUGCAAAAACCAUAAACAGGUCACUUAGGGAUUAAAAUGGCGCUCGCACAAAGAAAGAAGGACUAAUUGGGCAAUAUACCCCAGUCCUAGAGUGCAAUGUUCCAGCGCAGAGGACUAUAUAUGGUCAAAGGACCUGAUUGGAGCAGAAAUAAAGUUUGCGGCCCAAAUCGAAAAGAAAUAGGAAGUUGGAUUGCACUUCCACGCAAGGUGGAGGGACUAAAUGCAUAAAUUACCCAUUAAGGCAAAGCAUGCACAGAUUCCCCCCACCAAAUGGCGCCGUUUCACUUAUCCCCAUUUAAAACAAAAAAAAAUUUAUAACUUCAUUUUAUCAGUGUUUUAAAGAAAAAAAAAACUGAACCUAUCCUCUCCCUUUCAAAGUUCCCAGCAGCCAAACAUGGCCCACGCCGGCGAGCGGCGGUUCCAAAGGCCAAAGCUCCUUCACGAGCGGUGGUCGGAGUGAGAAAAGGAGGGCUUUUUAACCCCGUUCUCGACCUCCACCUUAAGGCCCGGUCCUCCAGACCAAACAAGCCGAAACAAUGAGAGACCUUUCGUCUCCUUCUCGGUCCGAUUCCAACACCGAAGAUGGUCUCCGGCGACGGGCUUUCGAGACCGGUAAGUGUCCCUUUUCUUUCUUUUUCGUUUUGUUUUUUUAGUUUCAAAGAGUAGUAAAAAAACAGAAAAUAGAAGAAUAUAUAAAAAAAAUUAUUAAGAACAGAGAAAGAAAUUUGGAGUCAACCUUUUCAAUUUUUUUGAUCUGCUCCCUUUUUUUUUGAAUACAGAUUUUGGUGGCUUUUAUAGCCAAAAGAUAAUCCUAAAAAUCUAUUUCCUAUUUUAUUUUUAUCAUUUCUGUCCAAUAUUGCUACUGCUGCUGCUGUUGUUCCCCUUUCUUUGCUUUGCUUGCAGGUACUGGUGAAGUCAACGGGUAUUGGAAGAAUAAACCUAGCCUUUUUUGUGCAAAACUGGUCGUGCUUCGGGCGUUGAGUGCACUGCAAAUGCACGAGGAGACGUACGGCGCACUGAGGCUGCUGGUUGUGAGCUGAAUUGGGCUAGGGUUUUGCCAUCUUGGGCCUCUAUUGUGUUUUUAUUUGGGCUACGGAUUUUGUUUUAAUUUUGUUUAUUAUUGUGUGUUUUGUGUUUAAGGUCAGGGUAGAAUUGGGCCCGUACAAAGUGGAUUAAGAUCUCUGCUCUAGCAUUGUUUUUAAUUUGUUUUAUUAUUAUUAAGUUAGGCUUGGAGAACUUUUAGGUGAAACCCUAAUUUUUUUAAAAAUAGGCAUAAAGUCUCUCUUUGUAAUCUUGAAUCUUUUUGAAUUUGUAUAAUCCAACAAUUUUAAAGAUGAGAUAAUAUUGAUUCCUAAUUUAAUAUAAUCAACGAGUCAAUAUUCCAUUUCAACUAAUAAUAUUGGCUCUUGCUUCUUUAUAAACAAAUUAAUAGUAUUAAAGCUUUAGAGUUUUUUUUUCCCAAUUGCAUUUUUUAUUUAUGAACUUGUUUGUGUUGUUAUGUCUUAAUGUUCUUCACUUUUAUUCUUGUGUUCAUUGUUGUUAUUCAUUUUAGCAUUCACAUUUUGCUUUUGUUCUUUUUUAAAGUUUAUUUAAGUGUAUUUGAAUAUCUUCGUGAGUCCUUAUUCAUUUUUGUCUUAUUUUAGUGUUCUGAUUUUUGUUCAGACAAAAAACAAACCAUUAUGUAAAAGAAAGAAAAGAGAAGGGAAAAAAAGCUUGGUAGGAUUGGAACCAAAAUCGCUUCGGAGUUUGGUAUUUUUAUAGAUUUGCAUCAUAUCGAGACAAAGUAGUAAAGGGGAAAAAUGAUCAUUCCUUGUUGGAGUCUAUCCUACAACAAUGCGAAUGUUUGAUAGAAAAUAAUGAAAAUACUAAAAAAAAGUAACUAAUGCCUUAAUAGUUUGUAAAAUGAGUGUGUACCAUUUAAGCUAUCUCAUAAGUGUGAGUGUGUUGUCCAAUGUUAUCAAAAACAUUUCUAUUAUUAAAGUUAUGGUCAUAGUCCAACUGUUUGUCCUAAACUAUAGUUAGUUACUAUUGUUAAACCAAAUUUUAUUUGAUAAAAGAUUUUGAUAUAAUAAAUUAAAGUGUUUUUUUAAUAUAAGUUAAAAUUGACAAAAUGAUUUUUAAACUUGAAGUCAAAGAAAUAAAACUUUGAAUAUUUAUAUUAAACUUUUAGAAAAUUUUGAAACAAUUUUAAAAUUAAGUGAAAAUGAUUUUAACCAAGUCAAAAUGAUUUCCAUCAAGUUAAAAUCAUUUUAACACAUCAAAAUGAUUUUCAAACAAGCCAGGAUUGCUCCAGGCCAAAAAGUAUCGAUAUCAUCUGGCAAAGUAUAAAUAUUUUUGGAAUUAUCGAUACCCUAGGAAAAAUCGAGACCAAACAUGCAUUUUUUCAGGAACCUUAAAAGUUAUCAAUACCGUUUUACCAAUAUCGAUAAUUUCUGAAAAUAAUCGAUACCUUUCUUAAAAACGAUUCUAAAAUAACAUUUUUUUCUUAUAAACCCUACAAAGUAUUGAUUCGGUAUUGAUACCUAUUUCUAAAAGUAUCGAUAAAAUAUUUUUUUGUUAUCAAAUACUCGUAGUUGCAGGUGAAAUAAAUACUGGUUUUACAUCCCCAAUGGUCAUAUUCACUACACCAACAACCUCAACGGUUGGGAAUCUAUUAGAGGGUAUAAAUACUAUCCUCUAAAGACUUACAACAUCAAGAAAACCACUUUCAAGCAAAAAUCAUCAAUCAAACAACCUUAGAGUUUAAUGCUUUCACAUUCUUCUUACAUACACUUGUGAGCUUUAUCUCUAUUAUCUUUCUCAAGUGUAUUUUAUUGUAUUUGAGCUUCAUUUUGCAAACAACUUAAUUUUGUAAGAAUAGUUUCUUUGUUUUCUUAUUAUUUGUAUCUCUUUGAGAGGGUUUGUAACUUAAGAUUUGGGGUAGAAAUCUUAAGGAGUUGUAAGGUUAAAAAUUGUCCUCAAAGGUUGAACAAAUUAGCGAGUUUGGAAAAAUCUUUAGUAGUGAAAAGUUAAUGUAGUGGAGUAGGCAAUUGGGGGCAAACCACUCUAAAUUCUUUGUGUUCAUUGUUUCAUUUUUGUCUUUGCUUUCGCCAAAAUUUUUGAAGGCCAAUUCACCCUCUCUUGGCAUUUUCAGUUUGUUCCAUCGAGCUAACAAUUGGUAUCAGAGUUAGAACUCUAGAGAUAGUUUUACAACCAAGAGAGAAGAUCAUUAAGAUAUCCAAAAUAGAAGCCACAAGUAAAGAAAUUUACUUCAUGACAUUGGAGCAAAAUUCCACUAUAUUGGGCGAAGGGCAUUCCCCCAUAAGGCCUUUUUUAUUCAAUGACACUAACUACUCAUAUUGGAGAAUAAGAAUGAAGAUAUUCAUCUAAGCUAAUGUCUAUGAAGUUUGGAGGAUAAUUACUAAUAGGUCAUCCAUUCCAAUAAAGAGGGUCAGAGGUGUUAUUGUCUCCAAUGAAGAGAGUGAAUGUUAUUGUCUAUGCACACUCUAUUUUGUGCUCUUGGUUCAAAUUAGUACAAUAGAGUCUCAUUAUGUGACAAUGCAAAAGAAAUAUUGGGACAAGCUUGAAGUCACCCAUGAACGGAUAAGUAGAGUCAAGGAGUCCAAGAUAAGUCUUCUCACCCUUGAUUAUGAGUUGUUUAAGGCAAAACUUGAAAAAAAGAAUCAAGGAGAUGUCUAAUCAAUUUACCCACAUCAUCAAUAGUCUCAAAACCCUUGGGAAGACCUAUCCCAACAAGGAGAUGGUGAAUAAGAUGUUGAAUAGUCUCCCAAUGUAUUGGGAAGCUAAAAUGAUGGCAAUAGAAUAAUCAAAAUAUCUCAACUCACUCUACCUUGAUGAGCUCAUUGGUUUCUUGUUGACAUAUGAAAUGAAGAUCAACCAUAAUGCACAAGAAAUCAAAGAAGCUCCAAAGAAAGUAGGAGUUGCCUUCAAAUCAACAACUUGUGAGAAUGAUGAAGACUUUAGUAAUUAUGAUGAUGAUGUAGAGAUGACAAUGGUUGCAAGAAAAUUCAAGAGGUUCAUGAGGUCCAAUAAAGGAAAACAAUUUUAAAAGAAGGAAGGACUCAAAAUUAAAUCAACCAAGGAGAAAGAUCCCAUCAUUUGUUAUGAGUUCAAGAAACCAUGACACAUCAAGUUUGAUUGUUCACAAUGGAAAAAGAAGGGGUCUAACAAACAAAAACACAAGGCCAAUGUUGCUACUUGGAGUGAUGAUGACUCAUCCAAUGAAGAAAUUCAAGAAGUAUCCAACUUAUGUCUCAUGGUCAUCGAUGAUUCUAAGGUAACUUCUAACUCAUCUAUUUCAAAUUAUUAUUCUUUUGAUGAGUUGUAAGAUGAUUAUGAUGAAUUGGGUUUGGAAUUUGAAGUCAUGAAUUCAAAACAUAAUAAAAAUAUUUCAAAUUUGAAAAAUGAAAAUGAAUUGCUUUCCAAAACCAAUCAUGAACUUGAAGAGAAAGUAAAUAAAAUGCAAGAAAUAAUUAAUGAGCUUGAGAAAAAGAAUUUAGACUUGCAUAAUGUAUUUUCUAAAGUUCAUAAUGGUCAUGAAAAGUAACUUGAGUUGCUUAAGAGUGGAAUAACUCACUCUAACAAAGUUUUAGAAAAAGGAGAAAAUUCAAAACAAAACUUUGUUAAAAAUAAUUUUAAUUUCUAUAAAUAUAGAGGUUCCUAAAACUUUUACAAUAGAAAAAUCAUUAAAAGUAUAUGAGUCCCUAAAGGACUUAAAACUUCACAAGAUAAGAACUUGAUUUCAAAAUGGAUACCUAAAAGGACUAAAAUUAUAGGAACUAAUGCUUAUGGACCCAAAAGAAUUUGGGUACCAAAAAUCAAACUUUAAUUCUAUAUUUGUAAAGGAGCAUUUAUUUGAGAUGGAUUAUUCAAGGAAAAACUUAUGGUACCUCAAUAGUGGAUGCUCAAGACACAUGAUCGAUGACAAGAGUCACUUUAUCAAUUUGAAGCAAAAAAAGUGGAAGAAAAGUUACGUUUGGUGACAACUCUACAAAACAAAUUGAAAGAAUAAACUCUAUUGGUAAAAACUCUUCAACUAUUAUUGAGAAUGUCUUAUAUGUCAAUGGUCUUAAGCAUAAUCUUCUAAGUAUUAGUCAAUUAUGUGAUAAAUGUUUCAAUGUCAUAUUUGAGUCUAAAGGUUGUAAAUUUAUUGACAUUGCCUCUAAUAAGAUUGUGCUUGUAGGACAUAGGAUAGAAUAUAUGUAUAUAUGGUGCAUUUAGAUGAUAUGCAUAACUCUAACUUAUGCCUUGUUGUUAAAAAUGAGAAUAACUCUUUGUUAUGACAUAAAAACUAGGACAUGCUAGCAUGAGCAUAUUGUAUAAAUGAGCUAAAAAUGACUUAGUAAGAGGUUUGCCUAAAAUUGAUUUUGAACUAGAUAAAGUUUGUCAUGCAUGUGUUAAGGGUAAGCAUAAAAGAGUUUCUUUUAAACCUAUUAAUGAUGUAUCAUCUAGUAGAGCUGUUCAACUAAUUAUUAAAUUGUUUUAUGUCGUGGGUUUAUUCUAUUUAUAAAAUAUAAAUUUUUUUAUCUCGUGGGUUUAUUCUAUUUAUUAAACUGUUGUUUAAUAUUAAUAUAUUUGACAUAGGAAAAAAAUAAAGAUAUAUUAAUAAUAAAAGUUUAAAGAUGUUUAUUAUUUUGAUUUUAUAUUCACCUAUUUAGUAAAAAUAAUUAUUACAUUUUAAGAAUAGAAAUUAGUAAUAAUUAUAGUGCAAGCCGAGGUGGUGUUCAUCUAAUCUGAUUUUUUCUCCUUUUAGUAUAUAUGAAAAAGAAAUUAGCACUUAUUUGGAAAAAAAAAGAUUGAUUGUAAUAUCUUUGCAAAAAUUACUUUUAAUUAGUACCUUAUUAAGAAAUUAUAUAUAUUCUUUUAUCAAUUUAACUUUCCAAAAAUAUAUACUUAUCUAUUUAAUGCUAAAUUAGGUUAAUAUUUUUUAAAAAGUUACAUUAAUAAUUAAUUAAUAUUGUAUGUUUUGAGGUUAUUACAUUUUUAAAUUGAGAAACGCUAAAACUAGAUAAAAAUUUUAAAGUUUAUCAUAUUUCUAUCAAAUUUUGUUAUAAUUUUAAAAUAUAUUUUAAUAAAUAUAUAGCCAAGUUUUGUUAAAAUUUAGUAAAAAUAUUAUUUUAAAUAAAUAUAACCUUUUAAUAAAAAUAGAAGUAUUUUAAAACCUAGUUUAAAUAAAUAUAACCUUGUUAUAAUAAAACUAGAAGUAAGCAAAUCAAUUGAAUUUUAGCUUGAUUGGCAUGUAUAUUGUUGUCAAUACAUGAGAACCUGGGUUUGAGUGGCUUGAAAGGUGUAGCAGUUGGUGAUGGCCACAUAUAAAAGCCAUCUAAGGCUUUACUUGCUGUAAAAACUUGGUGAAUAUCUCUGAAGAUCGCGUCAAACCAUAGAGAGGGCAUGGUGCAACAUGACACAUAUUUUACCCUUGUUCUUGCUUCCAAUGAAGGUGUGCCAUGCCAUAGAGUUUCUAUGUCGCGCUAUGAUGACAAUGUCUUGAGUUUUCAAGUUCAAAAAGGUUUUGUCUUGCCAUGAGAUUGUUAUGGGAUGACAUGGCUUCGAUUUGGCUUCUUCGAGACUUGUAAAAGGCCUUCGAUUGUUUGUACAUGCACCCUACUAAUGUCUAGCUCCUCUGUUACCAUAGAAAACUUAUUUCCUUCUAAUUCUAACAUAAAAUAACAAAUUAAAUUCCUAAUUCUAGAAAAUAAAAAACAAAAUAUAUAAUAUUUACAAAUUAAUUAAGUUCGAUGGUUUAAAAUCUACGUUGUGCUACCGGACUUGUCCAAGAAUUCCUUGAACUUCACCAUUGACUUCAUCUGUUGGUCUCGCAGAGGAGUGGAAGGCCAGGAACUGGUAGUAAUGGUUGAGCUAAUUGAGGCAGAACUAGAGAUACAACGACGAAAUUUGAAGCUCGUGCACUUGCCAUAGCUUAUGCCAAAUGAGCCAAAGAAGAGGUUACAGCUCCUAACGCCAUAGCUGGUACUUUUUCUUUCUUCGAUGUUACCGUACAUGCUUUGAUUGACCCUAGGUCAACACAUUCAUAUAUUUACACUACAUUAGUAAUCAAAAGAAAUAUGUUAGUAGAGUUGACUAAAUUUGAUGUUAGAGUAUCAAACUCGUUAGGUCAGUGUGUCAUUGUUAAUAAAAUAUGUAAAGACUGUCCACUAAGAAUUCAAGCCCGCGAGUUUCAAGCUAAUCUAAUGUUAUUGACGUUUGACAAGUUUGAUAUUAUUCUUGAUAUGGACUUGUUAAUGACCACCUAUCUCCAUCGAUCUCGCGAACAACGGGAAAGAGUAGAAAAUUGACACUCGGGAAUUAAAAUACAAUAUAAAAAUUACGACUUUACUGCAAGUGUAAUAGUUCAGUUAUAAUACUUGUAGUGUUACAAUGAAAUAUUGGAGUAUUCCAAGGAUCAAACCCAAGAGAAUCGUGGAUUGAACAAUUUUUAAAUAAACAUGUAAAAUAAAGAGUCUAACCAACUAAUUACAAAAAUUAUAUUACGGAAAAUCAUGAAAUCAAGAUAAAUUAAUCUAAUUUACUAUCUAACUAGAAAUGACUAAAUUGUAAAACAUGCAAAGUUGUAAAACUAACAAUUAAAAAACAAAUGGUGGUUGGUUGACAUUAAUAUGGUUCACUAAUCCUUGAAUUAGGUUUCUGAAUCGCUUAAACUCCCAAAAUGGCUCUAUUUUACCUCUUAGUCUUCAUUUUACUAAGUUAGACAAAUUAAUUCGGAUUAUCUCUUGAUAUCAUCGAUUAACCCGGGACUAAUGAAUUGGUUCCCAACAAGAUCUCCUCUUGGUAUCACUUGCCAAAAUAUUUCCUUAGGGUCAUCAAUCUUAAGUCCUUAAGUUCAUUCAAUUUAUUCCAAUUUGUUACAAUUUAGUCAUUCAUCCAAAAGUAAGCUCACCACAUCUCUAUCAACCAACCCUCUUCAAAGUUUAGCUACUGAUGCUGGAAAUAAAACUAACAACCAUAAAAAUGAAAAUGAAAGAAACCAUUAAAGUAAAGCUUGAGAAAAAUAUAUAAAAGUUGGGAUUUUUAUGCAAGAAAACUAAAAGGACAGGCAAAAAGAAGCACUUAACAAGAAAAUCAAAAGUAAGAAGCAUAAAAGGAACAAACUUUAACAAAAUCAAAGUAAAAGAAACUGAAAUGCAUUAAACUAAAUCUAAAAAUGUCUUACAACCAAGGUACAUGGGUUAAAAGUACAAAUAAAUCUAAGCUUUAGUGAUAACUAACUUUAAGAACAACUAAAACAAGAAGAAAAGUUGUAGGGAAAUGUAAAAUCUACAACUAAGGAAAUGAAAAUAAGAAAACCUAAGAAAAACUAAGCCUAAAAUAAGGUAAUGUGACUUCCUCUUUUCUUUUAGCAAAAUUUUGGCUGAUAUAACAUUUAUUAUGGCCCAAUUUGUGUACCCAAAAUACCCUUUAACGGGCUCUUCGAGUGGGCAAAGGCUACUUUUUUUAUCCAAUUUUGUCCCUCAUGAUAUCGGUAUCACGAUACUAAGGAAGAAGAUAUCGCGAUACCUCGAAUAAUUUUAAACUUGUGGGUCACGAUACCUAAAGUGGAUAUCGUGAUACCAAUGAAUGGUGGCAUCCAAUCUCAACUCUGUUGGAGGUAUUGUGAUUCCAAGGUUUGGAUAUCGCAAUACCCUCUCCUUUGGUGACGUUCUCGCUCAAUUUUAACAUCCAACACUUCCCUACAUCACUCAACCAUGUGUUAAGGCCCCCAAUUACACUAUUGGCCAAUUUGAGUCUCAAAAUGAGUAAAAAUAAGGCACUUAAACUUAUUAACCUAAAAUCUAAAAAUUACAAAAAAUCGUAGAAAAGACACUACUUUGCUUGAGAAUAAGCUCCUUAAGUAUACUGGGAAAGCCUAACUUGCCAUAUCAAACUAUGGUAGAUCAGUUAACUCUGCAUGAUUCUUUAGUCAAUUGUAGAUAGAAAAAAUAUUACUAAGAUGUUAGGAUGGUUAAUUGAUAAAUGUUGUGGCAAACAGAUCUGAUUGUUCAGCCAAUAUUAUUUCAACAAUAUCUGUUCGAGAACUAAUUAGAAAAGGUUCUGAAGCGUAUCUAGCCUACAUUUUAGAUACUAAAGUGUCAGAAUCAAAGUAGAACACGUUUCGAUAGUUAAAGAAAUCAUUGAUGUGUUUCUUGAAGAAUUUCUAAGGUUACUGCCCAAGAGAAAGGUUGAAUUUGUUAUUGAAGUAGCACUGGGAACUACUCUUAUCUCUAUAGCACCGUAUAGAACGACUAUUAUGGAAUUGAAAGAAUUGAAGGCUUAGUUGCAAGAAUUGUUCGACUGGGGAUUUAUUCGACUGAGCUUGUCACCUUAAGGUGAGCUAGUGUUAUUUGUGAGAAAGAAAUACGAAAAUAUGAGAUUGUGUAUCGACUAUCGGUAGCUGAAUAAAUUGAAUAUAAAGAACAAGUAUUCAUUUCCUCAUAUCAAUGAUUUAUUUGAUCAGUUGAAAGGAGCUACCAUGUUUUUGAAAAUUAAUCUCUAAUAAGGUUUUAUCAACUUAGAGUCAAAGAGCCAAAUGUGUCAAAAAUUACUUUUCAAAAUUGACACAGGCACUACGAGUUUCUAGUAAUGUCGUUUGGGCUAACCAAUGCCCCAUCUGCUUUUAUGGAUCUGAUGAACAUAAAUUUUCAUUUGUAUUUGUAUGAAUUUGUUGUGUUCAUAGAUGAUAUAUUGAUCUACUCAAAAAAUGAAAAUGAUCAUCAUCAACAUCUAACACUAUGAGUUUCUAGUAAUGUCAUUUGGACUAACCAACUCCCCAUCUACUUUUAUGGAUCUGAUGAACAUAAUUUUUAAUUUAUAUCUGGAUAGAUUUGUUGCUGUUUUCAUAGAUGAUCUAUUGAUCUACUCGAAAAAUGAAAAUGAUCAUGAUUAGCAUCUGAGAAUUUUACUACAAACCUUGCAAGAAAAAUAAUUGUUUUCAAAAUUCCACAAAUGUGAGUUCUAGCUACGAGAAGUGGGAUCUUUGUGUCACCUAAUAUUGGCUAAAGGUAUACGAGUUGAUCUAAAUAAAAUCUCAGUGAUUGUCAUCUGGAAACCUCCAAAAAAAAGUCAUAGAGGUGCAAAUUUUUUUGGGACUUGAUGAAUAUUAUCGACGGUUUGUAAAAGGCUUCUUGAUGAUAGCUUUGUCGUUAACAAAAUUGCUACAGAAGAAUGUCAACUUUAUUUGGUCAGAUAAAUGCCAAUAGAGUUUCGAAUCGUUGGAAGCAAUGUUAACAGAAGCUCUGAUUUUGACUCAAUAUGAAUCUGGAAAGGAAUUUGUUGUUCUCAGUGAUGUUUCACUUAAUGGUCUAGGUUGUGUAUUGAUGCAAGAGGGAAAAGUAAUUGUCUAUGCUUGUCGUUAGCCUAAGCCACACGAGAAGAAUUACCCUAUGCAUGAUCUAGAAUUGGUUGUAGUAGUUUUUGCCCUAAAGAUUUGGAAACAUUAUUUAUUCGAGGAGAAAUGUCAUAUCUUCACAAAUCAUAAAAGCCUAAAAUACUUAUUGACACAAAAAAAUUUGAAUAUGAGACAACGUAGAUGGCUUGAAUUACUAAAAUAUCAUGAUCUGAUUAUCGACUAUCAUCCAAGUAAAGCUAAUGUGGUAGCUGACACCCUAAGUCCGAAAUCUUUGUUUGUUUUGAAAGCAAUAAAUACUCAUUUAACUCUAAAUGUGAUGGUUCUAUUUUAGCCGAGUUGAGAGAUAAAAGUAUUUUCCUCAAAGAAUCAAGGUAUUGUAGAAUGAUGAUCUUGAGUUGCAAACGAAACAGAAACUUGUUGAAAAUGAUCAAACUUCUAAGUUCAAUGUUGAUGAUAAUGAGAAUUUCUAUAUUCACAAUCGUUUAUAUGUAUUGAAAGAUUCAGAGUUUAGAUGAGACAUUUUACACAAGGCUCACAAUAGCGCGUAAACGAUACAUUUAGGCAGUAAUAAAAUGUAUACUGACUUGAAAUAGGUAUACUAGUGGCUAAGAAUGAAAGGAGAGAUCACUGAUUAUGUGAAAAAGUGUCUGGUAUGCCAGCAAGAUAUAGUCGAAUAUCAAGCUCUAUCAAGCUUGUUACUGCUAUAAUGAUUCUGAAAUGGAAAUGAGGAUUAUUUACUAUGAGUUUCGUAUUAGGUGCCUUUGCCACCAAAAAAGAAAGAUGCGAUAUGGGUAAUAGUUGACAAAUUGACUAAAUCAACACACUUCGUUCCUAUGGGAAUUGAUUAUUCACUUGAGAAAUUAGUUGAGAUGUACAUUUCCAAGAUUAUGGCAUUACAUGACAUACCAUUUUCUGUCAUAUCAUAUCGAGAUCUCAGAUUUUCCUCCAGAUUUUAAGGUAAAUUACACGAAGGUCUGGGCACGAAACUAAAUUUCAGUACAACAUUCCAUCCUCAAAUUGGCAGACAACCAGAAUGGGUUAUUCAAAUACUUGAAGACAUGUUGUGAUGUGUCAUUUAAUGUGAAGUUAGUUGGGAGAAAUUUCUAUUGUUAGUUGAGUUUGCGUAUAAUAACAACAGCUAUCAAUCGAGUAUCAAAAUUGCACCAUACGAAACAUUAUACAAACGUAAAUACAGAACUCCUCUAUGAUGAUAAGAGUUGGGAAAAAGAAAGCUGGCAGGGACAGAUUUAAUUCGUGAAACCAAAGGAAAAGUUUGAGUUAUACGAGAUUAUUUGAAAGGUGCCUUAGAUCAAUAGAAAUAUUCUGCUGAUUUAAAAAGAAAAUACAAUGAAUUUCAAAUCUGUGAUAAUGUAUUUUUGAAAGUUUCACCUUGGAAGAAAGUUCUGCAUUUCGGUAGAAAAAGAAAGCUCAACUUGAGAUUUAUAGAACUAUAUAAGAUUCUUGAAAAGAUUGGUUCAAUAGCCUAUUGAUUAGCUCAGCCUCUGAAACUUGAAAAUAUUCACAGCAUUUUUCAUGUGUCACUAUUACGUCGAUAUAAAAUCUAUCAUUCUUACAUGAUAUCUCCUGAUGAAUAGAAUUACAACCAGAUUUGACGUAUAGUGAAGAACCAGUAAAGAUUGUAGCAUGGGAAGUAAAAAAGUUAAGAAACAAACGAGUGACUUUAGUGAAAGUGAUGUGAUAUAGACAUGGUACAUAAGAAGCUACAUGGGAUCCAGAAGAAACAAUGAGAUCUCAAUACUCACAUCUUUUCUCAGGUAAAUUUUGAGGACAAAAUUUCGUAAGGAAGGGAGAGUUGUAACAACCCGAUUUUCAAUGGUGUCGAAAAUAACAGUUUGGGAACCCCAUUUCUGUAGUCUGAGUUUGUAAAUAUUAAAGUUUGGUCCAUAAAUUUUGUUGAAUUGAUAGUUAAUUAAGGUACAUGGACUAAAUUGUAAAAGUUAAUCACUAUAGGUUUUUAAAUGACUGAAGGAAUACAUGAGCAAUUGAACCAUUUUAAUUGCUUCAAAUGGUGGUGGAUGUUAGUGAAAAUUCAAUAAUUUGGUUAAUCUUGAUUAAGAUUAAUUAAUUAUAGUUUAAAUUAAUUAAUUAUGGUUAAUUAAGUUAUAAUUAAAGUAUAUAAACAAAAACUAAAGAAAAACAAAUGACAUUUUCUUCUAUUCAUCUUAACUAAUUCUAAAAUAAUAAAAUAGGGUUUAAAGUUUUCAAAAUUUUGGCAACGAAUUGGUAUGUUCAAUUAAGUCAUUUUCUUGUAAUUGUUAUGUUUUUGAGGUAAUGAGAGCUUGAUUUAGUUAGCCCAUGUACCAAUUUUCAAAAAUUUUAAAGUUUGUGAAAGUUUCCAUUGAUGAAUUUUUAAAGAAAUUGGUGUUAAAUUGAUAUAUUUUAAGCUUAGAAGUGAAAAAGGACUAGAUUAUAAACUUUAAUUGUUAGUUUUGUUCAAAGGGUCUAACAUGUAUAAAUUUUGAAUUUUAUAUAAAAUUUCUAUAAUAAUAGAUAAUAGAGGGUCAUAGAAGGAUGUGAUUGAAAUCGAUUUCAAAAUUGAAGCUCAAAAUUGAAAGUUAUAGCAAUUUCGGUUUUACGGAAUAAAUUAAAUAAAAUGCAAAACUUUAAGGGCAUUUGGAAAAUGAUGUUGAACUGAUUCAUACAUAUAAUAGGAUGUUAUAAAAUGUUUAGACUUGAUAAAUUGAACCAAAUUAUUGUAUAGAUCGAGAAUUGAACCUAACAGAAGAUAAUAAGGAAAAGGCAAAAUUAUUGAUUAGUCCUUAAAUACUUGUUCGUUUUUUGUUUUUCCAGGUAAGUUCAUAUGAAACUUUCUAUUUUAUUUCAUGUUAUGAUUGAAUUGUAUUUAUUUUGCUUAUUAGUUUGGAUAAAUGUGAUUUGGUGAUUUUUGGCAUCAAUUGGACAAAAUUUCAAAGUAUGAAAAAUAUGAUAUUUAUGAGUAUGUACAAGGUACCAAAAUGGAAAUGAAAUGUUUAUAAGAUUGGUAUAACAUGUAUAUGUUGUUAUAGGGAUUAAAAUGAUAUGAUUACAGUAACAAUACCCGUGUGAACUUAGGAAAUGGUUAGGAUAUGUGUGGCAUAUUGUUAGGGUCAAAUAUGAAAACAAUUAGGGAUUUACAUGGUUAUAUGACAUCUAGCAUUUGUUACGGAUUCUCAAUCUAUAUGUAUCAUUGGUUUAGCCUAGACUGGUAACCUCAAUACGAUGUCAACUUGUGUGAGCAAAUUUAUAAAUAUCAACUUGUGUGAGCAAUGUCAGCUUGUGUGAGCAAUAUAGUCUCAUGUAUCCAAGUUCGAUUUACUAAGGUUCUUUCGGGAGAAAAUGUAACUUAAUGGAAAUGGAAUUAUUGGAAUGGAUUGAAUAUGAAUUGAACUAUAUAUAUGUUGCCUAUUUGAAUAUGAUUUCUUUUUAAUGAUCAUGAUAUGCAAAGUUAUGAACUAAUUGAUUUAUGAUGUAUAUACAUGAUGUUGUUUGAUAGUUAUCUUAACAUAGGCUAAAGGAUGCCAAAUUGAUUGUUAGGUGUUAAAUAUUUACUUAUUUAAAUUGUCAAGGUAAGUUAAGUAAAUUUUAUAUUGACUUACUAAACGCUCAAUAUGCUUACUCUAUUGCCUUCCUUUUCCUUAUAGAUUGCCAACUUGUGGAACGUGUCAAGCGGAUCACCGAGAAGCUCACACUAUCUCAUUAUUUGUUUGGUAGUUUUUCUAUUGUUUUAGAACUUGAUUUUUUGGCAUGUAUAUAGGUGUUAUGUAUUUUUUAAUCUUGAAUGAUGACAUAGCUUGAAAUUUUAUGCAUAACUAUGAAUAAUGGUAAUGCUUAUUGAGAUGGUAUGCUUUUGGCAAAUGGUUUGAUCUAUGUUUAUGAAAAUUGAAAUGUAUUGUUGAUAUGAAUUUAUAGUAAUAAAGAUGAUAUUUGGCUAAUGGUUUAAUAUGUAUAUCUUGAUAAAGGAAUGAUAUGUCUAAAGGUUGUUUAGAUGUUAUAAAGUGAUGUGAGGGUGAAUGUGGUUAUGUGUACUUGUUCCGGCAUGUGUAGGGAAUGUUUGAAUGUAGGAAAACUAGCCAAUUAAGCUCAAAAUGUGAAGGUUAUAUGGUAAUUUUGAAAUAAAUACCAAAUGGCUCAAAUUUUACCAAAAAUAGAGUCGACGUCCUGACGAGCAAUCUUCCUCAUUGUAAUAUGGAUCGACAGUGAGUUGCGUUGUAAUAUCGAGUGGCUUGAGGUCACGAUGUGAUAAAUUGUUUGGCUACGUCACGAUGUGGAAGAAGUGACAUCACGACAUCGGUCUUGAGAUUUUGAAACUUUGCAAUUUGGUCAUAUUUCGUGCUUGGGUCAACAAAAAAGCUUUCGUGAGCUUAAUUAAGAUUCAGAUUUGCUUGUGUAUCAUAAUGUAAAUGUGUUUAACAUAUAAUUGUAUGUUUGAAUGAUUGCUUUACUGUGUAAUUAACUGUAUUUGCUCCGACAACGAAUAUUGCAUCUUGUAGCUCGGACUCGAUGAUUAGGUCGGGUGAGGAGUGUUACAGAUCUCCACUAUAGCGAUCCGACAUUUUAAUUAUGUAACAUCCCGAUUUUGACCCUAUUCGCAACGGUGGUUUCGGGACCACGAAUCUAAGUCAGAAAAAUAUUUUAAAAUUAUUUUUUGGGUUUUUACUGUGUGAAUUUAUGUCUGUUAAAUUUUUGUUUAAAAAUUUCAUCGUUUGGAUGCCCGAUUAAAUAAAAGAAUUAAAUCGCAUAAAAUGUAAAAAUGGCUUUCUAAUUGUUAAAGGUGUUUAAUGGCUAUUAAAUGAAAAUGCGGGGCACUUGCAUGUCAAUUAUACCAUUUAUAUUAGUGGCGGACAAUACUGGACAAGGUUAGGUGAAUUUUAUAUUAUGUUAAUAAGGUUAAAAUGGUAAAAAGUAUAAUAAUAUGUAAUUAAAUAAAAACAAACAUAAAAUAGCCAUGCAAUUGUGUUCAUCUUAGCCGAAUGUUGAAAGAAAAAGAAAAGAAAAGAGAGUUAUUAGGUCCGGCCUUAUCUAAGUUCAAUUAAGGUAUGUAAUUAGCUCGGUUUUUGAUAAUUUUUACAUUUUUGAGAUCGUUGUUAUGUAAACUAGCAAGCCCAUGUUUCAAUUUUUGAAUUUGAUAAUUAUUUUUUGUUUUGCAAUUGUUGAAAGCUUGAUGAAUCUUGUGUUUGAUGAUAGAAAAUAAAUAAAUAUAUGUUGUUAGAUUAAUAUGUUUUGUAUUUGAAUUUUUGGCGAAUUUGAGUAAUUUAGGUUAAAUUGUGAAAAUAAUAAAUUGAGGGACUAAAAUGUGAAAUAAAUGAAAUGUGAGGACUUAUAUAAGUUUAAUGAAUAUUCGGCCAAGUAUGGUGUGAUGAAAUUUUGUUUAUUUUGUAUUUUGUGAAAUAGGGACUAAUUUGUGAAAAUAUGAAAUGUUAGGGGAAAAGUGUAAUUUGCCUAUAUAUGUGUUUUUGGAUGAAUUUAAUUGAAUAUGUGAUUAAAUAAGUUUAAAUGUUACUAAUUUAAAAGAAAAGGGGAAAACGGAAUUGGAUCGGGAGAAAUCUAAAGUUGUUGAAUAGUAGUCCCGGUUCGUUUGUCUUCGUUCGAGGUAAGUCUAUAAGCACAUAAAUGUUGUUAACUUUAAAUAUUUGUGAAUCUGAAAUGUUGAAUUGAAUUUAUGUGCAUAUAAAUAUGAAAUAGCCGAAUGUAUAUGUAUAUGGAAACAAUAUGUAUAAGUUUGAUUCAACUGAAAUACGACGUAUGAAAGUCCUGUACGAACCAAAGGAAUUUUGAUAAGUGUUUUCGAGUAAGACCCUGUGACCCUAUGUGGGACAGUGGCAAUCGGUUUGUAAUUGCAAAUAAGACCUAGUGUAGGACAGUGGCAUCACUACGUGAAUACAUGUAAGACCACGUGUGGGACGUUGGCAUUGUACGAUAAAUGUGAUUAUUCAAGCACUCUAUUUAAUUCCGAAUGAUUCAAUGGGAAAUGAUAAGUUGUGAUCAAAUAUGUUAAACGAGCUAAAAUAUGAUCAGGUAUGUGAUAGUGGUUUACCUAAUUGGUAAUAAUGUAAAUUUGCUUUAUUAAUAUGUGAUAAAAAAUAUUCAUGAUACUAUUGAAAAUGUAUGUGUUUAUGAGAAGUAUAUUUGGCCUUAUGAUAUGUAUAAAUAUGUGAGAUUAAGCUUGAUUAAUGAGUAUAGGUAAAUGAAGGCAUUUGUAUAUUCGGAUAUAUAUAUAUGAUAGUAUGACUUUGAGAAUUUGAUGAUAAAUUGAUAAAGUAUAUAGGUAUAUUGGACAAGUUAAAGUUUACAUAUGAAUGAAAUAUGUGAGUUAUGAAACUAUAAGCUUGAAUUUAAAUGUGAUUAAAAUAGUAUAAAUUGGUUUGGUUAAUUAAAUUUGUUUAUGUUAUUGAAGUGUUUAUUUGCUUAUGAUUUACUAAGCUAUGGUAGCUUACUAUGUGUAUAUGGUUUGCCUAUGUAUUAUAGAUUUUGGAAGCUAGUUACGGGAUCGGGGAUCUUAAGCGAAGUCUAUCACACUAUCGUUUGCUUAUCGGUACUAUAAAAAGUUAAAUUUCGAAGCUAUGACAUGUAUAGGCAAUACUACAUUUUGGAUUUAUGUUUGAAUGUUGUGUAUAUAAUAUGCCAUGCGAAAAUGGCUUAUUAUUUUGAUGUGUGGAUUAUAAUGUUUAAGUUAUGAUAGUUUAGUAUUGGUAAGCAUGCUUGAAGUGUUUAAUGUAAUUGUCAAUGACUUUGAAUUAUUCGGUCAUGGUCUAUAUUAAUGAUAUGUGUAUGAUAUGUUUUGGAAAUCCUUAAGAUUUAUUUUGUUGACUUAGUUGAUGUUCAUUUUGAUAAGAGUAUUAAAUGACAUAAGUGAAUAUAAGGUAAUAAAUAAAUGUGUUGUAAUAAAUGAUUUGGAUAAAUAAUUUAUGUGUGGUGGUUAUGAGCUAGUUGUGAUUCGGCAUAGGUACUUAUGAGUUUGAUAAAUGGUUUGUUAGUUGGUUCGUGUUUAGCAUGGUUAAAUAAAAUAUAAAUUGAUUGAAAUGUAGUAUUUGAAUUUAAAAAUUUAAUAGAAGGAAUUGAUAAAAAUUUUGGUUAUAUGUUUAAUUAUGUAAUAGUCGAAUAUGAAAUCAUUGAAUUAGUCUUGUAUAUGACCUUUGUUUUAUAGUUCAUGAUAGGUAAUGUUAUCAUGUAUGGAUUCGAUUUUGGCUAGUUAAAGUGUUAAUCAACAUGGCUGUUUUGUAUUAUGCUUAUAUGUACAUUUGUGAUGAGUUAAUGAGAAAGGCAAAUUAUGUUUGAUAAAUGGGUUUGGUUCUUUAAAAUGCUUUGGCUUGUUAAAUGUUUGAGUUAAGUUGAUAGUGGACAUUGUUAAAGCAUAAAUAUUAAAUACACUUGCAUUUGGCUCAAGCUUUGGGAAAAUUACCAAAUGAAUAGUAACAUAUGUUAAUUAUUGAUAAUGAGUAAUUUGAGUACAUGCUUAUAUUCGGUCAAAUAGUAUGAUAUUAUGGUGAUGUGUUUGAUUUAUUAUUUAAUGACAUGUAAUGUUUUUAUUUAGUAUUAUUAUUUUUGCAAGCAAGUUAAGGAAAUUGGUAAUUAUGUUUUGAGGUAUUAAUAUAUACAAUGAGUAAUGCUAUUUAAUAGACCAUGUUUUCUAUCAUCUUUGCCGCUUAUACUAUUAAUCAAUGUGUUUUGAUAUAUGCUAUAUUAGAUGGUAAUAGAUGCAUGAUUAUAAUGUAAUAUUCAAAUUUUAUAAGGUGAUUAGUGAAAUGUAUGAAAGAUGUGUAUUGUCCGGUAAUGCCUCGUAACUCAUUCCGGCGACGGAUACGGGUUAGGGGUGUUACAAAUUAUCAGUACAUUAGAAUAAGAUGUUUGCUUUAGUGAGACCAAUAUUUCAAUUAUAUUAUUAUUUUUAAUUAAAAAUCUUUAGAUUAAGUUAGGCUUGAAUCCAUAUUUUUCUUUUAAAUAGGCAUGUGGCCUGUUUUGUAACUUUGAACAACUUUGAAUUUGGAUUAAAAUCCAUUUGAGAGGAUUUGAUCAACUUCGCCUUUGAUGAAUUUAGCAAUUCCAGAGGUGAAAUGUUGUGAAUUUUGAUUUGCUUCUUGAUUCUUUAUAAUUAAGGGGUCAAUAUUCGUCCUAAUUAACAGUAUCGGUUCCUACUUGUUUAUAAACGAGUCAAUGGCCCAUGUUAUUGAAAACUUUUUCGAGGAUUUUGUUUCCAUUCAUGGUUGCUUGGUUUCAGAUCAACAUUUGAUCUCCAAUUUUAGUUAUAAUUGCAUAUAGCUUUCUCAUAUGAUCUCCAAUUUCAAUUAAUUCUUUUGAGGUGGCGAGUUGGAUUGACAUCUUCUUUGUGUGUUGAGUUGGACUAAGUACAAAGAUAAGUUAGGAGACAUUUGAGCACACUUUUUAAUAUUUAAACUAAUCUAAUAUUAAUAUUUUCAGUCAUACUCAUGUUUGAUAAUCUAUAAUAAAAGAAAUGAUUGUACAAUUUAUUUCAAUUAUUUUGUAACAUGCAAAUUCUAUGGACGAAGUUGUGGCUCUUCCUAAUCGACCCAUCACAAGAAGCAAAGCAUGACAAACUAGAUUCAUUCAUUCAACAAUUUAUUUCCAACAAAGGAAUUCCAUCAACAUUAUGAUGUCGUACAAAGCUAUUUCUCUAACAUAAAUUUAAGCAUUUUGAAUAAAUUUCCAAAGUGUGAGGAAAAUUGUAAUAAAUUUUAUCUUAGAUAAAUAAACUUUUUUUUAAAACUAGUUUUAUUUAGCUAUUAUCCUUUUAUUUAUCUUACAUAAUUAUGUUUUUUUUUUAAUUUAAACUAGUCUUAUUUAGUUUUUUUAUUUAUCUUAGAUACUCUUUUUUUAAUAACCUAGUUUUAUUUAGAUUUUUUUAGCUAAUUAGACUUUUUUUAAAAUUUAAACGAGUUUAUCUUUGUAUUUCAAAUGCUACGUGCUAGCCUAUAGAUGGGAGCCUUGGACCAUAUUAUUUGAAUCAGGUCGGAUCAUCCAGUCAGAUUGGGAAUCAAAAAUCAUUUGGGAUACUAGUUUGAAUAACUUUGGAUUUCACAUUAAUAUUAUCCUUUAAAUACUUAAUCUUCAAAUUUUGAUUUAUCAAAUAGUCUAAUUAUAUUUUUUAUUUAAUUUUAAGUAAUAUACCAAAUAUAUUUUAUAGCUUAAAUUCAAUAAUUAAUUUUCAACAUUUAAGUUUUCAAUUUAUCAAACAACACAUAAGUAUAAUGCUUUUUUUAGGGGCGGAUAAAAGCAACGAGCUUAAUAUAAAAGCACGAGUUUAGAGAAAAUUUUAGAUCGACCAUUAUGACCUUUUUUGUUCAUUAUAUUACUGAAUUUACCAUUUAAAUUAUUUUUAUUAUUUAUGAGAUUUAUCACAUUUAUAAAUUAAAAUUUUGAUUUUAAUAAAAUAUUUGGUUAAUAAAUUUACUUGAGAAAAUAAUUUAUCAUACUUAUAAAUAAGAAUUUGUUAUUUAUUAAAAGACUUUUAUUAUUAUAUUGAAUUACUUUGUAUUUAAAGUAUAUUGAAUUAAUAAUUAUAUAUUUUUUACAAAGUAUUAUGUUGAAUUUAUUGACUAUUAAGAAAAUAAAAAUUAAAUAGUGAAAAGUUUAAUUUACAAAUGCUUUAAUAAUUACUAGUAUUUUUUUUAUUAGCACUAGAUUUUAAUUAUCAAAAUAAGUGAUAUAUUUUAAUUAUUUUUCUUAGUUAUGUUUUGAAUAAUGUUGCUUUGCAUUAAUUAUAUGAAGUAAAACUAUAUUGUACAUUGAAUAAGGUACAAAUGUUUUAAUUAUUAUUUUGAAUUGUUUUUAAAAAUUAUUGACCUCUUUAGAGACGACAUUGUUAGGAGGGGUAACCACGGACUUCAAACAUAGAUCGUAAAACGAAUAUAGAGAAUACUAAAAGAACAUAUUGAUUUACUGUAUAUAAUUUUUUUAAUAUGGUAUAAAUAUUUUAAUUAUGAUUUGAAAUUUGUCUUACUAUAUUUCAAUUGUUAAAUAGGUUAAUAUAUUUUAAUUAUGUUCAAUAAUUCAAAUAAAAAAUUUAAAAAAAAAACUAAUUACAAUAGCUAAAAUACAUUGUUUAAAAAAUAAAUUUAAAAAUUAAACGAGAAAAUUUAAAUGUAACACUAGAAACUAGUAAUUUUUCAUUCAUAAUCAAAUACAUUUAUUAUAACUUUGCUUUGAUAGCAUGUCUUUAAGUUUACUUUGAUAGCAUGUUUUCUUAGUUUCCUGGUUUUUUUCUUUCUUUUUACAUUGGGCAAUUUUCUAAUCAGAACUGAGAUUUUGUGUAGUUAAUUGAUACGAUGGAGAGCGAGAUGGCGACACUUUCCAUUGAGGACGGAGAAGAGGAGCCACGACAAUUCAAUUUGGGAGAUGAUGGUACUGAGGCCAUUUUAUAUUUCUAUGUGGUGGGUAGUUUUCUUAUUGCGAGUGUCAUUCAGUUUCAAGCCAUGCGAACCACAUUGGUUAAUUUGUGGCACCCUCUUGGGGAGUAACGAUCACAAAUCUAAGCAAAAAGAGAUUUUUUAUUAUUAUUUUGUUUUAUUAUGAGAUUGAUCUUAGCAAAGUCUAGGAGGGGAGCCCAUGGACGUUCAAUAAUCAUCUAUUGAUUUUCAUAGAUUAAAGCACGUGGAAGAUCCGCUACAAGUUCCCAUGGACGUUCAAUAAUCAUCUAUUGAUUUUCAUAGAUUAAAGCACGUGGAAGAUCCGCUACAAGUUCCUUUAUUCCAUGUAGAUUACUAGGUCUAGAUACAUGAUAUAUUGGUCAGUUUAAUGUCCAAAGGUAUGGUAAAACAGUUUGGGGAUUUUAUUGGUUAGUUUCUAGACUACGAUGCGAAGUCUAUAAGUAGGGGAUUUCGGGGAUAUAUGAGAACUCGCGUUAGGAUCAAUAUCCCGGGUCCAUUGAAACGCAGGAAAAAACUGUUCUAUCCCAGAAAAUUAUGUAUCUGCUCAUUUCCAGUAUGAUAGAUUAACUAUUUUUUACUUUUUGUGUGGGCGGUUAGGUCAUGUGGAAGGUUUUUGUCCAGUCAGAAUUAUUCAUGGGGAGAAAGAAUUGCCACUAUAAUGGGACAUUUCGCUAAAGGUCAUACUUAGAAGAUCAAUGGUGUCCAAGAGUUAUUGGUUACGUGAGGAGGGUGAUGUUUCUUUCUCAGUUAUUAUGGGAACUUUUUCUGAUAAGGCAAAGUCAGUUACUAAAGAUGAUAUUCAUGGAUUGUUUCGAAAUCCUGAUUUCCUUAAUCAUGUUGGAGCUAAUUUAGGCAUAAAUCUGGGAAGUAAAAAAUCGGGAGAUAUUGGGGAAAUUGGGAGUGUUGAUUUGAAUAUGGGCCCGAGUGGUGAGGACAGCCUAAUGGAUAUUGGUGAGGAUAAGAAACGUCAUCAUAUUACACCAUCUUCUUUUAUUUCUGAUGCUUAGGGUUCAGGGAAGACUUUUACUAAACAGACAAAUGUUCAAUUAUUUGAGAUAUCGAUUUGCUCUGCGAGGUAGGGCAGUCGAAAGUAAUAAAACUCCUAAUUUGAAAUGUUCGAGGGCUAAGGCACCCUCGGGAUAUUUAACACCUUCGGUAUAUGUUGACGGAGACUAACACCAUUGAAACUUUUUUAUUGAAACAAAGCUACAGAGUUUGAGAAUGGAAAAGGUUAGGCAAAGUUAGGGCUUUGUGAAUGAGAUAAAAGUUAGUAGCGAUGCUACUAGAGAUGGUCUAUCAUUAUGCUGGAAAUAGGGUUGUAAGAUUUCACUUCGCAGCUUUUUAAUGAGUCAUAUUGAUGUCAUGGUAAAAGAUGAAUCGGAGGGUAAUAGUUAGAGGUUUACGGGGUUCUAGGGGCAUCCUAAGGGAAAUCUUCGCAAUCAAUAUUGGGAGUUGGUUCAAGAUUUAUCUGGAAGAAAUAAUUUUCUAUGGCUUGUUAUGGGGGACUUUAAUGAAAUAGCUUACUCCUAUGAGAAGCAAUGAGGUAGGUUAAGAAGUGAAAGGAGUAUAGAGGCCUUCCACUUAGCACUUGAUGAAUGUGAACUCUCGGACUUGGGCUAUAAAGGUUAGUGGUUUACAUGGGAGCGUGGAAAGCUUCCUCGUGCUAAUAUUCAAGAAAGACUUCAUAGGGUGUGGUGAACCUGGUGUGGUGCGAAAUGUUCCCUAAUUUUAUAGUGCAGCAUUGUGUGCAUACUAUUUCUGAACAUUGUCCUUUUUUACUCAAUAUUGGUUGUAUCAACAGUUUGCAUGAGGCUAGGGAGUAGAGUUUUAAUUUGAAGCGACUUAGAUUGUAGAAGACUCAUUUAAAGGGGAGGUUAGAAGGCCCUGGUCGAUGUCGAAAGGUACUGUUCUCGAACGUAUUAAAUUUGUUGGCCAUGGUUUGACGGUUUGGGCCAAGAAUUUGCGACGUUCUUCGAAGCUGGUUUUUAGUAAUUUAUAGAAGCGAGUGGAUGAAUUGAAUAUGACAGACCUGGAUGAUAAUAUUUUGAAGAAAUUGAUUGUAACCAAGAUGCAUUUAAAUAUAGAGAUUGGCAAGGAUAAAAGUAACUAGGAGCAAUGGGCGAGGGCCAAUUGGUUGUGUAAUGGGGCUUGUAGCACGACUUAUUUUCAUAAAUUUGUUUCCCAGCACAAACAAAUAAAAAUGAUUGAUUAUAUUGAAAGUCUCAACGGGCUAGGUGUUACGGAUGACAAUGGAAUUGAACAAGUUUUUUGUCAUUAUUUCAUUGAUCUCUUUACUUCGCAUGAGCAAAGAGAUGCAAGUCAAAUCCUAUUGGGCAUUUCUUGUCAUGUUAUUGAUGCCAUGAAUAGCUUCCUUCGGUCAAAGUUAAAAGAAGACAAGAUUUUGGCAGCCCUUAAUAGUAUUUAUUCCAAAGCAGGCUAAUCCCCGUAAUAUGACCCAUUUUUGGCUAAUUAGUUUGUGUAAUUUAUUGUUUAAAAUUAUUUCCAAGGCCAUUGUAAACAUAUUACAGGUGAUUAUUCCCCAUUGUAUAGAUGAGUCAUAUAGUGCUAUUGUGACUGGGAGGCUGAUUACAUAUAAUAUACUGGUGUCUUUUGAGUUACUGCAUUCUUUCAAGAAAAGAAGAGUCGGUCAAAGGGGUUCAUUUACGCUUAAGCUCAAUAUGAGUAAAGCAUAUGAUCAAGUUGAAUGGCACCUGGUCGAGGAGAUUAUGUUUAAGAUGGGUUUCACAGUUGAUUGGGUCACGUUAAUUAUGAGAUGUGUUAAAUUAGUUAGCUACUCUGUGGUGUUGAAUGAUGAAGCUAAGGGGAAUAUCUCCUCUUAGAAAGGACUAGGCAAUGAGACCCUUUGGGCUCUUUCUUCUUUCUAUUUUGCAAUGAAGGGCUCUCGUCCUUAUUGAGGUUGGCUUGUCAAGAUGGUAUGUGUUGGAUCUGGAGUCCUAAGUGUAAUAUUUUCAUCUAAGUAUACUUGUAAAUUUUUGAACAUAUUGGUUAAUAAAAUUAUUCAUAAAUUAUAUUAAAACUUUAUAUAUUGUCCUCACAUGAUUUUUGCAUGCAAAGCAAAAUGGAAGUAAAUGUUGCUCAUUAGUUGUCUAAUGUUUAACUAAUAUUAAGCGGCAUUAUGUGGUAGGAUCAUAAUACAAAAAGACAACUUAUAUUAGUAGACAAAUCUAAACAUGUCCUUAGUCUAAUCGAAAAUGAGCAAACCGAUGGAAAGACUAAUAUGUCAUCUAUCAAGUCCAAUUGGGGAGAUGUUUUAUCUUGGGCACCGGAGCAGGUGACUCCCAGAAGAUAAAGACAUAGAUGUGACUGACUGGACUGAUAGUAUAUCAGAUUGGACCCAAGAACAACAGAUCCUGAAUCUGUUUAUGGAUUUAUUCACUUGUGACAUUCAUAGUGUGGCAUACCUAAAUCCUAAGUGGAUGGCGGACUAUGUAUUCAUGACUAUACACUUUGAUGUAAGUAAAAGCCUGAGUUCGAAUAGAUAAGGAACAAAAAUUUGGUGCGUUGGGUGUACGACUUCUACAACAUGUAACAUCAUUCACAACAGUGAAAUUCAUAGCUUGAGACAUGGGUAAAUGAUAUCCUCUUAUUGGCAUUACAUGGUUGAUGAAAAGUAAAUGUGGUCACGGGUCAUUCAUCUUUGUGAUGAAUGACUUGAUUACUAUUUAAUAGUAAUUGACUUUUUAUGAAGGAAUAUGUAAUAGUUACUAUGAGUUAAAUAGAAUAAUAUUGGGAAAGCAGAUAUAAUCCCAAAAAGAUUAAGGAUAUCCUAUAAGGGUAACACAUAUAUGACAGGGCCAUUAGACGAGCACUAAUCGAGUUGUUUUCGUAAUGGUAUACUGUUGGGAGAGCUCAGUUAUGAAACUAUAGUGGAAUGACUUUGUGACUAAAUGAUUUUAUAAUUAAUAGGAGAGAAGUUAGAACUUAAUUAUAAAUCAUUUGAGCUUUAAUUGCAUAUGUCAAAUCGGUCUCUCCGUUAACUUGUUGAAACUAGAAAUGAAUUGCGUGUUUGAAUUGAAAUGAACGCAAUUAAUAGAAAUAAAGAAAUUGAAAACAUUCAGAAAUGGUUAUGGUUUUCUUUGAAAUGGAAAAAUGGAAUCAUUUAGAAAUGAAUGUGGUUUUCUCACAAUGGAAAUGGAAUUGGAAAUGAGAGAUGAUUCAUUUGCAAAUAUACAUGGAUUACUCAGAAAUGAUCAGAAGAAUGAAUUUAUGUUUUUGAGCUAUUUUAGAGUCUGAAAAUGAAAACAAACCAUUAAGUCAUAGAGAACUAGUUGAAUUAUAAAAUAGUAAAUAUAUUUUCUUAGAAAUUUUACCAAGGGUAAAGUCGUCAUAAUUUUACUAGGGGUAAAGUUGGGAUAAGAAAAUUACUUAAUAUAAAAUAUUAAAGUUUAUUUUUGAAAAUAGAAAAAUAGAAUCGAAUUGGAUCAAAUUACAAAGUACUUGGUCGAAAAGUCCAAUAAGUACUCGUAAUGGGACCCGAUGUGAGAGAGGCCCAAAAUCCCCUCAUGGAACAUGUAGGGGGCGGUAACCCUAAUAGGAAUAUUAGGGGAUGUCAUCCACCCUACUCCUAUUCUAAGUAGGAAAUUUUUUAUUUAUUUGAAAUAAACAUCUCUAAUUCAAAAAUGGUUUUAUCUUCUCUCUCUAUAAAUAGAUGGCACCGGUAUGGCUAUUAAACAAAACUUUAAGAUAUUGUUACUCUACCGAAAAAUAGAGAAAAUUACUCUUAACUAUUAAAUUUAUUUUUUCGGAAUAACAAUUUUGUCGGUUUCCAUUUUAAAAGAGAUUUUUCCUUUUCACACUAAAGAGAAAAUAAAACUUUUUCUAGUUCUGUAUUUUGAUUCAACUGGUUCAAGCCCACACUCGAAGCAGUUCAUGGUACGAGAAUAGCGAAGAAGAUUGUUUGGUUGAAAGUCGAAAAUGGCAAGGAUCUAUCUAUCUAGAAACACAAGUACAAUUUUGGUCUAGGGUUUAUUGCUAUAAAUAUCACAAAUCGGGUUGGUUCUUCAAAAUUUUAAUUUUACACUAUGCAAGAAAAUCAUUUUCAAACUAAAUUUUUUCCAACAAUAUUUAGAAAGGGGUUAAAGUUAGCAUAUCUUGACCAACAGUGUCCCACUUAUUUUUUGCAAAUGAUAGUUUGAUUUUUGGGGAGGCGACAACAAAUGGUGUGGAGAGUGUUAAGAACAUCUUUAUUGAGAAUGAAGAAUGCUUGGGACAGUUGAUUAAUUUUAGUAAGUCCCUUAUUUAUUUUAGCUUAAAUGUAAAAGUGAAAGAUCGGGAGUUGGUCACUCAGGCUCUAGCGGUACGAAAUUCUUUAGAUCUUGAGAAAUAUUUAAGUCUUCCUAUUACAGUAGGUCGAAACAAGAAGAGAGUUUUUCAAAGUAUCAAGGAUAAGAUCCAAGAACAAAUUAAUGGGUGUUUGCAAUCGAACCCUUUCGUAAGGUGGCAAGGAGGUAUUCAUAAAGUCGAUAUUACAGGCUAUUCUCAUGUAUACAAUGUCCUAUUUCUUACUAUCGGGUUUUUUUUGUAAGGAGCAAAAAUUGAUUAUGUGUCGGUAUUGGUGGCAAAAAUCGCAGUCACAAUGGGGAAUACAUUAGUGUUCAUUGAGGGAUUAGUGUGACUUGAAGGAGGUUGGAGGCAUGGGUUUCCAUAAUUUUUCUAAAUUUAAUAUCGCACUAUUAGCUAAACAAGAGUAGCGUUUACUUUGUAACCCCACUUUAUUAGUGGCUCGAGUGCUGAAAGCUAAAUAUUUUGCAAAUAGAGAUUUUUUAAUAACUGAGCUAGGAAGUCAAUCUUCAGCGAUUUGGCUGAGUAUAUGGGCAGCAAGGAUCCUUCUUGAGAAAGGGAUCAUCUAGCAAGUUGAAAGUGGGAGACUCAUCUCCGGUUGGGAUAUGUAUGGGCUCCCAAGAGACAAACCCUACAAAGUAUAAUUAACUCGAAUGAGUGGAAUUGAGUGGGUAGCAAAUUUGAUUGAUGAUCAAACCUAGAAAUGGAAUGAGGAUUGGAUAUUGACCUCAUUUAAUAUUCAGGAGGCAAGGAAAUUUCUGAGCAUUCCACUAGUGCAACAUUAGACAACAGAGAUGGUGCCUUGAAAGCUCAUGUGCGUACACGGUUCACAAUGGAUACAAACUAUUACUUAGAGGCUUUCUUAAGACUGAUGAUGACACAUAAAAAUUUAUAGGCCUAUAUAUUCGAAGCUUUUACAUUUAGAUUUGGCAAACAUAUGUGCUGGAUAAGAUGAAAAUUACAGUAUGGCGAUUCAUGAACAAUUUUAUGCCUACUAUUGGAAAUCAUCCAUAUUUAUAGAAAGUCAAAGAUAUAGGUAUCAGAAAGAUAGGGGUAUCAAAAUCUGGGAUUUAAGGCACCAAAAGUGGGAUUGAAAUUUGGCAUAAGAUAAUUGCAAUUUUGAUCCCUGACCUCAACUAUAAAUAGGCCUAACCAUUUCUCUUCUUCAUCAUCCCAAAUUUUCCAUUCUCUACUUAAGGCAUUGUUUUCUCUCUAUCCCUCUUUGUAAAUUCUCACUUUUAUUUUGGAGCGAAAUAUAUUUGGUAGUGCCCGAUGACGUAGGAAAAAUUUGUUGAACCUCGUUAAAUUCUUGUGUUCUUUAUUGUAUUAUUCUGCAUGAAUUGUGAGUGUGAUUGUAGUGAUUUAUUGCGCUAUUAAAUUACAAUUGAGGGAUAUCCUGGCUAGGAAAGACCUGGUACUUAAGCGAUCCUUGUGGUCCACCUCUCUUUCCUAGGAAUUGAACUUAGUGUGAUUUUUUAGUACAAUAAUUUUACUCUUUUACACGCUUUCGUACAAUAAUUGGUAUUAGAGCUAGAUUCGUACUUGGGGAAUAUGAUCGUUCACGACACUGUUCACAUACAAUAGUUGGGAUUGAGGAGAAAAAUGCAAAAGGCAUCGUCAUCAGUAAAGACUACUGUGACUAAUGCAAAAUUUGAAGUAGAGAAAUUUGAUGGUACCAAUAAUUUUGGCAUGUGGCAAUGUGAGAUCCUGGAUGUCUUAUGUCAGCAAGAGCUGGAUAUAGCCCUUGAAGAAAAACCUGACAAGAUGGAUGACAAGGAGUGGGCCAAGAUCAAUAGACAGGCGUGCGGAACAAUUCGCCUAUGUUUGGCUAAAGAGCAGAAGUACUCUGUCAUGAGGGAGACAUCAGCGAAGAAGUUGUGGGAUACACUGGAAGAAAAGUUUCUAACAAAAAGUCUUAAAAAUAGGCUUUAUAUGAAAAAAAACUUUAUCGAUUCACGUAUGCACCCGGUAUGUCGAUGAAUGACCAUGUGAACUCAUUCAAUAAAAUUUUAGCAGACUUGCUAAAUUUGGAUGAAAAAUUUGAAGAUGAAGACAAGGAAUUACUGUUGUUAAAUUCUCUUCCUGAUGAAUAUGAUUAUCUUACCACCAUAUUGCUUCAUGGGAAGGAUACAAUCACAUUUAAUGCAGUCUGUAGUGCGUUGUAUAUAUAUAAGACUCGAAAGAAAGAUAAAAAAGAUCACAGAGAUACAACUACAGAAGUCUUAAUAGUAAGAGGUCGUUCGCACAGCAACAAAUCUGGUAGAAGGAGUAAGUCCAAAGGGAGACCUGCCAAAGAUGAAUGUGCUUUUUGUCGUGAGAAAGGGCAUUGGAAAAAGAAUUUUCCUAAGUUACAAAAGGGUAAGGCUAUUUCUGAUGCAUGUGUAGCGGAGCAUGAUGAUGAGUCAGACUUUAGCUUUGUUGGCAUGGCAAUGGCUUGUCAUACAGAUGAGUGGAUUUUGGAUUCGAGAUGUACUUACCAUAUGUGUCCUAAUAAGGACUGGUUUUGUAGUCUUAAAGAACUAGAAGGUGGAGUUAUUUUUAUGGGCAAUGAUAGCUCUUGUAAGACAAUGGGAGUAGGUACAAUCCAAUUGAAGAAUAACGACGGCUCAAUUCAAGUCUUGACAGAUGUUCGCUACAUACCUAGCUUAAAGAAAAAUCUCAUCUCAUUAGGGGUCCUAGAAUCUAAAUGGCUCACAAUCACUUUGAGAGAUGGAUUACUAAAGGUAGUAGCUAGGGUAUUGACGGUGAUGAAAGGCACAAGAAGGAAUAACCUGUACUAUUUAAAUGGAAGUACAGUUAUUUGAUCAACAUCAACAGCAUCUGCGAAAGAUACAGAUUCAGAGGCUACCAGGUUAUGGCAUAUGCGAUUGGGACAUGCUGGUGAAAAAGCUUUACAGAGUUUGGUGAAGCAAGGCUUGUUGAAAUGUGCAAAUUCUUGCAAAUUGGAAUUCUGUGAACAUUGUGUUCUAGGCAAGCAGACGAGGAUAAAAUUUGGUUCAGCAAAUCACAAUACAAAAGGGAUUCUGGACUACGUUCACAGUGAUGUGUGAGGACCUACUAAAGUGGCUUCUUUGGGAGGUAUGCACUGUUUUGUUACUUUUGUUGAUGAUUAUUCAAGAAAAGUAUGGAUGUAUCUAAUGAAAAGAAAAAAUGAAGUUUUGGAUGCAUUUCUGAAAUGGAAAAAGAUAGUGGAGACCCAUAUUGGACGAAAGGUUAAACGACUUCGAUCAGACAAUGGUACUGAGUACCAGAAUGAUCUAUUUCUACAAGUAUGUCAAGAUGAGGGCAUUGUGCGACACUUCACUGUUCGAGAUACACCACAAUAAAAUGGGGUGGCAGAACGUAUGAAUCGGAGUAAUUCACAAUACAAAAGAAAUUCUGGACUACGUUCACAGUGAUGUGUGGAGACCUAUUAAAGUGGCUUCUUUGGGAGGUAUGCACUAUUUUGUUACUUUUGUUGAUGAUUAUUCAAUAAAAAUAUGGGUGUAUCUAAUGAAAAGAAAAAAUAAAGUUUUGGAUGCAUUUCUGAAAUGGAAGAAGAUGGUGGAGACCCAAACUGGUCAAAAAGUCAAGCGACUUCGAUCAGACAAUGGUAUUGAGUACAAGAAUGAUCCAUUUCUACAAGUAUGUCAAGAUGAUGGCAUUGUGCGACACUUCACUGUUCGAGAUACACCACAACAAAAUAGGGUGGCAGAACAUAUGAAUCAGACUAUACUGGAGAAAGUUUGAUGUAUGUUGUCUAAUGCUGGAUUGGGCAAGAAAUUUUGGGCUGAGACAGUUACAUAUGCGUGCCAUCUAAUUAACCGGUUGCCAUCAGCAGCAAUAAAUGAAAAAACUCCUAUGGAGAGGUGGGCUGGUAAACCUGCUACUGAUUAUUAUUCUUUACAUGUUUUUGGUUCCACUGUAUAUUAUCAUGUAAAAGAAUCUAAGUUAGACCCAAGAGCAAAGAAAGCAUUAUUCAUGGGUAUAACUGGUGGAGUAAAAGGCUACCGUCUCUGGUGUCCUGAUACAAGGAAGAUUGUUUUCAGUAGAGAUGUGACUUUUGAUGAAUCAACCAUGAUAAAGAACAAUGAUUCAUAAAAGGAUAACAAAACUAGUGGCACUUUGCAGUAGGUGGAGCUUGAAAAGGUUAAUGAUGAUCCAACUAAUAUUGAAGGGACAAAUGAUGAAGAAGUUUCGACCCAAGAACUUCUACAGCAACAUGGUUCAAUUGCAUAUAGGACAAGAAGAGAGAUUCGUAUGCCUGCUCGCUUUGAUGAUAUGAUGGCCUAUGCACUUCCAAUUGCAAGUGAUGAUGUUCCUUCUACUUACACAUAAGCAAGAAGUAACCCUGAUGGUGUAAAGUGGAAGCAAGCUAUGAAUGAAGAAAUAUAGUCUCUUCAUAAAAAUAGGACUUGGGAGUUGGUGACACUACCCAAAGGAAAUAAGGCAAUUGGAUGCAAAUGGGUAUAUGCAAAGAAGGAAGAAUUUCCUGGUAAAAAUAAAGUUCGAUACAAGGCUAGAUUGGUAGCAAAAGGUUACGCUCAGAAAGAAGGAAUAGACUACAAUGAAGUGUUUUCUCCAGUUGUGAAGCAUUUGUCUAUUCGAAUUUUGCUAGCCUUGGUUGCGCAAUAUGAUCUUGAACUAGUUCAGCUCGAUGUGAAGACUGAAUUUUUACACGGUGAUUUGGAAGAAGAAAUCUAUGUGACUCAGCCAGAUGGAUUCAAGGUUGCUGAUAAAGAAAAUUGGGUUUGCAAACUGACAAAGUCGCUUUAUAGAUUGAAACAAUCUCUGAGGCAGUGGUACAAGCGAUUUGAUCAGUUUAUGAAAGGGCAAGUUUAACAGUUGAAGAAGGCACUAUCAAGUGUUGUUGACAAAGGCAGAGAGAAUUGUGUGAAGAUAAGAUUAUUCGAAUCAAAUCUUCAAGGUGGAGAUUAUUGGAAAUCAUCCAUAUUUAUAGAAAGUCAAAGAUAUGGGUAUCAUAAAGAUAUGGGUAUCAAAAUCUGGGAUUUAAGGCACCAAAAGUGGGAUUGAGAUUUGGCAUAAGAUAAUUGCAAUUUUGAUCCCUGAACCUCAACUAUAAAUAGGCCUAAUCAUUUCUCUUCUUCAUCAUCCCAAAUUUUCCAUCCUCUACUUAAGGCAUUGUUUUCUCUCUCUUCCUCUUUGUAAAUUCUCACUUGUAUUUUGGAGUGAAAUAUAUUUGGUAGUGCCCGAGGACGUAGGCAAAAUUUGCUGAACCUCAUUAAAUUCUUGUGUUCUUUAUCGUAUUAUUCUGCAUGAAUUGUCAGUAUGAUUGUAGUGAUUUAUUAUGCUAUUAAAUUACGAUUGAGGGAUAUUCUGGCUAGGAAAGACCUGGUACUUAAACGAUCCUUGUGAUCCACCUCUCUUUCCUGGGAAUUGAACUUAGUGUGAUUUUUUAGUACAAUAAUUUUACUCUUUUACACGCUUCCGCACAACACCUACUAACACUAAUUUGUGCCUAAGAAGACUAAUGGCUGAUACAACUUGCCUUUUUUGUCACCUUGAGGUAGAGACUGGCCUUCAUGCUAGCCAAGAUUGCCAAAUAGCCCUACAGGUUUAGCAAAAUUUGGAAAUCAAUUGGGUGAUAAAUCAAACAGAGAACUCCUUGGUAAGUUGGAUUGGACCAUUAUUCAAUGGGAGGAGUAAUUAUCUAAAGCUAAUUAUUCUUGUAGCAAUCUGGGCAAUUUGGCUCUCAAGGAAUAGGUUGGUGCAUGAAAGCAAACAAUAAACAAGUUCUGAUAUUUUUACCACUGUAUUGGGUUAUGCUAGAGAAUUAGAAACAUUAGCAGGGGAACAGUUAAAGCUUAACCCAACAGAGUCAGUUGGGUGGCGACCUCUUUUAAAAAAUUUUGUUCAAGUAAACUUCGAUGUGGACUUCCACAAGGAUCUAGAAGCGUCAAGUACGGGUAUUAUCAUCAGAAACAAUGAAGGAUUUAUCAUGGGCGCAACUUGCUUAUGGAAUUGUUACAUACCUCAUGUUCUAAUUGCGAAGGCCUUAGCAAGCACCCAAGCAAUCAAAUUCGCUCAGGAGUUGGCUUUCCAAUGUGUAGAAGUAGAAGGUGACUCAUUGGUGGUGAUAAAAAAGCUUAAAUCGACAUGCAUUGACAGAUCAGUGAUUAGUAAUUUCAUCUGGGAAGCGAAACAAAUUUCUGUGGGCUUUGAAAGAAUCAAGUUCCAACAUAUAAAGAGAGGGGGAACCGAGUAGCCCACCUGUUGGCCAAUGAAGGAUUUCGGGUUUAGGGCGGUUUGGUGGAUCAAAGAAGCUCCAACGGUGGUUCAGGGAGGUUAUGAAGAAAGAGAGGCAGGACAUCCAUCAUCCCAGCUGAAUGUCACGAAACAAAUGUGUUGAGGAGCUGGAAGGUCUUAUUCAUUCUCUAGUAGAGGAGUGAUUGUCUCAGAUUUGAUCUGGUUCGUCGUUUUAAUUUGUAAUCUAAGAUUUCGUACUGGCAUGGGAAGAUCCCUAGGGGAUAGAAGAGGAAAGGAUUUGGUUUUCUUUAAUUUUUGUUUUUCUCGAUUUGCUUGAAAAUGUGUACUGUCUUUACUUUAUGAUAGUUACUUUUCUCUUUCUUUACUAAUAAGAGGAUGCCAAUUUGCAUUAAAGAAAAACACUAGAAAGUAGUAAAAAAAAAUCGAGAUUCGUCUAUUAACCACUUGGGUUUUUUGAACUGUAUAAAGUUAUAUUUUGCCUUUUCUUUCUUUUUAAGGAAAAAAUAGAAGAAAAUGGUUGAUUGAAGAAUCUGUAUCCAAGUUUUCUUCGUAAAAUAGAAAUGGAGUCAAACUGCAAGCCAUUAUUGACGGUGAGUUUUUAAAAGCAUCUUAAAUUUAAUUAAUAUGCAUUAAUUAGUUAAUAAAAAGGUGAUUUGGACGAAUAUUUACUAUGUUGAUGGCACCGCUCACCACCAUGAAUUAUGGACCGCCAAUUUUUUAAUUCAGCCACGGAAAAUGGAAUUACUGCACAUAUUUAUUAUAAUCGGUUUGCUAUAUUCUUUGCCAAUAUUGCACAUAUUUAUUAUAAUCGGUUUGCAAUUGUCGGCCAUACCACUUUCUUUGCCAAUAUUGCUACAAACCAUUCUUAAUUUCAUGUUGUCGAUUAAGUUAAAUCUCUAUAAUAAUUGGGUUUAAAUUUUUAUUAUUCAAAUAUCAAUCUAUAUUUAAUAUAUUACUAAUGUAUAAAUGAGGGGUUUUUUAAAAUAAUAUUAAAAGAAUAAUUAUGUAUAAAAAUAGAAUGUGAAACAACUAAAUUACGAAAAUGGUGUGUUUGUUAUCGUGUAUUUCAGUACUGCCUAUCAGUUAGGCAGCAUUACUCAACUUUUUCUCCAAUCAUGACGUUUUAAAAAAAAAUUUAUUGGUAUCGCUUGACACAGUAGUGACAGCAAUAUAUAUGUUUAAAAAUACAUGUAUGUUCACAAGUAUACACGGUGGAUAAAAAAUAUGAAAACAAAUAUUUUUUUAUUGGUGUCGCCUGACACACCGAUGGCACUAGUUUAUUUAUUUUUUAAAUAGCCUGUUAGAAAAAAAUUUAAAAAAAUAACUAUUUUAUCUUAUGAUCAAGCAACACCGGCCUAACGCCUACCAUAGAUGUGACCAAUCGGUCACGCCUUGGUACAAUCGAGGCACCUUUUCCUUUUUUUUCAUCAACUUUUUUUUUUUUAUCAACCAUUCUUUUUAAAAUUAAAAUAGUAUCAUUGAUGUGUCAACAACAUCAAUAACAAAUGUAUAUUUUCAUAUUUUGAAAUCAUCGUGUAUACAAUAUAAAAAUACUGGUAAUUUCUAAAAAUGUAUUUAUGUAUUGUCACGUCAAGCACACCAAUAAAUUUAAAAAGAAAUAUUAUAAUUACAGCAUGAUUAAAAAAAAUUAAGUAAUACCGUCAACCAAUCAGAUGACACCGAAAAACACUAUAACAAAUACUUGUUUUCAUAAUUAAUUUAUUCCCACCUCAAAAAUAAGAGCUUUGUGUUAUAUUAGUUGAAAAUUUUAUGUAGGACUUUAGUUAGUCUAAGAAUCUUUAACUCAACUAGCCAUGAGGAAUUUAAUAAAAAUACCUUCCCCGUCUCUUAAGUAAUUUCAUUAUUUCUAUAAAUUUAGAAUCCUAUUAAUUUCGAAAAUCAACCUACCUUUUUUUAUUUGCUAUUACAAAAACGAGUUAUAAAUUUCAUUAAUAUAGUAAAAAUUUUAGUUUGCAAAGUUUAAACAUUUUGUGAAUUUUUAGAUUUUAAAUUUUUAAAAAAUUUUUGAAAUAAUUCUUUUUUUUAAAAUUAAGAUCAAGUUAUGUAAAUAUCGAGAAUUUAAAUUGUUAUUAUAUCAAUCAAAAUUAUAUAUAAUUGAUUGAAAAUAUUAAUUAACGUGAUUACUUGUUCUUAGUUAUUCAUUUCCAAAAUUAACUGAAAUUAAAACCCUAAAUAGAAGUUAAACAAAAAAAACCUUCAAUUAAUUUAGGAGCGAUCGAACUUUACAAGGUUCCUAAUUCAAAAUUAAGUUUAAUUCCAGCCCUAAAAUAACUCUUAGUAACCAACCAACUGGUUUGAUUAAUUAUUUAGGGUAUAUAUGUUUGGAGAGCACGGCGUAAUUAAAUGAAAGUGUAAUUAUUGAGAAAGUAAUUACACUCUUUUGUAAUUAUAAAGAACUGUAAUUUCUUAGACAUGUUUGACUGAUAAAGUAUAAUUACACUGUAUUCCCUUAUAUCAUGUUUAGUAGUACAAAUUGUAAGUACAUAGUUACAUAAUUCAUGUUUUUAAAAAUAUUAAUUAUUAGUAUAAUAAAAAUAAUUUCUAAGUGAGUAAAAUAAAUUAAAUCAAAUUAUUAUCUGUAUUAUUUUAGUCUUAAAAGUAGUUGAUAAACACGAUUACUAAUAAAAAUUGCAUGAAAACUAAACAUAAUAUGCAAUUUUAUCUAAUUGUUCUACUGCAUAUUUGUUGGGUUAUUCACUUUAUAAUAUUUAACAUAUGCUCCUUAUCAUCAUCUAUUGAUAGUUGACCGAGGUAAUUAUCAUUCGAAUUUAAAUUUGCGUCAUUAAGAUUAGGGGUGAGCAAAACUCAAUUCGAUUCCAAAAAAUAGAAUAAAAUUUGAAUUUCGAGUUGAUCAAAUCGUGUUAAUUAAUUUUUUUCGAGUAAACUCGAAUAAGUAAUUCGAGUUUCAAGUUCGAGUCGAGUUAAAUUUUACAAUUCAAAUAACAGAUUGGUGUAAAUACCUCUUUGGUCUCUAUCAGUUUUGAAAAAUGAGCAAUUUGAUUUCUCUCUCAAUAAAAAUUACACAAAAAAUUAAAAUAUUUAUAAAAAUUCCAAAUAUUAUACUUUAAAAAAAUUUAAAAAAAUUAAAGAAUAUAUAAAGAAAGUUAAAAGUUUACUUUUUUUUGAAAAAAUAAUUUUAGGACCUAAAUAACCUAACUAAUGAUUCAAGUUUAUCCUACAAAAGUAUCUUCUUCUUCUUUUUCUUAUUUUGCUUUGAAAAAGUUUUAAAAAAUAUAUGGUUUUAAAUUUGUGUGCUCUAACAUAGAAUUUGUUAUAUUGUAACAAUAUUUUAAUUUCACAUGUUUAAUUUUUUUAAUUUACCUCGAACAAUUUCACCAGAUUGGAUUAAAAAAAAAUCAAAUCGAGUUAGGAUGAUAAAAUAGGACUCGACUACUUGAUUAACUCGAUUUUUUUUUCUUGAUUUGAUCAAACACUCGUCCCGAAUUAAGAUUAUCAAGAUUUCCUUCUUCCAUGUAUCCUAUGAAGUAUGAACCAUCUCAGUUCCACCUAUAAUUGAAUUUAUAAAAUAUGUAACAUGCUCUUAUAUUAUACUAAGGUGAUGUUGUUAAUAUGAGAAAUAUAUUCUUUUAGAACAAAAAAAGAUCUUCUCAACCAUAUUUCAAAGCCUUGAAUAUCUCAAACUAAAGAGUUUGCGAGUUGUCUAUAAUACUUGUGUCUAGCACUAUUUUUUCAAAUGGUAUCACACCCUAGGAUAUGAUGCAAGAAAUUUUUUUUCUAUUUGCAUAAUUAGCACCAAUCUUAUAAUUUUUGGGUUUAUAGUUCAAAUAGUCUGUAGCUUCAAUUAUAAAAACUUAUAUAUACUUAAUUUGGAGAAAGACUUAUACUAGGUCAUUUUCCAUUUUAUUAUACGUAAAUUAAAUAAAAAUAAUUUAUAAUGUAUAAUGUAUAAUAUUUAUAAAAAGUUUUAUAAAUUUUCCAAAAGUAUAUUAUUUUUAUAAUAUAUAACAUGGACAAAUAAAUAAGUUAUGUCCAUAUUUGGUCAUAACUUUUUAUAAAUAAUUUUUUUAUAACACUAUUAUAACAUGUAAAUUAUUUUUAUAAUAAACUUUCGACCAUUACUUUAGAAUAUUUUAAGAUUUAAAUAAUAUAUUUUUUAUAACUUUAUAAAACACACACAUUAUUUUUAUAAUAUAGUUUUUUAAGAUUUAUAAGUAAGAAAAUUUUGACCAUUACCAUCCCAAACACCAAUACGUGUUCAUGUUUAUAAUAUAUUUUUUAUAACUUGUAUAAAAAUAUUUUUUUAAAAUUGGAUUUAAGUGUAAUUUCUCCAAUUUUGACAUUCACACUAAGAAUUGGGAAGUGUAAUGAGAUGUUCCAAUUACACCCAAUUCGAUGAGACCACCAAUUACAAUAAUUAUCCAAACAUACCAGCCUUACAUAAUCACAAAUAAUUGCACCAAAAUCCAAUUAUUAUGCCACUUUCUAAACACUACCUAAAUGAAUUUUCCCAAUGCAAUUAAAAGAUUUACCUUUUAUCUUUAGCCAAUUAACAAUAAAUUUAAUCCAAGCAGAAGUUUAUUUAAAGAUAAGUUUAAAACAACUAAAACUAAAAAGGGUAAACUACCUAGUUAGUCACUCAAUUUUUAGGGUGCUUUCAUUUUGAUUACUCAAAAUGAAAUUCUUACAAUUUCACCACCUAACUUUUAAGUACUUUCAUUUUAAUUAUCCAAACGUUAAAUCUUUAAUGGCAGUUAACUGUACACGUACAUCAUGUUUACACUUUCAUUUUGGUCACCCAAUUCCUAUGUCACUUUCAUUUUGGUCACUCAAAAAAUAUCUUCUUUUAGUAUUGAUCGGGGUAAAAAAAAUAUUAAUAAUUAAAGUGAAAAACAAUAGAAACUGAAAUAAUGCAUUAAAAAUUAUUAAAUUGUACUUGUUUAUCCCAUUGCUGAAAGUUUUAAUUUUUUCAAUAUUGAAAAUUAUCAAAAUAAAUUAAAUAAAUUAUUGAAAAACUUUAUCCCUUGAAAGUGUUAGUCGAUUUGUUACUAUAAUAUUGAAAUUAAUUAAUUUAAUCUCCUAAAAUUUUAAAUUUUCAAAUUAAAAUCAACUCAAACAACUCAUAUUUAAUAAUUGUUUACGAAAAAUAAAUUUAUGUUGACUAUAUGAUCUUGAAUUUUCCAUGCUAAACUAAAAGUAAAGAAAAAUCCUUAUUUUAUCUUUCAUGCCAAACAAAACUCAUAACUUUUUUCAUCACUUAUUUACCCAAACAAAGAACAAUCAAUUAAUUUAAUUAAUUGUAAGGACUUUUCUCUUUACUUUCUGCUUAACAUGAAAGAUUGGAGAUUAUAUAAUCAAAAGAAACUUAAAAUUUGUAGGCAACUAUUAAAUAUGAGUUGUUUUCAUUAAAGAUAAUUUGGAAACAUAAAAUAAAAUUUUAAAAUUUAGAAGGAAGUUAAAUUAAUGACUUCCAAUAUUAUAGUAACAAAUUGGAUGACGAUAAAAUUUUUAAAAAUUUAUUUAAUUUAUUUUGAUGUUUUGAAUUUUAAAAUUUCAAUAUUAAAAAAAGAAAUUUAGAUUUUUCGGCAAUGGGAUAAACAAGUAUAAUUUGACAAUUUUUGUGUAUUAUUUUAGCUUCUACCACUUUUUUACUUUAAUCCUUGAUUUUUUUUACCUCAACCAAUACUUAAAAAAAUGAUAUUUUUUGAGUGAUCAAAAUGAAAGCCACCUAGAAGUUGGGCGACCAAAAUGAAAGUGUAAAUAUGAUGUGACAUAUAUAGUUAACUGCGUAUUAGAGAUAUGAGUAAAAUGAAAGCGAACUAAAAUUUUGAUGAUAAAUUGCAAGAACUUCAAUGGAUGCAGAUUAGCGAAUAAGUAGUUUACCCAAACUGAAAAUUAGCUCAUUAAACAACUCAUUCUUUAACAUGACUUUUGAAAAAGAUUGAAGACAUCUUUCAAAAUAGAUAAAGAUCAUAUUGAUAAGGAUAAAGACGAAGAAAAUCAUGUGCUAAAAAUAAGUAAGGUCUUUAAAUUAAAGAUUUUAGAUUAUAGAGUUUGGACCCUCACUCACCGUGUCUAUUUUCUUUUUCCCACUUUAUACUCCCUACAAAUAAAGAGGGGUUUAAUAAUGAUAAUAAUAUCCAGUAAUUGUGAUUAGCACAGUGAUGGACAUGGUCCUCUUGUUUGACCCUGCCAACCAUUGCAACCCUAGUAGUGAUACAUGCUCCUCUUCCUUGAUUCCUGGGGCUUAAGCAAAGCAAAAUUAUCAUUUAAGUGGAAAGUGGAAGGAGAUGAUGACACGUCUCUUCCUCCUGAAUUCCCUCUUUCAGUUUCAGCAUACUGCCUAUAUGAAUCUCAUCUUCCUCCUUCCUCAAGAUUCUGCCUCUUAUACAUUCACAUCAAUCAUCUAUCAAAUCCUUGCUUCAAACUCAAAUCCCUAUCUAACACCACACUCAUCUCUUGACACAAUGAUGUAUCAAGUUACGUAUUAUCCAUCAAAUAAGAUUGUUGAUGAGGUUUAAAUUUUAUUAGUUGUUAAUGAGUACUUAAUCAAUUAAAUCUACCCAUCACUUCUAAGCAUCCUUUCAGAUAGGUGGUGUGUUUAAAAUUAAUGGUUGCGAUGGAAUUAGUUAUUAUAACAAUGAGAUUAGAUACUAUAAUUGUGAGAUAAAAAAAAAUAAAAUGCACUCUAUUGAAACGAACAUUUUAUGUUCCAUCAUACGAGCAUAUUAAUUGAGAUUUGAGGGUCCAAUCCAAUCAUUUUCCCAAAUGAAACGAACCUGAAAGAGGAAUUUUCAGCAACAAAUUAGAAAUCAAAGAAAGAAAAGGCUCCUAGGAAUUGUUCUUAAACUUGGUUACGCAAUUAAACUAAGCCAGCAGGCAGAGAGCAUAAGAGAGGAAUGUGAAAGAUAAUGAUUCACAAAAGCCAGAAAGCUGGAAAGAAUCAAAUGAGUGAAAAAAGUUAUAACAAUCUUUAAUCAUCUAAGUCUAGUACAGUAAUGAACAAUGACAUUCAAUGGGGUCGACGAUAAAAGUUGAAAGAUCACUCGGAAGAAUCAAAGUCCAAAAAGCUCAAGGAUUUUGAGAAACAACGUGCCACUGCCAAUGGGUUUCGGAAAAAUAAUUACUUUCUUUAUUUGUUUGAUGGAGGGUAGAGUCCAAAUGCAAAAAGCCUGAUGAUUGAUUGGAUUUGGAUGAAUUUGAGGUGGGCUAAUGCUAGACCCAUUUUCAGAGAUUGUACUCGACCCAUUCAUUCAUCUAACCACUUCAGUUCAAAUUCAAUUCUGAAACUUAUAAACACAAGUGAAGCGAAGAGAUGAGAGAGUCUCCAUAAAAAACAAACAAGCGUAAAUACUGCCGUGAAGCCGCAGAGGUUUGAAGUGAAGUGAAGUGCAUUCUGGCUGGUCGACAAUGGGGAUUUCGAGGUUUGUUUUACUCGUGUUUACGAUCUCAAUGCUGGCAUCCCCGGCACUCUCCGAUCUGGUUCUCUCCAAAGUCGAUCGACGUGUGAGUUUCCAUCUUCUCAUUUCAAUUUUCAUUUCUCUUCCUUUAAUGGAUUUAUUUAUGAUGAUUAUGUGAGUUCGGUUCUCCGAUUUAUUCACUGCCUCUUCCUCUCCAUUUUCCUGUUUCUCAAACUUAAUAUCCUGGGUUGAUCGAAAUGCUUCCAUAGCUGUGUCUCUACCAUCUCUUCAAACCGUACCUUUUAUGCUAACUUCGUUUCGUGUGGUCUUGCAGAUUUAUUUGACAUCCCACAUUGUUCGAAUUUCUUCAACUUUAGAGGUGCUUCACAAUACUUUCUCUUUUCACUCUCAAGUCUCAAAGUUGCUAAUGUUAUCUCUUUUUGAUUCAUUGUUCAAAUCACUAUCUCCUAUUCUUAAACUUUGCUUCUCUUACAAUGUGCUGUUAUAUUGUUUCUAGGUGGAGAAUGCAGGUCCAGAGACUGUGUCUAAGGUUUUGUUGGCUUUUCCUGACCUUCAAGCCCAAAACUUGGCAUAUUUGAUGGCUUCCCCGCAUGAAGCCAAAGCGAAAGUCAAAGUCUCUGUUGUUUCUUUCCCUAUUGAUGUCGUCAAACCAGAAGAUAUGCCUCCUGGUGUAACAUUCUAUUCGGUAUCAUUUCCACAGGGAUUAACCGUGGGCGCUAGCUUCACUUUUGAUGUUUUGGCUGUAUUUACCCAUGCCUUGCGACCCAUGCCCGAGCAAAUCGGUCAGGCUGAUAUUCAGCUUGUACUGUACCAGGAUAGUGCAUACUAUCUGUCUCCUUAUGUUGUCAAGGUCCAGUCUCUAAGUCUUAAGCUGCUUGAUUCUAGAAUUGAAUCCUAUACAACACUGGAGAGCACAAAGGUCCAGGGUUCAGAAAUCAAAUAUGGUCCUUAUGAGAAUCUCCCUGCAUUCUCAUCCUCACCUAUAACAGUUCAUUUCGAAAACAAUCUGCCCUUCGCUAUUGCUCAGGAAUUGGUGAGAGAAAUAGAAAUAUCCCAUUGGGGUAAUGUGCUGGUCACUGAGCAUUACAAGCUCAUCCAUGGUGGUGCGCAAAGCAAGGGUGAAUUUUCCAGGUUACUUUCAUAUGUUUUCCUUCACAGUUUCUGGUCCAGGUUGGAGAUUCGUUUCUGAUGUAUUACCUUGACAUUACAGGCUUGAACCCCAAGCCAGAGAAAAUGUUCAAGGUCCUUCAGCCGUUAGGUAUCUUGUUGCACAUUUGCCUCCUAGGGCUCAUUCUGUUUACUACAGGGAUGCAAUUGGCAAUAUAUCUACGUCCCAUCUGCGGGGUGACUCCAAAAAGGUUAUAUUGCAGAUUAGGCUUUAAAUAGUAUCUAUGACCUGAUAUUUCAUUUUUACUGAAGUGCUACUCGUCUUUACAGACAGAAUUAUUGAUCGAACCAAGGUAUCCCAUGUUUGGUGGCUGGAGAACAGCUUUCACCAUUGGAUAUGGCUUGCCACUUCAGGACUGUUUGUAUGAAUCAGAGGGGAGGCGCUUUCUUAACAUGACAUUUAGUAGCCCAAUGAUUGAGUUGGUUAUUGAUACUCUCAUUGUGAAGGUUGGUAGCAUGUCUUUCCUUAGGCCUCAGAAUUAUGGUGCAAAGAAAUGAUGGGAAAUGUCCUUCCCAACCUUGGCUAAAACUUUGACUUAAAAAGUGUAUUUAAGUACGUAUUACAACUAUUAUUCAACUAGGAUAUUAUAAUGCUUUGUCCUUCAAGUACUCAAAUUGGCACCUAUGCUUCAUUAGAAUUAAGAUAUUUGCAUGUGUAAUAUAGGAAUUGCAGUCUGGUGAAUAAAAAGAAAGUUGCUUUCUUAGCAGCCUUACUUUUACCUGGUACUUUGACUUUUAUAGGUUGUGUUGCCUGAAGGUUCCAGUGACAUAUCUGCAGCAGCUCCAUUUUUCAUGAAGCAGUGGCAAGAGGUAUUAGAAAGCUUAAGAUUUGUGUUUGUAUUUGACCAUCUUUUUUUUAACCUAGGGCUCAUGUGUUUGAGUUGAAUUUCGAAUCUGAAGUUUGUUGUCUUUUAUGUAUAAUGUGCUUAUGGUUGUAUGCAGACCAAAAUCUCCCACUUGGAUAUUGUUGGUAGAGCAGUAGUUGUGUUGGAAAAGACCAAUCUUGUGCCAGAGCACAAUCAAUAUUUUCAGGUACUCUUUUGUUCUCCAUGUUCAAUUGAAAAGGCAUGCACACUGGUUCUAGCAUAUUAGUUUGAAGCCUCUACUCUGGUGCCUCCAUAUAUAGAAUUUUGUAUAGUAGGAUAUAUCAUAACCCUAUAUUUUACAGGGUUAUGUACUUUAAUGGUUUACUGUUUGUUCUUGUGUUUGUUUACCUUACAGGUCUAUUACAAAUUCAACAGAUUAUCGAUGCUUAGAGAGCCACUGAUGUUAAUUUCAGGAAUUUUCUUCUUUUUUGUUGCUUGCAUUGUUUACAUGCAUGCUGAUACAUCAAUCUCCAAGUUUUCUGCUUCUUAUUUAGCUAAACAGCAGUGGGAAGAGGUGAGUAGGAUAUCACUAUGCCAUUUACUUGGUUCACCCAAAUCAGCAUCUACAAAUGCAUUGGUUAUGGACUUUGCUUUCUGCAAUUUCAGGUUCGGGUUGCGAUUCAGCAGGUUCAUAAUAUCAUAUGCCGGUGCUUGGCAACACACGAUAAGCUGGAAGCAUCUCUACGCGACCUUUCUAGGACAGGAGAGGUGCAAGCUUGUAAAGCUGCUCGAAAAUCUACUGAUGGUUUGUUAAAAGAGCUGUCAAAAGAGUUGAAACCGUUGAUGACCUUCUUGCAAUCUUCCCCAUCAGCUGUUCAAGUAUUAUCCAAGGUUCACUUUUCUUUUACUUGUUUCUGUUUAGUUUGAUAUCCGUCUUUUUGCAUUUUUAGUCCUACUCUGAAGAAGUUUGUUAAUUAAGCCUUCAUAGGUGACAAUGUUUUCAUUGCAACUCUGUUUGCUGUGGAUGUCAAAUUCUGAUUUGCAUUUUAGGCAGUGUUGUUUAAGUGAUUACUUUGGUGCUGUCUCUAUAGGUGGAGGAGCUGGUGGCUAAGGAGAGAGAAUUGCUAGAAAAGUUGAUGGCAAAGCACUCAACAGCAGUGGAGGCCUAUGAGAAGAAGUCAGGGGCCCGGGAUAUUGAGAAUCGGAUUGCUUUGCAGCAACAGAAAAUUACAGCAUUGAGGCAGGAAGUUGAUGAUCUUCUCGAGUUCAUUGAUGAAAUAUGAAGUAGGAAUAAUAUUUUGGUCCAAACUGCAGAAUUUUACCUCCAAUCUGCAUCACUUUGUUUCACUGUUUCAGUGCUUUCUUUUGAUUCUUUGUUGAAUAUUGUUUCUUCCUUAAUCUAUAUAUGCAAGCGUCUGCCCAAAUUAUUUUCAAGAAGAAAAAGGGUAGACAUUUAAGUGAACUUCACCUACCUACACCCAUCAGCCAUGGCCUAAUGGUCCUUACAGUAGCAGAGUAAAUUUGGUAAGCACGUUAUUAUUAUACCAUAAAAAGCGAUAUGGUACCCAAAAAAAUGAAUUCAAGAUGUAUACAUGAACUUGAAAAAAUUUACACAAAAUAAUUAUUAGUACAUUAAAACAAUCAUGACACACCCAUACACAUGGUUUAAUUAGCUAUAACUUAUGAAUAAGGGCAACUCGAAUGUAAAUUGUAUAGUCCAAUAUAUUAAUCAAUGGAAAGUAGGAAUGCAGCAGGGUGGGCCUUAAUUCUCCGGGGGUGGCAUCACUUGCAAAAGCUCAAUAUUUAGCUCGAAUUCGGCUCCUGGCUGCAGACAGAAAUUUAAAAAAAAAAUGAAUGAUUUAUUUUUUGGCCACAAUAUGAAUGAUAUCCUACAAUCAAAUCUACCAUCAAAGUCUUGUACUAGGAGUUAGAUUGCUGUCCCCUUCACUCAAACAUUGAGUAAAUUAAUUUUUAUAUGUUAAAUUAAAGAACAAGCUGGUUCUUUAUAUUAAAAUUUUUAUAUAUUUCUACCAUUAAAAAUUAGCUUAACUGACAAAAUAAUUAAAUAGUCACACCUAACAUACUGCAUGUAACUCAUGCUGACAUGUAAGGAUCGGGUUUUAAUAGUAAAACUAGAUGACAUUUUAACAGAACGACUAAUUUACUUUUUAAUUAACAUACAGAGACUAAUUUGCUCAUUCUUCGAGUUGAAGUCACAAAAUGCAAUGAUUUUAGGUCAAAUCUGCCUGUGUAUUUUAACUUGUGUAUUAACUAUUCUUCUUUUACAAAGCUAUCCAAUUAGCAGACACAGUAAGCUUGUGCUUGAUGAAUGGGGGAAUAACUAUUAGGUAGCCUCACCAAUAACAAAGCUUUGCAUAAGAUAAUUGGGACAUUACCGGGAUCUCAUUCAUUCCUUUCUGCCCAUAGCCUGCCUCUGGAUGAACAAUGACAGUCCUCUGAAAAUUAAACUAAAACCAUGAGGUGAUGAUGACAAAAAAAGAAGGGAAAAAGGUCCCAAACUACUAAGGUGACUGAAAACAGAGGAUUCUUUAACCAAACCUUGCCCCCAACUUUCAUUCCUUCUGUGAUAUAAUACAUAGCUGGUGGGGGCUUUGGUGCGGCUUGUGCUGAAAACAGACCAUUUGGAUUAUCUACAUAUUCCCGUUUCCUUUCCUUCCCUGGAGUAGCUCCAACCUUGAAUUCAUAUGGCUGAGUAAAAGAUAACACCAGUGUUAGACUUUGAAGAUGAUGUUUGUCUUUUUUUUUUUAAUUGAAGAAAACUAGUGUGGUAUAACCUGGGCAAUGAUGCGAUUCCCAGCUAAAAGCUUAGACUCCCGACUUGAAACAGCAGUUAUACCACGAUAUAUGCAGUCAAAGUGCACCUGAAAUAGCAAACAAAAGAAAAGGCAAGGAAGAGUGAUGAAUAUGAAUCCAUGAAUUACAAAUUAAGACACCUGUACAGUUGAUCCUUUCUCUGCUACUGGACCCUUCCCUUUCAAAAUAUCAUAGUACUUCAAUCCCUCGGCUGUUGAGUUCAACAAAAAAAAAUGGGAAUUAAUUGUAGAAAGAAACAAUGCAGAAAAGACAAUGAUAAAAGCAACUAACGGGUGGUGAGAUAGUCUUCAAUGGGGAUGGUCUUCUUGUUGCGUCUCUCCCUGGCUCCCGCCUCAGAGAAAUGGGGCAGUGGAAUGAGAGUGAGAGUAGGCACUGAAGAGAGCAAUAUGGCACUCCUUCUGGAAAUGGGCACUGAUACAACGAGCUGGUUUGUGUUUAGGGUUUGAUUGGCAGUGCAUUUGGGGCAGAAGAUUAGUUUAUGAAAAUCAAGGAUCCAUCUCUGUAGAAUAGUGGCUGAAGCUGAACCCAUCUUUUCUCUUCUGUUAAAAGCUUAAGGUCGUUACACCUUUAGACACCAAACCCCAUCCAUUUUCCUCCUCCAAUUACCUUUAUACCCUUCACCCAACUCUUUCCCUACAGUUUUUUUUCUCUUUUAAAACUAUGAAUUAGUUAUUUAGUAUACAUUAGUAAAUUGCUUUCGAAAAAUGAUUUAUAAAAAGUUAGUUUUUUUCGGAAAGUUAAUAUUUUUUUUGUAGUUGAAUAAAUCUGUAUAAAAUGUUUUCCUUUAUUUGACAAAUGCCAUAAAUUUUUUUCAUAAAAACUGUUUUAAAAUGAAAUAAACAUACAAAUGAGAAUUUAUUGUCUUUUCAUUGUUUAAUUAAAUUUAUUUUAUAUCUAUUAAAUUUAUAUUUUACAUUAUUUUUACAUAUAUUGAAAUGAUUUAUUUAUAAAUAAAUAUAAAUAUAUAAUAGUACUCAAUUAUUAAACUAGAAUAUUAACAAUCAUAAAUUGAAAACAACUAAAGUCGAGUAGAUACUCUUGAUUGUGUUAUAAAAAAAGAAGAAGAAAAGAUUAAAUAAUAAUAAAUUAGCUUCCAAAUCAUAAUUAGUACUACAAAUUAAUACUAAAACAUACAUAAUAUAGAAAUGUUAACCCUAAUCCCUAAACCUACCUAAUAUUUCUAGCCAUAUAAUCAGUCCACUUAUAUUGUGCAAUCUCAUCUCUCUUAAUAGACCAUUCUCUUGCUUUUUCUCUUUCUUCUCGCUCCAUAAGAGUUGGUAUUAUCAAAUCAGACUCAGACUCCUCAUAUAAUACUUGACUAAUUAAAUCAUUAGAAUCAACUCCCAUUAUAUGAUUAUGCAUGAUACAACAAGCCAACACUAUAUCUACUUGGGUUUGGAAAUUUCAAAAUGGUUCAGCAUCUAACACAUGAAACUGUUUCUUCAAAAUCUCAAAAACACGCUCAACAGUGAUUUGCAAUGAUGAAUGACGAAGAUGAAAAAGUUCAUUUGCAUUUUCUGGCCUCUGAUCACAAAAAUCUUUUAAAUGAUAUUGGACACCACGAUAUGGAGUAAUAUAUCUAUUUUGGAUGCCAUAUCUAGCAUCAACAAGAUAAGAUUUACCUACGAUUUUACAAAACAUAAUUAUUACUGAUAAAUUAUGAGCUUAAUUGAACUAUUUUGUAUAAUUAAUGUUAAUUCUUACAUUCCGGAAUUCUAAAUCCUCUUAGGCGUGCAAGUGGAUUACUAAAAAUACGAAAAUCAUGUGCAUUACCUUUCCAACCAACUAGAACGUAAGAAAAUUUUAAAUCAAUUGUAAUGACAGCCAAUACAUUUUGUGUUGUCCCUCUUUUACGGCUACUAAGUAUAAAAACAAGUUAUUUCUUAUUCUAGGGCAUAACAUGGAAUUUUGUAGAGAUAAGAAAAAUAAUAAUAAGAGCAGAAGCAGUAAAAACAAAAAAGAAAAGAAAAGAAAAGUAUUAUGUAGAUAAAUAAAUAAACAAAAAUUUGUGGAUAGAUUCAUUACGUUAAAAUUUCAAGUACAAAGUCCACUUGUUUGAAUCCUAUUAUGAUUGGCAAAAUACAUGUCAAAAGCUUAUACAUGCAAUGGGUAUAUCAAUAGCUGGAAGAGAAUGAUGAUUUUGUAGGGUGACAAUAAGUACCAUAACAAAUUUUAAGUUAGUCAAAAAAACCUCUCAACAUAGAGGUGUCACAAGGUAAGUGUUUUCCUUUAAUAUUUUAAUCAUGUCUGUCGUACAUGUUUUUCCCCAGAAUUAGUUUGUCUUUAAUCAAUAUUUACAUUUUAACUAAAAAAGCUUUUUUUUUCAAAAAUGGAAGUUUUAAACUGAAAAAAAAAAGCUUCAUUUUUAUUUGUUCUUGGUUUGUUGUGUUUACCACUCAAACAUAGAUGGCCAAGAAGAUAUGAAGCCCAUCUAUGGGACAACAGUUGCAAAAAGGACGAACAGAGCAAGAAAGAAUGACAAGGUUUUUAGAAAUUUUAGAAUUACUUUUUACACCGUUUUAAAUUGAAACGCCUCUACAAAGAGGAAAUGAUUACAUAUAAAAUGGGAUCCAAAAGAAGGGGGAAGAAUUGUUGUAAUAACUAAACCCAAGAAUUCUUCACCUCAUCAUCUUUGUUUUCUAUUGUUAAUAUAAAUCACUUCAACUCAAACAAACUACCAAAAACACCCCAUAAGAAAAAAUCAUCAGAAACAUUAGAAUUUAGAAAGCUUGUUUAUUUUCAUCAAUGAUGCAUUUUAUCAAACACUUUCUAAGUUGAACCCAAUCUUUACAGAACACAAAAGAAUCCCAAAUAAUAAUAAGACCUCCAAAAUUGCCAUUUGAAGAUUGACCAAUAAAUUAUUGAUUAUCAUAGGGCCAUAAACAAUUUAUUAACCGAUCAACGCAAUUUCAAUCUUGGACUCCUCAAUAAUGAAAAAUUGUACUUGCAAAUCAAUCCAGUUGCUUAACCUUUCUUUUCUUUAUACUCGAUACUACAUAAUGACCUAAAUUUCACGGGCAUCGGAAAAGUAUGAUAUCAGGCCUCCGUCUUAGUAAAUUGAGUUCGAAAAUAAUUAUUAGAAAUAUUUACGAGACUAGUUGUGUGUUUAAUUAGGUUUUAGAUAGGUGAAUUUAGCUUAAUUAAGAGUAAUUAGGAAAAAGGGAUUAAAUUGAAUAAAGGGUAAAAGUCUAAUUAGAGAUCAAAAGAAAAUAAGAGGGACUAAAUAGGUAAAUAAGCCAAUGGCUUAAGAGUAGGCGGCAAUACAUGGAAAAAUCUUAGAUUUUUCUUGAUUAAUAUUAUAAAAAUAUUAUUUAAUUAAAACAUUAUAAAUUAUAUUAAUUAAAGUUAAGAUAUUAUAUUAUUGGAAAUAAAUAAGAUAAAGACAAUGUAUGGUAAUAAAAUUUGUACAUGUGUAAUAUAUAUAUUUGUACACUUGUAAUAUAAUUGUAUAUUUUCUUGAAUUUUAAGUAAAAAGAUAUUUAUUAUUUAUUAUAAGUAUUAAGUUAAGAGAUAUUUAUUAAUUAAAUAAUUAAAUUAUAAUAUUUUUGUGUGAUAAAUAAAAUAAAUGAUGAUAAAUGCAUGGUAUAGAUUAUAUUGUACAUUUAUAAACAAAAUAUAUAUAUGUGUACAUUUGUAAUAUUAUUAUUUGUUGUUAAAUAGAUUUUUAUUAAAUAAAUAAAAUAAUUGACAAAUAAAUGGUAUAAAAUUUAUACAAGUGUAAUAAAAUAAAUAUGUACAAAUGUAAUUAAACAAUUGGUUUACUUAAUAUUUAAGCAUAAGAUAUAUUAUAUUAAUAUUAUAUUAAUUAUUUAGUAAUUAAAAACAAUAAAGCAAAUAAAAUAAAGUAAAAGAAAGAAACAGAGAAGAAAAAAAGAACAGAAGCUCUUUCGAAAACAGGGAAAGAAAGAAGAAAAAGAAAGAAAAAGGGAAAAUAAGGUUUUAAAGCUUUAAAGGUAAGUCAAUUAAGUCCUUUUCUUUUAAUUUUGAUGUUUUAGAAGUCUUAGAACAAAGUUUUGUUGAAAUUAAGCUAAAAUUUUGUAAGUUCUUAGAUUUUUUAACAUGAUUCAUGUUGAACAAAUUGUUAAAUUAGGGGUUUGGUUGAUAGAAUUUCUAGUUAGAAUUGAUAAAAGGAUUAAAUUGUAAACUAGGUUAUAAGUUUUACAUAUUUGGGAUUAAGUUGUAAGAAGUUUUAAAUUAGGGUUUUAUUAUGAAUAUUGAAUAGUUGAGUUAAAUAUGACAAAGAAUUAAGUAGAAAAGAAGUAUGAAUUAAGUUAGAAAAGUAAGUAAACUUAGUAGAAUUAAAUUGGGAAUAAGUAGGAAUUGAAUAAAAUUUAAUUGUUAUUAUUAUUAUUUUUAUAAUUUAAUGUUGUAAUUAAUAGUGAAAAUAAUUAUUAUUUUCAUAGCUAACAAAGAAUUCGAGGCAUCGACAUCGAAAGAAAAGAAGAAAGCUAUCGAUGACUAAAACGGGAGAUUUACGGUUUGUAUUACUAUAAUUCAAGUUAUUUAUUAUUAAAUGUUAAAUUUUAAUUUAUGUGUUUGGUAAAUGAAAUGUGAGGUAAGUGUUAUUAUUAUUAUUAUUAUUAUUAAGAUGAGUGGGAAUUAAAUUGAAUAGUUGAUAUGAAUUAAUAUUUGAAUUGUUUGUUGAUUGAAAGCGGGAAGUGAAUUUGAAUCGAAUUGUGACUGAUAUUAAAUUGAAUGGAAAUGUAUUGAGUUGUGAAAAUGUGUGAAUUUAUGAAUUAAUUAUUUAUUGAAAGGUGGAAAAUGAUUGAAUUGAAAAUAUGAGAAAUUGUGAUUGAGUUGAGGUUAUAUGUGAUUUAAAACCCUAUUAACUAGUCAGGCUGAGUCGGAUAUAGUUGGCAUGCCAUAGGAUUGGAAGAGUUCAGGGAUACUUCGACCUCGAGUCGAUGAGACACUGGGUGUCACUAUAUUUCUUCGGAUAGAUUCGAUGAGUUACUGGGUACCAACUUUCUUCGGCUUGGCCGAUGAGACAUUGGGUGUCAACUAUUGCUUCGAAUUAUCCGAUGAGGCACUGGGUGCUAUACUGGAGUGUUUGGUUGGAUCCGUGUAUCCGCCAAAGUCCGAGUUUUGUUAAUAGGGUAAAUAAUGAAAUGAUAAACUGAAUGAGUUGAUCAAUCGAGCUAUUGAAAUGAAAUGAAAAGUUGAAUUGUGAAUUGAAAUGUGAUAUGAGAUUGAGAAAUGAAUCUAAGGUUCAUGAUGUGUUCAAAGCCCAAAUUGUGGAUAUAUGAUAUUAAUUGAUAAAUUGUUAUUGUUGUAUUAUGAAAUUUGAGUUUAAACUUGUAUGUAUGAUUUGUGCAUGAUAUGUUUGAUGAUUAUGUUUUAUUGUUAUUAUUAUUAUUUGAAUUAUGGUAAUACCACUGAGUAUGAAAUACUCAGUGUACGGUUGUUUCCGUGCGCAGGUCGAUAAAAAUCAAAGGUUCCGGUUCAGCAUCCAGAUCAAUCUCGACUCCAGCAUAAAGAUUUUGGUGAUGUUUUCUUCCUUAAGUGAAAGUGGCAUGUACAUAAGGAUUAUAAUGGUUAUUUUGGUAUGUUUAUAUAAUUUUGUUGUAAAGUAAGAUUUAAGUAUAUUUAAGUAAAUAAAUGCCUUGGUUGAAAUACUGGAAUUGGGUUGAUUGUGUUUUGAAAUUUGCAGGGGUUUUAUGUAAAAAUAAGCUGAAAUACUGUCGAAAUUUUUAAAAAAAAUGAAUGAAGCCAAUUAGCAUAAAUUUAUAUGAAUUUAUAAUCAUUUUAUAAUAUGUUUGUUAUUUAUUUAAGAAUUAUUUGUAAAUUGUCUGAGAUAUCUAGUAAUGCCUCGUAAUCCUAUUCCGGCCACAAUUUGGGGUUAAGGGGUGUUACAUACUAAGCUCCUUAGGUUCUAAGAUAAAAUACACAAAACUUUAGUAUACCUGUAGAGUCAAACUUGGAAUAAAGAUAAUAGAAGCAAAUAUCAAUAAACUGCAUAAGAAACCAAUAAAGUGAAUCAAAGCAACCAAGCCGACCUAAACGCCACCAAAAGCAUUAAGAAUAGAAAGAAGGGAGUUGUACAAGAUAUAUUGGCAAGUAUUUACUUUAAUUGAUUUACGCAAAUCAGUUUAGCCCAAAGUAAAAAAAAAUUAUAAUAAAAAUAAUAAAUUCACUUAAAAAUAAACAGACCUAUUUCGAAUGAAGCAACUAGCUUCCAUUUCUCUAAAAAAAAUAAGUUGAAUGCAAAACCUUGAUAUGAAAAAGACAAUGAUGUACCUUGAUAAGACUAGAAAGAUCGUUUUUGUUUUUGUUUUUAUUUUUAUUUUUGAGGGUUUCUUCAAAAUGCAAACAAGAAAGGAAGACUUGGUAAGAAUGACGGUCAACCGACAGAGAUGAUAAGGCAGAGAUGAGGAUGUGAGGCCAACGGGUAGAGAUGAGGAGGAGAGGUGGAGGCCGAUGGAUAGAGAUGACAAGGAAGGGAGAAUGACUGUUAUUCAAGUCAGUGAUGAGAGUGAAGAGGAGAAGGGAAAAUGUCUUACGGGAUGAAAAUCAAUAAAAAAUUUUCCUUAAGAAUGCAUUGGUUUUACCCCUGUUUUGGAGAAUGUUUUUCUUUGAGAAUUCAUUUUCCACCAAAUAAACACCGUAAAACAAUGAAAAUAUUUUACUGGCAAACAAACGAACCCUUAAACUCAUGGAUUUUGAAACGAGAUUGGUGAUCAAAUUAGUCAGGUCACCAAUUUUUGAUUCGAUGGUCAGUCUAAUUUUAAUUAAAUAAAUUAUUAAAAAUUAUAAAAUUUGAAUUAACUAUCAACUAAAUCAAUUUUUAUCUUGAUUCAACUGGUUCGUAGGUUAACUAGUUCUUUCCCUUUCUCUAUACUAAUGUAAGAUAAUAAUAAUAAUAAUAAUCCUUUAACAAUAAUUGAUAGACAAAAGUUAAUGACGAUUUGAAAAGAAAAGAUAUAGAAUGUAAUGUGGGUGACAAAAUAUUUGUAAGAGUGUUGUCUUGAAAAAAGAUUCUUUGAUUUGAUAAGAAAGGUAAACUAAAUUUGAUACUCAUUAGACCUUAUGAGCUACUUGAACAUAUUGGUCAAGUGGUUUAUCGAUUAGCUUUACUACUUGAGCUGGAUAUGAUUCAUAAUGUUUUUCAUGUCUCUAUGUUAAGAAGAUAUAGAUCAAACUCAUCUCAUGUUAUAACUUUUGAAGAAGUUGAGAUUUAUCUUGAUUUAACUUAUGAAGAGGAAUUUGUGAAAAUACUUACUCAAGAGAUCAAGGAGCUUAAAAAUAAAAUAAUUCCUUUGGUAAAGAUAUUGUGGAGAUAUCAUGAUAUGGAAGAGACAAUGUGGGAAAAUGAAGAUACGAUACUUCUUAAGGGAAGGGAAAGAAAUGUAAUGCCUUCAAAACUCUGGUACUAUUAUAAAAGAUUAUAGGAUAUAUAAACAUAAAUCCAUAAAUAAACUUGUAAAUAAUGAGCAUUAUUUUUAAAUAUCUCACAAUAUAUAUUUUUUUCUUUCAUUAAGAAUAUUAAAAUCUUCGUAUCUUUCAAGCUGAUAUAGAAAAUCACAUAUUUUAGAUUGUUGCUGGAACAAGAAUUUUGCAUGCCUAAACUACUUAACCUCCAACCAAAUAUUGAAUACUAUCAAAUAAGCUAUAACUGUAUUAUGAAACUAAAAAUAAUUAUAAUAAAAUAGGUGACAAAAGAAAGAUAAAAUAUGAGGGAAUAAUUCUUCUUCUUUUAACCUUGGAUGCGUGCUCUAUUUAUAAAGCUUAAAUCACUACCCGUUACAAAUACAUACAUAAAAAAAAUAGAACACCCUGUACAUUUUUUAGAAGGUACAGGAAAAUAAAUUUUGAGGUGUGCAUGGGUCGGGUCGGAUUUAGGUCGGGUUCAACUAAAAAUUUAGGCUCGUUUGUUAGGCCCGGCCUGAAAAAUGGGCUUAAAAUUUUGUUCAAGCCUGACCCAGAUAAAAAUGUUAAAAUUCGGGCCCGACCCGGCCCGCCCAUAUUAGUUUUUAUAUUAUUUUUAUAUAAUUUUAAUACAACAAAAAUACUAAAAACAUCAAAACAAAUGUUUCUCAACAAAUUGAAAAUAAAUUUUAAAAAAUAUAUAUACUUAAAUAAUACUAAAAUAGAUGUAACUUAACAAGCAAAUGCCUCUAAAAUAAUAACAAAAUUAACAAUAAAAUAAGUUUUAUACAAUAUCCAAACAAUAACAACAAAAUAGUAGUAACAUAAUAGUAAAAUGGUAGCAAAAUAAGGAGAAAACAAUAAGAAAAUAAUAUUAAAAAGCAAAAAAAAAACAGAUUUUUUUUUGUCAUUUAGUGAAUUCGGUUUGGGCCAAAAAUGCCUUACCCGAGGUCCGGCCCUUUUUUAAACUGGCCUUAUUUUUUUUCUAAGCCUAUUUUUCGGGUCUAUAUUUUUGCCUAAACUCUUCCACAUUUCGAGCAGGCCUUCAGACUGGGCCGGGUGGCCUGACCCAUAGUCAGGUCUAUUACAAACAUAAGCAAAUUUAGGGGUACACAGGGGCACACCCCGGCCCCGCCCAAACUGUGGAAAAAAAUUUUCAGCCCCAUUAUAUUUUAAUAUUAUUAAAAAAGGAAAAAUUUUGUGUUUAGCCCUCGAAGUUUUUAAAGUUUUUUAUAAUUUGAUUUCUUUUAUAGAAUUUAUAAUUUUAGUAACUAAUAUAAUAUAAAGUAGCAUCUAAAUAUUAAUCUAGUAAAAACAAAGUUCAAUAAUUGUAAUACUAAGUAUGAAUAGUAUCUAAAUAUUAAUUAAGAAACUUAAAUAAUUAUAAUACUUAAUACAAAUUGAGUAUUAAACUUUUUUUUUUUAAUUUUGGGGAUUAAGAUUAUUCCAAAUUUAAAAAUAUAUAGUUGAAGGUAGACUUAAACCAUUCAACAUGUAUAUUUUAUAUAAAUAUAUUUUUUCCCCUUUCAAUAAAUUUCACUUCACCCUAAUUACGAUGUUAUAAAAGAAAAGUUUACCGCAAUACUUGGAUUAAAAAAAUAUGAUUGUUUUUUCAUAAAAGAGUGCAUGAGAGCUUCAAGGCAAAUUCAAAUUUUGUUUAAUUGUUUAUUGUACUUAUCCCAAUAAAAAAAAUUUGAUUUAUUUUUCAUAAAUUAUAACUGUACAUGCCAUAUUUUGCUCGGGUUUUAAAAAACCCACAUUACAGAUAGGCCUAUAUGGCCCAAAUAAUAAAACAAACAAGGGCCCAAAGUUACGGUGGCCCAAACUACAGGCAGAAACCCUAGUGUUUCAACAGCGCCGCAAGCCUCCGAAUCUUCCCCGAUCUUCACCUGUAAAGAAACAAAACAACAAAGGAAAAAAAUCAAAGAUUUGUAAUCAAACAAUAUUUGUUUCUUGAUUUAUUUUAUUCAUUCGGCUAUAAAAAAGCCAUAAACACACUGUAACGAGGGUCUCGAUUCAAAAAUCAAUAAAAAAAAGCACAAUUUUUACAACACAAACAGAAACAAACGAAAUCUAAGGUUGUUUUCUAUUCUAUUUUAUCAUUUAUUUAUUUUCUUUAUAUAUACUAUUAUAAAUCAAAAUAGAGGAGAGAAACAACCUUUUCUCUUUGGAAACGCCGUACGACGGCCGAGGGAGCCACCCCCGAGGAUCGGUGGCCAGAAACCGAAAGGUUUCGUGUUGUUUGAAAUUUCCUUGCUGGCGUUUUGAAGGAUUUAAGCCCGGAUUUGGGCAUAAGGGUGUCGAGAAGGCCAAAAGGGAAAUUUUCCUUUUUUCCGGCCACCGCAGAUGGUGGUGCCGGCGCCGAAUAUUGGCGGUCGGCGCGAUGGCCGAUGACCGACCAAUGGCCGGAAAAUCAAGAGGCAGAGAGUGUUUUUUGAGGGUUUGGUUUUUUUUUUUUUAAAUGUGUUUUGAAAUGAAAUUUUGUUUUAAUUUUGGUUUAAAUAGCCAACUGAAAACGGCGCCGUUUUGAGGUGAGGAUCCGCGCGUCGACCCGACCCGGACCCAGGAUCUGCGCGUUUUUAUGCGGAGGGGCAAAUUGCGCUUUUGGCCCCUCCGCCUUUUAAUAUAUUUACAAUUAAUUUUAUUUUCUUUUUUUAAAACUUCGCCUUUAAUUUGUUUUUAAUUUCAAUUUAAUCCGCCCUGAACGGCGCCGUUUUAGAGGAGAAGGGAAAAUUUUCCUUCCAGCCCCUCUAUGUAAUUCGCGUGUUCAAAUUAGCCCUUUGAGUUUCAUUUAUUUGCGGAUUUACCCAAAAUUUUUCAAUUGUUGUUCAAUUUAGUCUUUUAUUAUUAUUUUCCUAAUAAACUUUAACGAUUGUUAUUGUUUUUUUAUUUCUUUUGCAAUUAUUCUUUUUAAAUAUAUAUAUUUUUAUUUUAUAUGCCCAUUUUUUUACUAAUGUUUUUCAUAUUUAUGUGUGUAUAUAUUUUUUAAUUUUCGAUAAUAUUGACAUUAUUUAAUAAUUUUCUUAAUACAUCUUAUGUUUGCAUAAAUACAUUAUAAAUUUCACAAAUCAAAGUUUUACAUGAAAACUCAUAUGUAUGCCUUUAAUUCUCCAUAAUUUCAUUUAUUUUAUUUUUCUCAUUUAUUUGAUAUUUUAUAUGUCAUUCGUUAUUUUUGCUUUUAUAUUAAUUCAGCUUGUUUAAACUUCAUGUUAUUACAUCAUUGUUUAUUAUUGUUGUAUUUAUUAUUAUAGCAUUUGUAUGUAUAAUAUGACAUCAUAUCAUUUUUUUACUCGAUUUCAAUGUUUUUAAAAAAAAUUGAGAUAAUGCUUGUAUUUAGAAUUUUUCAAGGAAAUUGCGCCCUAACGUAUUGGGUUCCGAUUUUCUUCGUUAAAUCUAACAAUCGAGUAUUUCUCUUUAAUCAAAAAAAUAAUAAGAACUCAUUAUUGGGAAUUCAACACGUCGUGUCCUAACGUAUUGGGUGUGACGCAUUGAUUUCUCGAAAUGAAUAUUUUUUCUAAAAAAUAACAAAGGAAAUAUUCCGAGUUUGGGAUUUUAGAGGAAUUGUGCCCUAACGUAUUGGGCCGCGAUUUCUUAAAUCUUGAAUAAAUGGAUAUUCUUUUAAAUUUUUAUUACACGAGUAUUCUGGCUUAAUUCAUUUUGGGGAAAAUUAGAAUGUCGUGCCCUAAUACAUUGGGUGUGGUAUUUUCUUUCUCUGAAAUGAUAAAGGUCCUAAUACGUAACGUUUUUUAGUUUUUCUAAGGAUUACAUUUUUCAAAUUUUCGACAUUAAGACGUUAAUUAGUUAACUAGGUACCAAUUUUUGGGCGUAAUGAGGGUGCUAAUCAUUCCUCAUACGUAACCGACUCCUAAAUCCAUUUUUCUGAAAUUCGUAGACCAAAGCCGUCUUUUUAGGUGAUCCAAUCACACCUCAAUAAAAGAUUGGUGGUGACUCCCAAUUUUCAUUUUUUAAAGUCGACAACCUAAAAAUUUUGUUUUUCAAAAGAUGGUUUCGACAAUAACUAUUGGUGAGUAAUCCUAGCACAGAAAUUAAUUAAGCAAUUUAAUAUUGUUUGGAUUACAAUGGAACUAGUGAAUUAACUUAAGGCUUGUCAAAGGAAAAAUCAAUAUUAUGUUGAUGAUGAUGAUGAUCAUCAUCAUCAAGUUGUGUUAAAUGUUGAGGAGGAGAAAGUGCGGCAGCUUCAAUAUCAGAGAGAUCAGUGUCGGAGGGGUAAGAGAAGUUGGAAUGGGUGGGGGAAUUAAGAACCCCAUCGGUUUGAUCACUGGCGGUGGACCUAUGUUUGUGAUUGUGCAGAAAGUGUAAAGGCGAUGUCCCUCGGCUCGGUGUGGUGUUACCGCUCAUUGACACCGACAUUGGGCUACUCAUCCCUCCUCCUCCCUUUUCCUUCUGCUUGUUUCUCUUCUUGGCAGCCUUCCGCCAAUUCUUCAGAGCUUUGGCUGUUUGCUCUUCGAAUAUUGCAGUUUUCAUGUGCGAUCCCAUCUGCAUUCAUUCCAACAUAUAACUCAACAACAAAUCCAUCAUCAUAAUGAUAAAUGUUAAUGCGUUUUGGUUCAACCCAAAGUUUUAUGGGUUCACAAGUCAGAAGAAUACGUCAACAAGUUUGGUAAUUCUUGACCAGGGUUUUAUCUCUUUACUCUGCCAGGAGUCUUACAAGUUUAUAGAACGAAAGUGACUCGUAGUGUCUUGGCAAGGUUAAAGUACUCAAGACCUCUAGCAUAUAGAGAAUCUCGAAGGAGGGUAUCACUUGAGUUAAGCACUCUGAACUUGUAAAGCUUUUGACAGAACAGGAAAACAAAAUCCUUAUUGAUGUACUUCUCAACCUGCAAACUCAUGGGAGUUUCAGCAAAACCAAAUCACAUGGACAAAUAAUGAUAAUCACUUGUUCUACUACUCACUUGCGUCACCAAGGAAUAGAGCGGGAAGGUAAUGUAGCUGCAUAGAAUUUGAAGGAACAGCCCAACAACCACCCUUCCCACUACAAAGUACGGUUUCUCGUGGAUACAAGAACCUAGGCUGUACUUAAACUGCACCAUAAAACAUAUGAAUCACUGUAUAUGGAAUUUCAGAAUAAAUAGAGUCAAACAUUGAAUAGAGGAAGACACUACUUACCACUACCCAAAGGAAAUAUGCCAUCUGGAAUGCAUUCUGCAUAAAUAUCAAUCAAACUUAAUUAAUAAACCAAUAGAUGUCAAGCUGGUAAUUAAUUAAGGAAAACAUGAUUAAUUUACCUGAAAUAAUGUAUAAUGUAUCAAGAAGAGAAUCCACCGGGGUCGAUUAAACCAGAAAAACUUGUUAUUUGGCUCCACCACUGGUGCCCCUCUUACCACUGCACUCCUUUCCUGGAUUUCUUCCGCCAUUUCCAUUAUGAUCAGUUCAAGCUUUGUUCCAACCAAUACAAGUAUCUACACAAUUCACCAAAUCUUUCUACUUUUAUUUCUCAAUCCAUAACAUAUAAAGUUUAAUUAAGGAUGUGGGUGGCUUACAGUCAGUGGGACUAAAGACAACCAGGUGAGAGUUUGCCAUUCUGCAUGCACCACGUAUAUUAUAUUAUAAGUACUCCAUUUAUUAAUUUAUGAUAUGCUAAUCAGAAAGGGGUAGAAUUACAAACUGUAAACAUUUAGAAGCAAGAAGAUGAUAGCAAAUGCCCACAGAGGUGUGCUGCAACAUCACAAAAACCAACAACCAAUAAAUUUCAGAGUAGCAAUAUAAAGUUAAUUUAAAUUUAAAGUGGUUUUAAACAGACCUGAUACCGACAACGACUUUGAAAUCGUCUUCCAUGGAUCUUUUGAUGUAUUUAUGGAAGUCAAAUUUUGUGUUAGCCGCAAAAUGUGCCUGCAUUAACCAUUAAUAUUUGGUGAUUAAAGUUGAACUCACCAGCUGAGCAAUUUGCUAAUCAAAUUAUUAGAUGAUGUACGCCGGCCAAUUACUUACGUUGAUAAAGCCAUUGCGCAUGGUCAAAUAGUCCACCUUGCUCACCGAACCAAAGAAUUGCCUGAAGAAGGCCACCUAUAAUUAUAUUUUUAGAUUUUUUUUAUUCCAGCUAACCAAAUAUACUCAAAAGUAAAUUUAUAAAUCCCUUUACUUUAUUAAUAUAUCAAAUAUUAAUCAGAAAUGUAAAACUGUAAAAUUGCAUAACUCUGUUUGUCUCUCUACCUAUUUACACUCCAAUUUUACAAAAAAAAAUUAUUUAUUUAAUUUUGUCUCUUUUAUGCUUUGAAUUUACGUUAUUUGUUAAAUCACUUUCAAAUAAAUGAAAAAGUUUAAUGUUUGUUAACUUUGUUAUGCCACACCAACAAUUAAUUAACUUUUUAUAAUUUUUAAUUUUUUAAAUUUAAAAAAAUUAAUUAAUUGUUGCAUGAUAUCUAUACGUGUGUUACUUCAAUAAAGUUAAUAAUUUUUUAUGUAAAUUAAACGGAGGGUCAAUUAAAAUGAGAAAGGAUUAUAUGAAACUGUAAUUUCACAUUAUCCCUAUUCCUUUUCAAUAAGAGAAUGAAAAAUUAGAUUUUUCGAACUAAUUUUUAGCAUUUUUAAUUGGAUUUGAAAUUUUUUAAAAUUAGGUUUGACGAAGAAGUUGGAAGAAAUUGGAAGAGUCUUACUAUCCAUCUCAUGCCCGGAAUUGUGGAGAAACCAGAAUGACGUUUGACGAAGGAAGUUUGAUGGGUUAAUCUGAACCUUGAAGGAUCUGAUGUGUAACAUAUACAAAUGCAAGUAUCAAUAUCAAUCACAAUUUCCAAACAUUUUUUUUUCCAUACAACCUUCAUAAUUUAGACCUAAAAGGCAAGGCGAAAAGUAGAAAGACUAACCAUUUCUGUACUGAUACUCGAGAGUUUUAGUUUCUGAUUCCCAGGACUCCCAUUUCUUCAUCUGUUCAAAUUCAAUUCACCACAACUAUAAUAUCAGCUCUACAACCAAACCAGUUGAUCUUCAAGGGGAAAAGAAAAAAACUUACUUUGGCCUUAGCCAGUAGAAUGGUGGCUACACUGUAAAGAACAUGAAAGACAGCAAGCGCAAAUAUGAAUAUGUGCAAGUCGUGCAUCCCGCUUUGUGUAAUCAGGGCAACUUUACCCUAUCAUUUCAUACAGAAAUUAAUGAUCAGGUUAAUUAUCAACAAUGUUGAAAAUAGAUUAAAAAAAAGGGCCGGCGGCAUACUUUAGGGCAAGAAUCUUUUCCUUUGGAUGAAGCCAAGACUCGACGCCAAACCAUAUCUUCAGCAUAAGAAAGUAACUUUCUCCGGCGAUCUUCAUCGCCGCCGCCGCCCCCUUUGUUGCCAUCUUUACCACUAUCUCCUGCAUACCCAGGCUUCCGUUUGCAUGGAAGCAUCGUAUAUCCUAUCUUUUCUGGGAUACAUAUCGCUGGAAUGGAAUAUGUUCCUAUAGUAAGUAGUAAGGAUAUGAAUCCCAGUAGCAUCAACUCUGCAAAUUAUAAUGGAAUUUAAUUUAUUAAGGAUUAGACUGCAUUUUGCCUACAAUAUGAUGAACAAGUACUAUAUAUAUAUAACCUAACCAGCUUUUAUUUUCUCUAAAGCUUCCAUCAUGGCUUUCUUCUGGCGUUUUUGAAACCACUGCAUGUCAUCAACAAAGGUUAUAAUCAUAAUCAUAAUCAUAAUUAUUAGUAUGAACUUUUCAUUAGUAGAUUAAAUACCUUUCCCAGAGAAUGAAUUCCAUGUUCUAUGAGUAUAGAUAUGAUCACAAAUAUUGCACACACAACUGCAACAGCCCAUGUUGGCGUUUCCUCCAGUGACCUUUCCUUAGGGGUAGCCAUUUUUGCAAAAACCAAAACGCUUAGUAAUGUAAAAGUAUAACAAGAAGGCGGAAUGCAUAUAAAAAUGGAGUGAAGAAAUGCAAGUGGGCAGCGCGUUUGGAUUUGAGACACGGUUUCUAUGAACAAAAGUUUGUCAUGAUUUGCAUGGUUUUAUGUGGAAGGUUGGUGAUGGGCAAUAUGGUGAUCUAGGUUAACAAUCCCGUAGCUUAGGACAAUAUAGAAUCAAGCCGGCCAAUGCAGCCAAUCCAAGGGAGAGAAUUAAUGUAAUAAAGAAACAGAUAUUGGGAUCCACCGGUGGUUAUUUAUAUUCAAUUAUCACUUAGUAUUAAUCAACACCCAUCUGAUAUAUAUUAUAUUUUGUCUGAGAUUGAAAGGUGUUGGACUGUGUCAAAACCGUGGUCCACAAGCCUGACUUUCUCCGGUCUAGACGUAUUCUACAAUUCUAAAUAUAAUUUUAGGGAAUAAUAUACUUUUCAGUUUCUUCCUUCGUUUAACUUGAUAACUAGACUCAUUUUGGUAUUUAAACUUAAAUUCCGUCAAGAUUUAAUGAUGUGAUUAGUUUUAUUAAAAUAGGACCGGAUCGAACGGGUUGAGAGUUAGACGAUAUAACGGCCGAACAAAGGAGUUGACUAGAUUAACUCGACAACGGCUUGAAAUUGGUAAAAAUAAAAAAUCAAGACAAAAAUCAAUAGUUAAGCAGGUUCAACCGGUUUAGUAAUUUUUAAAGAUUUUUAUGAAUUUUUAUUACUUAUUUAAUUAUUGUUGAUUUAAUGGUCGAAUUGGUUGAACUGGUUGAAUAAAAAAUGAGUGGUUUGAUCUGUUCAACCACCAGUCUAAUUAUUAAAAUAGUAAAUAAGACACAUUGAGAUUAUACACCACAUCAUCACCUAAAAUUUUAUAUAAAUUUUUUAAGUAAUGAUUCGGCAUAAUCUUAAAAUGUCACAUCGUUAAAUUUUUAUAUUUUUUAAAUUUAAAUUUAAUUAUCAAAUUUAAGUGUUAAAUGAAAAAAAAAAUAUACCAAAUGAACCUAAUUACAAAAUUAAGAGAUAAAUAUUAUGUUAUUCCGUAUAUUUAUUAAUGGAUGUGGGAUUUAUAUUUGUGGAUCUUCCUAAGAAAAACAUUCUUCAUUACCCUGGAGGGAGGGGGGUUUAGAACACGUGUACCUAAUGAAUUUUACUCCUUCCACUAGUACAAUAUUUAUUUAUUUAUGGGUCCUAUUAGUUCUAAAACAUAAUGAUUUUUUCCCCUUCAACUUAGAAAAAUAUUAUUUUAAUUCUUUAUUAGAUCUUUCGUCUUUUUUUUAGGGUCUGUUUGAUUGCCAGUAAAAUAUUUUCCGUAAAAUGAUUUCGGGAAAAUGUUUUACUUUUCUGUAAAAUGAUUGACUGGAAAAUAUUUUCUAGUGUUUGAUUGAAUCUGUGUAAAAUAUUUUCGGCUGUUUGGCAGAUUUCCUGAAAAUAUUUUUCGAAAAAAUUAUUUUUACAUAUAUUGAUAUAUAUUAAUAAAUUUUUAUAUUUUAAAUUAUUUUUACAUAUAUUGCAAUGAUUUAUUUAUAAUAAUACUCAAUUAUUAAGCUACAAUAUUAAUCGUUAUAAAUUGAAAAAAAUUAAUAUCAAAUAAAUUAUUUGUAAUUGUGUUAAAAAACAAGUAUUGAAUAAUUAAAAAAUAAGUUAUUGGAAAAUCGAUAAACAGAAGCAAUUUUCUACCGGAAAUGAAGGAAUAAAUGAAGGAGGCGAUAGAGAGGAGAGCACGGAAAAUGUCUUACGGAAAUUGAAAGGGCAAGACAUUUUCCCUAAAAUGUAACCCAUUUUCCCUUGUUUUGGAGUUCAUUUUUCAAAUGGAAAAUGUUUUCUGCCAAUCAAACGCUGGAAAAGUUGAAAAUGAUUUUCCGGAAAAUCAAUUCCUUCAAUCAAACAGACCCUUAAUUUAUAUUUUUUUCACAACACGAUGAAAAAUUAAUAUUUGUUAAUUUUAUUGACGUGAAUAAUAUAUUAAUAUUUAAUUAAUUUUUAAAAUUUAAAAAUAUUAAUUUUUUAUAAGUUGUAUACUUUUUAAAUCAUUUGAAUAUUUUUAAUGUUUUAAAAUAUUUUUUAUAACUUUUAUUAAAAUUUUAAAAUUUUAAAAAAUUAAUUAAAUAUUGAUGUACAUGUGACAAUCCACGUAUAUGUUACAUCAAUAAAGUUAAAAAAAUAUUAAUUUUUCCAUUUAUUUUAGAGUGAUUUGACAAAAAAAAUUUAAAAAUUAAAUGGAGAUUAAAAUGAUUUUUAUGUAAAGUUGAAGAUGGGCGAAACUAGGGAGCUGACAGGACCUGGCCCUUCUAAAAUAUAAAUUUUUUAAAAAUUUAAAUUAGUAAAAGUAAAGUUGUACUUUGGCCCCCCUAAAAAUGAUAAAACUUUGAUUUAAUCUUUUAAAAAUUAUAAAGAUAGAGGUUAUUAAAAUGGUAAACAAAUUUUCUGACUUCUCCCCUGAAGUUGAAGUUUUAUCGUACCAAAAAAGAUCAUACAAACUAAAAGAAAUAAGUAAUAUGUAAAUUUAAUUGAUGACAUAUAUAUAUAUAUAUAUAUAUAUAUAGUAAAUGAGAUUGGUUUGUUGGGAUUUAUUUAGUAUAAUGGUAGAUUUGUAGGGUAUUAAUGAUGAAGGAUUCAAACAUAUAAUAAACCUUGUUAACAUAUAAUAAAUUUCACUGUCCAUAGUAUCUGUGUAUUAAUUCUUUAAAAUUUAAAAUUUCUCAUUAAAUUUGUUAAAUUAAAUUAUACUAUUUUCAUAAUCUUAUGCGGCAAUCAUAUUAUUACACGGGUAAUACCAUGUUAGUUUACUAUUUCCACAUAGUACUUAUAAAAAAAAAAGUUGUAUCAUUUUAAUUGAUGGAUUUAUAUGAUAAAGACUAAGAAUAAUCAAAUCGGAGAAUAGAGACUAAAUUCAAAACUUAUACAUAGUAUGAGACUAAUAACAAAAUUGGUCAAACAGGUUUAACUGGUUCCGUUUGGGUUAUGAUUGAAAUUUUAAAAUUCAAAAGAUAGAAGAACUAAAAUUGACGAAAUUAGAGUAAAAAGACUAAAUCGAAACUUACGAAAAAAAAUUUUCAACAAUUCAAUACAAAAUUUAUUAUUCUAGGUCGAAUCCAAUAAGAAGAAGGAAACAGUCCAAUCUAAAAAGUUAAGAGAUUGGGCCGAAAGCAGAGCAACAGAUCCACGGCGAAAUUUGGUCGUCAAGCUCGUAGCUGAAGGGCAAAAGGCAGCAUAGGUAUCAUCGAACUAACUCGUCCGCUCACUCACUCACUCACAACUCAGGAGGAGUAGCAACCGGGUUGGAUUAUUUAUUUUGUUUCCCUCCUCGUUCAACUGUCUCGUUUCAUUUCUUAAAAAAUGACUACCCUUUCAAAUUCUUUGGUUUUAUCGACAAAUCCUCCCCUUCAACUAUUUUCUGGUAACAAUCCCUUCACGUUUCGUUUUUCUUCAUUCUUAAUUGUUUUAUUUUUAAUGGAGUACGAUUUAACGUCUAAUGCAUCAUGAUUGAGAAAAAAGAAGAAAGUUUCUUAGCAAAAUAUAAAUCCAUGCUCGCUGUUUCCAUGGACUUGGAUUCAUAUCUCAUUGUUGAAGUUGUUGAUGGGUCUUAGAACAUUGGCACCUUGAGGCUAUUGAUUCUAAACUAAUCUCCUAUUUGCAGAUUCAAGCCUAUAAUUUAUUAUAUUUCCUAGCAUAUUUGUCUUCUUUUUUUGUUUUUUUUUUGGCAUGCUAUUAAACCUAAGGUAAUAUUGACUGCAAGUGCUGUCAGGUAGAAACGAAAGAAAGAUGCCAAUAGGAUUUGUUGAAAGUACUUUGGUUGUGGAAUUAAUUGUUAGGCUUUAUUUUUCGUUAUUUCUCAUUUUAGUUCAGCAUUUUACAUCUUUUGAUGCAAGAAUCUGGGUUUAACAUCAAUUCAAAAUUUCAAUUUUAGAAUUUGUUAAAUCAUAGCAUCAUCAACAUGUUAUUUUCCAUCCUCUGAGAUCAUAAGAUUGUUUUACCUUUGAGACCAUAGCAUCAUUAACUCUAAUUUUUGUUCCAUCCAAGCUAUGUUUUGUGCAUUUACAAGUGUACCAUCCAUUUGGUUUUAAAAGCUUUGAAAGGCUGUUCCUUACCUUCCCUGCGCAAUUUUUUUUGCUAGGCUCUCAUGGGAGUGCCAGCUCCACCAACUUGGCAUUCAAUUCUAGUCAUUUAAGGAAACUGCAUAUUUCUACCUCUAGAAGGCCUCUCACUGUUCAAGCUUCAUACAGGUAUCAUCUUUCGGACAAUUUGAGCCAAAUAAUGAAUGAUUAUUCCUGUUAAUUUUCCUAUAACUGGGAGAUAAUUAAAGAAGUACUAGCAACCGUAUGCUUAGGUUUGUGUGUGUGCUUGUGUACGUGCAUAUUCUGUUCUCUCUUUUGUGUUUUUUGGAUAUGUUCUGUUGGGAACAUUAGCAUGUAUUAUUACCCAAGUUGUCGGCUUCAUAUGUUCUUACAGUGAUGGCGAAAGGUCAAGCAGUGCUAAUGCCUUUGUUGGAGGUUUUGUUUUGGGAGGGCUCGUGGUUGGUGCACUUGGUUGUGUAUUUGCCCCUCAGGUGAUAUUACCGUUGCAAAUUGCUGUAGAAAUUAUACUAAACUAUCUCCUUGCUCUCCUUUAUGUAUAUUUGUUAUUUUGACCAAUUAAAAAGCCCCCAUAUAAUUUUCAAUGGAUUACACUCUACAGCUAUAGUUUCAUAAUUGACUAACUCCCCCCCCCCCCCUUUUUGAUGUCUAAAACAUACAGCCAGAACUCUGGAAACUAUUUAUGUUUGACUAUUAUUUUUCCUAUGUCAACUUACUAUUAAUGACUUAUAUGAUGGUGAUUGUCGACUACUUAGAUUCUUAUGCUGUUUGCCUUCUAUAGAUCAGCAAGGCACUAGCUGUAGCUGAUAGUAAGGACCUUAUGAAGAGACUGCCUAAAUUCAUAUAUGAUGAAGAAAAAGCUUUGGAGGUGAGCACUUACUCUGUUCAGAAUUAUUGUCCUCUAAAUAUUGGAAUGGCCUGAGUAGUGUGUGCUUUGAAGUUGAUGGACCAGCAUUUAUGUGUUGUCUGAAGUUUAUGGGUUUAAAAGCAGAAUAAUGAGUGACCUUUAAUGUGUAGAAAACUCGGAAGGUACUGACCGAGAAGAUUGCUCAGCUGAACGCUGCCAUUGAUGAUGUUUCUGGUCAGCUUCGAUCUGAAGAUGCCCCGAAUGGAGUUGCUGUAAACUCUGAUGAAAUUGAAGCUGCCAUAUGAAUUGCCUUACGAAUGGUGGUUUAACUAGUCUGUUAUUAAGAAAUAAUAGGGAAUUUGUUGUAAUUUUCCUGUUUUCUCGACAAAACAGUGUAACUCUGUCAUUUGAAUAUGUGGUGAUUGUUGCUAAAAACAUGAAUACUUUAAAAACUUUUGCCGUACAUGAAGGUAAGAUGCUCAAGGUUUGCGACAAGUUUUUCAGAGCAGCAUUUGAGGUGUUUCCUACUUGUAAUGUUGAUUUAAUACUUGGAACAAUCUUUACGUAAAAUAAAUAUCCUGCAUUUGAUGUUUGGAAGAAAAUUUUAAUCGAAUCUCUUUGUUUGGAAAUAGAAUACCCCUCUCUCAGUCUCCGAUGUGGGGUUUCAUUAUUAUUAGCCUCAAAAUUAGUUUAUCCUUCGAACGUACAAUGACAUGGAUAUUUUAAUUUCAUCUAAAUGUUCACCACCAUCCAAAAUAAUCUCCUCGUAGCCAUAAAAUUAUUGCUUGUACACAUCUUGGGCACUGCUCCAUUGAGCUUGAGUCCUUUCUCUCUUGACGACUUGCAGAUUUUUUUUUUUUUUGUGGUCAUUUAACACAGUGCAAAACUGCUAAUGCACUUGAGAGAAAUGACAAGGGAUGGAGCUGUGGCUGAAAUUAUGAGCUUCAGUUCUCCCAUACAAUCUUAUCACAUAUAUCUUGAACACCCUCCAUAUUCACCACACGUUACGUUAAUUCACUUUCAACCAUAAUUUAUAUCCAAUGAUAUAUUAACCAAAACACCAAAUUCAAGUGUAUAAAUAGUAGUGGGGAGGUUCGUUGAUCUUUUAGUUUUUAACUACAGCCAUCAGCCAUGGCAACAAACGCUGCUUUAGCUCCUUCAAGAAUCCCUGCCAACACCAGGCUUCCAUCUAAGACCACUCACUCUUUCCCCACUCAAUGCUCUUCCAAGGUCUCCCUCUUUCUUCUGCUUUUUGUUGCUCUUUAAUUUGCUUCAGGGUUUUAUUUUCAUUUCGGUUUUGUUGUGCAGAGACUGGAAGUGACUGAAUUCUCUGGACUUCGAUCCAGCUCAUGCGUCACCUUUGCCAAGAAUGUUAGAGAUGCUUCCUUUUUCGACGUGCUGGCUGCCCAACUUACUCCCAAGGUUCUUGCACUCUUCUAAAUAACUUUACUUUUUAAGAGAUAAGAUUGUCCUGCUAGUCUUACUACUGUUGCAUAUGAUAGUGCUGAUGGCUUGAAACUGUUUGAAAUUUAGGGUGUAGGGGUACCAUCAACAUCUGUUAGGGGAGAAACAGUUGCCAAACUGAAGGUUGCAAUCAAUGGAUUUGGACGCAUUGGCAGGAACUUCCUCCGAUGCUGGCAUGGCAGGAAGGACUCACCCCUCGAGGUGGUUGUUGUAAAUGACAGUGGUGGUGUCAAGAAUGUAAGUAACUUAAGUUUCACUUGUCAUGCUUUAUAAGAGCUAACCUAUGAGGUUUGGUUUGAUUAGUUUCAUUCAUUAAACUGCGGUAUACAAUAUAAACACAGGCUUCACACUUGCUGAAAUAUGACUCCAUGCUGGGAACUUUCAAAGCUGAUGUGAAAAUAGUUGACAAUGAAACCAUCAGUGUUGAUGGGAAGCCCAUCAAGGUCGUCUCUAACAGGGACCCUCUCAAGCUUCCUUGGGCUGAACUUGGUAUCGACAUUGUAAUCGAGGUAGGUCCUUUGCCCUUAAGUGCCCUUAAACAUAUCCUGCAAUCUAUUAUUCAGCUUGUUCUAAAGAGUAUUAAUUAUAAUUGAAUCAUUUGACAUGCACCUUAAAGGGAACUGGAGUCUUUGUAGAUGGCCCUGGAGCUGGAAAGCACAUACAAGCUGGUGCCAAGAAAGUUAUCAUAACCGCUCCAGCUAAAGGUGCAGACAUUCCAACCUAUGUUGUUGGAGUCAACGAAGGGGAUUACGACCAUGAGGUCUCGAACAUCAUCAGGUCAGUUUUGAAUGAAGAGUUGCAUGCUAAUAGAGCAGUAACGAAAAUCAUUCCCCUUGUUCCUUCUGUUCUAGUGGUUUAGAAUUUUAUUGCCAUUUUGUACUUGCAGCAAUGCUUCAUGCACCACAAAUUGCUUGGCUCCUUUUGUGAAAGUCAUUGAUGAAGAAUUUGGUAAGCAUUUCUCAUAUUUAUGUAUCAUUUCAAAGCUUGAACAUUUUGAGAAUGAUCCUUUUCUCACUUUGCCAAAACUGAUUUGCAGGCAUUGUGAAGGGUACAAUGACAACCACUCACUCUUACACAGGAGACCAGGUAAUCAUACUAAUUAACCAAACACAAACACUCACACCCAAUUGAAUUGCUUGAGCAACGAAGAAAACUAAAAUUAUUUGUUGGUGAUGGUCCAGAGGCUAUUAGAUGCUUCGCACCGUGACUUGAGGAGAGCCAGGGCUGCAGCAUUGAACAUAGUACCAACAAGCACAGGUGCAGCCAAGGCUGUCUCUCUUGUGCUUCCUCAACUCAAGGGAAAGCUGAAUGGCAUUGCACUUCGUGUGCCAACACCAAACGUAUCAGUUGUUGACCUUGUUGUGAAUGUUGAGAAGAAGGGCAUUACAGCUGAAGAUGUGAAUGCUGCUUUUAGAAAGUCAGCCGAGGGACCAUUGAAGGGUGUAUUGGAAGUGUGCGAUAUUCCUCUUGUCUCAGUGGACUUUAGGUGCUCUGAUGUUUCUUCCACCAUUGACUCUUCCUUGACCAUGGUCAUGGGAGAUGACAUGGUCAAGGUGGUGGCCUGGUAUGACAAUGAAUGGGGUUACAGGUGAGCUUUAAGCAAGCAAUCUAAAAUCAGUGUAGGUGAUGUUUAUAUUUGAUUUUGUAGAUUAAUAACUGUUACAAUGUAAUAUGCAGCCAAAGGGUUGUUGAUCUGGCACACUUGGUGGCAAGCAAGUGGCCGGGCAUGCCUGUAGCUGGAAGCGGUGACCCCUUGGAGGAUUACUGCAAGACAAACCCAGCAGAUGAGGAAUGCAAAGUUUACGAGGCUUAAAUAGUUGCAACUUUAUGAUUGUUUUUUUCUUUUACUCGCAGAUGGUAUAGUUUGUGGCCAAGGGUUUUCCAAUGUUCAUGUUAACAAAAAAAAUAAACAGCUCAUUUUGUAAUGACAGCAGAGUGACAUGAACAUAUAACAUUUCAAUGCAUGCAGCUGCAAUCAUCUUUUGAAUUAAUUACUUGUUGCUGUGUGUAGUCCUUCUAUCAAUUGCAUCCUACUUUCUCAUACAUACAUACAUACAUACAUACAUACACUUCAGCUAGUUGGAAGAAACGAAGCAAAAACUGAACACCAAAGUGUAAAGUUGUGUUAAGCUUUAAAAGUUUGAAGAGAAGAGGCAGAAGGAGAAUGGGGCCUACCAUGCAUAACCCGACAACAACCAUUUGCAUUUAGCAUGUGGUGAUAUAGAAUGUUAGGCUCUUAAUCAAUAUUCAAUCAUAAUAUCCUUAAUUAUAAAAAAAAUCCUAGUUUAUACAUAAUCCAAAUAGAGAAUUGAUUAUCAAUGUAAAAAACCCUCGAGCCCAGUCCAAUAAUGGUCGUUGAGUUCUUGCUUUGCUGCCAAGAAUGUUGAGCUCUUCAGCAAAAAUCUUCUUUAUAAUUACAUAUAAUCUUCUCUUUUGUCACAGUAGCUACUCCAUCUCUAGCAUCACAAACCAAAGGGUUUCUUACCAAACAACCACCAUAAUAUUCACCUUUCCAUCGCCAAGCAUAACACUAUACAUGAAUUGAAUGCCUCACAAACACAAUUUCAAAGCCCUCCAUCAUUCAUGAACUCUUUAACAAAACAUGAAAAAGCUUCAAUAACAACAGCACCUUAAAAUCUGAAAGAGACAACAAUCCUCACUUAGCAAAACAUGAAAAUGAAAGCAUUAAUGUCCGAACUCAGUAUUAGUAAUGACUCCUCCAAGAGUACAAGAAAGAAUGAUGUUCCCAUGAAGUUUAUAACUACAUAUGCAGAAGUUUAAGAUCAUAUACCUCACAAGGUAAGUCACCACGCUCACUGUAUUUGCCAUACUUGAAACUAAAAUCCCUUUUUCACUUUGAGUUAAACACUAUGAUAUCAUGAUGGACUCACUAAACCACGGAAACGAACACGAAAGGUUGUAUGUACUGACUCAGUCGCGGAACUACAUAUGUGAUUGUAAACUCAACUGGUUCAAAAAAAAAAUUGCUUAUAUAUAUAUUUUUAAUUUAUAUAAUUAGUAAAUUGAGCUCACAAAAAAAUUGUAAAAUAAUCCACCAAAAUUUUUCAAAAUUUUAUUUUAUAUAAAAAUAAAUUAAUCUCUCUCCACUCACUUUCUUUUAAAUUUUGUCUCAAAAUUCUUUUAAUCUCUCACACAUUCUCUAGAACAAUAUUUAGUUUUUUAUUGAUUGAAUGAUUUUGAGAUAUUGAUUUUGUAUGAGAUCUCUAGCAUCUUGAUUGACUAAUAAUUUUUAAAAGUUGAUUAAUAAAAAUCCCUGUAGAAAUUAGGAUUGAUUAUCUUUAUAAUGUUGAAUUUCUUAAACAUUGAUUAGGAAUUGUGACCAUACCAUGUACGGAACAUUGUUUUCGGCACAUCACUAACUUUCACUUUUAGUUGAUAAUAUUCGAAUCUCAGAUCAAUUUUGGAGAAUACAAUUACACCUUUCAAUUGAUCAAAUAUGUUGGGAAUUGACCCGAUUAAGCAACAAACAAGUAAUUAGAGCUAGUUCAAUUUUCGUAGAUCAGCCCGUUCAGAGAUGGAAACAACAAGGUUUGACAUUGAGAAGUUUGAUGGUGUCACAAAUUUCAAUCUGUAGCAAGUUCGGAUGAUGACAAUUUUAAUUCAGACUGGGCUGAAAAAGGUCGUUACCAGGAAAAAGCUCGAGAAUCUAAAUCAGUCUAAAUGGGAAAAGCUUGAUGAAAAUGCCUUGUCUGCAAUCCAGUUGUGCCUCGUGAAUAGAGUAUUGCAGGAGGUAUUAAUGGAGAAGACCUCAUCCACCUUGUGGAAAAGGUUAGAAACUCUUUAUGCUAAGUCUCUGGCUAACCGUUUAGUGUUAAAAUAACGUCUAUUUACGUUUCACAUGAACAAAUGUGAGCUUCUUAGAGAUCACAUCAGUCAAUUCAUUACCCUUUUAAAUUAUUUAAAUAACGUUGAGGUUCAGAUUGAUGAUGAAGAUCAGGUUAUGCUAUUAUUGUAUUCUUUACCCCCUUCAUACAAGUCUUUUAGGGAGACCCUGAUUUAUGACAGAGACAAACUCUCAUUCGAGGAUGUGAAGAGUCAUUUGUUGAGUAAAGACAAACUCAACAAUGAGUUUGGUUUUGAUAGCAAGACAGAUAAGCAAGCUUCUUUUUUGAUAACAUCAAAGAAGCGAGACAAAAGGUGCCGCUAUUGUAAGAAGUUAGGUCACGUCAAAACAGAUUGUUUUAAACUGCGAAAUAAAAGGGCUACUGAGAGUAACGAGGAAGAUGUAACUGGUGCUAAUUUGGCCAAUGAAAGCGGUGAUGAUUUCUUGUUAGUGUCAAUGAGCGAAAGCUCUGAACUUACGUCUGAAUGAACCCUAGAUUCAGGAUGUUCUUUCCAUAUGUGUCCCAAUAGAGAAUGAUUCUCCACAUACAGUUUGGUUGAAGGUGGAGUUUUGCGCAUGAGAAACGAUUCAUCCAAUAAGAUAAUUGGUAUUUGUACUAUUAAAGUUAGGAUGCACAAUGGGGCGAUUAGGACACUCUUAGAUAUUAGGUAUUUUACGAAAGAAUCUCAUCUCAUUGAGUAUUUUAGACUCGAAAGGUUGUAGAAUCAACAUUAAGUCGAAGGGCAUUAAGGUGCCUCAUGGGGCUCUUGUUUUAUUAAAAGGUAAAAGAACCGACAGUCUUUAUAUUUUGGAAGGUUCUAUAGUGACCGGUGUAAUGACCCGUUUUUAGUGAAAUCGAAAUAGUGGUUUCGAGACCACAAAUUUGAAGUCAAAAAAUUUAUUUUAAUAUUAUUUUGUGAUCUACAGCAUGAUAUUAUGAUUGCAUAAAAAUUUCGUUAAGAAAUUUUACUGUUUGUAUGCUCAAUUUGUGAAAAAGGACUAAAUCGCGUAAAGUGCGAAAGUUGUGUUCUAUUAGCUAAAGGUGUUAAAUAGCUAUAUAACUUUAUAGUGGAGGUCUUUAUAUGGUAAUUAGACCAUUAAAUGUGAUAGUGGAUGUACGUGGAUGUACAUGGCUUGGUAAUUGUGUAAUUUUUAAAGUUAUGUAAGGGUAAAAUGGUAAUUAAGUAAUAAAAGCUAAAUUAAAUCAAAUGAAACAAAAUAGGCCAUCAUAUUUGUGUUUUCUUCCACCGCACCAAAGAGGAGCCUUUCAAAAGCUUGAAAAUUUGCAAAGAAAAUUCCUUGCAUGUAAGUGAUUUCUAAGCCUGUUUUUGAUGAUUUUUAUGUUUUAUGGAUCGUUGUAGCUUAACCUAGCUAACUAGGGGACUAAAUUGAAAAAUUGUUGAAUAGUUUGAGAUUUUCCAUUGAUGAAAAUUCUAGGGCUUUGAAGUUUAAUGGAAGAAAAUAAAUCCUUAUUGUUUGUUAAACAACUUUUGGAAAGAGAUUUUUAAUGGAAUUGUCAAUUAUGGGCUAAAUUGAGAAAUAUAAAAAUUGUGUGUUAAAUGUGUGAAAUUUUUAAAUGUAUGGGCUACUAUAUGCACAUAUAAAAUUUGGCUAGGCUUACAUAGGGGUGAAAUUGCAUAAAUUUCAUUUUACGAGCCUAGGGACUAAACUGUAAAGAAGUUAAAAGUAUAAGGGCAAAAUGAUAAUUUUUCCAUAACAUGAAUUUUGGAUUGAAUUUAAUAGAAUGAUGCUUAAAUUAGUUAAAUUUGAUUAUAUAGAUCAAGAAAAGCCACAUUCGGAUUUAAAUCGAGGAAAGGAUAAAGUCGUGGACUAAACGAUCGUAUUUCUCCGUGCGAGUUUAAGGUAAGUUUGUGUAAUUAAAUUGUGUAGUUAUAUACUUUAAUUGAAAUAUAUGUAUGUGGAUUGUGUAAUUUCAAUGUAUAAUUAUCGAAUGCAUAAUCGAUGAAGUAUGAAGAAUACCGAGCCUCAUUUGAACCUUAAAAAUUCGUAGGAUACAAAUGACAUGUCAUUAGGGUUACCAAUUUUGGUUGAGAUCCUGCAUGUGUUGCGGACUCACCACAGCUUGUAUGAGCUUACCGAUUUGCAGCUCAUGAGAGCUUACCAAUUCUCAGCUCGUAUGAGCUUACCGUAUUUUAGCUUUGAAGAGUUUACCGAUUAUGGCUCGUAAGAGCAUACAUGUACAGGAAUUGACGGACUUACAGUUCAAUACACCUCGCGUGUACUACUCGCGUAUCUAACGAUAUUCUAAGCGGUUUAACGGACAUAGUGUUAUUACGAGAUUAUACAAGUUCGAUACGAACUAGUACAGAUAUUUACAUGGAGAUGAUUUAUAUAUAUGAUAUACGGAUAUACAGUAGAGAUGGUUUAGUAAUUGUUGAAUUCAUACAUGAUUCUUGAUUUUUAUGUGUAUACAUGACUAACUUGGUGAAUGGUUAUGUGAUAGGCUUUGGCCAAAUUGAAUUGAGCUAUGCUUUGAGUUACUUACCUAAAAUUGUGGUUAUAUGGUAAGUUUAAUUCCAUGUUUUACGAAUUUACUAAGCUUAAUUGCUUACUCUGUUUAUUUUUCUGUGUUUUAUAAUGUCUCGGAAGCUUGUUCGGAUUAGAAGUCGUCAAGGGUCGCAUCACACUAUCAAACAAUAUUUUGGUACUUUUGACUUAUAUAAAUAUUUGGGUUAAAUGACAUGUAUAGGUCUUUUGGCUAUUGGAAACCCAUAUGUUUUGUUGUGUUGUAGCCAUUUAAUUUGGCUUAAAUUUGGCUAUAUAUAUAUGUAAAUAGCCUUAUAGUAUAUGAUGUAUGGAAGUUAUAUGAAUGUCUUUAUUUUGAGUUGGUAUUUUGGGUAUCAAAUGGUUGAGAUUUAUAAGUGGCAUACAUGCUAAGUUUUAGGCACAAAGAUUUCAUAUAUGUGUUUGACCAAUUAGGUACAUUUGGAUACAUAGUUUGCAUUAUUAUGAGUGGUCAUUUGAGGUGCCUAUAUGUAUCAUGAUGGUAGGUGAUAUUAUUACAUGUUAUAAACUUGAAAUUGGUUGGUUUUGAAUGCCUAUUUAUGUCAUGGUUGUAUGCAUAUUGAUGUGUGUAGGAUGGUACCAAUUUGGGUGAGAAAUAUGGUUUGAAAAAUGACCUAUUUUUGUCCAUACGAGCAGAGACACGGGAGUGUGUCUCAGUCGUGUGUGACACACGACCAGGUGACACGGCCGUAUGUCCCAUGUAACUUUCUUAGAAAUCAAAUCAGUAGCUUCACAUGGCCUAGCACAUGGGUGUGUGGUUUGGGCGUGUGAUACAAGUUAGUAUACCGUCCAGUUUUCACACGGCCUAGCACGUACGGCCUGACACACAGGUGUGUGAGGCCAUCUCGAAGGGUACACGGCCUGGCACACGGGCGUGUGGGUUGGUCGUGUGACCCAAGUCAUUGAGUUACACGGGGUCAGACACGGGCUAGGACACGGCCGUGUGUCCCUAUUUUGAAUGCCCACACGGCCUGAGACACGUGCGUGUCUCUUGGCCAUGUGAGACACACAACCUGGCCACACGGACGUGUAUCCCCUGCACUUUGAAAAUUUGUAAUGUUUUUCUAAAAAUUUCUUGAGUACUCGAUUUAGCCUCUAACCACUUUUAAUGUCUAUAUUGGGCCUCGAGGGCUCGUAGUUGGGAUCAUAUGAAUGUUUAUGAAUGGUUUUUGAAUUGAAUGAGAAAUGUACAUGAAAUGUUUGAUUGAUUGAGUUAUAAGUCCAGUAAUGCUCCGUAACCCUGUUCUGGCGUCGGAUAUGGGUUAGGGGUGUUACAACCGGUGAAAUCGAAUGUCCCUCGUCUGUUAUGGAGUCGAAGUCAACUCAUUUAGAGCGGAGGCAACUUGGUCAUAGGAGGGAAAAUAUAUGUUCAUUUCGUUGAAGAAGAGGUUCUCUUUUGGAUGCAGGUUUUAAAAAGUUAGGGCAUUGUAUUCGUAAAAAUUAGACCUAAGUUAGUUUUGAUUUGGCAGUGUACAAGUUGAAGGCUAGAAGUCUUCCAGUUUCUAAGCAUAGAUUCGACUCAGUUAAUUCCCUGCAUAGUUCAAGAUAGGCCAGUGACGGGCUUUGGCAAAGACGGCGUUGUGGAAAUAUGAUUCAAUUUGGAGAUUUGUUGAGUAUGACUCCUAUUUCAGUCAAAUUUGAGAAAUAAUCUUCCAGUUAAACUCUGUUUAUUUAUUUCAAUCAAACUCUGUUUAUUUGUUUUAAUCAAACUCUAAUUAGUCUAGAUUAUUUUAUUAUUAAUUGAUCUAUGAAUUUAGCCUAUAAAUAGGUUCUUUUACAACCUUAAAAAAUAAACCCAUUAGAGAUUAGAACUCAUAACACUUUUGGAGAAUUUUAUAUUUAUGUUUUGAUGGUUCAUUGUUCUUUUGAGUUUCGGGGUUUAGUUUUUAUCUCCAUCUUUGUACUCUUCGUUCUUUUGCUAUUAUAGUAAAAUUAUCUUUGCUUGUGGUUUUUUUAUCCUUUUUGGAGAGAUUUUUUCACGUUCAAUUUGUGUGUUCAAUUUCUCAAUUUCUUCCGCUAUUUUUACUUGUUCAUUGCUUAAUCGGGUCGAUCCCUAACAAAAUAGAUUGUCAAUACACGGAAACAAAUAUCUAUUAUUGAUUGUCAACUUAUUCAACUGCCAAUAAUUAAUACAAAGUGGCAUCGACCUAUCUUGCUUUCUAACAAAAAGCACCGAAGCUCCCCAAUAUGAUAUACUAGGGUGUGUAAAGCCUCAGUUUAGGAGAUCAUGUAAUUGAAUUUUCAACUCUUUUAGCUCCGUUGGUGUCAUACGAUAUGGAGCAAUAGAGACUAGGGUUGUACCUGGGUAAACCUCAAUUACAAAUUCAACCUCGCGAUCAGGAGGCAAUCAUGAUAAUUCUUCUUGAAAUACAUCCGAAAACUCGCAUAUUGUCCAAAUCUUACUCAUUUGACUUUCAUCCGAACUCGAGUUAAUAACAUAGGCCAAAUAUAUUCCACAACCUUGAUUCAGAAGUUUAUUAGCUCGAACCAACGAAAUGAUAUGAGUAGAAUCACACAAUCUUAUGCCCUUGACUUCAAUGAUGUCACCUUCAGGACUUUGGAUAAAGAACUUCUUUUUACGGGAUUCCAAAAUCAUUUUAUGCUUGGUUAACCAAUUGAUUUCUAAAAUUACAUCAAAAUCACCAAAACGGCAUGAUCAAUAGAUCAACUGGAAAUGAUUUAUUCUGGAUUUCUAAUAGGAAACGCUUGCAUACUUGAUCAACGAGCACUAUUUGUCCCAAAGAACUUGAAACGGAUAUUGGUAUGCUUAUAACUCCAACUUCAAUUUUCCCGAUUUCAAGAAGCUAAAAUUAAUGUAUAAAUGCAUAAAGUUAAAAUCAAUUAAAGCAUGAACAGGUGCAAAAUAUAAAAGGAAAAUACAUGCCACAACAUCGGUAGCAUCAUCCUCUUCUCUGUUUCAGAGCUCUAGCUUCAUAUUUUUUCCCUACUUUUUUCUUUAUUUUCGUUACUUUUAAAAUGUUGUUUUAUUAUCUCAAUUAUUUUUCAAAAAUAAUAGACUUGUAUUAUAAAUCAGAUCAAUUAUCAUUUAAUAAGCAAUGUAUAUUUUUAAAAAAUAUAAAAAUAUAUUAUUUAAUGAAUUUUAAAAAAUAAAAUCACGUGUGAUACACUUGUCAUUGUCCAAAACUUGAUAUCAAACUAAGACUUCAUUUCUAACAAAAGCCUAUUUUCUCAAGUUAUAAAUAAAAAGAGAUAAAUAUCUUUAAUUGUAUUUUACAUGGUAUAUUUGAUUUGAUUUGACAUUUUCAUAAGUAUUACUCAGAUACUGUGCAAGCAGGGUUAUUACAAGUCAACAUAAACUGAUUAAACAUAAUGGAAAACUAAACAUAAGUCUACUGUUCCCUACCCAUUUCUUUCGCUUUUAAAAAGAAGUUAAUAUUUUUUGGUGUUUAAAUGAAUUUGUGUAAAAUGACAAAUUUCGUAAAAAAUUCAUAAAAGCUGUUUUCAAUGAAACAAACAUGCGUAUGAGAUUUUCUUGUCUUUUCAUUGUUUAAUUGAGUUUAAUUUAUAUCUAUAAAUUUAUAUUUUACAUUUUCUUGGUAAAACAAACACAAUAUAAAUAUAUUUGUUAUAAAAUAUUAUAAUCGAAAUUUAUUUUAUAAUAAUAAUAAUCAAUCUCAUAUAUAACCUUAAUAAUAAGUAAUGCUUAAUUAAAGCUUAAUUUAAAUUGCAUAUAUAAGAGUACAUAUUGACGCAUUAGAGUUGCAAGAGAUAAAUGAAGCUAAGCAUUAUUUAAACAAAUGCUUAUAUUUAUAUAAUUAAAACAUUCAUAUUAUUAUACUAGGUUAAAAUAUGUUAUAAGUCCUUGUACUCUUCGUAACUUUGAAAUGUUGUCCAUGUACUUUUAUUUUUAGGUUAGUCCUACUUUUUAAAUAUCAAAAUUCAGGUUCAACUGUUAGCGUUAUUAAAAAUAUUUUGUUAAAUUCAUAUUCAUUAUUACGUCAUUUUUUAGUUACAUGAAUACCGAGUAUUUUUUUUAUUUAGAACCGUGACAUCAACAAAAUUGAAAAAAUAAUAAUAACGUUAACAAUUAUACUUGAUUUUCAAAUCUAAAAAGUAGAGAGACUAAAUUCCAAAUUUGUGAAGAGAACAUAGACUUAUAGCAUAUUUUAACUUUUGUACUACAAAACAUUUAUUAUUAAUAUAUUUAUAAUUGUAAUAAAUAUUUAUCAUUAAAAUAUUAAUAUUAAAUAUUUUUCAAUAAUAUUUGAAGAAUAUUAUUUAAAAUUAUUAUUUUUAAAAUUUACUAUUAAAAUAAAAUUGAAAUAUUAAAUAUAAUAAAUUAUAUUAACAAUUUAUUAUAUGAUUAGAUAUAGAUAAUUAAAUAUGUAUGUUUAAUAAUAUUGAAAAUUAUAAUAUUAUAUAUUAAUAUUUUAUUAAUUUUAAAUAUUUUUAAAAAUAAAAAUUUAUUAUUAAUUUUAGGCUUGAAAAUUAAUUUUUAUAUAGAAAAAAAUUAUCUAUAAAGGAAUUUUUUUUUGUUAGAAAAUGUCUUAUGCUUUUAAAAACAGGAAAAAUAUUUUUUGUUAACCUGAAUAAACCAAAUAAAUAUAAAAGAAUAGGAAAAAAAGGAAGGUGUUAAGUGUGUUUCUACUAAAUGCUUAUAUUUCCAAUUGAAUGAAGGGGCAUCUCCUAUUUAAAAAGCCAUUCCAAUGUGAUCCAACUGAUUGACAACAUAUAAAAGGUAUUUAGAUGUUAUUUAUACCAAAAUUUAGACAUUUUUGUUAAAUAAAGAUUGUGAAAAUGCAAAUAACCAAAGUCAGCAGUCGUAACACAAGUUUUAUAGUUAACUCAGCUGACAUGUGUGUGGAUAUGAUUGGUUAGCAUGGCAACGAUCGGACCAGGAGGUUGGACUUGGACACGAAUCAAUUGAAAAUACGCCAAGCUCGCCAGGCUGCCUUGCCACCCCUAAUUGACCUUUCCCCUUCUAUUGCGGUAUUCUGCAAAAUUUCCCAAUUCCAUAACCCUAGAUUCAGCAUUUCCCAAUUACACUCCCAACAUUUUUACCAUCAUUCAUUACCAAACUCUGGCACGAUAUGAGGCGAUCUCGGAUUUUCCUUUUGCUGUUAGCCAUCUUAUUUUCUCCGUCUAUACGCGGCUUCUUCUGCUCUCAGAUCUCGCAAACUGCUCUUUCCAAUCGUUUCCUGCCGCCCCCUCCUCCGUAAGUAUCUUCAGCUCCUUAUUCUCAUUGGAUUAAUGCAUUUAGGAAAAAAAAAAAACCUGAUCUUUGAUUUUUUUUUUGAAUUACGAAUUUUGCUAUAUCUGUCUAUAAUGGCUGCUGCAAGCUAUGUGGAGUUCGCUUAAAACCCUGAAAUCAGUUCUACUCAAAUUGUAUUUUGUGUCUUUAUUUAGUGACGAUGGAUUAGCAGUGGUAGUUACUCUGGAUGGAACAAUGCAUUUAGUGGACAGAGUAUCAAGGAAAGUUCAUUGGUCGUUUGCAUCGGGCAGGCCUAUUUAUUCAUCUUAUCAGGCCUUCCUUGACCAGGACAAUGAUAAGCUUAAUGCAUCUGGACCCAACAGUGAUUUGUAUGUUGAUUGUGGGGAUGAUUUGCAACUCUAUGUUCAUAGCAGGAGCCAUGGAAAACUGGUAUCAAUGCUUAUCCUGCUUCUCUUUCUUACGGUUGUCUGUCCCAUACUAAUUUUGGGGUUUCUUAGUCAUUGAUUCUAUUGUCUAUGAUAACUAUUAAAUUUGACUGAUUGAUUGGCUUGGAAAUCUUGUUUAUAUGCUUUAUUGCUUUCAUACUGAUAGCAUCUUUUUCAUCUCAAUGGUUUUGCACUCUAGAAAAAACUUGAACUGAGCGCUGAAGAAUAUGUUAGAAGAACACCCUACAUAGCAGAGGAUGGAGGGAUCACUUUGGGAGUAAAAAAGACCUCUAUUUACCUUGUUGAUGCAAAUUCUGGUAGAAUAAUACAAACUUAUAGGUCAGAUGAUCCUCCCUCUACGCUAGAUAUUCAGAAUGAUGCAGGUAAAACAGUUCGUUGGACAAAGGGUGCUGAUGCACUGGUGGAGUUUGGUCCUUUUAACUCAACAACAGUCAAGCAGUUUGUCUAUAUUAUGAGGACAGAUUAUGUCCUCCAGUAUUAUUCUCCAAACUCUGCUGAAGUAUUAUGGAAUGUGGCAUUUUCUAAAAUUGAUGCUGAAUUUCGAUGUCAAGGACCAGAGGAAAAACUUUCUGCAGAUUACAUGCAUGAUUUUGAGUUGCAAUUGCCAUGUCAGAAGAGACCUGUUGUUAUCCAAGUUCGUGAUCAUAAAUUGUUGGAAUCUCUCCCCGUCUUUGGCUGGCUUGAUGGAAUAAUCCCACUGCCUUCUUCAAAUCAAAAUCCUCGCUUGCCGCCUGCUGAUGUACUGGCUCUUCCUAGUGACAAACCAUGGCUUGCUUUGCCAGCUUCUGAGAUGGAAAACCCUCUUAUGUUGGAUACCGCUAAUACAAACAUCACUACAAGGUUUGACAUCGCUGGAUCAAGCAUACAACCUUUCAUUUCUUUCUUUGCUACCCUAUUGACUAUCAUUGUCUUUGCCUUUUACCGCUUAAAACGAGGUAAGGGGAGUAAGCAGGAUCAGGAAGUUAAAUUGCAAUCAGUACCUAAAAAGAAAAAACCUAAGAGAGUUGGGAAUAGUAAGAGCAGUGGCAAUAACGAGAAAAAGAACAAGCCUGUUUCAGAGGAGAAUAAUGUUGGAAAUACCAACACACUUCCUUAUAUUGAAAGGAAUGAAGCGAAAUCAUUGCUGAACUUUACAGAUCUUGUUGAUGGCCGAGUAGAUGGGCGCCGAAUUGGUAAGUUACUUGUUUCCAACAAAGAAAUAGCAAAAGGAAGCAACGGUACCAUUGUGCUUGAGGGGAUUUAUGAUGGUCGUCCAGUAGCUGUUAAACGUCUUGUGCAGACCCACCAUGAUGUGGCUUUGAAAGAGAUUCAGAACCUUAUUGCUUCUGAUCAACACCCUAAUAUUGUUCGCUGGUAUGGGGUCGAGUUUGAUCAGGAUUUUGUUUAUCUCUCUCUAGAGCGUUGUACCUGUAGCUUAAAUGACCUGAUCUAUGUAUGCUCUGAAUCUUUUCAAAAUCAAGCCAUUGUCAAGGAUGAAGAUUCAAAAUUCUUCAAUGAGUGUAAUGUUCGAUUGCAUAGUGUGAUGGAAAAUAACAAGGUUAUUGAACUCUGGAAGCCCAAUGGACAUCCUUCGCUCCAUUUGUUGAAACUAAUGAGGUAAAUUUCAUAUCCUUAAAGCUUUCUCGUUCUCUUCUGCUCGUGGGUGUGUGUUUCUUUGUGUGAAAUUGGUCAGAAUUUGACAUUGUUAUCUUUUUCUGUAGAGAUAUAGUCUCUGGGCUUGCCCAUCUACAUGAACUUGGCAUCAUACAUCGAGAUCUAAAACCUCAAAAUGUUUUGAUAAUCAUGGAGAAGUCUCUAUGUGCAAAGCUUUCUGACAUGGGCAUUAGCAAACGCUUGACUGGGGAUAUGUCUUCCUUAACCCGCGGUGCUACUGGUAAGCUUAUCAAUCACGUCUGGCAUCAUUCAGCAACAAUUAAACCAUGCACGUUUCGUGAUACAUUGCUUGUGUAAAGAUUGGUCAAAUUAAUUCUUUAUAAUGUUGCUAAAUGUAGGUUAUGGAAGUUCAGGCUGGCAAGCACCUGAACAACUUCGUCAAGGACGCCAGACACGCGCUGUGGAUUUAUUUAGUUUAGGCUGUGUUUUAUUUUUUUGCAUCACUGGUGGUAAACACCCAUAUGGGGAUAGUAUUGAACGUGAUGUAAAUAUUGUGAAUGACCGAAAGGACCUCUUCUUAAUAGAGAGUAUACCAGAAGCAAUGGAUCUUUUCUCUCAUCUCUUGGAUCCCAACCCAGAAUUGAGGUAAUCUAUCAUCCACAUUUUGAUGAUCCUAUAACUAUGCAUUCGUUGAAUGCCCCUGGGUUUAAUAUUUGAGCAUUCAGAUCUUCUUGUCUAUCUGCACAUAGAAAAGCCUGUGAAGUGCAUUCUUAAACAUAACAGAUGGAAAAUAUUUAAGCUUAUCAGGGGUUGUACGCAACACGUCUCCUCUAACAACUAUAUUUUGAUAUGUGGUAGGCCAAAGGCACAGGAUGUUUUGCAUCAUCCGUUAUUUUGGAGUUCUGAGAUGAGGCUUUCAUUUCUUCGAGAGGCUAGUGAUCGUGUUGAAUUGGAAGACAGGAAGAGUGCAUCAGAAGUAUUAAAUGAAUUAGAAAGUAUUGCAGCAGUAGCUUUGGAUGGGAAGUGGGAUGAAAAGCUGGAACCUGCAUUCCUUAAUAACAUUGGACACUAUAGGAGAUACAAAUUUGAUAGUGUUCGGGACCUACUGCGGGUAAUAAGGAACAAGCAAAACCACUACAGGGAAAUUCCUCAAGAUAUCCAAGAAUUAUUGGGGCCACUUCCAGAAGGAUUUGAUGGUUAUUUCUCUAGUCGAUUUCCAAAACUGUUGAUUGAGGUUUAUAAGGUACUCUAUAAGCACUGCAAGGAGGAGAAAUUCUUCCAGAAAUAUAUGAACAGCAGUAUAAUCUAAUCUAAUUUUCAUUUGUUCCUCUCCUCUUUAACUGCUGUUCUUACUGUAUAUAGAAAUUGUAUCAUACUGCAAACAAGUGUCAGUGAUUAAUGUAAUAUAUUGUAAUUUAACCUUAAGUUUCAUUUUGUAGUUUCAUCUCUUCUAACCUUAAGAUAACAAAGGCAGUUCAUGAAACUAACCUUGUGUGUUUCUAGAUCUUUGGCAGCUUCAUAUACCGCCAAAGUGGAAAAAAAAUCUAAACAAAAAUAACAGGGUUGGCUUGGCAUAGAAACAGGUGAAGAAUUAUUUUUAUUAUUUUAAAUGAGAGUUAAAAAAGAUUCUUGUAUGAUUCCCCAGUCCGUGACGAAGCAUUUCUUAUACUUUAUACAUAAUGGGUUAAUCCGACAAACCUCAGUUUUAAAGCUUCUGCUUAUCAUUAUAGAAUACAACAAGGGCAUGUAUAGAAAAUUUCAGUUUGGAGAAAUAAAUGUAGGGUCUUCUUAUUAAUUAUGAAUUUAUAUACUCCCCUCAGGAUAAGUGUGAGAGACGCGUUUCAUAGGUGGGAACACAAACACAUUGCUUUGUUGUGGGAUAUAGUUGGAUCCUCUGCUAAUGUUGGUGUGGACCCACUGAUCAGCUUCAGUAGUAAUAAUAUUUUUGACAAAGGUGGAAAGAUACUGUUCCUCCUCUGAAUUUUUCAUCACGUUCUGUCCCCACAUUAUCUGACAUCCUCCCAAUUUCUCUGCUCAAAUGCAUUUGGCAUUUCAUGCCAGGAAACUGUAGGUACUACACAUAUCUUCACUUCAUUAGGAACAUCAAUACCUUGAUCCUUUGAACCACCAAAUGGCUCUUCAUCUCUUCCACCUCCUCCUCUUCCUCCUUCUCAGCCCAUUAUCUUAUGUCUCUAGCGUUGGCAUUAACUAUGGCACUCUAGGAAACAACCUGCCUUCUCCAAAGAAAGUUGCUCAGCUCCUCCAAUCUACGCUCAUUGAUAAAGUUAAAAUCUAUGACACCAACCCUGAUAUCCUUGAAGCCUUUUCCAACACCGGAAUUGACCUUAUUGUUGCCGUUGAAAACUACCACGUCGCCAACAUUAGCAAGGACGCAGCCGCAGCCGACGACUGGUUUGCCACUCGUGUGCAGCCCUUCAUCCCCGCCACUUCCAUCGUAGCCGUUUGUGUAGGCAACGAAUAUUUGACCUCCGAUGAUAAUUUGGACCCUGAUGCACUGGUCCAAGCCAUGCAAAACUUACAUGCUGUGUUAUUAAAGCGUGGUCUUGACCGUAAGAUCAAGGUCACUACCCCGCAUAGCAUGGCUGUUCUUGCUUCCUCGUUUCCACCCUCGGCUUCAACCUUUGCCACAAAGCUUAUUCCCACCAUGAGCUCUAUUGUUGGGUUUUUGGCUGAUACUGGUGCACCUUUCAUGGUCAAUGCCUACCCUUAUUUUGCAUACAGGGAUAACCCCAGCACAGUUGAUUUAGAGUAUGCAUUGCUAGGGAACUCGACAGGGGUCCAUGACCCUAAGGGUUACAUCUACCAUAACAUGCUGGACGCCCAGAUUGAUGCUGUUAGGUCAGCUAUCGAUGCCAUUGGCUUUGGGAAUCUAUCAAUGAAGAUCACAGUGUCAGAAUCUGGAUGGCCCUCAAAAGGAGAUUCAGAAGACACCGCAGCUACACCCAACAAUGCAAAGACCUACAAUACCAGGUUGAUUGAGCGUGCACAGUCUAAUAAAGGGACACCCAUGAAACCUAAGGAUAACAUAGAGAUAUUUGUGUUUGCUUUGUUUAACGAGAACAAAAAGCCAGGGGGUGCGAGUGAGAGAAAUUUUGGGAUUUUUAAUGGGGACGGGUCUAAGGUAUACGAAGUGGACUUGAGCUGCGAGUUCUGCAGCAAUGGAGGUGCAUUCGAGAAGAUGUCGACAAGCGGCCAAGUAAGGGGUCCGUCAGUAUGGUGCGUGGCUAAACCACAUGCAGAUGAGAAAGUACUUCAAACUGUGCUGGAUUUUUGCUGCGGCCCUGGUGGAGUUGACUGUAGGGAAGUUUAUGAAAGCGGUAAAUGUUUUGAGCCCGACAAGCUUCACGCUCAUGCAUCAUAUGCCAUGAAUGCUUACUACCAGAUGCACGGCAGGAAUUAUUGGAACUGCGAUUUCAAGGGUACUGGCCUAGUCACCUUCAGUGAUCCAAGUAAGUUGAUACUAUUUAAAACACCAAUACUUAAAUCUUUCUUUCAUUUUCCCCCAUUAACUUUCAAUUAAUCUUUCCUGGGUCAGGUUAUGGGACAUGCCGGUAUCGACAACAGUGAUUCAACAGCUUAGAUGUGGUUGAUUGACAACUCUUUUGUAUUUGAUUGCUGGUAUUGUGGAUUUGAAAUUCGAGUAAUGUAACGUGAACCAAGUUCAAUAUUAUCUUACGGAAAGAGUUUGGGUUUAAUCGGCGCCGAAAGGCAGAAUUGAUUGAAUUUUGAUUUGAUUGUAAAAAGGGUGUUGCUUUUGUGGGAAGAAGGUGGGACAUUGGCACAUGGCCUCUAGGCUCCACCAUUAAAGGCUUUUCAACUUCAAAGAGAAAAGCUCUUCCUCUUUCUUGGGCGGGAAUCUUGGCUAGGCCUGUGGACCCGUCUCGGGGACUGAUAAAAUGGGCCAUCGCAUCCUGUGCCGGACCCAGAAUUUCCGCUUAUCCUUUGAUUUUGCAACUUGUAGGCUGAAAAACGAAAACGAAUUCUUAAAAUAGAUUGAUUUUUUUUAAAAUAUUAAUAUUUUUAAGUGUUUAAAUAAUCCUACAUAAAAUAAUUUUUUUAUUCGGUAAAUUUUCAUAAAAUUAUUUUUUUAAAAAUAAUAUUUUAUAUAAUAUUAAUAAUCAUAUGUAUAUAUAUGAUCUAAAUAAGGUUUCCAUGCAAAUAGGGGCAGCACCAAAGGGGCUUGGUACGAGCUUGGCCUCUCUUAGUAUAUUUGCGUCUUUAGUCCUUUAAAUAGCGAUAAAAUUUAAUUAAUAAAUAGUAAAAUUUUUAUUUUGAUUUCUUAAAAUUUUUCAAUUUAAUUCCCGAUUUUUAAUUAUAAAUUUUUUGACUUCGACUAACGAUGAGGACUAUAAUGAAAACUUUCCUCUAAAAAAAUGUAGAAGAACAAAAAUAUGAUAGAUAAAUCUGAAACCCUAAAACAUGCCAAAGCAACAUUUAAUUGCUAACUUGAAAAAACCGGUCGCAACAACUCUUUCGCCCACCCAUGAAAGACCUGAAGACGAAAACUCUUAAUUUCGAUACUAGUUUAUAGAUUGGGAUUGCUCAUUUUCUACCCAUGCCCCGCAAACUAACAUCCUUCCUACUUGUGAUUUUCAUUCCUUUUUAACAACAAAUAUUUUUUUAUCUCUUCUGCCUUCAAUUUUUUUCCCACAAAAUUCAAUCUUCAAUAUUUUAGUUGUUUUUAAUCUAUCAUUCAAAUCUUUUUAGGAGAGGCCCUUUUCUUGGUUUUUUUUUUCGAACAUUUCAUUUUGAAUUACAAAUUUUGAAAUAUUCAAUCUCAAUAAUAAAAUCUUGGUGCCCAUGAAUGUGAUACGGACUAUUACAAUAUCUCGCCUCAAAAGCUAGCUUGCAAUUGGCACAUAACAGUUUACCACUCUCCAUAGCCCUAUCACCCAUGCGGGCUGGCUUUGUGCUGGUUUAAUCUAGCAUUGAGUGAACACUAUAAUGUCAGAGUCACCACCCGCACUACACAAUUGUAAUUGGAAGAUAUAAUGGUUGACUUUAAUACCAAUUGAUACAGACUUUUAAAGAACCACACUUCAAAAAUUAACUAUUGAGGUUGAAGAGACUAGGUCCAUAUAAACUGUACUAAAAAAUCUCAUAAUUUACUAUAUAAAAUCCAAGUCCCACAUAUUGCAAUUUGCACAAAAUAAAACAUUCCAAUCAUAAUAAAAACUUGAGUAUUGCCUUUUCCAAUGCCUAAAUAAAAAACAUAGGCAAUGGUGUAAGAAUCUACACAAAAAUCAUGAAUGAACAAAAUUGAUAAACUAGGAUCAAGAUUCAAAGCUCCCAUUCCAAUGCAAAUCGGAGAAAGAAAGAAAAAGAAUAGUUGUGUGAUUUUUUCUCCUUCUUAUAAUAGUAGAAAUAAUUUCAAUUCUCAUGGUUGUUUUUCAUAAAUAGUUAUCACUUGUAAUGUUUCAUCUAUUUUUGGAAUCAAUUAUAUUAAAUAUUUUUAUUUUACAUUACUAUAAAUGUUGUCUGAUUUUAGGUUUCUAUUUUUUUUUUUGCACCAUUUGAUUUUUAUUACUUCUAUAAAAGUUUAAAACCCCAUAGAAUAAAAAUCAUUUUAAUAAAAAUUAUUAAUUCUUUAAAAAGAAAAUAUCAUUGUAACACCCUUCAUCCGAUCUGAUCACAGAUUCAAGCAACAGAUGUUACACGUAGGCACAUAAUAUUGUUUUGAAAUCACAUUCAUACAUUUGCGUUGUAACAUUUCGAAUAUACAUUUAUGGUUCAUAUUUAUUCUACCAAACCUAAGUACAUGUCAUUUCUAAAGUCCAAAAUCAUAUAUCAAAAGAGUCUUGAAACUUUAAGAGUUGAUGUGAUCCUCAUGAAGAAGUACUUCUUGUAUCUUCAAUCUACUUUCUUUCAUCUACGUGUUUAAACAAACAUGUUAAGUUAUGUGAAUAACUUAGUAAAUACUCAACUAAAUUCAAUCUUACCAUUUAUAUAUACAAUUUAAAUAAAUUUUGAAUAACAUUUAUUCACACAAUUUCUUUCACUAAUAUAUUUAAACUUUUAGUUUAUUUUACCAAAACAUAAAAUCAUUUAAAUUAACUUUAUAACUUAUAGUUUUCACUUCAAUAUAUACUAUCACUAAUUAAUUUUCAUAUUCAUAUAUCAAAAUCUUUCUUGUUUCAUAAAUGUAACAUAAACACUUGAUUCACAUAUUUCAUUUAACACUUAAUUCACAUGUAUUACUUAAACAUACAUAUCACUUUUGUAGUCCUUAAUGAAUCUCAUAGAAGUUCAAUAAUUUCGAUACAUUGCAGAGAUCCAAGCCAAAUACAAACUAUCGGCCUAUAACGAAACUCUGAUUAUGGGAACUCCAGUAAACAUAUCAUAUAACCCAAUACUCCUCUCCUAAUCCCUUCGAACCUCCGUAUCACCAACCUAGUUCCCAUCCGAACCCCCAACCUCUCUCAACUCCAAAAUCAUUUCAUUAUCAUAUAUCAUAUUUCUUCUGAGUUCACUAAGGCAUUUAUUCACAUAUCCCUUUCAUAUAACAUACUUGAUAUAUCACACAUAUAUCACUUAGUAUCAUAUUAGUUAUUCACUUCAAAUCACAUAAACACAUUCACUACAUUUUUAUUUCACAUACACUUUAUUCACUAUUCAUAAAAAUACAAGCAUAACAUAUAUUGACAACACUUAACACUUUAGAUUUCAAUUCACUAUCAUUAAGCACUUUACUUUCUUAUAACACUUGCUAUUUUAGCACACAUAAUAACUUUUGAAUAUUUUACAAUUUAGUCCUUAAAUUCAUGAGAAUUCAAUAAUCAUUAUACCACUUUACACUUCAUUACUAUCACAUAAUACUUCAUUUAAGUGUUUAAUUACAAUAUUGGUUUCACAUAACACCUUCUAUAUACUUUGCAAUUUAGUCCUCUCUAUAGUAAUUUCACUACACUACAUCUAUUCACUUAUCAAUUUAUGACAAAUACAUAAAUUUUUACUCUUUAUAAUUUAAUCCUUAAUUUCAUUAAAUGUACUAAUCACUAAGUUAUCACUUUAUCAUUUCUUACAAUACUAACAUACCUUUAUUUACAUAUUCAAUACCAAAUUCAAUAUUCAUAAUCAUAUCUUAUUUAUUAAAAUUUUAAAUACUCAAAUGUUAAAAAUAAAAUAAACAAGCUUGGAUUCAAUUAAGUAUUUACCUUCUUUUUUUCACUUGAACUCAACCUUUUUCUUUACUUUCCUAUGUUUUCCUUUCCUUUUUCCUUCAACUAAUUGAUUUCCAUGGUAGAAAAUGAUCCCAUAACACUCUAGGAUAUGAAAUUAGGCUAUGGUUUUAAGAUAGAAUAUCAAGAAUUUUUUUUUGCUUUCCUUUCUUUCUUUCCCUUUUAUUUUUAUUAUCCAAGUUGCUUCCAUCCCACUUUAUCUCUCCUCUAGAAACCUCUACAUUUUUCCUUUUCUUUCAAUUUAAUCCUUAUUUCACCAACCAAUUUAAUUCCUCCACUUUUCAUCCAUAGUUACCACAUUUUUCCUUAAAACUUUACAACUCAUGAGCUUAGGUGUUUUAACAUCAUCAUUAUGUUUCCAAACAUCAUUAAAAAUGAAAAUUUUGCAUUUAGCUCCCUCCUCCACAAAAUGAGAAAAUUGCACUUUAAUCAUUUUACUUUUCCACUUUAUUCAAUUUAGUCCAUAUAUAUGAAUUUUCCAACUCCACAUAUCAAUAUAUAUCUCCAUGUCACAUUCAUAAAAAAUAUUUCUUAAAUUUUUCCCCUUUUUCCAAAAUAGUAAAUUUAUACUUUUAUUCCUUCAACUUUUAAAAAUUUACAAUUUAGUCCUUACUAAAUUUCAUUAUUUAUACUUUCUCUCCAAAUACUUAAUCCACCUUUAAAAUAAUUUUCAUUUCUUGGAAACCAAAAUUUUGGGAUAUUACAACUAUUAUUUAUAGGAACCAUUAACUGUAAUAAUAAUAUAAAGACAUGACACAUAGAACAAACGAUAAAUAAAUCAUUGCAAACUAAUGCAGAAAUGUCAUGUCUAUAGAAGAAUCUAAAAAAAAGAGAAGGACAAACUGACAGUAAUUGCAACACUAGAAUAAUUCAAAAACAAACCAGAGAUGUAUCAACUUGAUUAAACCGCUGAAAUUUGCAUCCUAACCCCGCCAUUAUCAAAUCAACCAGAUGAUGGACACUAAUAAAAAAUGCUAAAAGCCCCAAGAAACCCACCACUAGACAUGUCCAUUAGCCCAACUCGAAGGCUUACCUAAAAUGUAGGAGGGUUUGUGCAAAAAUAUAUGCCUAAAAAAGAGGUUUGGGCUUAAGAAUAAAGCCCGUUUAAAAAAUGGGUUGUGUUUCGAGCAAGGUUUGCUCAACCGGGCCCGACUCGACCCAAAUUUUUUAACCUUAUUCCCAGACUCCCAGUCCCUAAUUCUCUUUCUCGACUAUUAGUUCGUAAAAAGAAAACCCCUAGUGUCGCUCACCCUCUCCACCAAGGACCUCCAGCACUGCUGCUCAUCCGUCCAUCUAACUUUCCCACUCCACCCCAUUAGCGUUACAACUUAUGUUGUCCAUCUUCCAAUUGUUUCCUCUAUCAUUGGCGUUCACCACUGUUGUUUUCUCUGUCGCCUUCUUCGCUCCAGCCUUCAUUCAUCAUCGUUGUCUUCCCAUUGGUUUGCUCAAUAUAUAUGCACCAUACUUCCACUGCUUCCACUAUUGCUUCCACAAUUAAUAUAUUUUGUUCUUUUAUUUUUCUUAAUAUUUUUUCCAAAUCUAUUUUGCUUUGCUUCAAUGUAUAUGUUUUCCAAACCUGAUAAAAUGAAAGAUGUCAAUUUGCAAAUUCACAAUAAUAUGAUUUCAAGUAUUGUAGAAGGAUGAAAAUUGUAAUUUGAUUAAAUAUUAAUGUUGAAAUUAUAUUUUAUUAUUUUAUUAGUUUUUUAGAAUAAUAAAUUUAAUUUAUUUCUAUAUACAUUAACUUAUUAUAAAUAGGUAAUUUAUAAUAUUGCAUACAAUCAUUACUAUUGAACAACUUUUUUUUAUAAAUUUCAUUUUUCAUAUAUUUUGUAUUAUUAGUGAUUUUUUUAUAUUUAUCACACAUCGUAUGGGGUAUUUUAUAAUCGAAAUAGUGAGAUGAUUAUGAUAGUAGUAAGGUGAGUUAUUAUUUGGUUUUAGGUCCUAUGCAACUUAGAAGAUUUAUUAUGUGUUAGUUGAUGGUGUUGAGAUUUUCGGAGUCAAAUUGGUGAUGAUGUUUGGGAUUCAAGUUCACCUACCAAGAUGAAUUUACCUUUAUUCUUUCUUUAAGGGCAUCCCUAUAUUAGGGUCUUGGUUAUAUGCAAUCGAAAAAAUUUAUUAUGUGUUGGUUGAUGGUGUUUAUAUGAAUUUACCAGCCUAUUUGCCAUCUCUUCUUCCCAAACACCCAGCUUCACAAGUUGGCCAAUGUUUGAUAGGUGUUCAAGAUCGAAUUUUAAAUAAAAUUCAUGCUUACUUUCACUCUUUUACAUUUUCAAACCUUUUAAAUAAUAUUUUGAUUAUUCAAUUAAUAUGUUGCAUUCAUGCUAAAAAAUAAAAGCAUGAGUUCAUAUUGGAUUGCAAGCAUUGAAAUAUAUUAUGCACCAACCGCUGAAAUAUAUUAUUUUGUGUUCAAAUUUGGAAUGUUAAAUAUGUAUGCCUACGAAAAUGAAUGAUCAAAAUCCACCAUCAGUACUUGUAUUUUAGCAAGCUUUGAAAUCAUGCUAUCAUAGUCAACCAUAUAUGUAUUUAAAAAUUGAUUCUAUUCUUUUUUUUUAUCUUUUAUAUAUUAAUUGAGUUUUUACGAUUUUAAGACUUGAAUUUUUAUGACAAUGGCUAGUUCGAACAUAGUUGUGGAUGAUAGGUUUAAUGAAUACGAAAGUGCUCUCAAACGUCAAAAUUCUACUACAUCAAAGGUGUGGGAUGAAAUGACAAAGCUUGAAUGUGAGAACAAUGACAAAUUGAAGGCAAAAUGUAAUCCUUGUAUAAGUAUCUUUCCUGCUAAAUAGUCUAGUGGAACCUCUCAUUUAAGACGUCAUUUAAAUAGUUGUUUGAAAACAUUUAAUAAAGGCAUCACUUAUUACACUAUAGCCAUUCAAUCAUUUUUAGGACGUGCUUCAUUUAUAAAAGCCUACAAGUUUGAUGUUGAUAAGUGUCGUCGAGUUGUUUCUACUUUUCUUAUGUGUGGCAAGCAUUCAUUUAGGACAAUUGAAGAAUCGUGAUUAGAUACAUUUUGAGUAUUGCUAGUCCUAAUUUUAAGAAUACAAGUAGACAAACAGCUACUAGGGAUGUCCUAAUGUAUUAUGCAAAAGAGAGAGAUCAUGUUAAAGAAGAGUUGGCUAAAGCACCUAGUUUAGUUUGUCUAACUCUUGAUAAACUUUAAACAUACUAAUGAUGAAUACAUUUGCAAUAUUGCUCAUUGGGUUGACAAAGAUUGGAAGCUACAAAAGAGAAUCCUAAGGUUUAGAGCUUUAUCUUCUCUGUAUGAUGGUUUGCACAUAGCAGAUGAACUUAUUUUAUGUUAAUCUCAGUGGGGUAUAGACAAGAAAAUUUUUAGCAUCAUUUUAGAUAAUGCUUAUUAUAACGAUGUUAUGGUUUAUAGUCUUAAAAAUUAUUUUUGUGCAAAUGAAGCUCUUUUGUGUGAUGGUGUUUUCUUUUUCAAGUUAGAUGUGCACAUAUAUUGAAUAUUAUAGUUAAAACUGGUUUGGAACUUGCUGAUGAUGUUGUUGAUAAGAUUCGAAAUGGAAUUAAGUACAUAAAAAAGUCAGGAAUUCGUAAGAAAAGAUUUUAUGAUAUAGCCGCCAAAAGCUUUCAUUUGAAUGUGAUCAAAAAGUUACAUCAAGAUAUGUGUGUGAGAUGGAAUUCUACUUAUUUGAUGCUUGAAUAUGCUCUUUACUUUAAAGAUGUGUUAGAUUAUUGGGGCCCACGAGAUAAAGAUUAUCAAAUAUUUUCACUUUCUGAUGAAGAGUGGAGCAAUGUUGCUAUUGUUUGCAAAUUUUUGAAAGUCUUUUAUUAUGUGAUUUGUGUUUUUUCUGGUUCUAAUUAUCCAACGACUAAACUUUAUUUUAGAGGAAUUUGAAAUGUUCACAAGGUCUUAAUUGAUACAGUUAAAGGCCCUCAUUCUUUUUUAACUCCAAUGAUUAUGCAAAUGCAAGAGAAAUUUAAUAAAUAUUAGGUUGAGUAUUCUUUGAUAUUGUCAUGUGCUGCAAUUUUUAAUCCUCGUUACAAGUUAAAUUAUGUGCAGUAUUGCUUUACUACAAUCUAUCGGGACUCAUGCUUCAGACUUUGUGCAAACCAUGAUUAGCAAUCUUAAACUCUUGUUUGAUGAGUAUGUUAAGAAGUCCAAAUCCACGUCUUCCUCUUUAGCCGGGAGCUCCAAUGUUUCAGAUAAUGAUCCUAUUGAUUCUAGUUUGCAUCAACUCAAUGUUAAUAUGGCUGAUUUGGAAGGAGAUUAUGAUGAGAGUGAUGAUUAUAAACAUUACUUAAGUGAAUCUAGUACUAAGAUUGAAACGUCACAAUUGAACAUUUAUUUGGAAGAACUAGAGCUUGAGUUGAAUAGCCAAAUAGAUGUAUUGGAUUAUUGGAGCAAAAGUUCAAUUCAACUGUAGCUUUCAUUUUUGGCUUGUAAUCUUUUGGCAAUUCCAAUAUCGAAUGUAGCUUCCAAGUCGGCUUUUAACAUGGAGAAGAAAGUUAUCACAUCUUUGAAUAGUUCCCUUAAACCAAAAAUAGUUCAAGUCAUUGUUUGCUUUUAUGACUGGAUGCAAGCUAAGGGGUUUUCAACGGGUAAUUAUUAUUCUCGUUUUAUUGUUAUAAUUUUAUAACAUUUUAUCAAGUUGAUUAUCUAACUAUUUGUUCUUUUUUUCAUAUUGGAGAUUGAUUUCAAGAAUGAUGAGAAUAAUGAUGACGAUGAGGAUGAUGAUUCUUUGAUUCCUUUCUAGGUAUAUAAUUUAGCUUAGAAAUUAUAACUUGUUAUAUAAAAUCAAAUAUGUUGGUUGCUUGAUAUAUAAAUAUUUUGAUUGGUUGAUUACAUUUUACAGGUUGUUUUUGGUGCUAUUUUGGGUAUUGUCACUGUUGUUCUGUUGUUGUUUUUAAUGUUCCGCGUCACUUUUAAUUUUGUUUGUAUAUUGUAGAACAUUUGUUUUAUUAUUAAUUUUGCUACUAAUUUGAUACCUAUAAUGAGAUUCUAAUAUUUCCUCUUUGUUUUCUCUUCCUCAACUUUUUACCAUCCAAUUAUUAGAUUUCAUGUUUUUCAAUGUGACACUAAAGAUGAAAGCUAUUGUUUCUAUUUAUUUCCAUUUUCAUGGCUAUUUAGACUCUUAAUUUUGUAGUUUUUAGCCUUCAAGGAACAUUAUUGGAACUUAGCUUAUAAUUUUCAUGGUAUGUACCAUAGUGUCGAUCCUAUCAAAGGGAAAAACAGAAGAUUGAAUUAUGUUAUUUAAAAUAACCAUGAAAAUAUUAUGAAAUAAUCCAAAACAAAUGGUGUAAAUUGUAAAAGCAAUGUCUAUACCGAGCACCCUUGGUGAGUGAAUCUGAUGCGGAUUGUGGUCUAUCACACUGCAUGUAUAACUCGAAUGUCUUUUUUUUUAGUAUAAAUAUUUUUUAAUGUACUUUUAAUUUUUUGAGAAAUAUUUAUUUUCAUGUUUGUAGUGUUUUUGAUAUACUAUAUUUUUUAAAUUUAUUUUGUAUAAUAAUAUAAAUUUUAAAAAAUGGGUCGAGCCCGGAUUUAACAUAUAUAAUCUGGGCCAGGUUUGGACAAAAAUAUAAACCCCUUUUCUGGGUCAAGCCUACCAGUCGGGCCAAAGAAUUUGGUUUGCCCCGACCCAUGGACACCUCUACCCGCCACAUUACUAAUGCACAAAAAAUCAAGUCUUAGAUGGCCUAUCCUUCUCAUCGUCAUCUCAGAUCUAUCGCCAUCACUAUAAUCCAUCAUGAUAAAACCCUUCGAGAAUGGUUCUUAAUAAAUUUGUCUAAUGGAACUAGAAACAACGGAGAAUCAACAUCUUUAUUCUACCCUAUUUUUACAUUCUCUAUUAUUGGACGCAAAUUAGGUCCUGAAUUGGGUUCUCUAUAAGAGUGAAGCAAUUAACUAUUCUUUGCCUUGAAGUUGUAUUAUUGAUUCUUUUAGAAGCUUCAACCAAUUAACUAUUCUCCAAGUGCACCCUAUACUCGUCAAGCUUUCGUUGGAUGCAUACUUUCACCACUCCUCAUUAUGGGAGUCUUGGAUGUCUUUGAAGCGAUGUAUAUACUCCAUGAGAUCUUCUCUUAAUUUCCGAUGCAACUCAACGUAACAUCCUUUUGGCUUUGCAACUCAACGGAAUUAGGAAUAAGGUUGACAUACCAAGUGUAUGCCUUCUUUGUCAAAGACAAAUUUCUUUUAACUUCAAGUCAUCGUAUAACCCAACAAUUUCAAGUUAUUGGUAAUUGUAAAGAGUGAAUAGAAGUUCAUCAUGUGACUAAGGAAAUGAGAAGCACUCAAUGUCACAAGAAAUCUCUAUAUUUGAUUUAUCAAGUUAAGCUAUCAAACAUUUUAAGAACUUAUAAUAUUUUAGGCUUAUUUUCAUUCCUUCUACUUUAAUAAAGCAGUAUGAUAUGGAAUAUCUUUUGCUGAACAUUCUUAGAACACAUUAUUCUUAAAAAAGGUUGGUUCAUAAUUAUUAUUUUUAUUAGAGAAAUAUUAUUCCAAGCAAGAGGGUCCUUUGACUCAAAAUAAACAAAAUUACUAAAAUUACCCUUUAAAUACAGCCCAAUGUUAAUUCCAAGCUUUAAAAUUGGAAAGUAAACCGAUCAUAACUUAAAACUUAUACCGGAUUAAACACAAAAAUUAUAUCCAAAUUCACUUGAUAUGUCUUGUUCCCUCAUGCAAGGAUCUCAAACAAGUUGCAAAUUAUUUCAUAUCAGGAUAUGGUUCUUGCUGGAAGUAAAAAUGUUUUUAUUUAUCCAAAGUAAGCAAAGAUUUUGCUCCGUUUUAUGUAGUGCUGCAAGAAAAGACAAUGGUUAGAAUUACAAAGGCGAAGCCACCCUUGAUGCUGCUAAUGCUAUAAACGUAAUGCUUUUCAAUUAACUCCAAAGAACUUGUACCAUCGCAAGGCUGCAAAGCCACAUGCCAUAACUGACUGGGAAAAAAAGGGCAUUCAAGCAACCCUUUAGAAUAUAACUCUCAACCCAUGGUGAAAGAAUUGGCCAACUUUAUUCCAAAGAACCCCAAGUCCACCUUCAGCUCUAGGAUUCUGCAACUUUAUCAUUCAAUGCUUCAUCCAUUACGCAGUGCGAAUGCAUUCAUUUCAGUUAACUACAAAUCAAGUUGGUCAGUGCCCAGAUGUAUCCCAUUAAUAAAUUCAGAAGAUACCUAGCUCUACUUAUAGAACAAACAAAAAGCAGUGCUCUAAGAUGCAAUUCGCGAAACUCUUCACUGUCAUGGUUUUGCUUGUUCAAGCAUCAAGAGAUGCUUUUAGUCUUUCUUCUAAACUCUGCGCAAAAUCAAAGAAUAAAACCUUGAGGGACAUGAUACCUUCCCAUUAAUAAUGGAAAAGCCAUGUUUAUUACGGUUAAGAAGAACACCAUCAGUUCAACCUUAUCUACUUACUAACCUCAGUGCUUCAUUGUAUUUCUAUGUAUUGAUCGGAAGGUAUAUAUGAUUAUACCUAGAACAUAUGCAUGCUAGAACAUCAUCAAGGUGACAGAUAAAAGAAAGAAUAUAUAUAUAUGACGGCAAAGGAACGUAGUGGAAAUCAGAAUCGGAUUCCUGGAUCAAUCAAAACCAAUAAUAAAUUUAAUAUAUAUAUAGCAAAAUAAGCCAUCAAGAAUAGCAUAUUAUUUAGCUAGCUAUAAUAAAUUAAAAAGGGGCAGAUGAUAUAAACUCAUCAACAGCCCGAAAAGCCAAAUCAACGAAUGAGAACUCGGUACUUUCACCUACAGUAGCUAUGGCUAUGGGGGAAUGCAGGCAACAUCACGUGCAUUGCAUUGCAUGAUCAGAAUGAAAAAUGGAGGGCGGGGAUACCCUGAUUUGAUUGGCUGAAAUGAAGUAAGGAAUAAAGUUUAAAAAAAAAAUUGGAUGGAUGAGGCUUAAGAUUUAAGAAACCCAUCAUUUCUAAUUACCAUUUAAGUAAUAUUAUAAUCAUGCACAAUCACAACACAAUAUCUAAUACUUAUUAUCCAUUUAGUACAAGUUGAAAUAAAAUUAAGAGUUGGUUAAUCAACAAUGGCAUAUGGUAGUAUACAUAAUUAUGGGUAUGAAUACCCAGCUUGCUUGCUUUUUGUUUUGCCUUUAACACACUACAUAGUAUCUCCUAUUUAACUAGUAAUUUAAUAUAAAAUAAUUUUAAAACUCACAAAUUUAUAAAAUACAAAAAAUUAAUUAAUAAGCUACACAUAAUAUCAUCAUAAACAAAUCUAAACGUAAUAAAUGAACCCCAAAAAGAGCUCAUAUACAUAAUAUAAUUAAUCAUUAAAUAGAAAAAGGAAAAAGAGUUAUACUUAGUUGUGUAUAUAUAUAUAUAUAAAAGUAUCUUAGCCGAAAUUAGAAGUUCUUACCAAUGAAAGGCAGCCACGUCAAGCCCGGGAAUCCGAGGCUCCAUUAACUAACGGACGUUAACGAACCUAACCACAGAGCUGUGAGAGGCGUUAAAAAGGCAAGACAGAGAGAGAUCCAACGGCUGGGAAGCACUGGCGGCAACUAACUAAAAUGAAACCCAUCCGGUCAACCUAUAGUUCCCACCAAUAAUUGAAAGCCACUUGGAUUAACACCAUCCUCGGCCCGCGACAGCUUACAAGAUCCAGCUGAUUACCUGGAAUCGCCGGUGGCCAACCACAUAGCAACAAGGAACAGCAACAACUUUUUCCUUUUAAUUUGUAAUUUUAAUUUUAUUAACUUUCUUUUUCAUCGUCCAAUUCUCUCUUUUCGACGCCUUUUGCUUCUCUCUCUCUACCUCUCUGUCUCUGUCUGUUUCAGGGUUUUCUUUCUCUUGGAUCAUCAUCAUCAUCAUCAUCAUCAUCAUCAUCUUACAGAUUACCCAAAGACAAAGCACCAAAGCAUCAUCAUUUUCUACCCUUUGUGAGAGUUUCUUUGCUAUUUUUUUUCCUUUUCAGCUUACUCCAAUCCUUGGAGCUUCUUGUUUAUUUCUCUAAUCAUCUGGGUUUUUUUUUUUUUAAAAAUUUUGUUACCUUGAAUGAAUAUUCUGAUGUUGUUUUCCUCGAUUGGGUGGGAGUUUUUGGAGUUAUGAUCUGGGGUUCUUUUGGAAACAUAAAAUUACCCCAACUGCUUCAAGUUAUUAUAAAAAGAAUAACCCAAUUUUUAGAUGGUUUGCUGGAUGCCUUCAUCAAAGGUAAUUAAGGGAUUGGUAUCAUAUUAAGUUAGGAUUUUUCUUGUUUUGAUGCUAUCUGCGUUAGGGUAGUUUGAUCUGGGAGUUGACUUCGAUUCGGAUAUUUUAGAAAUUUUCACAGCUUUCCACAACCAACUGGUUUUCUCAGAUUUUUUUAUUGCUUGGGUGAUUUUUUAUUAGCUAUUUUGUUUAUCCCUGGACGUUUGAUUUUGUCUCAAGAAAAUAUAAGUUGGGAUAGUUUUUGAAUAUUCAAUCUUUUAUUCGGCACAUAUCUGAGAAGUUGCUAUAGAAUUUGGUUGUUUUGGCAGAAGUUACUCCAAUAAAUUUAUAUAAAGGGGUUUGGCUUAUUUUUGUUUAACUUGAAAGUGUUCUUCGAGGUCUUUGAUUUAUGGUUGGGAAAGGAAUAUGGCUGCCCGUAUGGAUUUUUCACCUCCAUUUGCAAUCAUAGAAGGUGGUUACACUAACGAUAAUGUACCAGACAUGGAUAAUGAAAAAUUGGAUAAUGAAAAACAAGUCACUCUCGGGAAACCUCCGCGCCACCUCUCCAUUAUGCAACAUUGUGUGAGUUCAGGGAGGCUGAUUGCUGAGGCUAAUUUGGUAUGUUUAAUUCCUUUCUAUCUGACCCUUCUUUUCAUCAUUAUGAACUGAGGAGCUUGAGCUUUAAGGACUUUCUACAUUAGCAUAAAAUCUGAAUGCAGCUUAGUUAUUAGUUCAAAAUGAAAACUCUGAAACAUUUGUGAUUCUGAUGAUAUAUGUUCUUGUCACCUGCAUUUGUGCUGCAUAACCUUUUGGCUUUUGACACUUUUAGAGAGAAUAACUAUUAUCCUGUUCAUAUUUUGUUGAAAAUCAUCACCUUGAGAAAGGUUUUACAUUGUUUUAUUUGAUGCUAUAAAAGUAGUUUCCUGAAUUGCUUUUACUAACUACUUUCCUCUUCUCUAGGAAUUGGAUGUUGGUAUUGUAGUCCUCAAGUCAUCUUCUGAUGAAAAGACUGAGUUUUUGCCGGUCUUGCGAUCAGGAAGCUGUGCUGAGAUAGGACCCAAACAGUAUAUGGAAGAUGAACACAUUUGCAUAGAUGAUCUUAUUGGACAUCUCGAGACAACUACAAAGGUCCCUUCUCCGGGAGCUUUCUAUGGGGUAUGCUUAUUUGAAUCUACCAUAUAUGACCUGGCAGAUGUGGUUAAUAAGUAAUCUUGGUGAACCAUCUUAAUUUUCAUUAGAAAUAGCAAAUUUUGUUAAUGCACUUCCUUCUGACAAUCUGUCUUGAUUGCUUGUCUGUAGUUAAAAACUCGUGUCCUGCUAUAGCUUCUACUGAGAUAAUAUAAUAUAUAUACCUUUGUGUGGUUAGUGUUGACAAGGUUUGGAUGUGGUGUUUGAAGCAUGUUCUAGGAAAACGGAUCCUGAAGAUAUUAUCCAGGCCAAAAGGAAAAAUAUGUAGAAACCAGCACAUAGUUGUCUCUAAUAUUGUGAACUGCAGCCUGGUUUAGAGUAGCAAUCCAGCAAGUUUUUGAACAUUACAAGAUCCUUUUUCCCUUAGAUCUGCUGCCUCAUUAUAACUUGCUACUUAAUUUCUAGGUUUAAGGUGUCUAAACAUGUCAGUUCUAUUCCAUAUACAAUUAGCAUGAAGGUGGUUUGGGAAUCUUUAUUGGCCAUCCUUGUGAAUUGAACCUUGCCAAUACUUGUGAACAGGUUUUUGACGGUCACGGAGGAACAGAUGCAGCCAUAUUUAUUAGGGAGAAUAUCCUUAAAUUUAUAGUUGAAGACUCUCAUUUUCCAAUUUGUGUGGAGAAGGCAAUCAAGAGUGCUUUUCUGAAAGCUGAUUAUGCAUUUGCAGAUGCUAGUUCUCUUGAUAUAUCAUCUGGCACCACUGCAUUAACUGCACUUAUUUUCGGAAGGUGAGUGACCCACUUAUCUGCAAUGGUAAUAUUCCAUUUUGACGUUAUUUCCUUAAAUCCUCUUCUAGCAGCCUUUGUUUUGGUUUAAGAUGAUCUGAAAUCCUGUGCGUUCAGUGAUUGGUGCUGGGUUGAAACUGGAAAUAAUGUGUUAUCAGGAUAUAUUAUGCAUUAGUCAAACCUGAACUCAAGGUCUUCUUAGUAGUCUUUACUGUUCUGUAUUCUGAAAGCCAGGAAUUGGGUCCCUCUAAACUCUAAUAUUAGUUAUCUUUUCAAAGGACCUUGAUAAUUGCUAAUGCUGGAGAUUGUCGAGCUGUGCUGGGAAGGCGAGGUAGAGCAAUUGAAAUGUCCAAGGACCACAAACCUAAUUGCACAUCUGAAAGACUAAGAAUUGAGAAACUUGGUGGAGUUAUUUAUGAUGGCUACCUGAAUGGGCAAUUAUCUGUGGCACGCGCACUUGGAGACUGGCACAUGAAGGGGCCGAAAGGAUCUGCCUGUCCUUUAAGCGCCGAGCCAGAGCUGCAGGUGACAGACCUUAGUGAUGAGGAUGAAUUCUUGGUAAUGGGCUGUGAUGGGUUGUGGGAUGUUAUGAGCAGCCAGUGUGCCGUGACUAUGGCGAGGAAAGAGCUGAUGCUUCAUAAUGAUCCUGAAAGAUGCUCAAGAGAACUUGUCAGGGAAGCAUUGAAGCGCAACACCUGUGAUAAUUUAACAGUGAUAGUGGUUUGUUUCUCUGCUGAGCCUCCCCCUCGAAUAGAAAUACCACAAUCCCGUGUUCGGAGGAGCAUAUCAUCAGAAGGGCUAAAUUUACUAAAGGGUGUGCUGGACUGUUAACUGAUGAAACAAGCGAGGGUUGAACCAGAUUUGUGCAUGAAUGCAUUGGAGGGCGAAAUGGUCGUGGCAUUUUUCUACUGAGUAGCUGCAGCUGCCCCCUUCACACCAUGGCUAACAUUCAUCCUUCAUCCAGGGACAUCCUUGUCGUGUAAAAUAUCAUUCUUUUUGGUUUUUAAAUCCUGUACACCUGAGAUAACUCAUGAUGUAGCUCCGAUUUGCAGGAUUCAUUGUUCUUCCUUUCUUUCUUUCUUCAUCUGCUCACUCCUCUGUAAAUAAACUGAAUCUUGAGAGAUAUGUUCUUGCAGUCUUUCACUAAAUCAAAUAAUUUGAUAUCAUUGACCAUUAAUGGUUAGUUAUCUGGGUACCAUGCCUAGUUUUUUACGUUGGAAGAUUUUCCGUAAUUCCAUCUCAGAGUUCACCAAGCCAAGGAAUACGCAAUUAUGCAGGCAGCAGUAGCUAAACAGCAGCUGUCGAGUCAAGUGUCGAAGAACUUUAGGUCAUGAUUGUCAUGGUGUCAUCUCAAGUCUUAAUGGCUCAGUAUACUGUCAUGGUGUCAUCUCAAGUCUUAAAGGCUCAGUGUACCCUCUGUGCAAUUGGAAAAACAGCAACACUAUUGCAGUGUGGUUCUUUUUACUGGAUAUCAAUCCAGCAGCUAUAACAAAUUAAGCUUUCGUGUCAAACCAUCCAACAAGGAGAAGGAAAAGUAAUACACUACCAGUUUAUUAAGCUAUUAACGAGAAGAAUCCAAGAGGUUUUACUUUAAAGAAUCAAAAACAACGCAAGAAAGUGACUUGAAUUUAGAAGUUGGAAACAGCAAAUACAUGGUCCAAAGAGCGAAACUUGGUUUCAAGUUACGGAAAUAAGUCUCAAUAUGGUCCAUAGAGCAAAAUUUUGUUUCAAGUUACAGAAAGAAGUCUAAAUUAAACAGUCGCAUUUCAAUACUGCAGCCACCAUGGAAACUUUUUUCCUUACAAUCUCUUCUCCAGCUGAACCACAAUAGUUAUAGUUCAUCAUUAUCGGAGUCUCUAUCACUGCAUACAAACAAGUGUCAAUGUCAGAACACCAGAAACCUAGGAAAGAUUGUCUGUGCAAGUGCCACAAAAGUAGGCUGUUUUUUUUUUAGAUAUAAAACAAAGGUAGACUGUAAAUCUAUAUAAAAUAGACUUUUAGGAUAGAGUCAGAACUGGUUACUUGGAAAGGGGGGAAAGAGAACAACAAAUAAAAUCAAGGAUACCUUGACCCGCUGCAGUGCUCACUCAAGUCCUCACAUAGAACUUUGCUUACAUCUCCUUGCUUAACGGAUCCUUUCUUUAUCAAUUCUGUUAACUGCAUGGGUUUGAUAGCAAAGUAAGAAUCAAUAUUUCAGAUAUGCAUUAAGCUCACAAGCAGGUUUGAAAACUCACCUCAUCUUCAGUUUCCUCCAGUAACCUAUACCAGAACAAAUAUAAACUAGGUUAUUAUAGUUGACAUUCACAAAUUAUAUUAUAUCAAACAAACUACUGGCGAAGAAAUAGAAAUUCAUAAAUGAGACAUAAUACAAAGAAUAGUGCAAUCUCCAUGCAGUCUCACCGUCCACAAUAAGAGGAUAUAUCUUUUGAGUAUGCCUUAGCUUCUUGCUUAUCUAUCAAUAAAUUAAAAUGCAGAAAUAGGGAAAUAAUUUAGAACUUAGGAAACGAUGGACUUUGGAAACAAAAAGAACUAGAAAUUAACAGCAUUUCUAAGAACACGAUAAAUAUAGAGGCAGCCAGUAUUAUGAAAGUAAAGAAACAAUGGCUUGGUGAAUGGCUAGGAAGAAAUACAGAAAUCCUAGAGAUAUCAAGCAAAACCAUCGGAGAAAUGGCAUAUGCACAUGCAUAGGCAACUUUUGCCUCAUAUAUAUUAACAGUAUAUGCAGAAGUGUGAAUCAAAGAUCAAGUCCUUGCAUUUUUGUGCACAAAAUCAGAUUAGGGGACUAAUUACAUCUGCAGAGAAACAUAUGAUUUCAGCCUGUCUCUGAUAGUGCUUAUGAUUGAUCAAGGACUUCACCAGCCAGUUUUAUUGUGCACCAACCAUAAUUAGAUUAUUUAUACUUGCCACUUCCCAAAAUAAAAAAAAUAAAAAAAAUGAUCAGUACCAAUAGUGAGGAUGUCCCAAUUAUGCACUUUGAUCCACUCACGUCGAGAUGAAUCUAACUGCAAAGUAAAAAAUAGAUAUGAAGAUAUAUGCACUUGCAUGCCUGAAUACAACAUGUCAUAAAGCAUAAUCAACCAUAAAACAGGUAUCAGAGAAUAUGAACAAUUUACAUAUGAACACAGUAGUGAAACCUAUAAAUUUGCAUGUUUUGCCAAUGCUGCCACAAGUUCAGUAUCUAAUGCUACAUGAUAAUAAUUAUAUUAACGGCACAGUUGCUACAAGAUAUAUUAAAUAUCUGAAAUUUCAAGGGAAACAUAAUAUCAUGUUUAAAGAUGUGUUUCUACCACGAAUAAAUGCAAGUAAGAAAUAGAGUGCAAGUAUGAGCUACCUUUUCAAGAGUGUAAUCUUGCAUCUUUUCACAAAGUCCAUCCAAUAGCUCAACAGCUCUAAGCUCACUCAUCCUAAAUAGAAAAAGACAAAAAAAUUAGCAAAGUUAUCACUUGUACAGGGUCCGGGGAAAAUAAUCCAUUGAUGAAAAGUAAACACCCGUGCAUGAGGUAUCCAUGCAAUCUUUCAUCAAUCACAAAGGACUAAGCAGCAGCAAAUAUGCAGCACCCAUCAAUUAGGCAUGCUUUAGUAAAACAUUCCCUUCUGAAACAUGUUACUCAUAAGUCAUAAUAUAGCAAAAUAGUUAUCAUUUUGUGUUAGAUUUUGCUAAAGAAUGUCAUUAGGACUCUUGUUAAGGCUAGUUAAGUUAGUAUUAAUAAUAGUAUUUUAUUUUAUUGCAAUGGUAAAUACUUGUUAGCAAAAACCUACUGGUACAAAUUUCAACUGUUGUCAGAGCUGAACCGUUGGUGGUAUCCAAAAUGUCAACUAUUUGUCAUUGUUAAAAUGUUCAUUAUCAACUUUCUUCUCAAUUUUCAGACGAAAUUUUUUAGGUUCUAUUUCCCUAUUAAAAAGUUUAUUCUCAUUGUUCAAUGUUUUGCUUAAUUCUAAUGCUUCCUUUUAUUACCAUUGUUGAUGUUUCACUUAUUUUUAUUGCUAUUGUCUCAUGAUGUUCGUAAUAUAUUCUUCAACACUAAGCCCAACACCAAAAGAAAGACCGGAAGCUCCGUUAAUUCAAUUUCUAAAAUUAAGAGUUUAAUCGAGACUAACUAGCGCAUGCAAAUCUGCAAUGUUGGUUUUCCAUGAAAAUUAUUAUUACCUGUAAUCAAUAACCUUUCCUUGGCGUUGACCUUUCGAGUCCAAACGAUGUCUCAUAUCCAAAUGGUUCCUGGGUUUUUCCUACAUAUAAAAAUUCUUGUAUUAAUUACCAAAUUACAGCUCAAUUUGCAGAAAGUGGCGUUGAUUUAAAGGUUUCUUACCUUCGAUAGUUGAAUCUCUAGCUCUGCCUGCAAAUCAUCGAACGAAAACAAAAAUCAGCUGAUUUAUUUCAUAAAGAGGGGAAAGGAAAAAGGAUGGGAUCGGUGUGGUUUUGAUUGUGAGUGAAAGAGCAUAUGUUGAUCAAAGGUUUCCAUUGUUACCGCGACGGCAUUGCAAGCGGCACACUUGUCAUCGAUGCAAGCGGCGAUGGAAAAAAUGGAGAAGAUGGAAAGGAGCCACAACAUGGGAGCUGCCAUCUCUGGUCUUUUGUUCAAUGUUCUCGAAUUUUCCCUUGGCACGGGAACCGCGAUCGUUGAGUUGAGUUGAGUUACUUAUUUUGAGGAGCUAAGGCUAGAUCCGGGUUCGGGCCUUUUCUUUACAGCCACCAACAGGCCUUAUUGCAUGGUAAGUUAUAUUCCACCCCACCCCUAUGAGCCGAACUUUAUUCAAAUUCAAGUAUUCAACUUAAAAAAUUGCAAACUGAUCGGUUUAAUUUAAUGGCACAAUAAUAAAAUUAACCCUUAAUAUUUAUAUUUUUAUCAAUUUAGUCAUUUUUUCUUUAUUAAACUAAAUUGACCUUCAACCUUUUAAAAAAUGAAUUGAAUUGUUUUUUUUGUUUAAAAUAAUAACUAAAACGUUAAAUUUUUAAACACAAUAGCUCACAUGACAGAUCAUAUGUACUUCAUAUAUUUUUUUAAAAAUUCAUGAACUUUUUAUAUAUUUUUUUAAUAUUUUAUAAAUUUUAAAUUAUUUAUUGAUGUGAUAUAUAAGACAAAUAGUAUCAUAUCAACAUUAAGUAAACAUAGGUACUUGAACUUAAUCUCAUGCUUAAAUUUAAACAUACUCCAAAAUGUUUAAAAUAAAUUCCAACCUCAAAACACCGUCGUUUUGUUAUUCAAAAUGUUAAAUAUGUAAGUGGUAAAAAUCAAACUCAAUUUAAAUCUAAAUCACUUAAAUAGAGGAUAAAAUGUGUCUUAUCACAUUCGAAUUCACGUCCUUCUAUACAGGGGUGAAAUUAGAAAAAAAAAUUAGGGGGUUGAAAUUAAAUUAUAAUUUUUACGAUCAAUUUCAUCAUUUUAAUAGACUAUAUCUUUAUUAUUUGUAAAGAAUUAAAUCAUUUUUUUAUAUUUUAGGGGGUAAAGUGUAAUUUUACCUUUACUAAUUUAAAUUUUUUAAAAAUUUUAUAGGGGUCAUAUAAAAAAAAUUUAUUUUAGGGGGUCGGGGCUGUCAGCCUCCCUAAUUUCGCCAUAUAAUAAUAAUAAUAUCAAAUAACAUUUAAACUAAAAUUCAAUUGAGAAUUUGAAUUUUUAUUUAUAUUAAUUAUAGUUGAUAAUAAUAUUUUUUUCAAAAAGUUGAAAUUAGAGGAUUUUACAAAUGGAGGAGAUAGUGCACAUGUCUAAUGGUUUUACUUGCAUGCUAAAUUUCAUUUAGAUUUUUUCUAUCAUUUAGAUUUUUUUUAAUAAAAAAUUGUUAUAAAUUGUAAAUGUAGUGACGAAGUUGAAAUCAAGUAUAAAUUAAUGAAAUACUGGUUUAAUUAUAAAGUGUUUUUUUAAGGAAAAAGUUUGAAUAAUUUCAAUAUUUUACAUUCGGGUUUUAUCAUAUGUAAAUUUUUGUGUGAGGUUUUUUAAUUAAUUCUCAUUUUGUAUGAAUUUUAUCUAGAUUUAUUUUAAUUUAUAUUUAUAUUUUGUUAUUAUCUAUAUUGUAGUUAUUCAUAUCUAUAUUGUUUUUGGUUAUAAUUGUAUUUUUAUAUUUUUUUCCUUUUUCAAAUGACACUUAACCUUAAAUUUAAUCUUUCUCCUACGUUCAAAUUGAAAAAUAUCAAGCGCUUAAGGAAGCCGAACUUAUGUCUCUAAGUUGUUGCAAUAAAAAUAAUGUUAUAUAAGCUAAGACUAAUCAACCAUAUAUAAUAACAACUUAAUAUAUUAUACUGUCUAAAAAUAUAUAUAUACAGUCAAUUUUCUCUAUAAGAGUCUCAUUCGUCUAUCCAAAAUUUGUCUAUUAUGGAAAGGUGGUUGUUAUACACCUAUAACAAGAUGCUAUUAUAGAGAGAUAAUUGUUGUAAGCUUAUUAUAAAAUUCAUAUCAUAAAUUUCCAUCAAAUAAACAAAGUGAGAAUUAUGUUAAAAAAAGAAAGAAGAUGGUGGGAAUCAAAUAAAACAAUUAAAAGACGUUAAUAGGUUUAAUAGUUCAUUUUUUAGUGGUGUCAAAAAUGGCGGUUUUGAAAUCCCAUUUUCGAUGAUUGAGGUAUUAAUGUUAAUUUAAGUUUGGUCAUUUAAUUUUGUCAAUUAGAUAGUUAAUUAAAGUAAAUGGACUAAAUUGUAAAAGUGGUAAAAUUUUAUUGUUAUGGAUUUUCAAUUAAUCAAAUGACAAAUUGAGAAAUUCAACCAAUUGUUAAUAGCCAAACGGUGGUGGAUGCAUAAGUGUCAUCCACAAAUUUUGUUAAUCAAGCUUAAUAUUAAAUUAAUUAAGAUUUAGUUAAAUAAUUAAGUUUAAUUAAACGUUAAAUUAUGUAUUUAAGAUAAAUCAAAAAGAAAUGAAAGGCAUUUCUUAUCAUCUUUUCAUUUCAAGAAAACAAAGAUGGAGAACUAUGUUCUUGUAAUUUUUAUGUUUUUAAUGUCCCAAGAGCUUAAUUUAAUUAACCCGUGUAUCGAUUUUGUAAAACUGUUAAAGUUUUUAAAAGUUAUUAUUGAUGAAUGCUUGAUGAAAUUGGUGUUAAAUUGUUAGAUUUUUAAGCUUAGAAAUGAAAAAGGACUAUUUUGUAAAGUUUAAUUACUAGUUUUUGAACAUAGUAACUAAAGUGCAUAAAUUUUCAAAUUGAUGUUAAAAUUAUAUAAUUAUAGAUAAUAUAGGAUUUUAAAAUGAUGAAUUUGAGAUUGAUUUCGAAAUCGAAGCUCAAAUUUAAAAGAUAUUACAAUUUCAGUUUUAGGGACCAAAUUGAAUAAAAUGCAAAAAUUUUAGAAAACAUUCAAAAAAUAAAAUUGAACUUACAUAUGCAUGUAAUAGGAUGUUAUAAGGUAAUUGGAAUUGAUAAAUUGAAAUGAAUUAUCAUAUAGAUCGAGAUUUGAAUCAAUCAGAAGAUAAUCGAGGAAAAAGAAAAAUUACAGAUUAGUCCUUGAUAUUUCGUUUGUUGUUGUUUUUUUCAGGUAAGUUCAUGUGGGACUUACUAUGUUAUAUGUGUUAUGUUUGAAUUAUGUUAUAAUGUCAAUUAGUUUAGGUUAAUUGUAAUUUGAUAAUGUUGGCCUCUAAAGGACUAAAUCGUAAAGUAUGAAAAAUAUAGUUAUUCUGAAUAGAUACAAUGUAUUGAAUGCAUGUGAAAUCGUUAUGUUAUUUAAUGAUAUGUAUAUGAUGAUAUUAAAAUCUUUGAAAUGGUACGGAAACAAUAACGAUGCCCAUGUGAACUUACUAAACGAUUAAGAUAUGAAUGACAUGCCAUUAAGGUCCAAACGGAAAAAUGGAUGGUUCAAUCGAAAAGAAUGAAAAAGGGUGUUUGAUAAGGGAUUAAUACGGUGGCUUGAGAUCCAACAUAUAUUUCGAAUUCUCUAAAGCUAGUGUUAGCAACAUCAAACUAAGCUCGUAUGAGCAACCCUAGUCUGAAGCUAGUGUUAGCAGCCCAAAUAUGUCAACUCGUAUGAGCAAAUCAAUCUCGUGUAUCCGAGUUCAAUUUUCUAUAGUUCCCUAGGCAAAACAAAAACGAAACGGUAAUUAAAAAUGGAAAUGAAAUGAUUGAUCAUGGAUUGAAAUGUUAUAUUUAUAAAUUGAGUAUAGUUUAAUAGUAUAUGUUAUAAUAUGAAAUGAUUAUAUAUGUAUAUGAUUUUGGUAUUAUAGUUUCAUAUGCAAAUGAACUAACAUAGUGAUUGUGUGAUUGAAUUGUGCAUGAAAGUAUAAGGUUGCCAAAAGAUGCCAUGUUUGUACCAAUGUGUUUCAAUUGCUAAAUUGUUGUAAUGUUAAUGUAAGUUAAGUAAAUUCCAUAUGGGCUUACUAAGCAUUUAAAAUGCUUACCUAGUUGUUUUCCUUUUUCUGUAGAUUUUUGCUUUGCGAAAUGUGUCGGUUGGAUCACCUCUAAGCUCACACUAUCUUGCUAUUGACUCGAUAGACUUUUGCUCGUUUUAAGCUCGAUUAUGUGGCAUAUACAUAGGUGUUGCUAUAUAUAUGUUUACCUUGAAUGAUAGUUGGACAUAAACCUAGGAUAAUGCUUGAUUUUGGAUUGGUAUUGGUUAUAUAUACAUGUGUGUAUGUUGGUAAUAUGUUAAGCUAUAUAUGUAGUACUUGAGUGUAAAAUUUGGAAGUCAAAUGGUAUGUUUAAAUGAUGGAAUUGAACGAAUUUGCAAGUUUGGAUGGUUUGAAAUUUUCAAAAGUUUAAUUGAUAGGUUUAAGUACCUUAUUGAUGUAUAAAUGUUUGACUGAUUGAGAAGUUGUUGAAAUGAAGUGUUUAGGUAAGCUUUGAAUUGGUUUUUUUUGCAGGUUUUUAGUAUGCUUUUAAUCACUAUUUGAGUUUGAGUUGGUUUGGGCAUGAAAUAAGUACAAAAAUGUAAGUUUUGACAUAUUUGGCACUGAGGUAUCGAUACCCUAGAUAAAGUUAUCGAUGCUUAGUGAUUUUCUUCAAGUUUUUCAAACUUUGAACCUUAAAAUGGUAUCGAUACAAAAGGUAAAGUAUCAAUACCUUGAAGAAAGUGUCGAUACUUUAAGUCUGGUAUAAAUACUUUUGGUUUUAAAUUGAUUUUUUUGAAACAUUAAAGCUCAAAAUGGUAUUGGUACCUAGCAAGAGUAUCGAUACCUAUUUUGAAACUUUGAAAGCUUUGCAAUUUGAUCUUAUUUCAUGUUCGGAUUAGUAAAUGAGCUUUCAUAAGCUCGAUUGAGUCUCGAAAAAGUUUGUUUAGCAUGUAAUGACUACAUGUGUGGAAUAUUCGAAUGUUUGAUUAAUUUAUUUACAGUGUUUUUUACAGUAGUUGCUCCGGAAACGACUAUAGCAUUCCCAUAGCUCAAACUUGACGACCGGAUCGGGCGAUGAGUGUUACAACAGGUGCACGCAUUAUUGCUUUUAUGCAUUUUUUUAUUUUACAUUCGUUCACAUGAUUAAUUAUAAAGUUUAUAAAUCUAACAAAUUUAAUUAAUCAAUAUGAAUUAUCAAAUUAUAUUAAUUGAUUUAUAGUGGGUUACUAAAUUCAACUAACCAAUUUACAAGAAAAUGUAUUAAUAUAUUAAAAAAAUAACUUUUUAAUUUAAAAAUAAAAAAGAAUUGAAAUGUUGUAUUCAAAGGUGGAAAUUGGACGAUGAAACAUGGGUCCACACAUGUAACUACCCUAGAAAAUAGACCGCCACUCUCACGCCGGGCUUUUCGCUAUAUCACUCACUUACCCUCACCCACUGCUGUGUGCGUGCAUCCAACGUGCUGUAAUUAAAACACCGAGCCCAACCCAACCAAUUUUUAAAUUCUUUGAUAAUUUGAUUUACUUUUUAAAGAUUUAUUUAAUUAAUAAAAAGGAAAAGAAGAAACAAAAAUAUUACUACUGUCUGUUACCUUGAGAAACCUGACAGCCGCGAGAUCAUCGAGAGCCGAGCCCACUAUUGCGCAUCUUCGAAGUUGGUGCCCAAUGGAUCAACGGCUGUGAUAUGGCUUGCACCUUAACAAUAAACAUUGUGAAAGGCGUGGAUGGAAACUUCAUAGGAAGAGGAUGAAUAAUAUGCUUACAAAAUUAAAAUAGAGAGAGGCAGCAGAUAAUGGCAAAAGGGUAAAGCGAAUAGCUGAGUUAGAGCUGAGCUGAGCUCACGAGUUGGUUUUUUUAUUCAGUGCUGAGUCGCUUUACCAACCUAACGCUUUUUUUUUUCGAUUAAAUUUCCAUGGGUUUCUAAUAAACGAUCCCUUUCUGCUUAAUUAUUUUUCUUGAUCGUAAUCCUCCAUUCCUCGCUUGCUGCAAUGUAAGUUUCUUCUUUUUUAUCUUGUGUGUGUGUGUGUGUGUGUUUAAGAUUUAGGUUUAUGACGAAUUAAUCUCUCUCCUUUAAGUCAUUUGUUAAACUAGAUUAGUGCCAUUUAUUUACUUUGAAACGUAAUGGGAAACGAAAUCUGCCGAUCUCAUUAGGAUCUGAUUCAAAUGAGGGCUAUGAAACUUUCCAAUUCGAAAAUGGAGUCUAUGGAUCUGUAAACGACGAUUUAUUCCUGAAAAAAAAAACUUUGAUUUUAGCUAAAUUCUACCUUAAUGUAAUGGUAUUCAUCGUUGUUCUUGUUUUCUUUUUACAUCAUUAAUUUCAAUUUGCAUUCAUCUGCCUUUGCGUUAUUUUCUGAUUCUUUUAAGAAGCUCUUGCUAAUCAAACUACUUUUUAUUGUCUUUGUAUUCAAUAUUUGGAUAUUUGUCUAUUUUGACUCUGUUCUCUGAUAUUAUGUUCAUUAGCAGUAUUAGGCAGGCUAGGGUUUCACCCUUUCUUGUUUAGCAUUGCUAUUUCAUAGUUCUAAUGCUAUAUGUUAAUAUUUCUUUCCUGUUCUGUGUGUAUGUGUGGCUGCAAUCUCAUCAGUCUGUUUUUCUGUAGAUGCAAGAGUCUUAACCAAAAUGCCGCCGGCAAUAUAGAAAUGUGUCUGCAACUUUGCAUGCCCUGAGUUGGAGACCAUAAUGUUUUCUGAGAGUGUGAGUGAGGAAGCGCUUCGCCAGGAUUUUGAGACGCUGACUGUGUCUAAACGACUUGUGAGGAGUGUUAGCCAGAAGUUGAGGAAAAAAAAUCAUAGAGGUGAAGGGGGUGAAGAGGAUAAGGUGAGAGGGGUUUCCUUGAAAUGUCUUACUCUAUAUGGUAGAGGUGGUGGUUGCAAAGUGGGUGCUGACACAGGUGAGGAACUUGGUGAUCCAAGUUAUAGGAGAAGGUCAAGUGCCAGUGAAGAAGGAAAGGUGUACAAGUCAAUUUGUGGUAUAGAGGACAAUAAUUUCGAUUGCUUCUCAUAUGGUGUGAGGGAGAAGUUUUGGAAGAAAAACAAUAGAAAGGAUUUAGAUCUUGAGGAGUCAGUACGAAACAGCAGGAUGCAUAUCUUUCUGCCUGAUGACAUUCUAGAGAUGUGCUUGGUGAGACUACCAUUAACCAGUCUUAUGAAUGCCCGGCUUGUGUGCAAGAAAUGGAGACACUUGACCACAACUCCUCGGUUUUUACAGAUGAGACGAGAAGGUUCAUGUCAAAAACCAUGGUUGUUUCUCUUUGGUGCUGUUAAGGAUGGCUAUUGCUCUGGGGAGAUACAUGCACUGGACGUGUCUCAAGAUCAAUGGCACAGGAUCAGUGCUGAUAUACUCAGAGGUAGGUUCAUGUUCUCAGUUGCCAGUAUGCAGGAUGAUAUUUAUAUUGUUGGAGGUUGUUCAAGCUUAACCAACUUUGGGAGGGUAGAUAGGAGCUCAUUCAAGACACACAAAGGUGUGUUAGUCUUUAGCCCUCUCACCAAAUCAUGGCGUAAAGCUUCAUCUAUGAAGUUUGCUAGAUCAAUGCCUAUUUUAGGAAUAUCCGAGGUCUGUUCAGAUUUUUCGGUCAUUCAAAGCCAUCAGAAUCGACAUGAUAGGCAGUUUCCCAGAUCCCGAGUUGGUGGGGUGUCAGAUGUUUACGAGGAUCCUCACAGGCUUUCACUCAGACGUCAGUACAGAAAUGCUUUUGAUGAAAAUGGGCCUUCAUUAUUACCAAAUAGAAGAUCAUACAAGUUUAUUAGACAAAGAAGUGAACAAGCAAAUAUGAAGGGUUGUAAAAGGUUCGUGUUGAUUGCUGUUGGAGGUCUUGGAUCUUGGGAUGAGCCACUGAAUUCUGGUGAAAUCUAUGAUUCUUUAUCAAAUAAAUGGACUGAAAUCCAGAAGCUGCCUAUAGACUUUGGGGUCGUUUGUGCUGGUGUUGUUUGUAAUGGGAUGUUUUAUGUUUGCUCUGAGAAUGACAAGUUAGCGGGCUAUGACAUAGAAAGAGGUUUCUGGAUUGGAAUCCAAACCUCUGCAUUUCCUCCCCACGUUCAUGAGUACUAUCCAAAACUUGUUUCUUGUAAUGGUUCCUUGUUUCUGCUGUCUGUCUCUUGGUGCGAGGGAGAUGGGCAAAUUGGUCGGAGAAACAAGGCCGUGAGAAAAUUGUGGGAGCUAGAUCUGAUGUAUCUUACAUGGACCGAGGUCUCAGUACACCCUGAUGCUCCAAUGGACUGGAACCCUGUUUUUGUUGCUGACAGGAACUUAAUAUUUGGUGUUGAAAUGUUUAAAAUAUUUGGUCAGGUUUUGGAUUUCUUCACAGUGUGUGAUGUGUCUGAUGUGGAGAUGAAUUGGAGCCAUAUUUCUAGGAAUCACAUGGCUCAUGAAUUAGAUGCUUCUUCUUGCAUGACUAAGACAAUGGCGGUGCUACAUCUAUAAUGUCUUCUGCUGCAAUGCACUGUAAUUCAACCAGAAAAUUAUAGAACAUGAGAUGAGAGCUGCUCAUUUAGGGGAUUUCGCUCAUGCAUUCCUACCUGUGAAUUUUCUUAUUUAUUUCUUGGAAUUUCCACAAUUUGUACAAUGGCGACCACCACAUCUGGUCUCUAGUACUUAGCCUUGCUAGUAAUUUCUUCACCAUUGUUCAUAAACUGAUUAUGUAUUUUUCAUCUUGCUUCUGUUGCAUUAUCUGUAAUAAAUUUCUGUCCGUUCAUUCAUCAAUGUUCUUGUCCUUAUGUUUUCUUAGAUCAAGUUGCAUCAUUUCUCAUUUCUAAUUAUAGAAAAAAUGUACUUUUUUGGAGAUUGAGAAUCAAAAAGCAUCACUAUUCUUGAAUUCAGAAAUUUAAGGAUUGAUUGAAUGAUGUCAAUGCUGAACUUAAGGAUUGAUUGAAUGAGCUUAUCACAUAUAAAAUACCGUUGCUGCGUCCAUUAAAUGAAUGAAUACUGACAUUCAUUUUAGAUAUGACUAGUGCUCGGAAGUUAUUUGAGUUUGUCUUGAAAAAAGUUAGAAUUUGAUUCAGUCAUUAUUGAGUUAAACUUGAGCUAUUGAUCGAACUGAAUUCAAAUUUAAUAAUACUUGACUCGAUAAAGUUUUUAUUCAUAUUUUUAUAUUAUUAAAUUAUGUUAAGCUUAAUUAUUAGCUUGAGUAUAAAAAUUGGUAAACGAGCUUAAUUGAGCUGGAACUUGAGUAGUUCAAUUAUAUCUCAAGCCGAGUUCAAGCUUAAAAAUAGAUGUUCGAUCAAGCUCAAGCUGAAUAUCAAGUUUGAGCUCGAACUGAACGGUAUUGGAGCUCGGCUCGACUCGAUUACACUGCUAAUCUUAGAGGGGAGCUUACCUCUAUCUAAUUUCUAGUAAAAUGGCUAUCCCAACCUUUCAUUCAUUCCACAAAAGGGGCCUCUAAAGUGUUAAUAAAAAUGAAAAGGCAAUAAAAGAACUAAAGAGGUCUAUACCAUUCAAUGCCAAAAACAAUAGUAGUUCGUAUAAAGAAAUGAAGGUCAAUGAAAAUAGCAUCAUUAAGAACAAAUGAACAAUUUCUUGAAACCCUCUACAAGUGGGAAAUCCAUCCACAUAUACAGCAAUAUAUCUACUUUCAAAACUAUCCACGUAGGGAGACAAAAGGAUAAAAACUACAUACACGUUGCUACUCACCCAAAUAUGCAUGAGAAGCGUGCAAUACAAGAAGCUUAUCCCAUGUUUGGAAAAAUUCCAGAGAAGUUUGGGAUCUUGUCAACGUGCUUCAGGGCGCGCUCCGCAAUCUGCCGGGUUCUGUAGUCCGCAUGGUGGAAGGCAUCAACAAGUGCAGUGCUCACAUUUUGAUCUCCAGAAACUUCAUAGGCUAUAUCAUCAUUCCUUAAAAGUCUCUCUACAACCCAAACGGCUCUUCUCCUCAAAUUCUCUGUUUGUUUCUUGAGUAACACGUCAAGUAUGGGCUUAAUUCCCUCUGCCUCGCACAAAACGGACACACCUUGCUCAAUAUCAACACCAUCAUCCAACAAGGUGGAAAGUGCAGCAAGUGCUGCUUCAACCACCUUUGCGUUGGUGUGAUCCAAGAGAGCAACCAACUUAUGUACAGCCUGUCCUUCCAAAAGACAAAAGCUCUCUUUAAGUGAACAUGUUCCCCGGUGGACGCGACACAAUCCUGUUAUAACGGCCUGUUUGCUGAAACAUGGAAAUAUAGUAGCACAAAAUCCUGGUGGUGGCAUCUCCGGCAAUCUUGUCAAAUUUUUGGAUUCUAGAGAUAAGUUCUCCAGAGCUGCGGCAGAGACCAUCUGGACAUUGUCAAUACCAUUGGUCUGAAGCAAAUCAACGAAUAACGCUGCAAGACCACGCUCACGGCAAAGAGCAACAGCAACAGGCUCAUCUGAUAAGACAAAUGUAACCCUUGCAAGCACCCGAACAAGUCCUUCAAGGAAUGGUGUUACGAAGCGAGUGCCCCUAAUAUCUCCUUGCUUGAUUUUAACAACUCUAGAGAUGAUCAACUGAAAAGCACCUUCAUCUAGCAUUUGCCUUGUGAGGCCCACAUCCCUCUCUGGGAGUUCAGCUAAGAGGCCAGCAGCUGCUGCCUGUUCUUCAGAAAUUCCUGUAUUUUCUGAUAUGACUCUAAUUAGGCUGCUGAGCUGACCAACUGUUCCACGUAGUGCAUCUGCUAAUUCCUGACCCAUGUGAGGAGAGAGAUUCUGGAGAAGUUUUAUGGAUGCCAUCCGCAAAUCCUUCUGUGGAACCUCUAUAAACUGAACCAAACUGAUAGUAGCUCCAGAGCUUUUAAUUGCAGCAACAACAUUCAGAACUGUUGUCGGAGAAUUGGUGAGUCCAACUAGAACUUGAAGAAGCUUGCACUCGAUUGGUGGACCAGUGUUGCUGAUUAGAUGAAGUAAGUUAUGGACAUUGUCUUCAGAAACAAGAGUCUGAUGGUCCAGCCCAAUAGGAAUGGAGUCAACAUCAUAUCCUGAGUUUACAACAUUGGACAGAAUUGUGGCAGAGACUUCUUUAAGUCGCAUGGGAAGCUGAUUUGCACCAACAGUGAAGAGGUCUCUGACAAGAGGAGGAAGUAUUCCUGCCUCAAUCAACACCUUCGAGCUUGCAUCAAAAGAUGAAAUCUGGUUAAGUGCCUUCAGAGCAGCUUCUCUUGAUUGCAUGUUACCACUUUUCAUGAUAUUGAUUAGAGAUUCACCUACAGUUUUUGCAACGUGUACCUUCACAUCAUUAUUCAGAACCAAGUCACCAAGAUAUGCAGCCAUGGAAUGCUUUGUUUCAGGUGGACCUGCAGCAAUAUCAUUUUACAUCAACUAUAGCAAUGUAAAUGAUUAGCAUGAAAAUUCAGAUGUCAAAGGUCAAACAUAAAAUACUUCCAGCUCAAAUAUUUCAUCCCAGAGUGAGCAGCAAGAAAUAACUAGCAAGUUACAGGGUCAGGACAAAUGAACUAAGGACUAUAUAUGAACACUAGAAGGCAAUCAUUGUUACAUAAAAUGAUCUGCAGUCAACUGACAAAUAGUGUAUUGACGAGCACGUUUGCAGGUAUAAUAAAAAAGGGAGCAUCAAAUUUUUCAAUGAAACAAAGACUAAGCCAAUAGUACAUGACUCCGCCCCAGAAAAAUGGAGGACCAGUAUGCUGGCAGCAAGUUAGCAAAAGCAUAAACAUGUCAAGGAAAGGGAAAGCACCUUCAAGAAUCUGGGUCAAAAGAGGCUGCAGUCUACCAUUUUCAGCCAUCUGUCGGACAUUGUUCUCACACUUCUCCAGAUUUUCUAGAGUUUUAUCAGCUUUCUCAACAGUUGAAAUGUUCUCAGAUUUACUGCUGGUCAUUCCAAUUAAUAUAAGAAUUGCUCCAUUAAUAGAACCAAUCUUCUCACACAAGGCUUCAGAUUUUGAAAGUUCAUACAGCAAAGAGACAGCCUCCUCCCUCUCCUUGGACUGUUCAUGGGACAAGAAUUUAACUAUUGUGCGCACAGUGUCCCCCUCAGCCAAUAUUGCCUGAAAAAUAAUGCAAUAGUUAAUAAUCCAGUCCUGGAUGCAUACACUACAAUGAUCUCAUUGUCACUCAACAGGAAAACAUCAAACCUAGAACAACCUUAUUAUCUUCAUCUUCCUCGACCACUGCAAGGAGUGUCUCCAAUGCUUUGCACCGAACUUUACGGCUGCUGCUCUUUAACAUGUCAACAAUCAUAGGUAUCAGAUCAGCAUUGCGUACAGCAUGCUUAUUUGAUCGGUUCUUUUGGCAGAUACGUUGGAUAAACCUCAGAGACAGCAGAACAUCAUCUUCUGAACUGUUCAUAUUUAAUGAUCUACGAGCCAUAUCAAGCUGGGCUGCUUCAUUCCUAGUAGUCCACUCUUCAAUGGUGUUCCGCAAAGCGAUACUCGGGUUUAGAUCCGCACUUUUCAGUUCUUUUUGGGUCAAUGGGCAAACCAGCCUCCUUCCACUUUCCCUGCAUUCCUUGAACCAUUUUUCAAUUGCUUCACGUUCAAAUGUUUGGCCAUUUUCUAACGUCACAGGGUCACGCAUAACUUGCUUAGUCAAAGGGCAAACAAAUGCAUCAUAAAGGGGCUCUAUGUGCAGUCUCUCAAAAUGAUGGCUAUCAUCUGACUGACUGCCAGGGUCGUAACUUCCGUCCCAGCUCCCAGCCAUCUGACUUAUAUAGUCACCACACAAAAUACAAAAUUGCUUAACAAAUAAUCAGCUUCUUAGAAACUUGUACUAUUAACAGAGACAACAACAAACUGAAUAACCAAUGAGAUAACAAUCUUUAGAAGGCAGGCAGGGUACAAUUAGAAACAGCAAAAUCAGAGCUCAAAGGUUCAACCAAAUUCAAGCAGCUACAGAGUGACCAUAAACAACACUAUGUUUUUAUAUGGAAAAAGAGUGUAUGAAAAACACGAUUCCAAUAUUAACCCUCCAUUAGCUUGCCAAGGUGAUGCAGGAUACUAGGAGAAACUAAGUGCUUAUCUAGAAUUGGUUGUAUCAGAAUUAAGACAUGGAAAUAAAGCAUUACAGAAUACAUAUAUACAGGGGAAAAAAUCCCAUCACAAAAUCCCAAAGCUCAAUUUCCAAAUCUAAAUUAAGUAAGUCGACUGAGCAAUGAAUUUAAUGAAAUUAGAUUAGAAUCUAAGUGGAAAAAAUGGAAAUCAAAGAAGUAGCAACUACUUAACACCAACCAAAUAUAAAGUGAGAAAAAUUUAGAUUAGAAAAGCAGCAAGUUCCGCAGCUGCAACUCAGAGCUGAUUUAAAGAAAGAAAGAAGGUAAGAAAGGAGUAAUACCCUUUUUUAGAUUUUGAAGAGAGACAAAAAAGGAAUAGGAAGGAUGCGUUUGACAAAACUCUAGUUCUAGUUCGAAAAAUCGCUGCACAACUGAGGUUGGAAUAAAGCGGCGAAGUGGAUUCUUCCCAUAAGGUGUUUGACUUGCAUGAAAUGAUUAAAAUCGGGGGAGUUUAGAAAGAAUUUGAAUUAGGGUUUGGAUCUUGAUGUUGAAAGUGCUGAUGAUGGGGUUUCUUCUUUUGCUGAGAAGAAAAAAACAAAUGGGAAUAGGAAGAAACGAAAGAAAGCAGUGGAGAAAAUUAAAAUUAAAAUUAAAAUUAAAAUUAAAAAAUAAGAUUAAGAGUUGGAAAAAUAGGAAAAGUUGACCCAAAACGAGUACAGUAGUCAUCCCAUCUCAUUUGCCAAAGAGAGAGAAAGGGGGGGCGUAUGGAAUGGAGGCACCAACUCACCAUUCAACCUCCGGUGACCCCACUCCCCCAUCAGUGCUCCAACCAUACCCCCCCCCCCCCCAAAAAAAAAAGAAGAAAAAAAAAAACCAUGAAAUAUAUUUGCUUUUACUUUUGGCCAUUUUGCUUGGUAUCCAAUGAUACAACUGCAACCGGAGGGAUAGAGGGAGGGUGGCUGCCAUUGCCUUGGGGGAUGUAUUUUAAGAGCAACAUUGAUUCAACUCUAUUUCAAAGUCAAUCUAUGUGCUCAAUUAGUAAAAAUCUGUUCAAACAUAAAUACACUACUCACUAAUUACUUUAAUUUAUUACACCUAUUUAUAGCAAUACUAUUUUCAAACAUAAACGCAAGUGCUUCAUUUCCCGUCUUUGUUGGGCUAACAAUGCACUUGCGCUAAUGUGCAAUAGAUGAAGUGAAUGCACUUUCCAAAAAUUUAUCAAAGCAAUUGUGUAACUUGCACUUAAACUUAUAAUCUCUUAAAAUGGGUUACAACCAUCAUCAUACUCAAUAUCUUUCUUAUUGUUCACUAUAUUAAUGUGAUUUCUUUCACUUUUAUCAUACAUUCUUUUAAAUUAAUUUACUUAUCUCUCUCACAUUUUAUAAAAUAUAAUCUUUUUUUAUAACUAUCAUGAAAAUGCUGGACCCCAACAUUGUACCCAUUGGCCAAGGGUGAUCAUCCCAUCUCCAAAAUAUGGGAGCAAUUCGCAAAUUUAACUUGUGUGAUAAUGUAAUUGUAUGUGUGAGUGAGUAUGUGAGUUAUACUUAAAUGAUAUAUAUAUACAUAAGCUAUCUUAGAAAUGCUACAAAUAGUGGUUCAAAUGUUUCAUUCGAGACCUUUUGGUAAUUUGACAAACUUGAGCAUUCUACAUUCUUUUUAUAAUUUUCUCAUUUACAAUCACUACAACCACCACAAUGAUCUCUAUCCUUAGCCAUUUAUCAUCUUCACAACUAUCAUCUAGCACCGCACUUGUUCUUCGGAGUCUGCCUUGAUCUUUCUCUUUAUCAUCUCUCCAUGAUACUUCAUUUUUUUAGUUUAUAACGCUUAAUUACCAUAACAAAAUAACCAUUUAUGUUUUGGAAACUCUAAUAAGGUGAAGUAAUUACAUGUAAUGUGACACUUUCUACCUUUUUUUUUCUUUAAAUUUCAUUGAAAAUCAUAGUGAAUGUUGGAAAUUCAAAUACUCUAUCCCUUCCUAUAUCUAAGAUUUAAUGAAGAUGAUGAAAACAAACGAGAGAAAUGACAUAAAUGAUGGAAGAAAAUAAUAGGAAACAUGAUCGAAAUUAUCUAUCAAGUUAUAUGAUUUUCAAACAUCACCACUUCCCAAAACUAACCCAUAAAAAAUAUUUCCACUGAAGUUACCCUAUCCAAAAUAGUAAUGUAGAGAACACUUGUCUAGCCAAACACUUGGAUUUCAAUGGCAAGUGUUGUACAAGGAGUUGUGCCAAGAGUAUUAGGAGCUAGGUUAGUACUAAGGAGAAGCUUUUAGUACUGUUGAGUAAUUUUUUGUUGUGUUUCAUUAAAUGGGACAAUCGAAUAUUUAUAUACAUGGUUACUGUUCAUGGAAUUAACGUUCUUAGUAGACUCUAUGCAUGUAGGACACGUGUAUUGUUCUGGGCUGCCUAUUGGACUUUGUGGCCCCUACAUGGGAACUCAUUGGGCAUAUACGAAUUGAGACAGCAGGCUCCCCUUGUGAGCACCCCGUGGCAUGUGUGAACUGAGAUCGUGAGCUCCCUUUGCGAACUUAAGGUGGACGACCCAGACCUUAUCUAGUUCUCGGGUUGGUGAUCUUAAGCACAUAAAAAUCUAGUCUCCACUAUUAGGUUUAAAGAGGGCUAUAAAGUGGCGCUUCUUAGAGCCAUCACUUCACAUUUAUACAACCUUGCUAAAUAUGCAACGACCACUGAGACGUGAUGUUAACUUUGUCACGUGUACAGGUGGAUCACAUCUGUUUAUAUCUGGCUGUUGGUGCUCUUCGGUCAUUUGAAUUGUCCAAACGUGGGAAAGAGAAACUUAUUUAAAAUGGGGGUUUUUAGAAACCCUAAACUUACAAUCUAAACUUAUAAUCUUAACAUUUUCUGCAAACAAGCUUGAUCGAGACUUUCUUCAAGGUAACAUCUUCUAUCAUUUUCUUUUCUUUCUACAUAAAAAACAUGUUAAAAAUAAAACGUGCUGGUGGUCGAAUAAUUCUUAGUUGUCCACCGCGAGCGCAUGCUUCGAAGGUUCUUGUAGAAGCUAAUUUUUUUGUUUACACUACAAAAGAGGAAGAAAUGAGUCAAGUUUUGAGUGCACAAGGGAUUCGAAUCCCCAAUUUUGCUUACAAAUUUUCCAUCCCUUGUAACACCCCUUACCCGAGACCGUUUCCGGAGUCGAGCACGAGGCAUUACUUAGCUUAUCUUACCAAUUCGGAGCAUAAAAACUAGGUUUGAAAAUUUAUUUCAUUAUUCGCAGCAAAUCUGUCUAAUCGCGCAGCAGUUACUAAAUUAAUUAUAACUUGAGCUACAGAACUCGAAAUUUAAUCCCGUAAAUUUUCCCUGAAACUAGACUCAUAUAUAUACUCACCAUAAAAUUUUUAGAAUUUUUGGUUCAGCAAAUUAGUACAGUUUAUUAGUUAAAGUCUCCCCUGUGUCACCACCAGACUGCCCUGACCUCUAGUCACUAAAAAUAAGUUUUCUCACUAUAUGAUUUUCAUAUGAAGUUCUUACUUGUUUCUAUAGAAAAUAGACUCAUUAAGGAAUCUAAGCAUGUAAAUUUCAACUCAUAACCAUUUUUGUACAAUUUGUAAUUAUUUUCUAAACUCAGAACAGGGGACUCCAAAAACAGUUCUGACCCUAUCUUACUAAAAUUCACAUAUCUUAAAAUAUAAAUUUCUUUUUUUCUACACCGUUAUUUUUCCAUGAAAAUAGACUCAAAAAGCUUUAAUUCCAUAUAUCAUUCACCCUCUAAUUCAUUUUAUACUAUCUUGGGUGAUUUUUCAAAUUCACGUCACUGUGCUGCCUGAAUUCUGUUUCUUUGCAAAAUUUUAUCCUUUCAUGAUUUCCAUGCAUAAUUUAUCACCUAAUCUUUCAUAACAACAAACACCUUCAUCCUUAAUCAUUUUAAUAACCAUACAUCAUCAAAUACUUACACAUCACUCAUUAGCAAAAUCAUCACUACAAACAUACAAAAUAACUAAAUCCCUAUACAUGCCAUAACUUAAACGUGUUUCGAUAUAAAAUACCGAGCAGUUGUAGUUGAUGGUGUGGACGAUCUCCGACUUCUUUAGGAUCCUUGAAGUAGCUUUGCAAUACUAUAAGAGAAAGAAAAAUAAAAGAAGUAAGCAUAAAGCUUAGUAAGUUUACUAGCAAAUAAAUAACAAUAUUUAACUUAAAUAAUUAAACUCAAUGUCUAUAUCUCUAGUUUACUCUUUAGUUAAUCUCAUACUAGUUCUCUUACUUGUUUACUUAGAAUAUUUGUGUGCAUAACUUACUCAAUCCCUGCUGCAUCGUUGAACAUCAAUUGAUAGUAUAAUAAGUUCUUAAGUCUUACAACUUACCUGAGCUUGCCAUUUAUGCUUUAAACUGAACUUUCAUGAACAUGAUUCGUUUACAAGCCCGUUGAACUACAUUGGAAUAAUAAGGAUACUCGGGUCUCUUCUGAUAAUAACAUGCCAAAGCCAUGUCCCAGACAUGGUCUUACAUGGGAUGUUCUCGUGAUGGUGCCCAUGCCAUGUCCCAGACAUGGUCUUAUAGGGGACCUCUCAUCUCGGUGCCAACGCCAUGUCCCAGACAUGGUCUUACAUGGGACCUCUCGUCUCGGUGCCCAUGCCAUGUCCCAGACAUGGUCUUACAGGGGACCUCUCAUGAUCUUAAGGAUGCCAAUGCCAUGUCCCAGACAUGGUCUUACAUGGGAUCUCUUUACCCAAAUGUCAUGACAUUCGUAUCCAGUACCAUCCUUAUGUAUCAACGGGACUUUUAAAUUUUAAUUCUCUAUCAUUUCAUGCUUGGAUCAUCAUCAAAUAAAUUCAUAAAAUAAAUUCAUAAUUGCUGGAAAUUAACAGCAUUAAUAAUAAAUAUUGAAAUAUUGCAUUUAUUUACCGUAAACUUACCUCGGUACCAAUUAUAGCCAAAUUCACCAACUUAGUCUUCAACUUUAUUCUUCCCUUUGUCUAACCUCGAGUUUCGUACUUCUUGAUCUAAAAUAGUAAAUUUAACUUAUUUAAUAAUCACAUUCAUCAAAAUAGCCCUCGACUCUAACUUUUUCAAAAUUAUAAUUUUGCCCCUGAACUUUUACAUAAUUACAUUUUUGCCCCAAGGCUCGGAAAUUAAACUUCAUCUCUUAUUCUUAUGUUUUAUAACAUUCUGAACAUUUUUCCCUUCUAUGGCAACAUCAAAUUCUAAUUUAAUCCCUUAUCAAUACUAAUUUUAUUUUUGCAUUCUAACUUUAUAUUCUCUCUUAAUUCUUACUAUAAAGUCAAUUUAAUUCCUCAAUUUCACCAUAAAUCCCUAAUUUCGGGAUUCUUUCAAUUUAAUCCCUAUCGAUUCAAAACUUAUAUUUUAUUUUACAAUUACGUUCUUUACUAACUUCUAACUUGAAAUUAAAUCAAUUUAACCCCUAACUAAACCUAUAUAUUUUUCUUUCUCAAUUCAUACCCUUAUUCUACCCAAUUUCUUGCUAAACUCAUAUUUAACUAUUUAAUUUUUAUCAUGUUUUCAUAAUUCCGAAUUUAUUUCAAAUUAAUCCCUAAAAUUCAAAACUUAUAGUUUAGUUUACAAUUCAAUCCUUUAUUCAAUUCCAAUCAAAAUUUCUAUCAAAUACAUCCCUAAUUUAACAAUUUAUUCAACAUGAACCAUGCUUAAUAAUCUACUAACUUCCAAAAUUUCAACUUAAUCAAGUAGUAUUUUGUUCUAGGAUUUCAAAAAAAAUAUCAAAAUUAAGAGAAAAUGGGAUUAAAUUGACUUACCAAAUUACUUUGAACCUUAAAACCCCAAAUUUCCCUUUUUCUUUUCUUUUCUUUCUUUCUUUCCUUCCUUCCUUCUCUGUUUCGUUUUGCUCUCUGUUUCUUUCUUUCUCCCUUCUCUGUUUUGUUUUGCUCUCUGUUUCUUUUCUUUCUUUCUUUGUCAUAUAUAUAUAAUAAUAAUAAUAUAAUAUAAUAUAAUAUAAUAUAAAAACAUAAUUAUUACUUACGCAUGUAUAAUAUAAUAUAUAUAUUUUAAAUUAAAAAUAUCUUAGAUUUUUCUUUUGUUAUGCCGCCUCAACUUUAGAAAAAGGCAUAAUUUCCUAUUUGGUCCUUUAACUUUUCUUUAAUCUAUAAUUAAACUUUUAUCCUUACUUCAAUUUAGUCAUUUUUCAUAAUUAACUAUCAAAGCGUUAAAAUUUCUUAACGAAACUUUAAUAUUAUCCUGUUGACACUCCGUAAAUAUUUUUAUAAAUAUUUACGGCUCAGUUUAUAAUAUCGAGGUCUCGAUAUCUCGUUUUCGACCCAAUUUACCUAAUAAUUUCUUUUAAAUCACAAAAUUCACUGAUUUAAAAAUAUUUCUAAAAUCACACUUAACUUAUAAUUAUUAAUUAAUAAAUUUUUCUAACUUUUUCAUCAAUUUUAGUGAUCUCAAAUCACUAUUCUGACACUACUAAAAUUUGGGCUGUUACAUCCCUGAUGGGUCUCACAGGCUUAGUGAUACUAGUGAUGGCAGCUUCCUACUCCCCCUCUAUGCUCUAGAAGUGGGGUUCUACUUGCCUUUACAUCAUUUCUUCUGUCAUUUUCUUCAAGAUUACCAGAUUGCUCGCGAUCAACUCUGCGGGUUCUUUUUGUGGAUUGCGAUGGUUUAUUUUAUUGAUUGUUGCUAACGUAAUGAAGCACUAUAGCUCGCAGUGUUCCAAAGCUUAUAUCUAUUAAACGCCCAAAAUCGAGGUAGCUCAUCAGGCUUUUACUAUUUUUCUCCCCAUGAUAAAGGCAAGACCAUAAUUGCGAACAAAUGUGCUAAUCUUUGGCUAAACAGGGGAAAAUAUAUCAGGGUGAGAUGUAGGCUCGUAGAUGGAUUUAGUUUUCCUACAGAGUGGUCCACGCCAAGUAUAGACAUGUGUUCAUUUAGGCGAACCGUUGGGACAAAUGGUUGUUCAGCCUAGUUGGAAAGGCUUCGUGCUAGUAGUUUAUUGGUUAUCAAAGAUCUUAUAACCGUGAGAAACAUAUUUUGAUAUCGUUUAGAGGGCCUUAGUCCUAAUAGAUACAGACGAGGUGACAGCAGAAAAGUUACUGAUGCCUUAGGUGCAAACCCUGAAAGACGGACAUGUCCCUAUAUAGCCAAAGAUGCCCACGAUGACUUGGGUCUAAUCCUGACAGGAUUUAAAGAGGAACCCAAGAAAUUCUUUUACAAUUACUGUAGGAUGAGGCAUUGACCCUAGAUUCUGGUGGUCUUAUCGCGGGCAAAAAGCGAUGCCAAUAUUAAUUUGAUAAUUGCUCCUAUUGAUACUGAGAUUGUUGGUGGUGUAGAUGCAGCUCGCAGUUUAGGAAGCGAUUAUGAGGAAACUACCAGUAUAUUGCGAGAAAUUAACGAAGCUAUGAACCUUCGAGCUGCUCUGAGGGACAUGUGCAAGAAGCGCAGGAUUGAAAUGAGGGAUGUUAACGUGGUUACCAGCAGCGAAGAGGAAGCAGAUAGUGGCAGGUUAGAGUUUCGCCGUAAAAUGAGGGUAAACCAUGCUAGACAUUUUGUUGUGAUGGCCACCACUCAUACUUCUCCCUCAGCGAGAUCACACUCUACAACUCAUAAAAGUUCUCCUAUUAUUAUCGUGGUAGUUCCCUUCCUCUUGCUCCUAUUUGUAUUUCUCUUUUUCCUCUACCUCUCGCUGAUGAGCCAUCUGCUGAAGAUGAUGGCGAGCUGGUCCUAGGUCGCGGGAAUUUAAGCACAAGGGAGUUGCAAAACAUGAUUGAAAAGUGGAAAGCUUUUGUGAUAAAAGCUGUAAAAAGGAAAAUGUGUGCCAGUGAGUCAUUAGGGAGUUCGCAGAAGUCUAAUUUAUCGAAACUCAAUUCCUUUCUGCAAGCUCUCUUGGCCAAGGCUAUUGUGAUCAGUUUGGGCCUUGACGAACAUCUUGUUGGGGCAUAGGCUAAUUAGAAAUAGCUCGAAGAAAAUCUUGAGAGCACUCGGGAGCAAUACUUGAAGAUGAGGGAUGAAAACGAAGUACUCUAUAAGUAAAAAGAAGAGCUCGUUAAGAAAUUGAAGGUUGCACAAGUGAAAAAUGAUGAAUUAUCUAGCGAGGUUAUGGUUGAAAGAGAAAGAAGUAAGGCCUUAAAUGUUGAGUUAAGGAGAACUAUUGAAGAGCACAAGGAAACUGUGAGUCGAGUCAUUGCUGAGUAUGAAGCUGCAAUGGCGAGUUAAAGCACAAAUAAGUCAAAGCCUUUAAAAAAAUUAAGAAGACUUUAGAAACCAUGAGUAAUCUCACUUCUGAGCUCAAGUCCAACAUUCUUCUGCAUAUUCAAGUUGUGGUUGGACCCUUCAAUGCUUGCCAAGUUGACUUUGACGCCCUCUACGAGGUAGAUAUGGAUAAACCUUGUUUUGAUGUUCACUUCCCUUCGGGAGUUGGUUGGGAUGAGUUUGCAUCAAAGUGGAAGAACUCAAAAGAUUUUUACCUUGAUGAAGGUCAUUCUGAGUCGAUCGUUAUGCCUACUAAUGAAAAUAUCACCACCACACCUGUUGAAAAUAUUGAAGUUGUAGAAAGGGAAGAUGAGAUCACUAGGGAUCUUGAAGGGGGGAGGAUGCGCCUUAAAUGAUUGUAAAUAUGUUUUACUCUUAUUAUGAUCUUAAUAAGAAAAAUUGAAGUUUAGUUAUCAGUGUUAUGGUAUUCUAUCAUUCUGCAAACUCGAGCAAAAUUUUCAAUUUAAUCAAACCUUGAACUUAAGCAUGUUUUAAAAUUAAAGAAAUUUUAGGCUUAAGUGAAUUUUUGAACUUAAGUAUGUUUUGAACUUAAGUAAAUUUUUAAUUUGAGUAAAUUUCAAACUGCUUUAUCUAAAAUCCUUAAACAACUUAGUGUAACUCGAGUCACUAACUGCAUUGGAGCUGCGAGCUCGAAUGUGUGAACUUUUAUACAGUAAGUUGGGAACGUAGGUCUGCUACUUGUGUUAGAGUUGUGAGCUUGAGCCUGUAAGCUUUUAGAGUUGUUUUUAGAGGUUGCGAUCAUAAACCGACAAAUCUUUAUAACAUUAGCUGGGAUCGUAGGUCUGCUAGUUUUGUUGGAGAUGCGAGCAAGCUCUUAGAAUAUCAUCUGGGAACAUAGGUUUGCUAGUUGUUUUUAGAGGUUGCGAUCAUAAAUCGAAAAACCUUUAUUACAUUAGUUGAGAGCGUAGGUCCACUAGCUGUGUUAGAGCUGCGAGCUCUUAGAAUAUCAGCUGAGAAUAUAGGUCCGCUAGCUAUUUUUGGAGGUUGUGAUCAUAAACUGAAAAACCUUUGAAUAAUACUAAGUACAAGUGUAUGUGAGGAAAAUAUUUUUAUUCAAAGAGUAAAAAAUUAUACAUAGUACUUUUUGAGGUGGCGCGCAUUCCAUAACCAAUUUUUUCUAUGACAUUGUAUGAUCCUUCCUAAUUCGGAGCCAUUUUUCCUUGCUACGAAGUUGGAAAACUAGCCUCAGUAUUUCUUAAGACAAGAUCGACUAUUUGGAGCUGCUUUUUUUUACCUUAGAGGUUUAAUAACGAGCUACUUGUUGAGCACCCGCUGCGUUCUUGAUUUCUACUACUUUUCUGAAUUCAUAGAUCAAAUCAAGGUUAAGCCUGAUGGCUUCCUAAUUGAUUUCUUCAUCAAAACACUGGGUUUUGUGCGAUCUCAUGCCAAUCUUAGUAGGGAUUACAGCCUCUAUGCCAUAAACAAGAGAAAAAGUUGUUUCUCCUGCUGCAGUGUGGGGCGUAGUUCGCAGAGCCCACAAAAUUCAUGGUAGCUCCUCUAACCAAGUGCCUUUGGCCUCACCAACUUUCUUUUUCACGGCUGUUAGAAUUUUCUUGUUUAUCGCUUCUACCUGCCCAUUCUUUUGUGGUGUUUUAAUUGAACUCUGAGCCAAAGCUAUAUGAAGGUUAGUACAGAAGUUUUUGAAUUUUCCCUGAAACUGUGUACCAUUGUCUGUAAUGAAACCUGCAAACAAUUGACUUCCAGAAGAAAUACUCCAUUUGUUUCUCUAUAAUGGUUGCUAAAGCUUCAGUUUCAAUCCACUUGGUGAAAUAAUCUACAACCACCAUUAUAAACUUCUUCUGUGUCGUGGCUAUUGGAAACGGGCCAAGGAUGUCUAUUCCCCAGGACACGAAUGGUUAGGGGCUUGACAUAACCUGAAGAGGCUCUAGUGGUUGCCGUUGUACCUUGGCAUAUCUCUGGCAAGAGUCGCACGUGCGAACCAACCGACGUACAUCCUUUUGGAUUGUAGGCCAGUAAUAUCCUUGUCUGAAGAUUUUCUGGGCAAGUAGUCUUCCACCCAAAUGAUCACUGCAAAUACCCUCAUGAAUUUCUCGCAUCACAUAGUCAGCAUCAGGUGGUGAUAAACAUCGCAGUAGUGGAUACGAAAACCCCUUUUUAUAUAAUAUACCAUCUAAAAAGGUAUACCUAGCAAUUAUAGGACACAAUAAAUUGUUUUAAUCUAUCAUGGAAUUGAAUAAAUUGACAAAUAUCUACUUAGUGUUCAGAUAUCUAAUUCACUCAGUAUGAAUAUUUUAGAUAUUUUUAGUUUGCAAUAAUGACAUACCUUGUAGCUUUGCAUUGUAGUAUUGCGAGCUCCAUUUUUUUCCAGAUUAUAUUGUGUGCCUUGGGCUGUGCGAACUAUGGGAGUUAUCCAAGUCUCCUCCUGAUCUACGCAUAGAACUUGUGGCAGAUCAUAGCUCAGGGUAUCCCUAUGCUAGAUCUGGAUUUUUCCUCUUUGCUUAAUGACAACAGAGGAUACUAAUUUGGAUAAAACAUCUGUAUGUGUGUUGUCACUUCUUGGGAGCUGCUUAACCUGGAAUUUAUCAAAUCUUGUGAGCAAUUGGGCUACAAUUGCAUGAUAUUUUUUUAGCAUCGCUUCCUUUACAUCGUACUCACCAUUCAUUUUCUUUGCCACCAACUGUGAAUCUGUGUGGAUGGCUAGAUCCUUCACCCCUAGUUGGCAUGCUAGCUGUAGUCUCGAUAUCAAAGCUUCAUACUCUGCAGUGUUGUUGGAUGUUUGAAACCCAAAAGAUAGUACAUAUUUCCAACUUCCUUCAUAGGUUGAUUAGUCAUGACAACGACUGGAUGAGCCUGAAAGUACGAAUGCAACUUAAGAGCUACAAUAAUCAAAGCGAAGAUACACUUUUCUAUUUUUGAGUACCUUAGUUUGUUGUUUUAGAGUACCUUGUUGAUGUAAAACACUGGAAAUUGGCAAACAUCCUCUACUCUAACUAACACUACUGAAACUAUCUCCUCCGAGGUAGCCAGAUAUAGAUAGAGGGUUUCUCCCACUAGUGGUGACUUUAGAAGCAAUGGAGAGGUAAGGUACAACUUUAGUUCUUCAAAGGCUGCCUGACACUCUUCAAUCCAUAAGAAAGAGGUUCUCAAGGCCCUGAAGAAAUUGAGGCAUUUGUACGACAUCCUGGAAAUGAACCUGUUGAGUGCCACGACUCUACCUGUGAGGCGUUAAAUAUCUUUUACUGUUUGCGGGGAAAGCAUUUCUAAGAUCACGCAGAUCUUGUCCGGGUUUACCUCUAUUCCCUUUUCUAAAAUCAUGAAGCCCAAGAAUCUGUUAGCUCACACACCGAAAGCACACCUUUUAGGAUUUAGUUUCAUGUUGUGGGCCCUCAAAACUACAAAUGCCUCGAAUAAGUUUCGCACAUGCUCCUCCAUAGAUCCACUUUUCACCAACAUGUCAUCCACAUAGACUUCAAGUCCGUGCCCUAUCUGGUUUUUGAAAAUUCUGUUCACUAAUCUUUGAUAGGUUGCUUUUGCGUUUUUGAGACUGAAAGGCAUAACUCGAUAAUAGAAAAGUCCUUAUUCGGUGAUGAAAGCUGUCUUUUCCUGGUCACUCUUAUCCAACAGAAUCUGGUUAUAGCCUAAGAAAGCGUCCAUGAAACUCAUGAACCUGUGACCUGCAGAGGCAUUAACUAAAUGAUCAAUCGAAGGUAGAGGGAAACUAUCCUUAGGACACGCCUUGUUGAGGUUAGUGAAAUCAAUACACAUUCUUCAUUUGCCAUUUGUUUCUUCACCAUAACCACAUUCGACACCCAAUUUGGAUACUCAACCUCCCUAAUAAAACCUUCCGAUAACAGUUUAGCUACCUCUUGUUUUACUGUUUCCACCACCUGUGGAGCAAACUUCCUCAUCUUCCACUAAACUGGUUUUGCCUCUGGGAGCACAUUCAACUUGUGAACGAUCACCUGGGGGUCCACCUGUAACACCCCAUACUCGGUCAGGACGCCAAGCCAAAUAUUGAGAUGCCACACCACCGUCUCACUACUUGUUCAUCUAAAACGACAUGUUAUUUCUCAUGCAUCUAUUUUUUUUAUUAAUAAUAACAUAGCAUUAUCAUGAAUUAUAAACCAUACAUUCACUUUUUGUUGAUAACCCAUGCCAAGAAUUCAUAAAAUAACAUAACAUAGGUAUUAAUCGUGCAUUAGGACCACUUAUCAAAUUUUCCCAGGAGUGUUACGUAGGCAUCAAUACCACGUGGAAAAUUGAUACCAAACUAGCAUUCAAUUUCUCGCCAAAUUUCAAAACAUCAGAAAAUAUCAGUACCUUUCGUAAGGUAUCAAUAAUUACACCUCGAGUAUCAAUACUUGGGCCAAGGUAUCGAUACCAAAUUUAAAUUUUGACUUGCUGCACUGUUGAAAAUACAGAGGUAUCAUUUUAAAAGCCCUGAUAUCGAUACCUCUACUUCAGGUUACAACAUUUUAGCAUAUAAGAGCAUUUAAAUCAUUCAAACUCAAGCCUUAAAGAUCGUGUUUCAUUCACCUAGUCAUAUAAGCAUCAAAAUGUCUAAAACAAUAGUCUGAAUACCAUAUCCACGUCCACAUGCUUCUAAACAUACAUUAUAUGAAAAUAAUCCCAAAUACGUCUUAACAAACCGAUAUAAAUAUCUACCACAUUGCCUUUUUAUUUCCUAAAACUAGAAUAAGCAAAACACUUUUUAUAAUGAAUAAAGAAUGGUUUGGAUCAAUCCCUCGACAGCCACACCAUUCACACCAAGAAUGCAACUACUCUGCAAGGGAUAAAAUGGUGUGGGUAGGAUUAACAAGCUCAGUGAAUACUUAGAACAACCACUACUCAAACAAGUCAUCAUGCAUCAACCAAACAACAUACAACAUAUUCCCAAAACAUCAUUAACUAAGUUCCAUAAUUCACAUAUUUAGCCAUAUUUCAUGCAUUCUUUUACACAUUAUUUAUAUGAAUGUUUAGGCAUAUAUAUAUUCUGACACACAUCAAUCACAUAUAAGCACAUAUAAUUACAUACAAUCACAUUUAAUCAAAGUGUAUGAUAAUUUGGCACUUGAGAUUAUGAAACGUAAAGUGGAUUCUAUUACCACUUAUCGGAUACAUGGAUCUCCAUCACACCAUACACAUACAUAUCCUGAUGAAUGAAGCUUUGCUUACAUUCCCUUAUCUCUCCAACAUUGUCCUUGGGUUUCAACACCCAUAUAUCACAAUCACAAAUAAGUGAGUACUCACAAUCCUAUGGCAUGCUAACUAUAUCCAACGAUCUCAUUAAGUCACAAGGCCAAAAUAUCCAUAUUAAUAUCACACAUUUACUUACCUAUUUUUCGCACAUAUUCGCUACAUUUCCAUAUUAUUAACACAAUGUAAUCUCUGUCAUAAGGCAUGAAUAAUGUACUCUCAUAUUCACUUCCACAACAGCAAACAUAAACUCAUAGCACAUAUCAUAGCAUCUCAUAUGUUCAUGAUUUCACAAUUUCACAAAUUCAUAAACAAACAUAUCUCACAUUUAAUCACAGGUUCGAGAACACUUACACUUGAAAUUUAGAGUAGGGGUUUAGGCUACCUCUAAAUUCCCAAAUACAUAACGAAUCAUCUAAGAGUAGCAAUUCUAAAACACUCACCAAACUAUUUGCUUUUGCCGAAAAACCGAAAGCUUAGACAAGUUGCCCUUUUCCCUUAUCUCUACCCUUUAAAGGUCCUAUCGAGUCCGACACUUCAACAAGACAAACCACGCAUAUAUUUAAUCAACAAUCAGUUAAUAACUCACCUCAAACAACCACAACCACAAACAGAAGCCUAAGAUGCACUCUUCUUUAUCCAAAACCUUUAGCACGACAAGCUUAAAAUUUGAAUAACUAAGUCUAUCUAACACGCUAUACUCAGCCUGAUUGCCAAGCCCGAAUAUCAGGAUGCCACACCACCGUCUCAUGUCGUAACCAACAAGUAAAAGCUCAUUCCAACGAAACAUCUAUCAGUUUGCUAUUCGCAUCGUUCUUAAGUCAAUCAUACUAGCUAGUUAUCAUUAUCACGUGCUAAACUUAUAUUGAAUAGUCUUAUAAACAUAUAAUACAUGCAUAAGGUCAAUUCAGCAAAAUUCUCAAACUAGGUCCGUAGGUAUCGAUACUAACACAAAGGUAUUGAUAAUUUCUUUAAGUGGUAUCGAUACCAUCUAGAAAAAUGAUACCAAACUUGCAUUCUAUUUCUCGAUUAAAAAUCAAAGUCUCAAAAAUUAUUGGUACCUGUCGUGAAGUAUCAAUAAAUUUACCCCGAGUAUCGAUACUCGAGCAAAGGUAUCGAUACCAAAUCUCUAUUCUGACUUCCUGCACGUUUCAAAACACAAAAGGUAUUGAUUUUAAAACCCGAUUAUCAAUACCUUUGCUCCAGACCUCAAAAAUGAGCAUACAUAUGUAACUAAUCCAUUCCAAUUUAGUUUCUAAAAAUCAUACAUAAAUUACUUCGACAAAUAAUCAUUCAACAGCCUAAUUAACAGUUCGAGCAAGUAGCGUUAAUCCAUUCUCAUGUUCAUGAACCCAAGCAUCACAAUAACAUGUAAUCCUUAUAAACUGAACCAAAAACCAGCAUAAUGUCUAGAAAUCAACAGGGUUGUAACGAGUCUACCACAUUGCCUUAUUCCUCAAAACGUAAAUAAAUAUAGAACACCUACGAAAUAAUGCAAAAGUCUUGCUUGGAUCACUUUUAGGAACCACACCGUUCACACCAGCACACAACUAAUUUGUAAUGGUUAAAGAAUGGACUGGGUGAGCUUAACAAGCUCAGCGAAUGCCUAGAAGAACUACCAUGCAAACAGUUCAUCAAGCAUUAAUGAAAAAACCAUAUUGCAUAACCUUAAUAGUUCCAAGUUAGUGUCAUAAUGUACUUACUCAUGUAAUAUUAUUAGUUCUUUUACAUGGUAAACAUAUUCACUUUUAAGCAUAUAUCCUAUUAAGCAUAUAAUCACCUAACAUUCAAACAUAUAUCGCAAUAUUAAAAAAUAGGUUUAUAGAUAAAUUGCAUAAUUGUCACAUACUCAUUUAGGCAUACAUCACGUUACAUAUAUAUACAUUUUAAAAUAAUUUGGCAAUUGAGCUAUAAAACAUAAAAGUGAACUCUAUCAUCACUCAUCGGAUACGCAGAUCUCCAACACACCAAACAUAGACUCCUAGAGUCAAACAUGUCCCAAAAGUGAAGCAUAAAGCUAGCACUCUCAUUAUUUCCCCUCACAUGUCCCGUUGAAUGGAGCUUAGCUUACAUUCCCUUAUCCCUUCAGCAUGUCCCAGGGCUUCAAUGCCCAAAAUCACUAUACAUAUAGGUGAGUACUCACAAUCCUAUGGCAUACCAACUAUAUCCAAUUAUUGCAAAAUCCCAAGGCCAAAAUAUCUGAAUUCAAACACAUAUCACUUACCGAUUAUCCGUGCAUAGCUAUUGUAUAUUUGCAUCUUUAGUAAAACACUUUCACUAACAUUUAACAUAUACAUAACAUGUACAUAUUUUCACUUUCACAACAGUUAUCAUAACCACAUAUCGCGUGUAAUAGCAUCUCUUUUCAUUUCACAUAUUCACAAACACAUAAGCACUAUGUUCACAAGAUAACAUUGGUAUGAGAAAGCUUACACUCGAAAUUUGGAGUAGGGGUUUAGGCUACUACUAAAUUCCAAAAUAAUGUAUUGAAUCAUGUCUGCAAGUAAUUAUUCCAAACACUCACUAAUUACGCUUUCGUCGAAAAGCCGAAAGCUCAAACUAGCUUUUCUUGCCUUUAUCUCUACUCGAAGAAGGUUCUAUCGAAUCUGAAACUUCAACACAACAAAUUCACACAACAAUGCAUCCAAAAAUCAGUUAAGGACUCAUUACAAGCAUACAAAACAUAAGCCUAAACUAAGUUCUUAUGUAACCGAAACCUUUAACAUAGCCAACUUAAAACUCAAAUAUCUUGGUCUAUACUCAAUCUUUUUGCCUAAAACCAAAUGCAUUCAUCUUAUAAUUCACAUACGAAUAAUUCCCAACCUUUAAAAUACAAUAAAAUACUCAAUUCAUAAUAUCAAAAAUUUCGACAUGUUUUAUGGUUAUUUUUUAAAAAAUUCAUUAAAACUCAAGAAUUCUUUAACAAAACUUCAAAGUAAGUUUAGAAACCUUCUAAUUAUGUUAAAAAAAAGUUGAAAAACACUUUGAAACUACAUUUUAAUGUAAAAUUUCGAAAUCCACCAUUAACGACCCAAUUUUCGGCUUUUAUUUAAAACAUCCAAUUUAAUGGCUAAAAACUUGGUUUUAAAGAAUAAUAACAUUUAAAACUAAUAGGAAGAUGAAUAGUUGAUAAAAAACUGAGUGUUUGAUUAAAAACUCAAAAAAACCCACAACCUUGACAAUUGAGGAAUCUAUGGUGUUUUUAGGUGUUUUUCUUGAAGUAUUAUGGAGGUUUAAUGUUGUAAGGAUGAUGAAAAUCAAAAGACUUGAGUUUAGGAAAAAAAAUAUAAUGGAGGGGAAGAAUUAACAUGCAAUAUAUAUAAGUGGGGGAGGUAUUAGGUUGAAUUUUAAAAUUUAGUUUAAUUGCUUCAUAAAGACUCACAAUUUUGACUCUUCUGCAAAUCAGUCCUAUUUUCAAAACUAAAGGUAUUUAAAACUCAUUUUCAGAAAUUUAUAAUUUUCUAAUAACCAUAGUAAAAAAAACAUUACCGAUAAACCAUGUUGCAAAAUUCCGAACACUCUAAGGCUAAAAUUCUUAAAAUACCCAUAAAACUCCUAGGCCCUAUUUUUAGGUGCGACGGUCCAUGUCUAAUCUUUUCGUAUGAAACAAAUUCCAUUCAUCUACGACUAAUUCCCAACCUUUAAACUUUACAAAACUACGAGUUUUAAGGUACCAAAAUUUUUCGACAAGUUUUGACCAUUACAGCGAAAAUUCAUUAAAACCUGAGAAAUCCUUGACGAAACUUCAAAGUUACUUUAGAAAGCUUCUAAUUAGGUUAAAACUAAUUGAAAAAUACUUUAAAACCAAGUUUUUAUCCACAAACUCGAAAUUCACCAUUAAAGACCCGAUUUUCGGGUUUUAAUCAAAACAUACAUUUUAAUGGCUAAAAACUCAGUUUUAAGGACCCAAUAACAUUAAAAACUAAUAAGAAUGAGAAUGGUUACCUUUAAUAAGAGGAAUAACGAGUUUUUGAUGUAAAUCUAGAAAACCCACAAGUGGAGAAGAUGAUGGAAUUGGUGAGAUUUUUGGGUAAUUUUUUAAAGAUUUAGAGAAGUUUAAUGCUUGGAAAUUAUAGAAAUUCAAAGUAUUAUAGUUUGGGAGUUAAAAAUCAAUUGAGAGAGUGAAGAGGAGUAAGGGUUGGCAGGUAGGGCAAUGGGGAAUAAAUCUAUCGUGAACAAAACUGGGAAUGGAGGGUUUAAGGGUUCAAUUUCAAAAAUCGGCUAAACUGCAACAUCAAUGCUCUAAAAUUUGAAUCUUUUACAAAAUAGUCCCAUUUUCUAAAAUUAAAGACAUUUAAAACAUAUUUCCAAAAAUUGACUUAACUUUAUGAAAAUCAUUGUCGAAAACAUUAUUGAGUACCAACCUUUCAAAAUUCCGAGCUCAUAUACGCCAAAAUUCCUAAAAGACCCCUAAAACUCUGAGGCCCUAUUUCGGGGGUGUGACAACUCUCCCACACUAAAAAGAAUUUCAUCCUCAAAAUUUACCUGAGCUAAAAAAAUACGGAUAUUAACAUCUUAUCGCUUCCUCGAUUUCCCAAGUGGCCUCUUCCACCUUAUGGUUGCACCACAAAAAUUCAACCAAUGGGACUCUUAUGUUUCACAACACUUUCAUUUCAUGAUCUAAAAUCUCUAUUGGUUCCUCAUCAAAAGUGAGAUUAGGUUGAACCUCAAUCUCUUCUACUGGCACAAUAUGUAACGAAUCCGAAAGAUACUUUUGAAGCAUAGACACAUGGAAAACAUCAUGAAUUUGAUCAACUUCUGGCGGUAAUUUGAGUGGAUACGCUACAGGUCCAACCCUCUCGACAACUUCAUUUGGUCUGACAUACCUUGGACUUAACUUACCCUUCCUUCCUAACCUCAAAACCUUCUUUCAAGAGGAAAAUUUCAAGAACACCUUAUCGCCAAUUUGAAACUCGAUGUCUCGACGUUUCAAAUCCACAUAAAAUUUAUACCUAUUUGUCGCUUCCUUCAACCUCUCGCAUUUCAACUUCACUUUCUCUUCGGUCUCUCGAACUAAAUCCACUCCAACAACUCGCUUUUCAUCCAACUUCGUCCAACAGAAAGGAUUUCUACACUUCUUACCAUACAAUGCCUCAAACGGUGCCAUGUGAAUACUCGCUUGAAAACUGUUAUUAUAAGCAAACUCUGCUAAGGACAGAUAUCGCUCCCAACUACCACUAAACUCGAUCACACAACUUCGUAACAUAUCUUAUAGAACUUGAAUUACCCUCUCAGAUUGGCCAUCAGUUCGAGGGUGAUAAGCCGUAUUGAAAGUAAGCUUUGAUCCCAAAGCCUCUUACAAACUCUUCCAAAACCUUGACGUAAACCUCAGAUCCCUAUUAGAAAUAAUCGAAACUAGUACCCCAUGAAGACGAAUAAUCUCAGCAAUAUACAACUCUGCCAACUUCUGCAACGAAUAAUUGGUUCUCACUGCUACGAAAUGCGCACUCUUCAAAAAUCGAUCAACUAUAACCCGUACCAAAUCUUUCCUUGACAGAGUCAAUGGCAAACUCGAAAUAAAAUCUGUAAUAAUCCUUUCCCACUUCUAUUCAAGAAUCGCAAUAGGUUGUAACAACCCUGAAGAAAAUUGUUGUUCAACUUUCACCUUUUGACAAACCAAACAUCAAGCCACAAAAUCUUUAAUGUCAUGCUUCAACCCAGGCCACCAAUAAAUCUUACGGAGAUCGUGAUACAUUUUACCAUUACCAGGAUGCAUAGGGUAAGGACUACUAUGCACCUCGUUAAGGAUCACUUGCCUUAAAUCCACAUUUUGUGGCACACACAAUCUACCUCGAAAAUUCAAAAUACAUUCUGCAUUAAUAUCAAUAUCUCCCUUAACACCUUGCUCCACUUGUCGAAUCUUUUUCAACAAAUCUCCAUCUAACAGUUGUUUUUCCUUAAUCUGUUGCGACAAAGUUUGCCUCACUUGAAGUUCAACACACAAACCACCAGCACUAGCUAAACUCAAGCGCGCAAACGUAACUCUCAACUCCGUCAUUGACUUCCUACUCAAAGCAUCGUCAAUAACAUUCGCCUUACUAGGGUGAUAUUCAAUCAUACAAUCAUAGUCCUUUAAAGGCUCAGGUCCUUUUUAGAGAGGAGGUACUUAAGACUUUUAUGAUUAGUGUAAAUUACACACUUUUCUUCAUAAAGAUAAUGACGCCAAAUCUUAAGUGCAAACACCACAACAACUAACUCCCAAUCAUGAGUAGGAUAGUUCUGUUCGUGUGUCUUCAACUGCCUUGAAGCAUAAGCCACAACUUUACCCUCUUGCAUCAAAAUGAAACCAAGUCCCGAAUAGGAAGCAUCACUAUAAACUACAAAAUCUUUUCCAGGCUUCGGUUGAAUCAACACAGGUGCCUUUAUCAACACUACCUUCAGCUAAUCAAAACUCUUCUACCUUUCAUCAGUCCAUUCGAACACCACACUCCUCUGAAGUAGUUUCGUUAAGGGUGCAGCAAUGAGAUAAAACCCUUCAACGAAUCUACGGUAGUAACCAACUAAACCUAAGAAACUCUGAACUUCAGUAACACUCCUAGGCGGCUUCUAUUCUAAAAUUUCCUCAAUCUUCUUUGGGUCCACAUGAAUCUCUUUUGCCGAAACCACAUAGACUAAGAAUGCCACUUUCUUAAGACAAAAUUCACAUUUACUUAAUUUUGCAAACAAUUACUUGUCCCAAAGAAUUUGUAGAACAACCCUUAAGUGCUCGUCAUGAUCCUUCUUAGAACGAGAAUAAACCAAAAUGUCGUCUAUGAAGACAACCACAAACUGAUCCAAGUAUAAAUGGAAUACUCGGUUUAUUAAAUCCAUAAACGCAGCAGGGGCAUUUGUUAAUCCAAACGACAUUACCAAAAAUUCAUAAUGCCUACACUGAGUCCUAAAAGAAGUUUUCAACACAUUCGACUCAUUCACUUUUAAUUGUUAAUACCUAGAUCUUAAAUCAAUAUUUGAGAACACUAUUGCACCUCGAAACUAAUCAAACAAGUCAUCAAUUCAAGGCAAGGGAUACUUAUUCUUAAUAGUUAACUUGUUUAACUGCCUAUAAUCAAUGCACAUCCUCAUCGUACCAUUAUUCUUCUUUACAAAUAAAACCGGUGCACUUUAGAGAGAUACUCUCGACUGAAUAAACCCUCUAUCUAACAACUCUUGCAACUAAAUCUUUAACUCCUUGAGCUUUAUUAGUGCCAUGCGAUAGGGCGCAAUAGACACUGGUGCAGUACUAGUAGAUCUAGAAUCUACUAAGGCAAACAAUGGGAAAGAUCACAAAGUGAAUGUACCUGUAAUAACAUCAGUUGGAUAUUGAUCAUCGAGUUCCUUAACAGUAUGAACCCGAGCAGGACCACCAGACUCAACCUGUGAGGCCACAGUGUGAGCAAAAAUCCGCUGCCCAACCGGUCUCGCAUUACCUCUACCACGACCUCGGCCUCUAGCAGGCACAGAAAUAGGUGCUAAACUCUGAGUCUGCAAAACCUCUACUUUACCUCUAUUUUAUUUAGGCAAUCCCUCAGAAAAUGUCCCUUUUAACCACACUUAAAGGAGCCGCUAGUCAACUUAUGGCACUCGCCAGGAUGCCUACAAUCACAAUGAGCACAAAGCGGCCAUCCAGAACUACCAGUGCUAGUCACAACAUUAUUCUGUUGUUUAGACUGACUCAGUCGAGAUCCACGUCUCGCAUCCCUACCAGAGCUGUAAUUAUCACGCCCCUCUUGGGCGGACAUCUAGAAGCUCCAUCGGAAGCCUUAUUACCAGUCUUAGCUACUACAGAAUAAGCUGGCUCAGCCAAGUCUCCUCCACAACCUAGGCUUUUUCCACAAGCUCAUCAAACAACUCUGUAUUUUGGGCCACUAAAUAAACCUGAAUCUCACGAUUGAGCCCAAAGCGGAACCUUUUACAAUGAUACUUCUAAGUCAAAACCAUCUCAGGAGCAUACCGACAAAGGUGCACAAGCUCUACCUCAUAGUCAGCCACAGACAAGCUACCUUGCACAGGAUCUAAAAAUUACCACCAUAAGUUCAUCAAACAACUCUGUAUUUUGGGCCAUUAAAUAAACCUGAAUCUCACGAUUGAGCCCAAAGCGGAACCUCUUACAAUGAUCCUUCUCAGUCAAAACUAUCUUAAAAGAAUACUGACUAAGGCGCAUAAACUCUGCCUCGUAGUUAGCCAUAGACAAGCUACCUUGCACAAGAUCCAUAUACUGCUCGCCCAUAAACUUCCUUCUAAAAACCUCAAGGAAGUAAUCCCAAGUUAAACGAUCAAUUGUCGUACCUCUCUUAACCGUUUUCCACCAACAAUACGCCUCCUCAUCAAGUAAGGACACGGUGCAACCCAACUUCUUAUCGUCAGAAUAUGACAUCUGCUUAAGGAUCCUUUCCACUCAUUCCAACCAAUACUCAACUACGGUCAGAUUAGUCCCUUUAACCCAAAAAAACUCUUUACCACCUAAUAUUCGAAGACGUUUAAACGAUAACCCACGAUUCACAAGUGUAGGAUUGACAGGUGCAGGAGUAGGGUCACCAUCAGGAAUCCGUUCGAACGCUCAAAUUAUCACUUCUAUCAGAGGGCCUACUAUCUCAUUAGGAAUAUUCACUCUACGCAGAAGCAUAGAAGGUGCAGAGGAUGUACUAUCCUCUUGAGCACUAGCUCUCAAAUUCACAUGUCUAGGAGGUAUAUCUAGUAAUCUACUAUACACAAACACAAAAACAAAUAACAAACGGUGUGAGUGGUGGGGAAAUGAUCCAAGUCUCAUUCCUACAAGCAACUAUAGAAUUAAAGGUAAUGUGUUCCCAUUCCUACCCCACACGCAUUACAAUCAAGAGACAUCUCAUGCAAUUCAAUAGUUUAAUCACUUGGGUUUCCAAGAUCUAUGGGUUGCGAAACCGCAAUCAACAGAUCAACAACAAUCACCUAGGUUCGAGAGUUAUUGAACCUAAACUCUAAGACCACCAAAUGUAACACCCCAUAUUCGGCCUGGAUGCCAAGCUGAAUAUCGAGAUGCCACAUCACCUUCUCACUACAUGUUCAUCUAAAAUGGCAUGUUAUUUCUCAUGUAUCUAUUUUUUUCGAUUAAUAAUAACAUGUCAUUAUCAUGAAUUAUAAACCAUACAUUCACUUUUUGUUGAUAACCUAUGCCAAGAAUUCAUAAAAUAACAUAACAUAGGUAUUAAUCAUGUAUUAGGACCACUUAUCAAAUUUUCCUAAGAGUGUUAUGCAGGUAUCGAUACUGCCUUUAUGGUAUCGAUAUUUCCUUUAAGUGGUAUCUAUACCAUUUGGAAAAUUGAUACCAAACUAGAAUUCUGUUUCUCGCCAAAUUUUAAAACAUAAAGAAAUAUCGGUACCUUUUGCAAUAUAUCGAUAAUUACACCCCGAGUAUCGAUACUUGGGCUAAGGUAUCAAUACCAAAUUGAAAUUCUAACUCCUUUCACUUUCAAAAAUACAGAGGUGUCGUUUUAAAAGCCCUAAUAUCGAUACUGCUACUUCAAGUUACAAAAAUUAAGCAUAUAAGAGCAUUUAAAUCAUUGAAACUCAAUCCCUAAACAUCACACUUCAUUCACCUAGUCAUAUAAGCAUCAAAAUGUCUAAAACAAUAGUCCGAAUACCAUAUCCAAGUCCACAUGCUUCGAAACAUACAUAAUAUGCAAAUAAUCCAAAAUACGUCUUAACAAACAAAUAUAAAUAUCUACCACAUUGCCUUUUUAUUCCCUAAAACUAGAAUAAGCAAAACAUCUACUAUAAUUAAUAAAGAAUGGCUUGGAUCAAUCCCUCAAUAGCCACACCAUUCACACCGGGAAUGCAACUACUCUACAAAGUAUAAAAUAGAGUGGGUGAGCUUAACAAGCUUAGUGAAUGCCUAGAACAACCACUAUGUAAACAAGUCGUCAUGCAGUAACCAAACAACAUACAACAUAUUCCCAAAAUGUCAUUAACUAAGUGCCAUAAUUCACAUAUUUAACCAUAUUUCAUGCAUUCUGUUACACAUUAUUUAUAUGAAUGUUUAGGCAUAUAUAUAUUCUGACACACAUCAAUCACAUAUAAGCACAUAUAAUUACAUACAAUCACAUUUAAUCAAAGUGUAUGAUAAUUUGGCUUUUGAGAUAUGAAAUGUAAAGUGGAUUCUAUCACCACUCAUCAGAUACAUGAAUCUUCAUCACACCACACACAUGCAUAUACCGAUGAAUGAAGCUUUGCUCACAUUCCCUUAUCUCUCAAACACUGUCCCUGGGUGUUAGCGCCCAUAUAUCACAAUCACAAAUAAGUGAGUACUCACAAUCCUAUGGAAUGCCAACUAUAUCCAACUGUCUCAUUAAGUCACAAGGCCAAAAUAUCCAUAUUAAUAUCACACAUUCACUUAUUGAUUUUCCGCACAUAUUCGCUACAUUUCCAUAUUAUUAACAUAAUGUAAUCUCUAUCAUAAGGCAUGAGAACAUACCCUCGUAUUUACCGUCACAUGGCAUGAAUAAUAUACUCUGAUAUUCACUUUCACAACAGUAAACAUAAACUCAUAGCACAUAUCAUAACAUCUCAUAUGUUCAUGAUUUCACAAAUUCACAAAUUCACAAAUAAACUUAUCUCACAUUUAAUCACAGGUUCGAGAACACUUACACUCAGAAUUUAGAGUAUGGGUUUAGGCUACCUUUAAAUUCCCAAAUACACAAUGAAUCAUCUAUGAGCAGCAAUUCUAAAACACUUACUGAAAUAUUCAAUUUUGUCGAAAAAUCGAAAGCUUUGACAAUCUUCCCUUUGCCCUUAUCUCUACUCGUUGAAGGUCCUAUCGACUCUGACACUUCAACAAGACAAACCACACAUAUAUUCAGUCAAUAAUCAAUCAAUAACUCACCUCAAACAACUAUAAACACAAGCCUAAGUUACACUCUUCUCUAACCAAAACCUUUAGCACGAUAGACUUAAAAUUUGAAUAACUCAGUCUACGCCUAAUCUCUUUGCCUAAAAUGAAUUCUAUUCAUCUACUUAUUCAUCUACGACUAAUUCCCAACCUUUAAACUUCACAAAACUACGUGUUUUAAGGUACCAAAAUUUUUCGACAAGUUUUGGCCCUUACAAUGAAAAUUCAUUAAAACUCGAGAAAUCCUUGACGAAACUUCAAAGUUACUUUAGAAAGCUUCUAAUUAGCUUAAAAAUAAUUGAAAAACACUUUAAAAAACCAAGUUUUUAUCCAUAAACUUGAAAUUCACCAUUAAAGACCUGAUUUUCGGCUUUAAAUCAAAACAUACAUUUUAAUGGCUAAAAACUCAGUUUCAAGGACCCAAUAACAUUAAAAACUAACGAGAAUGUGAAUAGUUACCUUUAAUGAGAGGAAUAAUGAGUUUUCAAUACAAAUCUAGAAAACCCACAAGUGGAGAAGAUGAUGGAAUUGGUGAGAUUUUUGGGUAAUUUCUUGAAGAUUUAGAGAGGUUUAAUGCUUGGAAAUGAUAGAAAUUCAAAGUAUUAUAGUUUAGGAGUCAAAAAUCAAUUUAGAUAGUGAAGAGGAGCAAGGGACGAUAAGUACAAAAAUUGUCAUAUUUAUUUAUGUAAUUAAUUUUUUUAUUUUUUUACUACACCUUAUAAUAUAUUUGUUGAAUCCUUAAUCCAUUUGUGGAGGUCUAAAAAAUUCCACUGGCAGUGUACCAAAUAAUUUUCCAUAUAUAUUAAUAAAAGAGUAGUAAUUUGAUACAUCACCUGUGAAAUUUUUUAGACUCCACAAACAGAUUAAGGGUGUAACAAAUGUCAUAUAUAUAUUUUUUAUUUUUUUAUUUUUACUACAUCUUAUAGGAUACUUAAAACUUUAUUGAGGAUGUAUAAGAUAAUUUUUCUUAAUAAAAAUAACACUUAAUUUAUUAUUGCUCUUUUAUUUAUUUAUUUUACACAUAUUUAUCCUUUGGUGUCAAUGCAUGUGAAUAUUGUUUUCCUAACACCAAGAAAAUAAAAUCUCAUGUACUUGGUAAAAUGUAAACAAUUGUGUUUGGUUAUUAACAAUCUUGACACUAAUAUUGCAAAGUAAUCACAUUCCUAGUAGGAGCACUUCUUAACACGCUUAAACAUCAUUUAUUGGCACUUUAUGUGAAUGCUAAAAAAGAUGUAGAGCUAAUUUUAAGAGUAACAUUCUAUAUUGAGAAGCUUGUAAAGCUAACUUUAAGAACAACACUCCAUGUUGGAUGUGUUGUGGAAUUAACCUUCGCAAAAAAAAAAUCAUAUUCAGAAGGCUUUAGAGAUAACAUUAAGAACAACAUUAUAUGUUGAAAAGGCUAUAAAGCUAAACUUAGGAAGAAUAUUGACAUGUUUCUUGAGUUUUCUCUAUUGGGGUGUCUAGGAGAGCAUGUCUUUGAGAUUCAAAUACAAACAAUAUUAAAAAUUUUGUUUCUUAACAUUUCUUUGGAAAACAAGGGUUCCUCUCCCUCUCAUUGUUGGACAAAUAGUGCAGUUGUAUUCAAGUGUGCAAGUAGCAUUCUCCUUGAGAAAAUGUGCUAUUUAAGUGUAACGCCCACAUAAUCGCCACAAUACCCACUAUCUUUAUAACUUCUUUCUCAUUACUCACAACUGGUAACACAAUCACAUGAACAUGAUUUUUCACAUUCUCAUUACCCAUCACCUGUAGCAUGUUCUUGAUAACUUACCUCCCUCACCCAGGUUCUAUAAAAUAUGACAUUUCUUUUGUAACCACCUUUUUGAUAACUACCUUGGAAAGACUAUUAAUUGAAGGUCAAAGAUGAGUAUGUAUAAGUGAGGAUGACCAUCCCUUAGGGAGGUAAGUUAGGGAGCAUAAUAGCUAUGACACCUUAUACCCGAUUCAAUUGUUGGAUCCGAAUAUAAAAUGCCACAUUUCAUUACUGAAGCAACUCACUUUUUCAUGUUUUUUUAAAAGGAAAUAUAGUGGUAAAAUUAUUUUAUAAAAAUUUUGGUAGCAUUUUUUUCUAUUUUACAUAAAAACCCUUGUAAGAUUUAGAUUUCACAAAAUACCCACAUUCAAAUAAUCUCCCAAAUCAAUUCCCAACACUACGAUUUCUCAAAACAUAUCAAUAAACUAGAUUUCUACGCUUUACUAUUUUAUCAAAACAUUAGUUAUAAAGUACUAGCAAAGAAAAUGUAACGAAAAUAUUUAAAUUCAAUUUACGACAUAAUAUUAUAUAUAUACAAGCCUAGGUACAUGCCAUUUACAUCAUCUAUAAAGUAAAAUUUUUACCAACAUUGUUUGAUCUAAACUUCGGUACUUCAGAUGCUGUUGGAACAACCUAAUGAAUCUAACUACCUGUGUACAGAAAAAUAGACAAACCGUACGCUGAGCAAUUUUUAUGCUCAAUGGUGCUAAUAUAAUAUAAAUCAUUACAUAAGUAUUAAACAAAAAUUAAUUGAUAGAAAUAAACUAAAACAUGAUUAUAAAUAUCAUUAAUAACAUCACAAUAAAAGAAAAUUCUAAUAUUAAUAAACUCUAAUAUUUUGAUAUUGACAAAUCGAAUAAAGAAAAUAAGCUUUUUGAUCAAAUUCAAAAUCGUGUAAUUAAUUUAAUUUGCACAAUAUGAAAAUAAAAAUAAAUUCAAUUUUUGUUUUUGCUUUUCUUUAAAUUUGGACCCUGUACUAAAGUUUUGACUCUUAACUAGAUACACAAAUCCCCCAUCCCGAUUUGUUUGGCAAUGAUGGCUAUUAGAGUAGUUCACGAUCCUCUGGGAAUUGGGAUUGCCCACGACCCUCUAGGAAUUGGGGCUAACAAUAAUAAUUGUUCAAUUUGGCCUGUUCUCCCUCGACCCUCUGGGAAUUGAGGAGAUUUAAAUUUUUUGAUAUAAAGACUCUAUGACAUGCCAACUAUAUCUGAUUUAGUCUAACUUAGUAAAACUGGGUAAAAACCAAGUUUCAUGAUCCAUUUCAAUUCUGUUUCAUGUUCAAAUCACAUAUCGUCUAAUGUAAAAUUAGGCUUCCAAUUCAAAACAUAUUAAUCAUUUUCUUGCUCAAUCAUCUAAAAUCAUAAUACUCAAAUCCAAAUCAUAACCAUGAAUUUGCUAAUUUGAUCAUAUGAAAAAUAUAGUAUUCAUCUCGAAACAUAAUUUUAUAAAUAUUAACUAAAUCAUUCAAACUCAUCCAAAACUCAUAAAAAUAAAAUAAAAUAAAAUAAAUAUAACUAAUCAUAGUAAACUAAAUAUUCUAAAACUUUAUGUAAUGAAAAUAAGAUAUUAGCACAAACUGAAGUUUCAAUCGCUUUACUCCUCUUUGCCUUUCUCUUUCAAGAUGUUCGCUUUGUUUUUAGCUACAAUAAGAGCAGUUCAAUACGAAACAAUGUCAUUUAUCUAUUCUAAUACUAAAACUAAUAAAAACAAACUUAAAUAUGCAUGUUUAAUCAAGUUAGCAACUUAAGUUUCCUAGUCCGAAAUUCGCAUAUCUUUUGACUCGAUUAUCCGUUUUCAAUUCCGUCUUCACCAGUGUACUCACUACUUCACAAGCUAUCAUUUAGCACCAAUAUUACACAAAGUGGCUAAAGUUCUUUACUUCCUCCUUAACAUGGUCAAAUAUACUAAGUAAACUUUCCAUCCAUUUUUAUUUCUUUUUCACACUUCUAACAAGCUAGAACUCAUUUUCUAAUCAUUUCCUAUCCAAAAAAACAUACAUACUUCACUUAAGUUUUCUAAGCUUCUAUCAAUUUUCUUUAAUGGCAACUUUCAAAAUACUAGAUUAAAAAAAAACUAUUGGUGUAUAUAUGUAAAAAAAGCUUCAAAGAUUCAAAAUCUAUGAAAAUUUUGAAGAAAAAUCAUAUCUUAAGCUUGAAUUUGAAGGAAAAAUAGUGAAAGAAAUUUUUUUUCUACCCCCUUUUUGUUUUCGUGAAAAAAAAGAAAGAUAUGAGAAAGAUUUCAUCUUUUCUCUCCUUUUCUCUUUUUUGUAUAUUAUAAUAUUAAUUAAUAAAAUAUUAUUACUUAUUAAAAUAUUAUUAAUAAAAAUAUCAUUUAAAAGUAAUCAUGAAACCAUUGAUUUUUUUAAGUACUGAUAAAAUUGUCAUUAAGUCCUUUCCAUCAAUAUAAAAAUAGAAUAAUUGCACUUUAGCCUCUAUACUUUUCCAACUUAUUCAAUUUAGUCCCUGAACUCGAUACCAAAUUUUUAACUUAACCACAUGCUCCUACUAAUAAUCCUCAGAGUUUUCAUGUGUGACAGUUUCCUCUAAAAACGAUUAUAAUUUCUUAUACUACUAUUUAUUUAUAGAUUGCUUAUUCAAGGACUUCUACCAUAAAUAUUCUUCUUCUCUCUUCUUUUCAUUUAUUUUUUUUAAAGUGGGGAUGUUACACUAGCCUUUUAGAUGGAUGGCUAUGGGAUUGACAUGGACAAGGUAUGACCCAACAUAUGUUCCAUGAAAAUGAAGGACUCAACAUUUCACUUUCCAAAAUCGGGUUAGAAAAUCAAGGGUUAGUGAAUUGAAAACCAGAGUUAGGUUAGAUAAUUAAAAUAAAUAGGAAUACAUUAUUAAAAUAUGAAAACAAUUAGAAUUAAAUCUUAAGGUUUAGAAAUUAAAAUUAAGUGCAUGGAAAUUAAUUAGGUCAAAACAGAUUUUUAAAACGAGGUCGAAUUUGAAAAUAAUUUAGAAAAUAAGCUUUAAUUGAAAAAGGAAAGAAGCUGGAGGAGGUUGAAUGGACAAUAGCCAAAUUCUUUAAAAUUGGUUACCUAUUUAACAACCCCUAACCAUCCAUUCGCUCUCAUUUUCACAUAUCAUUCAAAAAUUUUCCAAACACCAAAUUAGAGCUUUUCUCUUUGAAUUGGUUCAUCCUUUUUUAUUCUUAAGUUUUCUCAACACAAAUUCCUCUUUCAAUUUCAAAGAAUAAUCAAGUUUUCAUCCUCAAUUCCUUUAUUGUUCCUCACAUGUCCUAGUUUGAAUUUGAUCUUGAACUUAUCGUUUUUGUCAAAUUAAGGUGAGAUUCCAACUUUUUAUGAUUAAACUAAGUGUAUUGUUAUUUCAAUUCGAUUUUUAAUUGAUUUACUCAAAAUUUCAAUAGAUCAAUUAAUUUUAAAUAGAUUUAUAGCUUGAAAAUGAUAGAUCUCGUAUUACUAAGCUAAACUUCUAUUUUAAAGUGAUUUCUAACUCAUUUUGAUCUAAUUAAAAUGUAUUUGAUCUUAAUUUAACAAGUCCUUAAGGAAUUUAAUCAAAUCAAAUGUUUUCCCAUUCUUAAGAUUUAUAUAAGCUUGAUUUUUCUGGAAAAGUUAGAUCCGUGUAAUUAAACAAAAUUGAUGGUUUAGAUAUAUAAUUAGAUGAUAUUUAGGAUGUAUGAAAUCAAAAUUUAGGCUUAGAAACGAGAUUGGAGUGGUUAAACAUCUAUUUUAGCAAAACUAGCUAAGUUUUUUGUAUUGAGAAUGAGAGGCUUUAAUAUGUAAUUUUGGAGUGAUUUAGUUGUGUUUGCUGCUGUUUGUAAUGCCUAUGUAUUUUGUUUGAUGUGUAUGUAAAGUGUCACAAAAUGCCAAUAUAUUAACAUGAAAUGCUAUGAUACAUGCUUGACGUAAUACCAUGAGUAAAUGAUAUAAUAUGUUUUCAAUUAACCUUGACAUUAUGGAUCUUUGUGGCAAUCUUUGAGUACUCACUAAGCUUGAAAAAGAUCACACUCUUUAUGAAAAAUUUGUAGAGAAAUAGCUUACUUGAGGAUAAGUGAGACAUCCAAGUGAUCCAAAACUAAGCAAAAAUACCUUGAGUAUGUGUUGUGUUUUCUACUUCAAUAAGAAAGGCAAUGCAAGACCAAAGUUGAGGGUUUUAGACUUUACUAAUUGCUAGUUGUAAUGAAAUUUUUAAUGACUAUUUUAAGGAUUUUAUAUUUGGUUUAUGAAUGAUUGUUUGAUUGGAUUUAAUGCUUGAAUAUGCAUGAUGAAUGGUAGUAUGUUCAUUGGUGGAUUGAUGACAUAGUUGUUAAAAUGGUAUGCUAAAUAUUUGAACAAGUUUUAAAUUCCAUAUUGGUAUGAAAUGAACCUAUUUUGCAUUUAUAAAUGCAUGAGCUGCAAAUUUGAUAUGUUAAGUAAUUGAAUGGUGACUCUAAGAUUGCAUGCUAGCAUAACAAUUUACUUGAUAUGUCAAAGUAUGUUAAUGCAUGAUUUAGUGUAAUUGAACAUGUUUUAUAUGAUCUCUAAAUAUUAUAUGAUAUGCUGGAAAAUGAGAAUUGGCAUGGUAACACGAAAUGGUAUGUCUAGUUUAGUGUCAAAGUGUGAAAAGUAGGUUUAUGGGUUGUUUCUAAAGAAAUUGUAAGUGACGUCACGACAGCAUAUAACCGACGUCGCGACGAGGGAUCAACGUCACGAUGAGGAAUUUCAUGUGGUUGUGAAGACGAGCUUCUUCCAGAUGACUUCAUGACGAGUGAAAUCGCGUGGUCAUGAUGUGACAUAUUAAGUGUUUUGGGCGUGUUUUGACAGUUUUGCAAUUUAGUCCUAAUUUUUAUACUAGGCAAUUAGAGUCCUUAAACAUGUUAAAAUGUAUUGAAAAUUAGCAUGAUUAAGUAAUAUAUGGUAAAUUUCAUAAUUUCACUCUUAAUUUUAUAAAAUGGUUUUUUCAGAUAUUUUUCAAACCUUACAAUUUAGUCCUUCAACUUCGUUUUUAAAUUAAAUGAGCUUUACUUAUCGAUUUUCAAUAAUUAUUUCAAAUAUUUUAUUCUUUAAUACUCUAUUGCAUGCUUUUAUUUUUAAGUUUAUGUUUUGCGAGAUAAAAUAUAAUUUGUGAAAUGACAUUUUCACCCCUAUUGUUGUUUUACUGUGUUGCGAUAGAUGAUGCAUGUUUUAGGAGUCGUGUGUUUCUUUCUAGUUUAAUUGAAUAUUAUGCAUUUGUUGUGUGGUGUUAUCGGUGGUUUUAUGGUGUGUUUGGAUGAUCGGUAAGGAGAGUCACAUAAGUGGCUAAUGUGACGUUCUGAAUUCAAUUUAAAUUGUCCCGACCGAGUUUGGGGUGCUACACAACAAUUGCCCUUGGCAAGGUAGAUCAUAAAUAUACCACGUGCCAGAAAUGCGUACUUUCACAAAGCCCAUGGUUGAUGGAGUGUUGUCCAUAAGCGAAUCCAUAAAAGGUGAGGGUGGCGAUGUUCUUUCUGGCGAGGUACUGAUAACAAUUGUUUUAAACCGACAAGAAGGUUAUAAAGUGACAUGCCCUAAGAUGACUGACAUGUUUGCUUGUUGAAGGAGGUACAACGUCAAGAAAAUUGUGUGUAAAGCAUGCAUGUGAUAAGAAAGAGGUGCAUAUUGCACACAUAAGUCGUUUUUGUGAAGACUUUAACUUUAACAAAGAGAGGUGUCGUUUGGGUUUUCGCCAGUUAAUAAGGGAGACUCAUGUUUACUGUUCAUAAGUUGAUUGAUCUAGAGGGCCAUAAUGAAGAGAAAAUGUGUCUACAUUUCAUUGGCCAUAGUGAGUUGUUUUGUUUUGAAUAUUACUUCACAUGUUUCAGACUUGUAUAAAUAGGACUUUUGUAGGUUGUGUGCUUGAACUGUAGGAGAAAUUUGUUGCCUUAGUUCUUUCCAAAUUUUCUACUUUCAAUUUUGUUUCCUAAGUUUUACAAUUUUGCCUUUUGUUUUUAUUUUUUAGGCUUUUUUAGAAAAGAUUUCUAGAGAAUAAUAGAGUUAAACUUAGGGUUUUUAUACAAUGGCCGGUGAGGGCAGUCAGAGAAGUUAUGUUAUUUUUAUAUAUAUUAUAUAAUUUCCAACAUAAAAAUUAAAUUUAUAGUAAUAUAAUAUUAUAAUAUAAAUAUUUAAAAAAACAUUAAAUUGCCCAUAUAUAAAUUUUAAUAAAUGGAAAAUAUAUAAAAUCAAUAAAUAUUAAAUUAACAAUAAUAAAAAUAUUUUUCAAAACAUUAAAAUAUAAUAUAGGCAUACUUAAAAUACGCUUGGAUUAGCCAUUUAGCGGGUUUAGACAAAAUUUUAAGCCUAUAUUUUAAGUUAAGUCGAUCUUUGGCAAGUAUAACGAGUGUUAAUUUCACGCUUAAGCCCGAAUUGACCCAACCCAUGAGCACUUUUAGGUAUGAGCAUCUAAUGAGAGGUUGGAAAUAACAUUUUUUUUUUGUAGAGUACAUCAUCUAAAGGAAUUGUUAGUUUUGAAUAAAUUUUACCUUAUUCCUUUGUUUCUAAUUUUGGCACACUCCUUGAGGUCAUCUGAGAGUUCAAUAUUAGCUAGAAAUUUAAUGAUAGGCGUCAUUCAUGUGGUUUCUUCGAUGAUGCAAAAGUCCUUUCACUAUUGUUCGUAGCUAGGAGUUUAUCGAUAUUCCAACAGUAUCCAACCUUUUUUUUUGGAUUUCUAAUGAUGAAGCGUGUUUAGGCAAUGAAUUUGCUUUGGCAUCAUCAAUUAGAGAUACUUGUUGGAAAAAAAAAUCUAGUUUGAAAUUGAUUUUCUUGCAUAGCAAAAAAUUACAAUUUUGAAAAUCAAUCCAGUUUGUAAUAUUUAUAACAAUAAACCUUAACCGAAUACGCACAUGUAUUUUCUGAUAAGAGGAUCCUUGAUGUUUUCGGCUUUCAACCAAAUGACUUCUUUUCUAUUCUUGUACCACGAAUUGCUUCGAGUGUGGGAUCCAACCAACUAAACCAAAACUCAAAACUAGAAAAAUUUUCCUUUUUUAGGGUGAAACUAAAAAUUCUCUCUUAUUUAAUAAUAGAAACUAGUAAAAUUUUUAUUCUGGAAAAUAUGUUUAUAAGUUGAGAAUAAAUUCUCUCUAUUUUUUGGCAGAAUAACAAUCUCCCAAAAGUUGUGUAAAUAGCUCUACUGGUGCUAUCUAUUUAUAGGAAGAGAAGGUAGAACUCUUGUAAAAGUUUAUUUUCACUAGAAAAACAAUACCCUAGUUUAUCUAAGAGAUAGAGGGUGGCAACCCUAGUUAAUGAUACUAGGUUUUCUGCCAUCCCACCUCUUUACAUGAGGGGUUUUGGGCCUUGGUAUGCAUGUUACAUUAUUCUGGCUUAAACUCUCAUCCCACUAUUAAACUUAAGUUAUGUUGUAUAGUUAUUCAUGUUGGUUAAAAGUGCAAGAGAAGUGAGAAAUGAAAGGAUUCGCAUGCUAAUGGUUCAGUCGUAAAGCAUUCAAGAAACCCCAAAGACAAGAUAAUAAAAAGAAAACAACCAAAUCAUAUAAAAAAAAAUCAAAGUAUGAUAGUUCAAAUGUAGUUCAAAAAAGAUUAGUACAAGGGAAAAUAAGUUUAAUUUGAUUCAUCGAUUGAAUCAACAUUGUGGUAGUAGCAUCCUCUGGUUCCUUUUCUUUAUCUUGGUUGUUUUCUUUAGGGAGAGUAGUACAGGUCUCUUUAGGCUCCUUCGAGAAAAAGAGUCUACUUGAUUCCUUCAAUUCUUUUUCAAACUCCUCCCACUUCUUGUAUGAAGGACAGAGAACAUCAAAGCCCAAGUCAGUGUUGGUAAGUUUAUACAUACAACGACUUGGCGUGCAACAUAAUGUUCGACUUUAACUUAGGCAGAUAAUCACAUAUAUUGGCUAUAGUUUCUGCCUUAUAGCUUUUUAGGGCCUCGUUGCUCACAUUAUGCAACCGCUUCAUCUCUAUAUGGUGUUGUUCCUCUAUGGCCUUCUUCUACCCUUCCCAUGAUGUUUUCUCAGCUUCCAAUUGGCAGACCCUUUCCUCCAAUUAUUUUUCCUCAGCCUCCUAUAUUUUCCUUUUUGCCACCCAGGCUGAGAUAGAUUCAACAAGCUCAUUAUUUUGGCAAACAAUGCUCUCGUGUAGUUUACGGAGUUGGUUAAAGUUUUCCUAAUCUGAAUUCAUUACUUUUUUGAAUUCAGGUCGUUUGGCCUCAUUCUCAUUGCAAGCUUUUUGUAUGCCCCAACCAAGGAGUUUACACUCUGCUACCAUCAUUUGGAAGGUACCCACUAAUUAUUUCAUUGAGGGCUUUCAAGCACUGGACAGGGGCGAAGAAGGGUAAGCAUACUCCUUUAACUCUCGGGGCAAGUCUUUCUACCGUUUUUGUUCGAUCGCAUAUGGGGAGAAGGGAUAUCGCCCUGUACUAAUAUUAUCACUCCAAGGGAAAAAGGCGUUUACCUCGCUAGUGGGAGAAUUCUGUUGCAAUAAUCUGAAAGGAGAGGCACACAGGAUAGAGCGGAUGGUACCAAAACAUGGCUCCGCCGGAGGGGACAUAGUAAACAAGGUAGGCGGGUCUACGGGAACUUUUAGAGACUCAAUAACUACGAAGUUGAAAGAUUCAGUGGGAUACUUAGAGUCCAUGGGAUGGUGUAUGUAACGAUUUCCCCUCUGGUUGUGGUUGGUUUUUUCCUUCUUCUAUGGCGAAUCAGCCUUCCACCGUUACUAUCUUCUGUGCUUUGAGAUUUUUCCUCUACCUGUGGCCUUUUGCGAUUGCUACUACUAGCCCUUUUCCUUGGGGCAGCAGCUUCCUCACUUCCCCGUAAACUGUCCAUCACUGAAUCUAGAUCCAUUUAGUGCCUUAGUGUGUUCGAAGAAUUGGAGGAAUUGAUGGAGCUUGUAUUAUAAAUAACAUUAUCAGCACCAUUAUUUACACGAGCACUUAUUGACUCCUCUUGAACACCCACAAGUAAGGAGGACCAAUGAUGGGGAUGCAAUUUAUACACAUUGUAGAAAAAGAUUUUAGGCUCCCUCUUUUUCACUAAUAAAGACUAAAGCUAGAUCACUAUUGGCCUCAUAUGGCCACAUGCACAUUUAACGGGUAACACUUCCACCGGAUCGACUCCAUACAUAAUCUCAAUCGCCUUACAACCAUUGAAUUUUUCUCGCCCAGACAAUAGAUGAAAAUGCUUCUAGCAGUCAAAAGACUUUCAAGCAUUAAGGUGCGACCCAUCUUCAUUCAAUUAUAUUGUUCAACGACAAUCUCCGAAUAAAAAAUUUAUCAUUGGAGACAGGUAGUUUUGCUAGGGAUGGACCAUUUUAUUGGGAAGUCAUAGUUUCCCUAAAGCUUUCUUCUCACCCGAAUGUAGUUAUUGCAGUUGAGGUUGAGAUUCGAAGCCCAAUUACGAACUAUAGGCUCGCAACCCUCACGGGCACUAAAAUGCAGCAUUCCUACAAAGUCCCCUUCAUUGUAGGCCUUUAAUUGAUAGAUAUGUUGGAAGAUGUUGAACAUAUAUGGCUCAUCAUGUUUACAUUAUUCAAUAAAAUAGUCACCAAUGUCUACCAAGAUAGGUCGGUGAGUUACCCCGGCGCGAUUCCUUACUCAUUAAGAGAGUGUUAGCUUUAUGCUUCACCUUUGGGACAUGUUUGACUCUAUGAGUCUAUGUGGUGUGUUGGAGAUCCGUGUAUCUGAUGAGUGAUGAUAGAGCUCACUUUUAUGUUUCAUAGAUCAAGUGCCAAAUUAUCUUAAAUUAUGAAUAUGUGUUUAUAUGACAUGUGACCAUUAUGCAAUUUAUCUGUAACAACCCGAUUUUGACCCUAAUCGGAAUAGUAGUUUCGGGACCACAAAUCUGAGUCAAAAAAAUAUUUUAAUAUUAUUUUUAGUGUUUAUUAUAUGUUAAGUUAUAGGUGUGAAAGAUUCGUGUGGAAAUUUAAUCGUAUGAAGGUUCAAUUUGAUAAAAAGGGUUUAAUCGCGUAAAAUAAAACUUAGAGGUUAAAAUUUAAAAGCACCCAUUUGUAGUUGUCUUUUUAAGUGGGAGGUCUAAAGAUGUAAUUAGACCAAGAUUUAGUUAAUGGGUGGUAUAUGCCAACAUUGCCCUUAAGUUAUGUGAUUUAUAAUUUAUUUAAUUAAGGUUAAAUUAGUCAUUAAGUAAAUUAUAAUAUUAUAACUAAAAUAAGUCAUAAAAAGAUGAAUAUGUUCAUCUUUGUUAGCCGAAUAUUGGAAACGAAGAAACCAUCCAUGGUUUCUUAAGUUUCGGCACUUUCAUAGCAAAAUUAAGGUAUGCUUUGGUUUCGGUUUUUGAUAAUUUUUACGUUUUUGAGAUCGUUGCUUUGAAUACUUUAUAACCCAUGUCUUAAUUUUGUGAAUUUUUGAUGAUUUUGAAAUGAGCCAUUGAUGAAUGCUUGAAAAUUGUGAUAGUUGAUGAUGAAAAAUGAAAGAAAUGUGAUAGAUUAACAUGUUUUGUUUUUGAAUUUUUAGUGAAUUUGAGAAAUUAGAGUUAAAUUGUGAAAAUGAAUUUUUUUUUGGGAUUAAAAUGUGAAAUAAAUGAAAUGUGUGGAUUUGUAUGAAGAUAAGGAAUAUUCGGCCCUAGCUUAGUGUGGGCAAAUUUUGUGUAUUUUGUGUUUUUUUGCAAAAAGGACUAAAUUGCAAAAAGUGCAAAAUGUUAGAGGAAAAAUGGUAAUUUUCUCAUUUAUGUAUUUUUGGACUUAAUUGAAUGUUUUGAUGAGUAAAAAGGUUAAAUUUGAUUAUGUUUAGAUCAAGAAAAGAAGAAAAAGGAUUUGGAUCGGGGGAAAACGAAAGUAAUUUAAUAGUCGAUCGUGUUCGCUAAUAUCCGAGGUAAGUCGACUAGCUAUUUAAUGCUAAUAAUUCAAUAUAAAUAUAUAUAUAUUUGUGUGUAUGAAUAUCUACUGUAUUUUUAUGUUAAGAUAUAAAAAAAUAAUAUACUUUGAUUAAUUAAGUUGAUAUAUGGAUGGCUUAUAUGUGUACACUUAUAUUUGGCUAUAUGAAUAUAAGUCUAAUUAAGCUUUGGGGAUUAAAUGUAGUUAAGAAUGGUGCAUAGAUGGAUAUAAUUAUAUAUAGUAUAGCUAUAUGUUUGAAACUUCAUUUGGAAUUAUUUGAUGAUAUGAGGGCUAUAAUUGUAAGAACAAUUUUCGAAUAUGUAUAUGUAUAAUUAAGUAUAAUCUUUGAGUUUGAUUAAGGGUAUAUAUUGUAUAUACUUUAAUAAUUUUGAAUGAAUGUCUCUGUGUGAAUUGAAGAACAUACAUGUAUAUUUUCGAAUAAGUUCUGAACAUAUUUCAAGGUUUAAAUGUUAUUUCGUAUAUAGUUAUUUCGUAUAAGUGUAAGUAUAUGAGUUAAAAUAUAAUGUAUGAAUUGUAUAUAUAUAUGUGUUAGUUAAUGUAUAUUUGAGUUUUAUAACUUAAAACAAAUUGCAUAGAUUCUAUAUAUAUAUUUAGCCGAAUAUAUAUAUGCUGAAUUUUAUAAGUUGGAUGAAAUUUAUGGAUUACAUAUAUGUUAGCCGAAUGUAUGUAUUGAAUUCGAUAAGUUGAAAUUAAUCACAUGAAUUCGAUAACUUGAAGCUUAUAAUAUAAAAGAAAAUAUAUAUAAUAUUCGAAUGCAGGUAUUGAGUUCUAUGAGCUGAAUUUAAUGAUAUGAACUAUAGAUAUGUUAUUCAAAUGUAUGUUUGCUACGAAGAUUGGAAUAAUAAUUCGAUUCUUGCUGAGAUACGAUUAUUGAAAAGAUUUAUAUGAGAUAUAAAGAAUAUUUAGAUAUUCUUAUAAAGAAUUUUGUGAAAGACCAAUUUCAUAUCCGUGGUAUUCAGGCUCGAUGCCUAGCAGAUGUAGUGCCGGUGAAUUAAUUCAGACUUUAAGUCUAGCAGGCUAAGUGCCGGUGAUCUGAACCAGGUUAUGAACCUAGCAGGCUAAGUGUCGGUGAUCUGAAUCAGGUUAUAAACCUAGCAAGCUACGUGCCGGUGAUUUGAAUCAGGCUAUCAGCCUAGCAGGCUAAGUGUCGGUGAAUAUGUUAAAUUAAGUGAUUAUAUGCAUGUGAUAUAUAUAAAUAUAUAAAUGAUUUUGGGUUAUAUAUAAUGAAUAAGUAUAUGAAUAUUUAUUUAUAUGUAUUCGAUGAGCUUAUAAAUGUUUGGAUCUAUGUGUUUAGUGAAUAGGCACAUAUAUUGGUUGAUAUGAAAAUUGUUGAAUAUACAUGUAUGCAAUCGACACAUGUGAAUUAGAAGUAUAAAUGUGCAUUUGAUUCAUGUAGUUGAUAAGUAAAAAUAUAAGCUUUUGACAUAUGUAUUUGAAAGAUCAUAGAUAUGCAUUCAUGAAAUGCAAAUGAUAAGUAUAUUUGGAAUUUGUAUAUGCAAUUAAUGAUUAUGUAUGUAACUUGAUUAUAAGCAUAUAAUGAUUAUACAUAUGUUCGUUUAUAUGUAUUUUAGAUAUACUAUAAACUUACAAAGCUAUAAAAGCUUACUUUGAUUGUUUUUGUCCAUUUGUUUUAUAGAUUUUGGAGACGCGUUACGAGCUCGGGGAUCAUCAGCAUAGUCUAUCACACUAUCGACUUCUUUUGGUAUUUUGUUAAAAAUUUGAACUCGAUCUUAUGGCAUGUAUAGGUUUGAAUAUGUUUUUGGUUAGUUUUGGAUCGUAAAAUAUAAAUAGUCAUGCAAAAAUGAUUUAAAUUCCAUGUUUAUGAUCAGUUUGGUUAUAAAAAAAAUGGUUGUGUUUGUUUGAUAAUGCCUCGUAACCCUAAUUCGGCGACGGAUACGGGUUAGGGGUGCUACAUUAUCUAUAAACAUGUUUUUAAGUAUUGUGAUAUAUGCUUGAAUAUUAUGUGAUUAUAUGAGUAUUGUGAUAUAUGCUUAAAUGUUAAGUGAUUAUAUGUGAAAUGUGAUAUAUGCUUAAAAGUGAAUAUGCUUACCUUAUAAAUGAACUAGUAAAUAAUGCACGAGUAAGAAUAACAUGACACUAAAGUUGGAACUGUUUGCUAUAUGGUUGUUUCGUUAAUGCUUGAUGAAUUGUUUGCAUGGUAGUUGUUCUAAGCAUUUACUGAGCUUGUUAAGCUCAUCAACUCCCUUCUUAAACCCUUGAAGAAUAGUUAAGUGCCGGUGUGAGUGGUGUGGUACCAAGGGGUGAUCCAAGUAAGUCUUUUUCCGUUAUUUUGUAGGUGUUAUUGUUAUUUGUUUAUGUUUUGGGAAUAAGGCAAUGUGGUAGACUUUUACUGCUAUUUUCCAUGAUGUUUUGGAUGCUUUCAUAGAUUAUUUGUUCCUAAGUUUAUGAGUUUAGUUUCAUAUUUCGUUGAUUAUUGCUCAGACUUACUUUUGAUGUUUGAGACUAUUGCUACAAUUGUUUUGAUGAUGAUAUGAUAACAUGAUGAAUUGGUACAAGUGGAUAUGACUUAUAUGUUUAAAAUGUUUUAUUUUUCUAGUCUGAAGCAGAUGUAUUGAUAUUCGUAUUGUAAAAAGGUACCUCUGUGAUUUUGAAAUGUGCAGGAAGUUAGAAUCGUAAAUUGGUAUCGAUACCCUAUCACGAGUAUUAAUACUCGGGGUAAUUUUAUCGAUACUUUUUCAAUUCUAUCAAUAUUUUAUUGUCUUUUGAUUUUAGAUGAGAAAUAGAAUGCUGAUUUGGUAUCGAUUUUUCAUAUGGUAUUGAUAUCGUACUAAGAAAAUAUCGAUACCCUUGUCCUACUAUCGAUACCUAUGUGAUUGUCUUGGAAAUUUUGCUAAGUGGUCCUAAUGCAUGUUAAUUAUUAUUAUAAGUUUAUUUAAAGUAUGUUUGGCAUGUACUAAUGAUGAUUAAUAUAUGUUAGACUAAAAAUUCAAAAGAUCACUGAUAAAGAGGAGGAUUUCUUAAUAAUGUGAAAAUUUACUAUGAGUAUGACAUGAGACGGUGGUGUGGCAUCCCUGGAUGAUAUAAAAUUAUAAGCAAAAUUUGGCAGUCGUAUUCCCCUAACCACCAAGUGUCGUACAUCUCAUCUUUGGUUGUUAGGCAGUAGUAGGCAGAUGUUUCUACCGGAGUGUUAAAUUCGUGAUUUCGUGGCUUAUCACCACUCACUACAACCAAAUUACCCUUAUGGCCUCGUUGAUUUCGACCAUCAUGAUCCCCUACUCUACCUCCUAAACCCACUUUAACUCUAACCAUUUUAGGUAGUGAUACUUAAAACAAAGAAAACGAAGAAUAAAUGUUUACCUUUGGGACUAAUAUAAGUUCCAAAAGAAAAAUAAAAGAGAUCUUCUGGUAAUGAGAAUGGCUAGUGAUCUACCACAAAUUGAUAUGGCAAAUUAGGCUUUUCCAAUGCCCUUAAGGAGCUUUUUCUCGAACAAAUUAGAGUUUUAGCAUAGUUUAUCGUUACUUUCGUAUUUUCAGUUAAUAAAUGAAAAUGUCUCAUUUUUGUCUCUUUUUUUACCUAAAUUGGCCAAUUAUGCCAUUGGGGACCCUAAAGGUUGAUUGAGUGUUGUAGCGAGCCAUCAGAGGCUCAAACAUAAGCGAAAACAUCGCCUAGAAGAAGGGUAUCGCAACAUCGAAGCAUUGAAAUCACAACACCUCUGACAGGCCCGAAUUAAAGAAGAAAAGAGGCCAUCUACAGUGAUAUCGCGAUACCCAACCCUGGGUUUCACAACAUCCACCUAAAGCACCCAGUUUUGGAGACUAUCGGUGAUAUCAUGAUAUCCUGCCUUGGGUAUCGCAAUAUCCCUAUCGUGUGGGGACAAAAAAAUGACAUUAGGGGUAAAGUUUGUCCAUCCGAAGCACCAAUCAAAAGCUAGUGUUUAAGGGCACUUUAGGCAACAUUUUUGGGUCAGAAAUGAGCUAAUUUAAAGUCACUCUUGGAUAAGGAAAAAGUAGGCUAUAGUUUUAGGUUAAAAAGCUCUUUAGUUGUAGGGUUUCUUUCAUCUUUAAGCUUAGGAAUAGGGUAGUUUUCUUAUCUAUAGUUUUAGGGUUUUAGUUUAUGUUUCUUUCUGGAUUUAUUUAGUUUCAUAGUUGUUAGUAAAGUUAGUUUUUGUUGUAGCUUAGUUUUAUUUACAUGUCAAAGACUUUAAACUUAGUUGUAAUCAUACUUUAAUAUUUAAGUUAAUGUUAUUUGAGUUUUCUUUCUUUUUAUUUGUUAAAGCUCUCAUCUUUAGUGUUAUUGUUUCUUUAUUUUUGUGUUAGUUGUUUUUAAUUUAUGUUUAUCUAGUUAAAAUCAAAGCAAUCACCUUUUUGUUCAAGUUUAUGUUAAUGGCUUCCAUAGUUGUUUCUUUCAUGUUUGUUAGCUUUAAUAUGGUAAUGGGUAACUAAACCCUAAGGGGUUGGUUAGUGGAGAUGCGGGUAAGCUGAUUUUUGGACAAAGGGCUAAAUUGUAACAAAUUAAACUAAUUUGAAUAAAACUAAGAACUUAAGUAGUGAUACCCCUAAGGGAAUAUCAAGAUAUAGUGAGACUAACAAUUAAGUUUGUCGCGCACCCGUUUGUUAGUCCCGGAUUAACCGACGAGAUAGAGAGAUAAACCGAACCUAAUUCGUCUAAGUCAAUAAAAUUGAUAUCGAAAGAUAAAAUGGAGUCACUUAGUAAUUUAAGUGAUUUAUGUCUCGAGCCUGAGAUUUGGUGAACCACAUCGAAGUCAAUCAACCCCUAUUAGUUAUUUAUUAGAUUAUCCCUUUAAUUUUACAUUUUUUACAAUUUAGUCUUUAGGAUAGCUAAUUUAGAAAUUAGUGUUAAGAAUAUAUAUUUAUACUUUGUCGUACUAUAGAAAUUAGUGAGUAGCUAGCUAGACUCCUUUCUUACAUGUACUUUUGAAUAGAAAUCAUUGAAUUGCUGACUCAUUUGGGUUCAAUCCUUAGAAUACUCUAAUUGUUCCAUUGUACACUUACAAAUAUUACAACUGACUUGUAGGCUUGCAGUAAAACCAGAGUUUAAAAUUUGUUGUAUAAAUUUUUUGUUUUAAUGUGCAAGCGCGCAGUUGGUCAGCCAGCUAAAGAAAAAGGCAAAAUGGGGGAAAUGAUACUAGGGUAAGCAAUGAUUUCACUUCUUUAAAUUCAUAUAUAAAACAAAUCGUCAUUUGGAAGCUUUAGUUUUAAAAUUUCAAGUAACCGUUCAAGGCCUCCAAUCCGCGGAUGGCACGUGUCAACGUCUUAGACGAAUUACCUUAAAACCCUUUGACGACCAGCAAAAAAGGGAGAAGUACCCACCUAAUAAGGUUCAUAGACCAAGUAUCCGCAAAAUGUGUCCACAACACAAUAGCCACAGAUUUAUCCAUCAAGAUUAUAUGCUAUAACAUCCCACAAGGAAAUAUUCUAAGUCCUUAUGACAGGACUAUUUUCAAAAUUGUUUAUGUGCGGAGACUACGUGCCUUAUGACUAAUCAAAAGACUAUUCAAGGAAACGUCUCACGCAAAGACCACGCACAGAGAUACCCGCAUCGUGUCUAUGUACAAGUUUAUCACCAGGUGUCAGAGUGCGAGAAUAGUUAUCAUAUCUCACACAAAUUAUUAAACGAUGUACACUUCAAUACUCACGGUCUUAUUGUUUAUGCAAAUCAUAUGCCGGUGAGCUAACCUUAAGUGCAUGUAAAAUUCCUCGCGAGUUGUGCUAAUGCAAGGGGUAUGCCAUUGCAUGAAUGGAGUUAAUGCAUGUACUACACCAAAGUGUAGUUCACGCCAAUGUGUAUGUUCUAUCCAUGCGUGCUACAUCAUUACGCAAGAUUGCCUAUACGAGAACUGUGCCAAGCACUCACAUUAGCCGCUGGAAGGUAAGUAAACAAGUUAGCUAGAUUAAAGAUAAGAUAGUGUGAAUUUAAUUCUAGAUCUUCUACUAUGACCAGUCUACUAUUUCACGAUCUUUAAAAUGUAUAUGUCAUGGGGUGGAACAAGUUACUAAUGGUAGUAAAAAAGUUCUUUGAUGGAUCAAAUCCCUCAUUUGUUCAAUAAGUAAGGAAAUUUCAGGGAUGAAAUUUCUUUUUAAGGUGAGAGAGCUGUCACACCCGAUAAUUCGAUCAAAAACUUGGCCAUAUUGGAUCGAAGACCCUGAAUUAUUUUAUAUAUUUUAAUUAGAUACAUCCUAUGUGUACUGAAUUGUAAAAUUUGAGAGAUAAAUUGGGCAUUAAUGAUGAUUGUCAAUUAUUCUGAGAGGCUUGUUGGGAAAUAAUGGCUUGUUUCUAAUAUUUUAUCUUAAUUUGGGUUAGUGCUUGCAUAAAAAAGGUUGAAUAGUAAAAAAGUGAGUGACUAUUUAAGGGGGAAAGAAACAGGGUAAACAUAUUAUUUUUCUUCUUCCUUCUCCCAACUUCUUCUCCACUGUCAUUUUCUCUCUGGAUGUUUUGGAAUGAGAGACAUAGGAAUAAAGGGAUCGAACUGCAUGCUGGAAAAUAUAUAUAGAAAAGUAGUUUAAUCAGAGAUGAAAUUUGUGAACUGGUAACAUUCCUAUACUAUUCUGUAUUUUUUUUAUUUUUAAAGAAAGAAAUGAACCGCGGACAUCCAACUAAAUAUUGGUUGUGGAUUGUAACAAAAAUAAGCAUGUUAAGAAGAGAAUUUACUCAACAUGUUGUUAGAAAUCGAUUGUCUUACUCGUAAAUGUCUCAUGGUUGGUCCUAUAUGAUUGUUACUAUUUAGUUGGCGAAGACAGGGAGGGACCAAACAAUAAGGGGAAAGUCAAGCUAGUAGGUGAUGUGUCCUUGAGGUGUUUUACCGGUGAGUUCCUAGACUCAAAUCUUCAGUGUUUGUUUACAUGUUUUAUACUAUGAUGCUCAGGUUGUGUCCUAUGCUUACGAGGAAGGGUUACCUUGUCGUGGGAAAGUUACCACAAUCGUGGAUGUAUGUUACGAGAUAAGGUGCAUGUUGGUUGUGAGCUUGAGUCAUAGUAUUGAUGAGUGCAAUGCUAUGGUGUUUGCUAAAUUCUAAAUUAUAUGACAGUUACCUUACAUAUCUAUAGUUUUGGUGAGAUUCCUACUGUGUUGUUGAUACAUGUUAAGUUGGUGUGCAAAUUUAUGCCCUGUUGUAAGCAUAAAUUUGUUGUAUUGUUAAGUUUUUUCUAGGUAAAGUACUAUUGAUUUUGUUAUACUAUUGAAUGCUUGAUAUAUGUUAUUUUGAUGAAAAAUAAUGAUAUGCAAAGGUUUGGUUGGAGGACACAGAGAACGAAUAGACAGGUUAUUUGGUUUUGCAAAGGUUCAGUUAGAUUGUACAGGGUUAUAUGAGCACAAGUAUGUGAUGACCCUACGAGGAUUUUUCUCAAGAAUGAGAAUUUGCGGAGCCUAAAGCUCGAAGCCUCAUGUAUGUAUGCAAGUCUCAUGGCCAUGGCAUAUUCAAGUAAGAGUCUGCAUGGAUUAUCUAUCAAGUAAGAGUCAGCAUGGACUAUCUAUCAAGUAAGAGUCCGCAUGGACUAUCUUUCAAGAAAGAGUUCGCAAGGACUAUCUUUCAAGUAAGAGUCCACAAGGAUUGUUCUUCAAGAAGGAGUCCGCAAGGACUAACUAAUGAGUAUGAAUCCAAAAGUUUAAGUUUGCCAAGGUAUGAUUCCGCAAAUGUAAGUCCUCCAAGAAUGAGUUUGUAUGUAUGAAUCCGCGCAUGUGAGUCCGUAGGUGUGAGUUCAUAGGAGCAUGUCUACUAAAUAGGGACCUGCAAGUAUGAAUCUGCAUGUAUGAACCUACCAAGUUUGGAUCCACGUGUAUAAUUCAUCGUAUGGGAGUCCGCACGUAAAGGUCCUCCAAGUGGGAAAUUUCAUGCAUUAGUCUUUAGGGACCAACCGCUGAAUGUUAGUCUGCAAUAGUAUUAUCUGCCAAAAUAUUCCACACAAGAUUGACUACCAAAAUUACUAACGAGCUGUCUUGUAUAAAAUUAAGGCAAAUGUGUAAGCGAAACCAUCCUUCAAGAAAUACUAACGCACGGACGAUGAAAAUAGAGAAUCGUGUCAAUGUAUAAAAUGUGCCAAUUUACAAGUUGUGCCAAUGCGAAUGAUGUCAAUUGUGCACUAUGAAUACGUGUGAUCUGCCCUCGUGCAAGUGAUGUCAAGCAUGAGCCUAGGCCAUUGAAGUCAUAUCAUAUGAUAAUAUCAUGAUCAGGUAUGUUAUAUUAAUAACUCACUAAGUUCAUUAGAACUUACCUAGCUUUUUGUUAUGUUUUUUAGGUAUAAUGGGCUACACGAGACACUGGAGAGGGACUAAGCCAGAAUCUGUUGAACCUGUAUGAGGUUUUUCUUCUUAACUGUAACAUGCAUAUAGUGGGGGCGACCUGUAGGCUAAGCCUCAGGAUUAGGAAUUCUUGUAACUGAGUAUGAACAACAUGGUAAUUAUUCCAACGUAGGUUGAUUGCUACAAUUUAAUGAAGUUGUUAUUAUGAAUCAUUAUUAAUUCAUAUGUUAAUGUCCCAAACUAGAAAUUAGUAUGAUUGUAACAUUUUCAUUUGGCUAGUCGAUCAGUUGAGCUUUUGGGAUGCUACACUAUAGAAGUCGUAUACCCAACACACUAGCUUUCAGUUCCUUAUUUAUUUGAACUCAGACUUUUACUUAAAUAAAAGUAUACAAAAAACACAUACAUAGUCUGUUAUCCACUCAGGAUUUAGGUACGUCACACUAUGAAUGUCACAAGUGAAUAAAUCUAUAAAUAGAUUCAGGAUCUAUUCUUUUUAGGUCUAGUCCGAUGUACUAUCAAUCUAGUUAGUCACAUCUAUGUCUUUAUCUUUUAGGAGUCAUCCACUCCGAUACCCAAGACAAGGCAUCUCCCUAAUUGGACUUGAUAAACGUCAUAUUAGUCUUUUAAUCUGUUUUCUCAUUUCCUAUUAAACUAAGGGUAUGUUUAGUUCAUCUACUAAUUAAGCUUUCUUUCCAUAUUACAAUCUGACCACGUAAUACCACUUAGUAUUAUUUUAAACAUUAGACAACCAGUGAGCCAAUAUUUGCUUCUAUUUUUCUUUAUAUGCAAAAACCACGUGAGGAAGAUAUACAAAUGGUAUUAAUGUAAUUCAUGAAUAAAUUUAUUAAAUAAUCUGCUCGAAAAAAUUACAAGUGCACAUUAACGAAAAUACUACACUUAGGGCACCAGAUCCAACAUUAGGGCCAUUGGAGAGUUAUGGAUCCUAUGACUUUGAUGGGUUGAUUCACAAACCCAUAAAUCGGGUUCACCUUAUUUAACAUACUCUCUUCAAGGACCAUUUACCUGAAAGCCUGCUGAUCAUCGUAACUACCAUUGGAUCAUUUCCUUAAAUCCAUUGAUGAUCAUCGUAACUACCAUUGGAUCAUUUCCUUAUUUUCCAAAGGCUACAUUUUCAUUUUCUUGGGUAAAACAAACCUAACAUAUGUCAAUCUAAUGAGAUUUAUUCAUUAUCGGGUUUAUUAAUAUGAUACUCCUUAAAUAAACUUUUAUCUUGGUGUUAGAGAUAGUCAUUCCUCAUAAGUUUAUACUAUCAUAUAUAUUACCCCCUAUCACUACUUGUUUCCUUUUGCCUUUAUCUUGCUUACACAAGUAUGAAUCUCGCUCAGAAUAUUGCCUAUGGCGAGGAUAUCAAGGCACAAACUAUUUAAGCUACCCUAACCUAACUUCCUCUUCUAUAGUGUCCUUUAGUGAGGUGCAAUAUUUAAUCUUAUGUACCAUAUCACUAUAAAACUGACACCUUUAAGUGGAUCAACCACGAUAUCAAUUAGGACUUAUUAAAAGAGGUUUACUCUUGAACUUGACUUAAUAUAUAUGCUUGUGAUGGAAUUUAGGGAAUAUAAUAUGUAAAUUUAUUAUGUAAACCCUAACAACUUCUCUUUUUAUAAGAUUCAGAGAUGAAACCUUCUUUGGUGAAUUUGGGGAAUGAGAAUGGUGCUGCCCUCCCAAGUUUACCCAUAAGAUAAUAUGUGUUAUGUGUUGUUCCUUGUUAAAAAGUCGUCUGUAAGAGGGGCAAUAUGAUCUUUGAUAAUAUGAGGCAUUAUAUCCAAAAUCAAAUUCACUGUUGAAAAAAUUCAUUUCCUUUAUUUCUACAUAUUUGUAGGCUUUUCAUACAAGUUGGUAAGGGGUUGAGGCUUAUUCUCCGUGAAGGUGUAUUUUAAAUGCUCUUGAUUCAAUCUUGCUAUAGAGUCAUCCAUGACCCACUAAUGUCAAAUCCUUGGUGGUCAUGGUCACGAAGUGAAAGCAUUUGAUGUAAUCUCACAGUGGCUCCCCAAGUUUCUGUCUAAUAGUUAGAAGGCUAGUGGGUAUUUUCAAAAUAACCUUAUAUGCGUAAAAGUGACAUAAAAAUAGGUGAAAUAGUUGCUUAAAGCCACGAAUAAAGCUUUCUAGGAGAGAUAAGUACCAAUUCUUUAUAUUUAUUAAUCAUGCCUCAGUAUACGUACACCGGGGCUAUGAAUCAACACAAUUGUCUCUAAAUAUCUAGUGGUGUACUACAAGUGUGACAAGUCGAGUUGUAAUAUUUAUAGUGUUACAAUGGAACACUCGAGUAAUCCAAGGAUCGAACCCAAGAGAGUUCGAGGACAAAGUGAUUCCUAAGCAACAAGCAUACGAAUAGAAAGUCUAGCUAACUACUCACUAGGUAUUAUACUACGACUAUUCAUAAUCCAGGGUAAAUUACACUAAUUGACUAACUAACGCUAAGAAUGACCAAAUUGUAAAAAAAUAAAAAAAUAUACAAUUAACGAUUCAAUACACACAAGCGGUUGGUUGACUUUCAUGUUGCCGAUUAGUCUUUGGGUUAAGGAUCUAAAAGGCUUAAACUUCUAAUUGGCUCAAUUUUACCUCUCAGUCGCCCACUUUACCCAAUUAGACGAUUUAGUUUGGUUUAUCUCUCAACUUCACUAAACUAACUUAAGAUAAUCAAAUUGGUGCUCAAUAGGAUCUCCUCUCGAUCUCACCUAUCUAAAUGUUCACCUAGAGGCAUCAAUUCUAAGUUUUGAAGUCUAUUCAAUUUAAUCUAGUUUUUACGAUUUAGUUUAUGUACCCAAAAACUAACCAAACAACACUUCUAUCAACCAACCACCAUAAAUUUAAUUACCAAUUAUCAUUUACAUGUAUACAAUCAUCCAACACGUACUCAAAUCAUACAUAAAAAUAAGCACAAGAGUAUGGUUAAGAAAAGCUUAGAAAUUUCUUGAUGGAUGCUUGAAGAAGAUGAUGACAGCAACAAUGGAGCUAACAAAUACAAAUAAAGUUCAUAUUUUUAGACUUUGGAAAGAAAAUAAACUAAAAUAUCUUGAAGGACUUGGAUGAAAAUAAAAAACAAAGUAAAUUUAAAGUACCAAAGUGCAAUUAAUACUAGAGCUACAAUAAAAACUAACUAAACUACCAACUAAAAUCAGAAAAGCUAUGAACUAAAACACUAAAAAAUGAAGAAGGAGUAACUACUGAGCUUAAAAGAUAAAAUAAAAGGUGGCUCAUUUAAAGUUAUCAGCCAAAAGUGCCUUUCAACAACUGAAUACAACUCCAAUUUUUAGACAAAAAUGCCUCUAAAAGUUAUGUUUUGGCUUGGGUUAAUGUUGGACAAAAGACUACCCCUGUAGCUAUUUUCUCUCUGCCACGCAGUGUUGUCGCGACACCUAGGCUUCAAUGUCGUAGUACCUUAGACAGUAGUGAACUCAUUGUUGUGGGGGGUUUCAGUGUUGCGACAUCACUAGUGUUGGCUCCAAUUCCUUCAUUUCAACACCUCUAGGGAUAUCACAACUUAGGAAGCUCGAUAUCGCAACAUUGGCUUGGUGUCGCGACAUCCUACCUUCGAUGGCGCGACUCUCUCGAUAGUAGGCUUUAUGUUGAUUUCGCGUUGAAUUUUUACAUCCUCAAGAUGAAAGGGUUUGGUGUUGCAGCAUUAAUAUCAGCAGUGUUGUGACACCUACUUUGAAUGAUGUUUUCCUUGAGGUUGGGCCAUUGUCAUCUUCCUACACUAACUCAAACACCUCGUUAGGUCCCCUAUGGCACCAUGUUGCCAAUUUGGUUCUUAAAAGGGGAAAAACUCAACCAAAAACAUUUAUUAAUGGUGAAAGCUAAAAUUCAACAAAAGCAUAGAAAUGACACUUAAUUUGCUUGAGAAUAAGCUCCUAGAGUGUAUUAGAGAGUCUAAUUUGACGUAUUAAACUAUGGCAGAUCAUUUAUUCUUAUGGUGGUGGUGAAGACUCUACAUUUAAGAGUAUCAAAAGCUCCUGAAACAUUAAUAUAGUCAUUGUAUUGCAUUAAGUGGUUGGGUCCUUGUCACCUUCAUAGAUUUCUUUAGGGAAUUCGAAACUCUGUGGCAAAUUGACAACUACUACCUUAAGUAUGAGGGGGUUAUUGGAACAUGAUAUGCAAUCCAUGUCUUCAGUAUCAAGCUUUAGAGCCUGAAUAUCUUACUUCAAUACCUCCAUUUCGUCAUGCUAGGUUGUUGCUCCUAAGGAAAGACCGAUCUUGGUUAGUACUUUAGGUGUGCAUCGUGAACAUGAGCAUUAAGGGAAGAAACAACAUAAUCAUUAUGCCUUUAAAACUAAACGGGGGUUGUCCUACUCUUAACUUUCUUAUUACCUCAAUUUGAUGAAGUUGUUGUUCUAGGUAGAUAAUUCAUUGUCAUUUGGUUUCUUGGGGCCUUUAUGUGUUUUUUUAGUUCUAGAAAUUGUUGGGAGAAUGAAUUGGGGUUACAGUUAGGAUUUUGGGUUGUUUGCUCAUAGAAUGUUGGUAUUAGGCAUAUGUUUGGUGGAGGGGGGAGGAAUGUGGUAUUAUACCUAUGUUGUUGAUUAUACCAGUUUUCAAGUGUCACUAUAGGGGUUGUAAGGACAAGCUAGGUGAGGAUAGCUUGUUUAGUCAACGUGUUGGGUGGUAAUACUAGUGGUUAAAGUGGGAUUUUCGGUGAUGGCUUCCACAAGACAAGUCAUUUUAUCACUAUUAACUACACCAAUUGUUGAGGAUUAAAAAAGGUAGAAGGGGGAGAUGACAAUUUACAUGAUGGUAAGGUGUUAAAAGUCGUCGGAGGAAAAAAAGGAAGAAAUAUAUGGCAUGGAAGAGGAAAGUUGAAGAGGAAGAAUAAGAAGAAGAAAUAGGAGAAGGAGAACUCUUAAGGCCAAGGAUGGGUAUUUAUAGGUGAGGAUGACCAUCCCUUGGCACUAGGUCUUGGCACGUGUCUAUGCUAGCUUUAUUGUAGAUGAUCACUUAGAGAGCAUGAUAACCUUUUAGAUGGGGGACGAUGUGAUUGACAUGGAUCAAGUUAGACUCUGCAAAAGGAGGGAAUCAACACUUGCCCUUGGCGAGGUAAAUUAGAGCUAUACCAUGUGUCAAGCACGUAUACAUUCAUGUUUGAUGGACUGAUGUGUGUAAGCAAAAUCAUCACCAACAAAGUUAAGACUAUAUGGGGGUGAGGAUGGUGAAACCAUUCUGGCAAGGUGCUGAUAAUAAUACAACAGUAUUGUUCAGCGCAAGUCCAUGACUAAGAAAAGGAAGACAAAACCGUGUAAAAGAUACAUACUUGGUCUGUAGAUAAUCGAUUGUCAGUUCCUCAUAAUGAGCCCCGUUCAUUAAUUAAAUAAUACUCGCAAUCAAAGCUGCAGCUUCACUUUCCAUAACAAAAGUCAAUAAAUUAAGAGUACAUAACAAUAAAUUCAUCAUCCUGAAUGAUGGGAUAGUAAUCACUCUCUCAUAUUCGACUAUUUGGGUGUGUACUCAGUCAAUACUGUUCAUCGUCCCAAGGAUAUUGGGCUUAAACUCCAGAUGGCCUGGCUCAAUGUGUUUCUACAUGUGUUCGUGGGCCUUUACCUAUGAGUUUUCUAAUCUAUAGGCCUAAAGGAUCCUAUAAUUUAUGUAAUCCAUAAUGCCCUCAAUGUUUUAAGUUGCGAGUUGUGCAACUCAAUCUCAGUCAUACUGGGAUUGGGAGUUGGGACUGUAAGGAGAAGAAGGUGGUAUUUUUGGGUUUCGGAAGAUGGAAGUAGUAGAUCAUGAAACCCCAAGCUUGGAAAAUGGGAAAACUGACAAAGAAGUAGAAGAGAAUGCAAAUGUUUUACAAUUUAUGGACUCCAUGGACGCUUAUUUGACCCUCAUUCAUUCUUUAUCUUCGACACUUCGCCGGGUAAGAAACAUCUUUUCUUUUUUUCCCCCUUUCUCCGAUAUAUUUGAUAGGAUUGAUAAAUGAUGAAAUUUCAACUUUGAUUAGAUAUAAUUAGUUCUUCAGUUAUCAGAAAUGCUUUAGACAAUGAACAUGUAAAUCAGGGUUAAGUUCAUUACCAAGUGAAAUAAGAAGAUGCAUUGAUCCAGGCAUCACCCUUUGAAUCCUGAUUGUUUUAUCUACUUGUAGUUCCCUGUUUAUGCCACCCAGCUUCGAUCUUUUUUUCUGCUUUUGUUUUUCCCCAAUUUUUUUUUCUUGUUUUGGUCUUAAUAAGUACCAAAAAUCAGGGAUGGUUGGAACUGGCAAGUGCUCGACAUUCCAUGGGUGCUUCACGGGUGAAUACUGUCUUGUUGGACCAUACGUCUCAUCCUGCUGCUACAUCAUUGCUUGUAACCCAAGAUGAGAGAAAAGGUAUUUAUCAGCUUUAUCUACAAAAGCAAUCAGAUCCUGGUAUAAAUUGUUCGGCAUAGUGCUUCAAGCAGACUUUGUAAACUAGACUGCAGAGGGUUAUCUUAUAGUAGUGGACUCGGUGUAGUCAAUAUUGUCAAGGCACCUGCACCUUGCACAUCAAGCCAUUUUUGACAAGGCCCAUUUGACCUGGCGCGCCACUAGAUGCGCUUUUUUGUAUACCUUUAUAAGUAAGAAAGUGAUAGUAUUAAACUCUAUAUUUCUCAAUACUUGAGUAUUCAACUAUAGACAUGGACCAUAAAGAAAUCAUGCUUGUUGACUAAUAAAAAGUUUGCUUGUUUUGUAGAUAAACUAGACCACAGUUUAGAGUUUGUUAUUUCUUAAGCUUUAUACACACACAGAGAAACACACACAUACAUACUGGCACAUAGAAAACUCACACAUAUACAUAUUACACUUUACUUCACUCAGGCCAAUAUAUUUUUAGUGCCUUGAACCUAAGCCAAUGUAAAGGUUCUAGUGCCUAGAGUGCUCCUCAUGCCCUUGACUACAUUAGGUGUGAUUGUUCUGGUGGCACCUGCAUGUGGGUACUUGUAUAUGAAUAUGAAAUGAUUUUACUCUAUUAGGUUUUACUGUUUUAGACAGCUAGAUCUAAAGCCCCUUGUUAUUGAAUUCUCAUUCAUAUUGAAACAUAUGGUUAUGGGUUUUACCUGUUCGUUUACCUUUUUGCUAUAAGGAAUUUUAUUUGAUUUAUGAUCUGUAAUAGUUGACUCGGGCAAACCACACUUUACAUUAUGCAAAUGGGCAUCUUCUAGCAAUGAGAACUCCUUGUUUGGGGAGAAACAAUCUAGCCAAGACAAAUUACAUCCACAGCUGCGACACAGGGGCAGUACCGAGCUUUAUGGUAUGUUUUGGCCCUCUAUAUAGAAGUAGACACUCUCUUUGGAUGUUAAUUAUAGCACGAAGACAUACAAUCAACUGAAAGUCUGAAACUAUUUGCAAAAAAGAAAAAAAAAAGUGUUUUGGAACUAUUGUUGUUAGGCUCAUUCUUAGGUAAUCUUUAAAUUGAAACCAAAUGAUGGGAAUUACAGAAUUCCAAUUGCAAACCAUAAUUGCUUCUUAAUGGUUUGGUAUGUUUUCUCACAUUUUCCUUCUGUCUGUUUUAAGAGGAGAAGACCUCAUCUGAGAAUAAAGCUUCACGUGAAGUUGAUGACCCAGUAAGUAUCCUAUUUCUACCACUCUUGCUCCUUCUUUGUUGUUGUUUUGCUUUCGGUUUCAGUUUCAGUUUCAGUUUCGCAGAAUGCUUAUUUUAUUUAUUUGAAAGUAGCUGUGAUGUAUCUGUUUUAGUAGUUUCCAGGGCCAACUAGAAAAACCUUUUUCUAUGAUAUAUUUGUUAAGGAAGCUUACAUGAUAGAUUUUCCUGUUAAAUUUGAUUGUUUUAGUAAAUUCGAAUAGAGAAACAAUCACAUGGACUCAUUUUGGAAAACUUUGUGUCUCCGGUUUAGGUUCAAAAGGAGAGAUCUAAAUCACUGUCAAUGUUUGGAACUCUUGUUUCUCCAAAGCUUCGAGCCGCCCAGCUAUCAUUUGAGGCAGGUGUGAACUUUUAGGUCAAUGCUCUUGAUCAUAUUUCAGUACAAGAUGAGACUUAGCUUACAAAUUGUAUUAUUGCAGCACUAGAGACACUUGUAGAGAUAGCGAACAUGCGCUCGGAAAUGCUCUGCGCUUUUGAUCAAGUCAACAUGAAAUUGGCAGGCAGAAAGGAUGAAAAAUAGUUGUUUUCAUUCUGGUAACUCUGCACAAUGUUUAUUAUUCCCCUUUAUGUUAUCCCUCCACAUUUCUUUUACUCUUCUAAACUUAACAACUCAGUCAUUCGUGCCAAUAUUUCAAGAAAAAAGAAGAGUCGCAUGUAUAGUUCUGGGAGGGUGAAUGUGCUGAUAACAGGAUUUAAUUCUAUGCUUGUUACACUUAUCUUAGAUUUUGGAGAUCGUUAAUGUAUGAACUAAAACAGAAGGGGUUUUGCCUGUUCCCUAUUCAUUGUAAGUGGGUUUAGUAAACAUAAUCUGUUUUUCUGUUUUUCGAAGUAUGUGGUUUACACGUCAUUUAUUUUUUUGUUUUCAAAUUCAAAUAAUGGAUUCUAAUUUUGAUAUUUGUUAUUCAAAUUCACAAAUAUCCGAAUCUAUUAUAUACCACAUUUUUAGCACAAAUAAUUUAUUUAUUUUGAGAUAAUAUUUUAAUGUUUAUACAUUAAUUAAUUUUUUAAAAAUGCAAAUAUACAGCAUUGCAUGCUAGUAUCAUAUCUUAUUGAGUCUUAUUCUGGUGUGACAACAAGAUGUGAAUUUAAUCGUGGUUAAUCAUGUAUUAUCCCAAGUUCGAGUGCUAUGGCAAUAAGAAAUAUAUAUAUAUAUUUUUAUAAUAAAAAAACCACAUCAUAAAAUGCACUAUUGGGACUGCAAUUGUGGGCAUGACCAAUAAAUAAGUUUUCACCCUGCAGCUUCAGACUCAGUAAAAUUAAUGAGGAGUCCGGUUAAGAGUAAAAAGGAUUCCCAUCAAGUCAACCACUUCUGCUAUCGCUAUGAUUGAAACACCGAACAAGCUCCAGUUCCACAACAGAUUCGCUGCCUGCUUUAUUCCAUUCAAACUCUAAACAAUAUAUAGGUUAGUUUCCGGCAGCAGCAGCAGCAGCAGCAGCAGCAUAUCAAAUUAUUUUCUAACAGAACAUAAAAUUAUCACCAUGCAGAUUACAAAAGCAAACCUACCAUGAUGAUCAGCAACUUAAAAGGAGACUUUUUUGUGUGUGUGUUUAUUAUUUUCCAAUCACUAUUCUGGCAUGCCAACACCCCUCAAAAAAAUGUCGCCAUAUAACAAAAAAUACAGCACAACUUUACAACAAUCCAAUUCCAUGCUGCAGAAUAUUAAACACAACAGCACAUAGUAAAAAGGUAGGCAACCCAACAAAACCUCAACAAAAACAGGAAAAGGUGUAUAAGAGCCCGAGGGAAAAUUACUUAUCUUUUUUCUUAUCAUUUUAACUUUUGGAUUGCCAAUUAGAAAGCACGCCAAUUAUCAGAACUUUUCUUCGGACUCUGCUGAUCUGAUGAGACUUUAAAUGGACCGCUGGAGCCAAAUGGAUCUGAGUCGUCAAAAGAGAACCCAUGGCCAAAGUCUUUGCUGCUACUUAUGGAGUCGAACCUCGUGAGUGUCUCAGGUUGUGGGGAAAAUCUGCUGCCAAAGUCUUUGCUAUUGUUUACGGAGUCAAACCUUGAAAACCCGCUGCCAAAAUCCUUGCUACUGUUUAUGGAGUCAAAUCUUGUAAGCCUAUCCGGUUGCUGUGAAAAUCCACCAUCAUGCAUGCUGAAGGAAUCAAACCUUGAGAAACUGUCAAACUGAUCCCUUGAUGCCUCACUGAACCUUGAUGGCGAGUUCCCAAACUUGGAGAGUGGAGUACUGGGAACCGAGUCUUCAAAUGUAAAUGGACUCUUCUUAUCAUAAAAGCUUUCUGCAUUUGGGGAUUCUGUUCUUGUGUGUACAUCAAAAUCACUUGAUCCAAAAAAGUCUCUGGCCUUGUCCGAGUCCUGCCAUGUGACAUUAAAGAUCAAGACUAAAUAUAUUUCAAUACAUCAGACCAAGAAAGGAUCAUAACAAGCACAUCAAAAUAUUUUGAACACACAAGAAUCCGAGUUUAUUGAGGGUAAGCUAGGUAAAGCAGCCAGAUUUAUGCCUUGUGACUAAAAGCUCUGAACAUAAGGUUUCCACAAUGUGACCUACAUGCAACUUGACAAAAAACUUCACAAAAUAUGAAGAGUUAAGACAUCUAUUAAGUUUAGACUAACCAACAAAGUAUCCCAAAUUACUUUUACCCUAUCACCACCAUACAGGAAGGGUAAAUACCAUUUAAGUCAGAAUUCUACACAAAUGAUGAAGCUACCAUCUUUGUAACCUAAAAACAAAAAUGUGCUUCAAGAAGUUCGGGGUCACCUUGGUAUUAAGAGAAUUAAAACCCCACACAGAGUCCAUAUCAUCAUUAUCAAAGGUCCCCCAUCCUGAUUCAUCAAAACUUCUGUCCAGAAAUAGAAAGGAAUUUAAAAAGAAAAAAUGAGAAAAAAAAAUGUCAAACUCAAUAGUUGACAGAAAAAACUUAAAAAAGUUUAUUCAUCCAUACUGGUGUCUUUCUGCCUCUGCUUCAGUGCUCUUUCCAAAAGGGUCAUCAGAAAAUGGUUUAGAUGGGCUUUCUAGAGAGUUUCUAUCAGUAGGACUACCACGAGGACUUCUGGCAGAUUCAUCUUCACUGUGUGUAUCUGCAGACUCGCUCUCGAUGGCACGAUCACUAGCACUGAAGAGAUUCGCAGUUUUUUCAUCAGCAUAGGAAGUGGAAUCAGGGGUCAAGCUACCAUCUGGAGAAGCUUUUCCUCUCUGAGAGACGGCCCCUUUUUUCACAUCAAUAGUGAGCUCAUUGCCAAAUCCUGAAGUUUGAAAUGAAAAGUCAGAUGAAUAAAAUUGUUACAGAACCCCACCAAGUUUCACAAAACUUUAUUUGCAGUUCUCAAACAGUAAAGGAAGGAAAGACCUUCAUCUUCAAACUUAUCCCACUCUUCGUCCCAGAGUGCUGCUCCCUCUGAAACUCCUGGUUGCCAACCUUAAAUAGGCAUUGCAUAUGAAAAGGACAAAACAAUUAGUAAAUGGAAUUGUAUUUACUUCAAGAAAAACUAAGGGUCAUUCCAAAUACAAAACAAAGAUAAUAGGUAUAAGAAUUAACAUACAUCAGAAGUCUCUUUCUUUCUAUUAAAGUGACUAAGAGGAUCUUAAAGAUCAUAAAAAAAAAUGAAAACAAAAAAUUUACAGUUCCAUGCCAAAAGAGAAUCUAAACAGACAUUAGCAUCCUAAAUGACUGCAAGCAGCCAAAGUAUAGAACUUUAGCUCUGAAGUUUUGAAAAGGUAUAAAUGAGGUAACCCAUCCAUUUGCUGCCUGUUUUUAUUGCCACUUUUCAACUAAACAUGUGUUUUAAGAAGUCAAAAGCAAAAGAAGAAAUGGAAAGCAGUGUUAAAUUGUUUGUUUAAUAGAUCCUAUUGCUGUCAAAUCUUUAUGAGGAAGGUAGGUUUGGAAAAGUUUAAGAGUGAAAUAAUUUGACCUUUUCCAAUAGAAACAUUUUAAUUACGACUCAAACAGCUUAAAAUGGAAAAGCAAAAAUUGUGGGUAAGGAUCAUGGGGGGAGUCACCAUGUACAGUCAGCAGAGACCAAAGACAAACAUAGAAAUUAAGGGAAUAUGAAAUGAUAUAUCUUGACAUAACCAUGAAAAUUACAGUAGAUAGAUCGACAAAUACAAUCAUAAAAACAUGCUCAAAUAAAAUAGUACAUCCACAGAUUCUACCAAGCUAUAUAACUUUUGAAAGGAAGAAUUGAACUCAAAUAGGGCUUUCAAGAUCAAAGAGUAAAAUGGAAGUUGUGAGGAAGAAUUUUCUUUCUAAUAAAAGCUAAAAGGUACCUGUGGGAAGCUCAAUUACUGCAGCUGACUUAACAUCAUAUCCAUGUUUCUUGCAUCGUUCAGUCAGGGCCUUCAUUAGCUCCUCAAGAUCUGACUGUAUGCGGUCAGCACGGACCUAGAUAUGCCACAAUGCCUCAGUGUCAGAAAAUUUUACUCAAUCUCCAUGACUUACUUGAUCAGUUUAAAUUUACCUGAAGAAUACCAUCUGCACUGCCCCCCUGUUCCAUGUUAACAAUAGCAUGAUGCAACUCUGUCUUCCUCUCCUAAAAACAAGACAAUUACAAAAGUUGGUGAAAUAAAGAAAAGGGGUCUGUAAGAGAUUUUAAGAUCAACAUACUACAUGGUAACAACAGCUAGUAGGCAAAAGGUUGUAGCCAUAUGUCAACUUAAGGAAACAAUGGAAGGAAAUAAAAGACUGAAACAGAGAUAUAAUUUUCGGAUGAAAAUAAAGGAAAAAGAAAACAAGAGAACAAAGACUCGGACAAGUUAUAUAAAGCUUAAAGGUUAACAAGUCAUCUCUUCUCAUCCUGGAAAAAGGUUGAUGCCUCGACAAACACUCAAGCAUUAAGAUGAAAAAGUCAACAUCUAGAUAUUUCAAUCAGGAAAAUUUAUGUGACAACCCCUCCAUGUAAAACAAAGUGAUGUUAACCCAAUAGAACAGUUUACAUGGGUCAUAAACCUCAAAUAGCCCAAAGCAAUGUCAAGGCGAGUGCCUAGACACUAAGGCGCGGCUCAAAUGGCCAUUACCGCCUCAGGCACUUCAAGGUGAGACGACUUAAUUCCAUUAUAUAAAAACCUAGUUAACUCUUAAUUCUAUUAUAUAAAAACCUAGUUAACUCUUAAAAGCAAUGUUGUUUGAACCAAACCGGGAACUGGCCGGGGUACCAGUCCGGAGAGGGGUUUUGAACCGGUUGACCCCAGAACUGUUACGGACUGGUUGAACCGGGCAAAAAACCGGUUCAACUAGGCGGUUGAACCAGAUUUUUUAUUUUUUAUUAUUUUAUGAAUUUUAAUAAUUUUUUAAUCAAACUGGUUGGACCGAAGAACCGGUGGUCUGACCGGUUCAACCACCAGUCCGGUUUAAAAAAAUUUCUUAAAAGUUAAAAAUUUUGAAUAGAAGAUGAAGAUGAAGGAAAUUUAGAGCUAGUUUCUGAUGAUGAUAUUCAAUUUCAUUCUUAUGGUGUUGUAUUUUACAAUACAGUAAAUUAUUAAACUUAAACUAUUAACCAAUGUUUUGAAUUUAUAAAUUGAAUUAUAUUAAUAUUCAUCUUUCUUUUACUAAUUAAUUAAUAAAUGCUUAUUAAUUAUAUGUAUUAGUUACAUAUGUUUUUAUACACAUUUUACAUAUAUAUAUUUAUAUGCUAGCACCUUGGUUUACUCAGGUGAGCACUUUUUUUGCACCUUGCAUCUCAGGCUAUAUAGAGAUCCUAGCGCUUCAAGUGCACCUAGCACCCUUAACAACAUUGGCCCAAACCAACUCAAGGUCAUUCACGCAUAAAGGGAAGAGUAAGGUUACCUGAAUCUCAUGAAAUUUUGCCUCUUCAACUGUUAAUUUGGAAGCUAUUUCUGCAACUUGCUUGUAUUUCUCUUCAUAUUUCUUAGCCAACAUUUCAGCCUACAGUACAAAUAGUCAGUCAGAAAUCAAUGACAUUAUGUCCAAAUAAAUGAGACAAACACUUUUACAGAUUUUUGGCAGUACCUCACGCUUAUCUGCAAUUGCCCUUUCUGUGAUUUCAUUUAGUCUAUUAUCACAUCUGCUUUUAUACAGGACCUGAAAAUAAGAAAGUCGUAUAAUGAUGGUUGAAUUUUGAAGUUCCAAAUUUCCCCAGGCAUGCCAUACAAUUCGACUCACCACUUACUUAAAUUAGGAAAAUAAUUAACCCGCAUUCAGGCAUUGCAUUUAAUGAGAACAAUGUUGAAUUAUUAAUGCAAUGUUAAAAAGGGGGGGGGGAAUUGUUUCAGUAUGCUGAAGCAACCUAACAAGCAUAUCAUGCAUGCACUGUUAAUAGUCAGUCAUUCUAGUUCCUGAUCAUUGAAUAAGAACCUUUAGUACAGUUCUAAUCAAAAUGAGAUUUUUUUUCCAAGCACAUUGUAUUUCCAGAAAAUAAGAAAAAAACGUGAAACAGAAAAUGCUCACAAGUUCCUGCAUUUUCUCACGGUAGAACUCAAGCUUCUCUCUGGAAUCCAAAAUCACCUUUUCAGUUCCAUCAACCUGCUAAAUUUCAAAGAAACAAGCUCCUUAUUGUUAUUCAGGAAGGAAUAUAAAACCACUGAAACUCUAGCUUAGUUAAAAAAAAAUGCUUUACAGAAGUGAUAAAAAAGCAGUCCUCAAACUCUCACCAAACCUGAGGAAGAAUAGAGAAGGAAAAAGUGAAGUGGGUACGCACCCACAUGUGUGUGUAUGUACCAGAGAGAGAGAGAGAGAGAAAGUAUUUGAGCUUUAUCUAGAAGAUGCCAUGCCUUUUUUCCAUCAGCCAUUACAUCUUCGGCUGCCCCAUUCUCUAAAUUUUGUCCAUUGUUAUUGGGUUGGGUUCCAAAGGAAUCAUCCAACACUGGUUCUCUUGGUUUUUGUUGGUUGGACAUUGUAGUAGUAUCAGCAGAAGCAUUGGGGCGAACUGGAGGUUUUACACCAGCUGACGGAGUCACUGUCUGGGCAGCCAUCCCCGACUGAUGUCCAAAACCUAACAGCAAUAAUUGUUUUAUUAAGAGAAAUCUUGGAUGGCAACAAUGAGAAGGAAAAUAAAUUAGAAGGGAUCCUAACUAAUACCAGGAUUGGGACCCCGAGCUGCAUUUCCAUAUGAAACAUUGGGUUGGCCUGUCAUGGACAAGAGUGUCUCAUCAAACAAAACAUUUCUAGGGAGUGCAGGUGGAAGAGGACGGCCUUCCCUAUACCGUUCCAUCAAAUAGAGAGCAAAGCAAAACUCUCUCAAAGAUAGCAUACUAUCACUAUCCUGAUCAGAUAAGUCCCAAACCUGCUUCAAAACCUCUGUGAAAGACAAAAGCGACAAUGUUAAAUAUGUUUACCCCAAGUAACAAAGGCCUCUGCUCCAACAGGACCAACCAUGGAAAUAUUUCAAAGAAACACUGCACUAAUAGGACUUCUUCAGUAAGUAUGCCAAAAAAUCAGUGUUUUCAAGGGUGAAAGGUGCAUUCUAGGUGCUAGAACCCUUAUAUUGCCUCAGGCAGAAGAUGCAAAAAAGCAUUAGCCUGAGUGAAGUAAAGCACAAUAUGCAUAUGCAUUCGUUCUUGAAAGUCUACAUAUGUAUAUAUAACAUAUACAGCUUAAUAUAUAUAGUAACCUCUAAAGUGUGGUCUAGUUUACCUACAAAACAUGCAACUUUUUUUAUCAGUCAAUAUGCAUGAUUUCCUUAUGGUCAAUGUUUGUCGUUGAAUACUGAAAUAUUGAGAAGUAUAGAGUUCAAAAGUAUCCAUUUCUUACUACUAAAGGUAUAUCAAAUGAAAACAGUGAAAAAUAAUUAAAGAGAAAUUCAAUCAGGUGGGCUUUCUUUUUGCUUAUUUUCUUACAAAAAAGUGUUUAGGAGCACCAAGUGUGUGCUUGAUCAAAUGGGUCUCACCUAGAAGGGUCUGAGGGCAUUUUUUUUUUUUGUAUAAUGCUAAUGCACAGGCGCACCUAGGUGCAUGCCUUGACAACACUGCAAAAUGUUUUAGUAGAAAGAAGGAUUCAUGGAAUGAGACCAUCUAAAAAUACAUAGGCAUCAUCAGUUUACCACCUUAGCAGCAAAAAAUAUUUUCACUACCUAGACCCUACAAGAAUAAAAUCUUAAACCAGAAUAUUCAAAAACAAACCUUUUUUUGAUAUGAUAAUAUUCACAAAUAAAAUUUUGAAAAAAGAAAACAUAAAAGACAUCAGACCAUGAGCACAAUAACGAAUUAUAUGUUCUCAGCAUCUCAACAAUGGUGAAAUUCCUAACACUAUUUUUUUAUUCAUAAGAAAUCACCAUACAUGUUAAACUAAAUAGAUAAACCAUCUAUGUCAUGCAUAGAUUCAUAUCUCAGAAACUUAUUUGGAUAAUAACAGAAUAAGAAAUUAUCAUACCUCUAGGUAGCCUCCAACUCAAAAAUAGAUUCCUUGCCUGCUCACCAGUUAUUUUCCCAUCUCUGUCAGUGUCCACUUCCAUGAACACUUUCGUAUAUUUCUGAACAUCAGAUUGUUUCAUUUUUGGCCACGGAGGCUGGGAACUAUUUGGGGCAGCAUUCACAGCUCCAGCAGAGAUUCCUGAUGGUGUAAAAGAGGAGCUUGGGGAAGAAACUGGUUGGCCUUGGAUUGGAGACGAGUAUAGCCUUUGACUUUGACUACCAGCAGAAUGCAUAGAGAACGUACUUUGCAAUGAAUCAAGAGAGUUGGACUUAACUAAGGGUUGGGCCCCACUUGAAACUGGUGUAAUCCCUGGUGAGGCGGGUGCACUGUGGGGAGAAAAGGUUUGUGUAGAUAAUUCUUGUUUUGGUGUAAACGAGGUUGCAGAAAAUGCAUCACUUCCAAAUGCCAAGCCAGAAGCAAGCCCAUUUCCAGAAACAACAAAUGCUUUAGAAUCAUUAGCAGUAGGCUGGGAGGACAUUGAAACUGCAGCUUGUGGCCUUGGUGCUGUUGAUGGAGCGACCCCUCGUGGCCUAGUUGAAGCUCCACCAGGCCUUCCAGAAAGCCAAUUGCUAGACAUAUUUUGAUUUGUUAAACUGGGACCUGUAGCACCGGUGGGCAUUGAUUGAUGUGAAAGUGGAGUAGAACCAGCAGGCAUAGCUUGAGGUUGACCAACUAUAUUACCUCCCCUAGAAGACUCUGGAGCUGCAAUACCUUGAGAAGGGUGCAGGGCAGUAGCAGCAGGCAUGGUUUGUUGGGGUCUCAUUGACAGGUUCUGUUGAGAUGGAAAAUGCUGCUGGCUCAUACCAGCAUUUGGAACUCCUGGUCCUCUGAACCCAACACUUGGAGAGGAUGGUGGCACAGCUGCACCCAUCUGUGGAGCAGAUGUGGCAGGAAAAUUAAUUUGCGGAGCUGGAAUUUUUGCUGCAGCAGGGCCAUAUAAUGCUGCCUUGACAAUGUCUGGUGUUAAUUCACGCCUUUGUGCUACGGUCACAAGCUUGAGAGCAUUAAAAAACUCUUGCUUGCUCAGGAAACCACUAUGACUUUGGUCAGCAUAUGCCCAUAUCUGCAGUCAUAGGAUAAAUUGAUAUGAAUGGACCCAUAAUAUCAACUUCCUUGGCCAAAUAGGUUUAUACAAAAACAGAGGGUAUAGGUCGCAAGAAUCGCUAUAAGAUAUGUACAACAAGUUACACGUGUACUAAUCCAAUUCAAAUCCAGAAAUAAAAAAUUCCAAUCCCUAAACCAUGCCAUUCAGUGCGUGAAAAUCCACCAUAGACCACCAAAUGCUACAGAAAGUAACGCAACGCUGAAGGCAUUGCAUCUGUUAUUUCAUCAGAAUUAAAAUGAUUCUUCGAUUUUUUUACUAUAUCGAACUAUAGAUGUAGUGAUCUACAACCCAUCAACUUGUAGCCUCCCCUAUGUGUCAGAGUAACAGACAGUACAUUAAUAAAAUCUAGAACAAAACAACAGUCACUGGUUCAGCAGCUAACAAAGGCAAGAUUCAACAUUUAAAUCACAAAAAAAAAAAAGCUAGAUAAGUUCCUAUUGCAGAUGUAUGAUAUUGUACUUCCAAGUGAAACUUCGGCCAAAAAGACAAGUAUUUUAGCACUCUGAAAGCUUAUUAAUAACAUCCUCGAAAAAGUAGACAAUUGAAACCUUUCAAGUAUUUGAUAAAUUCUUGACGUACAAGGAACAAAACCCAUAAGCAAACCACAAGUUGGUUAAGAGAAAUCUGAAGCUGGAGAGUGAUAAUUGUAGAAAAGAAAAACAGCAGCCAAGUCUUUAGGUUUUAUUGAGAAGUUUCACCAGGUUACAACUAAAUACAAUCUAACCUAUAUUCGGAAAAGGCGAGUUCCUAGAGAUCCCGAUUCUGAUAAGAAAUGAAAUGUAAGGGGUGAAAUAGAGGGACCUGAGCGAGGACUUGUUUGGACAAACCGGAUCCUUGAAAGAAAGAAACAGCCUCAGCUCCACUAAUUCUGCCAUCCCCAUCUAAAUCUGCUUUCCUGAAGUAAACUUCGAAUUGAUCCUGAGUUUGCCCCGCCAUAUAAACGCCCACAAACAAAGAAUUGAAGCGAAUUCUGAACUAAUUGUAUAGCUCUCCUAGAUCAGGCUAGGAAAAUAAAAUCCAGAACCAGAUCACAAACUCAAGUACAGGGGAAAUACAACAGGUUACAAAAAGAAUCGAAACAAUUGAAUCUCGAAAUAGGAAAUACAAUUUGAACAAUAAAAGAAAAGGAAAGAAAGUACACGCGAUAAAACAGAGAGAGUGGAUAUAGAAUGGGAGUUAGGGUGUUUGGUGGUGAGAUCGAGGAGAGGAGAAUGAAUAGCAAUAAUAAAGACGAAGGUGGAGAGAGAAGAAAAGCGAUUUAAACGACCACUGCCUAAAUGAUUCAAUCUAAGCACUGGGUGAAAUAGGAGAGACAAUCGGAGUCAAUUAUGAUAUGGGCUUAGUCGCAUGGCAACCCAACUGCAAUAUUUCUUGGAGUCCAUUACCAUCUACCUCCACUGAUAAAGCCCAAAGUCUAAGCACAUUAUUAGCAAACAAAUGAAAUCUGGAAUCGCAAUGGAGCUGGUAGCGGCGGUCUUUAUUUCACGUUGCUCCACGACACCACGUUUAUUUUUUGAUAAACUGCACUAAUAGUCAUUCAAUUAUUGUUAAGUUUCUUUUCUACCACCCAAUUAUAAAAAAUUAUAAAAUGGUCACCUAAUUUUUCAAUUUGUUCUUUUUUUUUUUCACCAGCAGUUAAAUGGCUAACUAAAAGAUGACGCAGCACCUUUUAAAAUUGAUUUAGCACUUAACAUUUAUACAUUGUGUCAAAUUAGUCUUGAUUCUAAAAAGUUUAACUCUUUAACAUUUUCACAUUGCGUAAUUGGUCUUUUUUUGUAAUUUUACUUUUUUUUGUGACACUUUCACCUUAAAGGCUAAAAAAACAAAUUUAUCAACUAAAUUUAAUAGAAAAUAUCUCAAAAACAGAAACACCCAAAAUCUAAUAUAAUAGUUUUCAUAUUUUCUCUUCUUCUUUUUUAAGAUUAACCCUCGAUGUCAAAAAGAAAAAUAAAACUACAAAAAAGACCAAAUUAGACAAUGUGUAAAUGUUGAGGGUUAAUUUUUUUAGAAUCAAGACUAAAUUUAUACAAUGUAUAAAUAUCAAAGGUUAAAUUGCUAUUAUGCCAAUCUUAAAAGAUGUCAAGUUAUUUUUAUGUUAGUAACUUAACAGCUAGAGACUACAAAAGAAAAAAAGUUAACCAAUCUUAUUAUUUUGACCAGAGUCUCAUUUAUUUUUUUACAUAAUCUUUUUCACCCACAUCCAUUUUUAAUUUGUUAAUAAACAUAUGUUUUUGUAUAUAUAAUUCUUUAUUGUCGAUAUUAUAUAUAAUGGGAGUGAUUGACUUUAGUGUCAGUGUCAUAGCCAAAUACAUAACACGUUAGUAAAUUGACUAAAAGAUUUGAAUUGCAUAUAUCAAAGUAAUAAUCUAUAUUAUAUAUUAAGCAUUUUGUUGAGUUUGUAUCAUGAGUCAAUCAAGCACCAACUCAAUUGGCUAAUGAUAAAAGUACCAUUAUUUUACAAAAUAAGUUAUAUCAUUUUAUAUAUUUUAUACAUAAAAAUAGAAAAAUAUGUAUUCAUACAUAACAGCUUUUGAACCCAAGCUUUUAUAAUUUUCAUCAUUUAUACUUUACCAUUCAACCAAAAAUUCAUUUUAUCAUUUAUAUCAAUUUGGGUUUUAACUCAAACAAAGCUUUAGAUGAUUCAUACCAGUAUGUUGCACCAUCUACCUCAUUGAUUCCUAUUAAUUUGAACAUGGAUGAUGAGCGCUACAAAUUUCCAAAUGAAUAAGAAGAUAUUAAUGAUUUUAAUGAUCCUGAAUCUGAAGGAGUUCCUAAUGUCAACAAUAACGACGACGACGAUGAUUGGUCAUAUCAUUCUUCAUCUCCACGAACCUCUAUCCCACAUGCACAACAUUGACAUAAAUGCAAUUGAGGCAUUGGAAUUUUCGAAAUAUCUUGACAUAGUGUCGAGCUAUAUAAUAAGUUCAAAUGCAAACUCUAAAGAUUUAUAUGUAAGGGCACAAUUUCCAUCCAAGGAUGAAACUAUGGUAGCCAUCAAGUACUACAGUAUCAAAACUUGUGUUGGUUACAAAGUUGUGGUAUCUUCAAUGACUUUGUACGUUAGCGAAUGUUGGAAGUACAAGAAUGGGUGUAAUUAGAGAGUUAGGGUUACGCUUAGGAAGAGGACACAAGUUUUAGAGAUCCGAAAAUGGAACGAAACCCACACAUGCACUUCUGCUCAACUUUCACAAGAUCACCAGAAAUUAGAUUUGGACUUAAUUUGUAGUUGCAUUAUGCCAUUGGUGAAUGCACGCGCAACUAUUCCAGUUAUUGUUAUGAUCAUCGACGUGCAAUCUCAAUAUAAGUACACCAUCAGUUAUCGAAAAGCUUAGCAUGCAAAACAGAAGGUCAUUUCCCGAUUGUUUGGAGAUUGGGACAACUUUUACAAUGAGUUGCAGUCAUCGUUAGCAACAAUGCGACAAUUUGCACCAAGUAUUGUGGUGGAAUUGCAAACCCUCAGUACAUAAGAUCCAUUCAGUUAACUAGUGGAAGGCAUGAAAAUAUUCCACCGAUAAAUUUGGACAUUUGAUCCAUUGAUUAAGAAAUGGCCAAAUUGUAAGCCCAUUGUCCAAAUAGACAGGACUUGGAUUUACAGUAAGUAUAAGCAGAUCCUUCUAAUUGUUGUUGCUUAAGACGGGAACUGAAACAUCAUUCGGAUAGAGUGUGAUUGUGGAGAAAGAAAACAUGGAGUCUCAUUAUGUUUUUGACAAACUUAUGACGGUUUGUUAUUAAACAACAUGGUAUAUUGAUAAAAGCGUAAUUUCUCGAUUUAAUUGUGAUAUUUCUCCCCUUAAAUUAUGCUAUUUAUGUUCUUAAUUAUAUUAUUUAUACUUAUAUUUUAUUUAUUAUUGAUUUAGGAAAUAAUUAGAGAAAAAUGAGCUUAGAAUUUAUUUUUGGCAAUUUUUUGCGGAUUAGACUAUCAACACAACACAAUUUCAAUAUUUUGGUCAUAACUUAAGGUAUAGAGCUCCGUGUUGGAUCCAUAAUAUACCAAUUCAAAGGAAAUUGAAAGAUCUAACCAAAUUUAUCUCACAACUCAAGCCCAAAAAAAUUUAGGAAGGUAUUCAAAAAUGGCCUAGAAGUUUGAAGCGAAAAUUGCCAAGAAACCUAGAAAAAUUCCACUUUAGUUAAUUAAGGGCACUUUUGUAUUUUUCUCACACUAUAAAUAGACAUUAUUAAGUUAAGAUGAAAGGUACUUAGACAUAGCCACUCUUAGUAUUAUUUUAUUUUUGUGCUUUCUUUAUUUUAUGGUUUUCUAAACUCCUCUUUUCUAAUCGAAGGUUACUUGAAGUUUGAUUCAAUAAAUUCAUAAAACUUAUUUUGUGCUUAAAUUCUUUAUUGUUCUUUAGUAUUCAUGCAUCUUCUAUUAUAAUUAUGAUUUUUCAAGUAUGUUAAAUAUCUUACUAGUAUUUGAUAGCUUAGAAUGAUUGUCUUGUCAAUUAGAAUAAUUAAAUUUGUAAUUAUUUAAUUCAUUUUAAUACUAGUGACGAACUGCAUAAAUUGUUUAUGUCAUAGUUUAUGAUUAUGUGGUGUGGAUGUGGAUGUGUGAUCUAGCUUCAAUUAACCCUACUGGGGUAAUUUUUUUUUCGGUUAGAAUUAGGUCUCUCUUGUUCUUAAUGUAACCAGUAAAUUAAACUUUGGGCCUUGGGUUACAAGGUUAUUUAUUGGUUAGGAAGUAAUUUCAAAUGAGUUGUCUCUUGGUUAUCAAAUAAGUAAGGAGAGAUUAGUUAUCUGGUGUUGAGUCAACAAUUAAAACUAAUUUAUUAAAGACAUUGAAGUUAUCCUUGUAUUGAUGAUUGAAUCUAUGAAUUAAACAAAUAUUUUACCUUUGGCUAGAGCUUUUCCUCAUUGAUUUUUUCAAAUUUUUAUUUACUAUUUUUUCUUUAAAUUUUUAAUUUUCUAAAAAAACUCCCACUUUUAUUUAUUUCACUUGUUUUUAUUUAAGAAAUAGAAUUAUUAUUAAUCUUUGUGGAUGCAAUCCUACUUGUUGCUUUCUAUUAAUUCAUCUUUUUAAGUCGGUUUUAUUUUUGUAGGUCUUAACAUCCUAUUAUAUUUGCCCAAUAUCUCAUUGAGAAAAAUCAAUCAGUGCAUUAAUAACACUUUCUGGAAGUCAAUGGAGUUCUUCCAAAGCUUACCCAAUCUACUACAUCUAUCAUAUUGCAUGUAAAUUUAAGACGGAGUUCCAUAAUGUUAAGCCAUAGAAAGAAAUAGUUAACAUGGGUACGUACUUGAUGCAUUACUUCUUUUACAUGUAUAAAUUACAUUGUUUUAUGAAUUUAUUUUAUAUUGUUCACUUUUUGCAAAGUAUUACUUUGCUUUGUGAACUUAUUUUAUAUUGCUCAUUUUUGUGAAAUAUUAUUAAAUACCGUAACCACAACAUAAUUUUUGCAAUUCACUAAGUUUUGAAUUUUAUAACGGAUAAACAAACUAGUAAUUACUAAAUAUCAUAACCUCAACGUAGUUAUAAACACUCGAUAAAAUCAAAACCUAUGAUUAGAUGGAGUUGUGCGCAAUGUGUAUCAUUGCUAGAGGUAUCCAUGAGAUGAUGUGAUCCGGCCCGAUUAAUUGAGUCGGGUUCACUUAAGAUGCCCGAUCGUCGAUGAGAAGCUCGUUCAAAUUUGUAGAUAGAUGGAGUUUGAAUGUUUUAUAAGCGGAAGGUAGGCAAAAUGGGUUCAAAGGAUGGGUUUUGGUUUGAUGAAAGAUAGGUUCGGUUUAACAAAGAAUUAAGUUACAAAGAUGAUAAAUAAAUGGAAAUGGAUAAAGAACUCAAACUUUAAGAAUGAUUCAAUACUAAAAAGUAUUGCCCCGAGUCUUAUAUUGCUUAAGGUGAAUUUUGAUGAAGGAUAGAAUCGGACCUUGACCCGUUACCUAUAUGGAGGUAAGAACCAAAGGUAUAGGAAGAUGGUUGAACGCCACACCAAUUCGGUGAUAAGUUCAAUGGAGUUCGGAUUGACACCACUAGCAAGCUAGAUAAGUCACUUCGAGACUCGAACGAAAGAAGAGAGGAGGUAACCUCACAAGAACAAAAGUUCUAUUAAGUUUAAUUGAUCAAAUUCUGUAACCUUUUACAAUAAACAAGUAAGCUAUUUAUAAGCCUAAAAUGCCUAUUGAUAUUCGGCAUCUAUGUUGUUCACACUAACUUAAAUUCUGUUCACACAGGUAUUUAACAUGUUCACACAAAUAGCAUUAAAAUCCAGUUCAUGCUUGAAGAUGGUACAUGAAUUGGCCGAACCAUCAUGAUGCUUCACUUGAUGCAUUCAUGCAUCCUUAGCCUUGAAGAAUCUCCAUAAUUCCAUGAAUGUGCAGCUCUUUAAUGAUCCUACAUCUCCCUUGGCUGAAUGAGGCAUUAAUGUGCCUAAAAUACUUGAAUGGUCAUCUUGAAAAUGCAUGAAUCAUGCAUGAAACGUCCCAUGUAUUUUCCCCCAUAAAUAUGAUCCAUGAAUCUUCAAAUACAUGAACUUUCAGCAACUCCCUCUUGCAUGAACGUCCCAAAUGCAUGUGCUCCUUUAAAUGCCAUCCAUUGAACCUCAAUUGUGCAUGCACACUCCCAUACAUUGCACCAAUCCGUUCAUGAACCUGCAGCAAAUUAAAUCAGCAAGUUAAAUGCAUUUCAAACACAUUAAAUUAGCAGCAUAUGAACUCAAUAAUUUGCACAUUAAAUUUGGCCAUACAUAUUAACAAUUUUAGACAUAUUUAAAACAUCAUAAUUAAUUAAGUAUUUAAUUUAGAUAUAAUUAAAACACUUAAUUAAUUAUUUGUCCAGAUUUUAACAAAUUAACUAACUUAAGAUAAACAACUAAUUUAACUAAUGACAAAUUAAAUGGUUUAUUUUAGCAAAAUAAAUGCAAGCUAAAGAAAGCUAAAAAUAAGCUCAUUGGGUUAAGAUUGAGCUGAAUUGAGCUUGAGUGAGUUGACUUGAGCUCGAGUGAGCUGGAAACGAGCUAAACGGAGCUUAACGAAAUGAAAUUGAACUAAUUCAGCUCGCAUGGAUUUGCAAACAAUGCUUAGGGAGCUGAUCCAAAAGUGUGACCGGGGCAUGGUCGUAUCAUCAGGCCAAGGCUUGGUUCCAAAAAAAUUCAAAACCAUGCCCGUUUUUAGCUUGCCCCACCCAAAAAGUCUAUUUUACUAUUCAAAAACUAAUAAAACAUUUAUCAAAUAUUUUUAGUUGAUAUUUUAUAUAUUUUUAUAAUUAAGUUUAAAUUUUAAAGAUAUCUCUUAUAAUUCAAAGACCAUGGGUAUCGCAAUACCGAGACGCCCAAGACUCCCAAUCUCAAGACUGUUGUGGGUAUCGUGAUACCGCUGUCUGACGAGUGAAAAAACUGUAGGGGCAAUUUUAUGUCCAAAUAAGUCUAUUUUUCAUUUAAGGGCAUAAUAGUCAGUAUUAGAUUAAUUGUUAGUAGGCUAUAGAUACAACUUUAUAAGCCUUUGUUUUCAGAUUUUUGGUGGUUGAACACUCUCCUUAGGUUUUCAUAGUUUAUGUUAGGUUUUUCUUUUCUUUUCUUUUCACUUUUUUUAGAUUAUGUUUUCUCUUUUCUUUUUAGAAUAGAUUUUUUUUUGUUUUAUUUAUUUCUUCUUGUUGAAGACUAUGUAAAAGGGAGAGAAUCAAACUUUUAGGCUUCAUCGGAUUCCAAUCAAUUAAAUGAGCAUUUUCUCAAACUCUUUACUUUUUACUUUAUGUCUACCAUGUGUUUAAUAAAAUGAUUGUUUGGAAUUUAAGUUUCAUUAUGUUCUAAAUUGUUUGAUGGUUGGUUUGUUAGUUAUUUGUUAUCUUAAGCUCAUGUUUAUACUUGAUUAAUUGAUUGUUCAAUUAUAUCGAAAUGCUUAAUACGCUAGAAUUGACGUCUCUAGUGGAAAAUUUAGAUAAACGAGAUCAAGAGGAGAGCUUAUCAUUAGAUAGUUUGGUAUAAUUGUGUAGAAUAGUGAGAUCGAGAGGAGAUCUAUAUGCUUAGGUGAGUCCGAGAGGAGAACCUAGAUGGUAUCUUUUAGUCUAAGAUGAGAUCGAGAAGAGAUUCUCAGCUAAGAGUGACAAACAAUAUAAUCGGUAUAGGUUUAUUAGCUUAGUUAGCAAUUAACAAAUCAACCGACCAUUAUUUUAUCAUUACAUUGUCUAAAGCAAUAGGGAAGAAAUCAACUGACCAUUGUUUUAUCAUUUAUAUUGUCUAAAGUAAUAGGGAAGGAAAUUAGAUUAGUUAGUUUAAUUGAUAAUUUAAAUAUAAUUUAUAAUCAAUUCAUUUUGGAAUUUGCAAUAAUAAUUUCUAAUUUGAUUAGAUUAGUAAUUGCUUAACUUGUAAUUAACUUGAUAAAUACAUUUACCGGCAAUUCCUUGAGUUCGAUCCUUGGAAUGCUCUAGUGUUCCAUUGACACUACAAAUAUUACAACUGACACUGCACGUUUGCAGUUAAAACCAAACUUUUAAAUUGUUUUAUAAAAUUAUUUGUUUUCUGCGCACGCGGUCACACCCAUAUUUUACGUACUGGGAUUAUUAAACAACCUGGUACAAUACAUUUUUUUAUUAACAAUCAACAUAUGAGACAUUCUUAGCUCAUAUAUUUCAAAUAUAGCACCCAAUUCAAAUUCCCAAAUUGAUUUCAAGAAUGGUAGAACUGGUAUGAACCUUUUUUUUUUUGAAAUCCUACCAAAAAAAAUUUAAAAUUUAUAGCCCAAGUUCUUUGAAAAAUUCUAGCCAGAACCGCACCAAAACGCAUCUACUAAACAAUUCAUUUCGUCUCAAAAUUGUGUAUUUCUUGGUUUAUUUCCUAGAAUUAUUCUUAUGAACAAGAUCCAUAUAUGAGAGUUUCAUUAUUAGUUCGAAAAUUCAGAACGGAAUGGUGGGACAAAUUUAAUAAUGACAAAUAUGAUUCCAAGUAUUUAAAUGAUUUUUUGAACAAAAAUCCAAUAUUAUGCAAGUCCGCUACUUAAGAUCAAACUACGGCAAAGUUUUUUCAAGCCAAAUCAAUUGCCAACGCAAUGUUGGCUCAGGCCAAAACUAAAAAGGAAUACAAAAAACUUAAGGCUGAGAUGCUCAACUCCCUGGAUUUUGAUUCAAAGGAUGAGAAAUCCUCGACAUCUUCGAUCAAAACGUUGGACCUCGUAGAUGACACCACCGCAGUAACAAUCACCAAAACUAGAAAAAAAAAAUAAAAACGAAUAGGGGUAAAAAUGAAUAAUUCCCUGGCAAAAGAAGAUAGAGAUGAAUAGGAGUGAUUCUCUGCCAAAAGAAAUCGAAGAUGAACAUGAGUGAUUCCCUGCCAAAUGCGGACGAAGAUCAACAGUAAAGAUUCUCUGUAAAAGUUUUGUAAUCAAAGAAUAUAUUAUCUGCAAAUGUAAUAAUAAAUUUGAGGUUGCAAAUGAAAAAUCUUUAUAAUAAUGUAAGGGAUUAGAUUCUCCAAAGAAAGAGGUUGUAAAGAGGCAAGAGUACUUUAUAAAAGGCUCUCAAAUUUGUACUGAAAGACACAUCGACCAACAAAUCAAAUUUAAAUUCAAAACAAUUCAAAUUUAACUUUCAAAAAAAAUAAUUUUCAACAAAUCAAAUUUAAUUUUUUAAAAAUUUAAUGUUCAAAAAUUUUCUUAAAUUAUUAAGAAAAUUAAAACAAAUAUCAAAGUAAUAUUUAAUCAUUCAUUGGUGAACAUUGAUCAACAGCUGAUCAACACCAGUCAAUGAUCGAUUAACGAUUGAUCAACACUAGUCAGUGGUUGGUCAAUACUAGUCAAUAAUGGUCAACAACCAAUCAACAUUGGUUAACAACCGGUUGGAGUCAAAUGUAAUAUUCUUGUUUAUAAUCUUUAUAAUUUAUUUUUGCAUUUUGAUAUAUUCUUAAGUUUUUUUAAAAUUUCAAGAAUUUAUGUAUAUAUAAUUUCAUACUUAUGGACACCACCUAUCAUAUUUUAAUUAGUUGAAAGUGUCGCAUGGUGCAUUCUAAAUGAGGAAUAUGUCAAACGAUUUAGAUUGGAUCGAUUACCAAUAUGAGUUAAAAUAAAAUUUUAAUAUCAAAAUAAAAAAAUAAUAUAUUUUAAAGGUCAUGCUUUUAAAUCUAUAUAUUAAAAUAAAAAAAAUACAUAAAAUAUUGUAAGUGGUAAAAUGGUAAAGUUAGAAACUAUUCACUACAAUUGCCUUACGCACCUUUUGCUUCUAAAAUCCGAAUUGGUAGUUAAGGCAGCUACUUCCAACUACACUAAAGAAUGGCACUAAUCAAAUUCUCAUUGUUUUUAUAAAAAGGAAAAAAAGAUUGCCUCACACAAUAACACAAUUUUACCUUUUCAAAGAAACCUCUAAAUUCAACAUAAUGUGGUCUCAAUGUUAGCACCCGAAAAGGAAAAUUGUAGAAAAUUUCUUUAAGAAAAACUUGCAGCUCAAGAGGAUUUUAUUAAAAUUAAUUAAUUGUGUAAAUGAUUCAAUGUAUACCCAAUUAUAAGUAAUUUUUUUUAAAAUUAUAUAACUAACAUUAUAAAAAUAAUAAUAAAUUUGGUAUAGCACCACUAAAUAAAGUCCACUUUUUUAUUUGCUUUAAUUGACAGAGAAUUCAGGAUAAUUAAUGAUUAUAGCAUUGUUUAAUUAAACAAUAAAUCAAAAGGAAAUAUCUUUGUCAUUUCUUUAUCAAAAGUGAAAUUUGAUUAAUAUUAUGCUGUGACGGGGUACAUAAUUUAUAAACAAUAUCAAUAAUUGAUUACAAACUAGAAAAAAGCUGAAAUCAACAUCAAACCCAUAAAUUAUUCACAACUAUUUAGGCUACGUUUAGUUCACUGUAAUUGAAUAGAGCUGUAAUCAGUAGUUUAAUUGUUUGGUUGAAUGUAAUGGAAUAGAACUGUAAUAGUAUUCUUGUGUUUAGUUCAAUGGAAUAGCAUAAGGAAAAAAAACUAAAAUGACUAGAAUACCUUUAGCAGAAUUCUUUUUAGGUAGAUAAUUAUUGCUAUUGUUAUUAAAUUUUAAUAAGAUUAUUAUUAAAAAUAAUUUAAUAAAAAUAAUAAAUAAUUUAACCAUAUUUUAACAUAAUUAUUAUUAAAUAUAAUUUAAUAAAAUAAUAUAUAAUUUAAUAAAAUUCUUAAUAUAAUUAUUAUUAUAUGAAUUAAAAAAUCAUAAUAUAUAAUACUAUAAAAAUAAUAUAUAAAAUCUACUUUAUUAUUUUUAAACUGCAAUAUAUAUUUAAUGUACUAAAAUAUCAUUAGUGAAACAAAUAAUUUAAUUAUUCUACAAUAAAAAACAAAAUAUUAGAAGUAAUAAAUAACUUGAGAAUUAUAUUUCACAUCCAAACAUAAUAUUCAUAUAUUAACAAAAAGUUACAUGAUUUUAUUAGUUUAUAUGUCAUAAUCCAUAUGUUAUAAAAUUUUACAAUAUCAAAAAGUUAAAACAUUGUAAUGGCAUUCUAUCAUGUCAUUAUACCAUCAAAAUAUUACAAACACAAAAAGUUACCAAAAUAUCAUCAACACAACCAUGAUUUUAAUUGUCAGCAAGAAAUCUUCUGACCCAUUCCAAACGCACAGAAGAAGGUAAACUAAAGAAAAUGAGCAUUUGCGUUGGAUGAUCUAGAAUUUUGCUCAAUGCGCGAUAACACUCAUCCUCAGUUAAACCUUCCACUUCACAUAAUGUUGGAUAUAAAUUUAGAGCUCUUUCUUGAAUGGUCAUUUUUGACUUUUGUUGAAUUAGCACUUCGGAGGCAAUACUCCUACUGAUUUCAACGCCAACGGUCCAUAUGUUUUCCACCAAUAAAGUGGCAGCAUCAUGAAAUGAAGUAGAAAAAAUAUGAUCACUUGCAUCAAAAAUCUUUUUUCUCUUCUUUGAAAAUGUGGAAUCACCUUGGUUUCUAGCUGAUUACGAUUGUGUAACUGAAACAUCCAUGUCAUCCAAAGAAACAUCAGCUUUGCAUCCAUAGAAAUCGUUUCUUUCUUCAUGAAUAUUUGUAAUAGCUACAUCCUCAACAUCUAUUUCUUCAAUAAUAUCAACGGUUGUUUGAGCAUCUUUCCCAGUGGCUCGAUCUUUUGCGUAGAUGGCAAUAAGUUGAUCAUAAUAAGAGAAACUAUGAUGUUUGAAUUAACCGGCUUCUUUAUAACCCUAUAAAAAUGAGGAAUUCAUAUUAAAUAUAAGUUUGGUCAAAAUAAGAUAAUAAAGACUUGAAAUAAUUCUUACAUUUAUAUAUGAGUUCCACACCGCAUCUUCAGCAACAACAAGCUGCCUAUGCUCAUCCCAACCAAAACCGCUAUUGUUUUUUUCCAUUAAGCAUGUCAUAAACGAUUGACCAAUCUCUUUUCAAUGUCCUAAUCCUCGAUUCAAGAUUAGGUUUAGCCUUCAACAUGGCAUUCGAUAAAACUUUUUCUAACAUUUUUUCCAACUCAUUUAAAUAACCGGCUUUGAAUCUCGUAUCAGCAUUAAAGGUUCCAACAUUGUGCAAGUCGACCAUACAGGAAACUAACGCGACAUCUUCUUCUGGAACCCAUUUUCUUUUGGUUCCUCGAGAAUUUUGGGAAAAAACACUUGAUUGUGAAAAACCUGACAUAACUAUCUUAAAAAAAUAAAUUAAAAUUAAGCUCAAUAUUAUGAAUCAAAAGGUCAACACUUUAUAAAAUUAUAACACAUGAUGAAUCAAAAGAAAAUAAAUUAUAAUUUAACAAGUCUAGUACAAUACAAAAAACAAUUCAAACACCAACAAAGUUUCAUAAACUAGAUACAUGAAUAACAUAAACAAAUUAACGUUUACUAUUUUUACCCUAAAACUAAUUAAUUUCUAGAUGCUUGCCAUUCAUCGAAUAUUUGGUUGGCUAGUUCCAUCCUCCAAGUAGCUCAUGCAUCCGAUGGAUGAAUAUUUACGAUAUUCAGUUCAUCGUCAUCUAUCACAUUACCAGUUAAUCCUUCUCCCAACUCCGCUUCAAUAGGAUCAAGACUCAUAUAAGUUCGAAUAAAAUUAUGGAACAAACAAUAUGCAAUAAUGAUUCUAUUGUGCACCCUCACAGGAUAGAAUGAUGGACUCCUAAGUAUUCUCCAUCUAAGUUUUAAUAACCCAAAGUAUCUUUCAAUAACAUUACGUGCUAAAGCAUGUUUCAUAUUGAAAAAUUCUUCAGUAGUACUUGGCUAGUAACCCUGACGCCACUCAUUCAAAUGAUAUCUUUGUCCUCUAAAAAGUGCAAGAAAUCUCUCACAAUUUGUGUAUCCAGCAUCAACUAGAUAAUAACAACCUAUAAAAAACUAUUUGUCAUGGUUAAUUUCCCAAAAAAGUAUGAUAUUAAAGAUUAAUUCAAAGUCCUCUAAUUUUGCACUUUACCAUGAGGAACUUUUAGUCCAUGUCUCUUACUAAUGGCAUCUCGAAGAACCCGUCCAUCAGCAACAAAACCUUCCCAACCAGGAAGAACAUAAACAAAAUGCAUAUCAGGUGUACAAACAUCUAACAUAUUUGUUGCUAUGUCACCUUUUCGCAUUCGAUAUCUAGGUUUAUCAACUGUUGGAACCCUAAUCUUGAUGUGGGUUCCAUCUAAAGCAUCUAAGCAAUUCUACAUCACAUGUAUAAAACCUUGAGUUAGGAUAUUAUAUUUAAAUCUAAAUCAACUAAAUUAUGUACAAGCUAUAUAUAGAACUCACUCCAAUAUCUUGAACUAUUUCCACAUUGGGUCUGUAGAAUUAGCUGUAAUCGACUCUGCCUUUUUAAAUAACACAUCUUGUAAGCGUAUGACAGCAUUUAAAACAUUGUGAAAUGAUCUGCUAAUGAUUUUCCCAGACCUAUUAAAGUGAAGCUUGAUAACUCCAUUUUUAAGGUGAUGAGAAAUGAUAUGUGAAAAUAUUGUCACUUGCUCAUCAACAAGCAUGUUCAUUGACGACUUCAAUCCCCCUAAAGUUUGUAACAUCUCACACAGUUUAAAAAAGGUAAUUCUAUUCAUCCUAACUUGUUCAAUACAUGUCUCGUCACUAGCAUAUACAAGUCUUUUCACAUAAUCUCGUUUUGUAUAAAAAACUAAAAUAUAGGAUCUAAUCAUUGGUCUAUAAGUAUGUAGGCUAUGGAUGGCACCCAAUGUAAGUAAGAACCAACUCACAACUGUACACAUUUGCAGCCAUAUUGUCAAUGCAAGACCAAUUCUUUUAUGCCUCAAACUUUGUACUAUUAAAGGCAAAUGAGCCAUUACUGCAAGAUAUUAAAUGUUACAUAUCUUCAAAUCGUAGUAAAAGGGUCACAUUUCUCCAAUACUAAUUUCAAUAAUAGUAAAUAAAAUCAAAUAAUUUAAUUACCAAAGAACUUAUAGUGAUUCAGUGAAUACAAGACGCUCAACUGUAGGUGGAUGAAGCAAUCAAACAAGCCAAAGAAGAAGAGGAAGCAAUAACACACUAUCAGAGAAAAAUGAACGAUACAUAUUAAAAAUCUUUACAAAGCACAUAAUAGAAAUUGCAACUAUCUUUGCAAGUAAAAAACUUGAAAUUCAUUUCUUUAUCAAUCACCCAAAAAAGAAAAAAAAAGGAAAGAAAAGAAAAGAAUGUGUUUUGUGGAUUUGAUUAAUUAAUGACUAACGUUUAAUAAUUAUUUAAAAAAAAACCCAUUUAACACAUCCACAUCCAAAUAACAUAGUUUCCAAUUCUACAAAAAUAUACAUAUAUUAUAUGAAAAUUUUUAAAAUAUUCAAUCUUUAAUUUACCUUCUAAAAAGUUUGUAUUCAUCCUCACAUUGUAAUUAACUAAUGUUUUAUUUGAAUUAAUAAUUGUGAAUAGAAAAAUAUAUAUUAUUUUGUUUGAAUAGUUAAAAUUAGCAAAAGGAAAAAAAUAAUAUGAAUUUAAUAAUUUUUAUGAGAAAAGAAAAUAAUGUCUUAAUUUUUUUUAUUUUGUAUUAACUCAAUUCGAUUAUAGGUAUAUAGUGUGUUAAAUAUCUUAAAAAUUAUGUAUUUUAAAAUAUUCGAUUAUUAUUUGUAUUUAAAUAAAAUCUAAAAACUUCAUAUACAUUACAUUCUUACCAUAACAUGAUUUGUUUGUAGCAUUUUACUUUCUUUUUUUUGUUUAGUUUGUUCAGAUAAUUAUUGUAAUGUUAAUUACAAUUUUUAAUCAAACAAUAUAAGUAAUGUAAAACAUUGUUUAAUUAUAAUUUUCAAUCAAACAAUAUAAGUAAUAUAAAACAUUGUUUGAAGAUCAAAAUUAAAUAUAACAUAAAUUAAAGAUAUCGAAAAUAAAAAUAGUUUAAAAAUAUAUUAAAAGAUUAAAAUAGUUUAAAAUGAAACAUAUAAAAAAUAAAAACAUAUUGAAAAUUAAAUAUAACCAAAAUGUUCUUGUUUAAAGGAAAAAGAUCAAAUCCAAAUUGUAAAUGUAGUUUAACAUGUAUAUAUUGUCUUGUUGCUACCUUAGCACACCCUUGAGUGAUAUUUUUCCCCUUCUUGCUGCUACCUUCAACCACUCCUUUAGCUAAAACAUAGAUCAAAUUAAAAUACUCAAACAGAAGGCAAGGACAAAGGUGAAAAUUAAACUAAAAAUGUCGGACAUAAUACUCUAAUCAGUCACAAACUAACUAAUGCAUCAAGAAAAAAAGUAGUAAAAAACCUGGCUAGCUUAACACCCACGAUCGAUUUGACAUGGAAAAUAACAACUUCCAUCUUCAAUAUACACACUAAAAUAAGAAACCAACUUUAUGCAAAAUUAAAGCACAAGUAAUACAUCUUAAAACAAAUCAAUCUAUCAAAGAAACAACACAUAUCUAAGAAUCCAGAUACCCAAAAACAACUCUAUAACCAUAAGCAACGCAUCCUAAAAAGGUUGUAAAAAUCACUUCAAAGUUCUAUCUCAAGCAAAGAAAAUAAACAGAGAAGAUUCAAAAUAGCUACGUUACUGGAACUCGGGUGUGAGUGUCAAAUACGGGUACGGUUAGUUUUUCUUUAUAUUGGAAGGAUCCUUGGAGGUCAUAUCCUAAUAUCUAUGUGUCAGACACAAGUGUUAGAUAUGGGUACUUCAUGAUUCAUGAAAAAUGAAAAGUCCGAGCAGCAUAGCAAUAUAGUCUUUAAUUAUUAAAGAUUAACAAUAUUUAUUAUUGUCAAAUGAUUUUUUUCUCGAUCUUCAACUAAUACCCAAAACUUUAAAUCAAGAAUUAAAUCAAAUUACAUCAAGUAAAGAUGAUAAUAACUUGAAAUGAACCCUGAGAAUAGAACCCCUUACCUUGCAGGCUGCACAAAAUGAAAUUGAAUCAUUGUUAAAAUAUUAGCACUCCACUAUGAAUUCCAACCCACUAAACAAAAUUUAAGCACGCAAAAAGGAAGUUUCACCAUUUGUCUUAAUCAACCAAUAUCUACGAUAGGUCAUUUAUUUGAAGGAUUAUAUUCUUUUAAUAAAAUUCCAGAAUUCAAUUACUUAAAGGUUUGGGCAUAAUGAUAUAUCUGGGUUGGUUUCUAGUUGAUUCUUUAUAUCGUGUUAGCAGAGGUACUUUGUCGAAUAAUUGGUAUGCCUCUGCAAGUUAACAAAUACUCAUGUAGAAUGAUCUACAUUUGAACAUUAUUUGCUAUGUUAACACCCCUUUUUGUUUAAAAGGAUGGGCUAAAGAUAUCAACCAAAUGAUGAGUUAUAAUUAUUAAAAAAUUACAUCAAGAAAGCUUAAAUGCAUCCAAAAUCUAACAAUAUUAAAUCAUUAGUUAAAAACCCAGAUUUUAAUUGCCCUAAAAUAAUCGGAUCAACCAAUCGACCAAUUUUUUUUAUAAAAGUGAAAUACAAGCAGAGAAACAAAGAGAUGAAAUACAUGCCUCUGGUUCAUAGAUGAUCUCGAUCGACCGGUGACACCAAACUUGGAAUGAACCCUGAGAUUAGAACCCCUUGCCUUACAGGCUGCACAAAAUGAAAUUGAAUCAUUGUUAAAAUAUUAGCACUACACUAUGAAUCCCAAUCCACUAAACAAAAUUUAAGCACGCAAAAAGGAAGUUUCACCAUUUGUCUUAAUCAACCAAUAUCUACGAUAGGUCAUUUAUUUAAAGGAUUAUAUUCUUUUAAUAAAAUUCCAGAAUUCAAUUACUUAAAGGUUUGGGCAUAAUGAUAUAUCUAGGUUGGUUUCUAGUUGUUGAUUCUUUAUAUCGUGUUAGCAGAGGUGCUUUGUCGAAUAAUUGGUAUGCCUCUGCAAGUUAACAAAUACUCAUGUAGAGUGAUCUACAUUUGACCAUUAUUUGCUAUGUUAACACCCUUUUUUGUUUAAAAGGAUGGGCUAAAGAUAUCAACCAAAUGAUGAGUUAUAAUUAUUAAAAAAUUACAUCAAGAAAGCUUAAAUGCAUCCAAAAUCUAAAAGCUUAAAUGCAUCCAAAAUCUAACAAUAUUAAAUCAUUAGUUAAAAACCCAGAUUUUAAUUGCCCUAAAAUCAUUGGAUCAACCAAUCGACCAAUUUUUUUUCGAAAAGUGAAAUACAAGCAGAGAAGCAAAGAGAUGAAACACAUGCCUCUGGUUCAUAGAUUAUCUCGAUCGCAUUGUAAAACUCCUCAAUAGGCUGCUCCUUCAGCCUCACCAAAGUAGCAGCUGCUAACGCCGCCGAUAUCGCCGAAGAAACGAUCGAAAGGCCUCUCUAUUUUCUCUCUAUUUUGUCAAAGGGAGAUCGGGUUGGUGAGGAUAGAAACAUGAAAAAGAGGGAGAUAAGGUUGGGAGGAAAUCAGAAGAAGAGGGUAAUCAGAGGGAGAUAAGGUUGGGAGAAAGUUUGAAAUGCUUUAGACGUGAAAAAGGUAAUCAGAGAAAAUUUUUCCCGUUGAAUCCCUAAACCCAACCCAGACCAUGGAAUUGUAAACGUUGAAUUAGCCUCGAAUAAUCCUGUUUGGAAUAGGGCUGUAAUAACUCAUUACAGCCAACCAAACAAUGGCUUAUGAUGGGCCCACCAAAUUCAGCUGUAAGGCAUUAGUAUUAUAGCCAACCAAACAUGCUCUUAAAAUUAUCGAGUAAAAAAAACGGGUGAACUAUUAAAAUAGUCACUUUUAUUUAUCUCAAGUUACAUUUUAGUUACUUAUAUUUAAAAUGUUACAUUUUAGUCACUUACGUUAUCGUAUUGUAACAUUUUAGCCACUGAGCCGUUAAUUGCCGUUAACAAUAUAACAGUAAGCUGAAGUGACAUAUUAAAUCUGUUGCGGAAGCGACGAUAAUAUUAAUAACAAUAUUAUCAGAAAUAAUUAUCUAAAUAUUUCUGAUAAUAUUGUUAUUAAUAUUAUCGUCACUUCCGCAAUAAUUGGUAUCAGAGCCAAGGUUUUGUAGUAUGCUCUGUGUUUGCAGCUUAGUCUGAUCUUACACAUCAGAAACAUUUCCUAAAGCUUGUGGGUAUUCUGCAUUUGGUGGCUAUUAAGUAGAAGCUAUGGCAAAAAUGACAGAAGAAAAACCAUCCAUAUCAACAACUUCCACUUCGUACAUUUUGCCGAGGAUUGGAACUGCAAAUACGAGAUUUGUAGUGGAAAUUUUUGAUGGAACAGGUCAUUUUGGCAUGUGGCAAAGUGAGCUUCUAGAUGCCCUCUUUCAACAGGGUCUAGAUAUUGCCAUUGAGGAAGAAAAACCAGAAGGGGUUGAUGAUAAAGAAUGGAAGACCAUCAACCGAUUGGCAUGUGGUACAAUUCGAUCAUGUCUUUCCAGAGAGCAGAAGUAUACAUUCAGUAAAGAGACUUCUGCAAGUAAAUUGUGGAAAGCAUUGGAGGAGAAAUUCUUGAAGAAGAACAGUCAAAAUAAGUUGCAUAUGAAGAAAAGACUGUUUCGUUUCAAUUAUGUUCCUGGUACCACGAUGAACGAGCACAUUACCAAUUUUAAUCAGCUGGUGGCUGAUUUGUUGAAUUUGGAUGUGACUUUUGAAGACGAAGACUUGGCGUUAAUGUUGUUGGGAUCGCUUCCUGAGGAGUUUGAGUACCUUGAAACUACUCUACUUCAUGGAAAAUCGGAAGUAACUUUCAAUGAAGUAACUGCUGCAUUGUAUAGCUAUGAACUCCGCCGAAAGGAUAAGUUGAAAGGUUCAGGUGAAGCAGCAGUGGAAGCAUUGGUAACAAGAGGUCGUCAGCAAAGUCAGUCUAAUGGGAAGAGAAGAAAGUCCAAAGGUCGAGCUGUUGCCAAAGAUGAAUGUUCCUUUUGCAAAGAAAAAGGACAUUGGAAGAAAGAUUGUCCAAAAUUGAAGAAAAAAGGGAAGACUCUGCAAGAUGCAAAUGUUGCAGAAUGCAAUAGUGAAGCAGAGUCAGACUUUUCUCUUAGUAUGACAUCUUCAACAUUAUAUGCAGAUGAGUGGACCAUGGAUUCUGGUUGUUCCUAUCAUAUGUGUCCCAUUCGGGAAUGGUUCUUUGAAUUUCAAAAACUAGAUGAAGGGGUUGUUUACAUGGGUAAUGAUAACACAUGUAAAAUAGCCGGGAUAGGUUCAAUUAAACUGAGGAGUCAUGAUGGAUCUACUAGAAUUUUGCGGGAUGUACGAUAUGUCCCAAAGUUGAAGAAGAAUCUCAUCUCUUUGGGGUCGUUAGAAUCUAAAGGCCUAGUUGUGACAAUACGAGAUGGAGUUCUUAAAGCAACUUCAGGAGCAUUGGUGAUGUUGAAAGGCAUAAGAAAGAACAAUCGGUAUUACUACCAAGGUAGUACAGUGGUCGGGACAACAGCAGCAGCAAUUUCGAGUACCAAGAAGGACGCUGAGGCAACACAGCUGUGGCAUAUGCGUUUGGGCCAUGCUGGUGAAAAAUCCUUGCAAACUCUAGCCAAGCAAGGAUUAUUGAAAGGUACAAAGACUUGCAAACUUGAAUUUUGCGAGCAUUGUGUUCUGGGAAAACAACGAAGGGUGAAAUUUGGCACUGGGAUUCACAAUACUAAAGGUAUUCUGGAUUAUGUGCAUUCUGAUGUAUGGGGACCGUCCAAGACUCCAUCACUUGGAGGAAGACGUUAUUUUGUCACCUUUAUUGAUGAUUUUUCCAGACGAGUUUGGGUGUUUCCUAUGAAGAACAAAGAUGAGGUGCUUGAAGUUUUCCUUAAGUGGAAAACUAAAGUUGAAAAUCAGACAGGAAGGAAGAUUAAGGUUCUCCGAUCAGACAACGGUGGAGAAUAUAAAAGCGAUCCUUUCCUAAAGAUAUGCCAAGAUUGUGGCAUAGUAAGGCACUUCACCGUAGGUGGAACACCGCAACAGAAUGGGGUGGCAGAGCGUAUGAAUCGAACGCUUGUGGAGAAAGUUCGAUGUAUGUUAUCUAAUGCUGGAUUAGAUAGAAAGUUUUGGACUGAGGCUGUGACGUACGCUCAACAUCUCAUCAAUCAUUUGCCAUCAUCUGUUAUAAAUGGCAAGACUCCUUUGGAGAAAUGGUAUGGAAAACCUGCUACUGAUUAUGACACCUUGCGCAUUUUUGGUUCUAUUGCAUAUUAUCAUGUGAAAGAAUCAAAGUUAGAUCCAAGAGCAAAGAAGGCUCUAUUCAUGGGCUUCAAUACUGGUGUUAAGGGAUAUCGUUUGUGGUGUCUAGAGGCAAAGAAGACGAUAAUCAGUAGGGAUGUUACCUUUCAUGAAUCUGCCAUGUUGAAUAAGGUAAAUCCAGAAGGAGUGAGUAGUACUUCGCAGCAGGUGGAGUGUACUCCGCAGCAGGUGGAGUUUGAGCAGAGUGUGGUAAUUCCAGCAGAAGGUACCACUAGUGAUUCUUCAUUGGCAGAUGCAGAGUCAGAUGAGGAAGAGGUUUCUACCCAAGAACCUCAACAGCAAUCAGAGCCAAUUGCAGUCAGAAGGCAGAGACGAGAAAUUCAGAAACCUGCUCGUUUCACUGACAUGGUAGCUUAUGCACUUCCAGUUGUUGAUAAUAUUCCAUCCACUUACACCAAAGCCAUUCAGAGUUUAGAGAAUAAUAGAUGGUUAGGUGCAAUGGAAGAGGAAAUGCAAUCUCUAGAGAAAAACAAGACGUGGAAGCUGGCACAACUACCAAAAGGGAAGAAGGCGAUUGGUUGCAAAUUUGAAGACACUAUUGAAGUUAGUGUUAUGAGAAGAUGUUCGAAGAUGUGGAAUAUCGCCAAGGUGGAGAUUCGGAAGCGACGAUAAUAUUAAUAACAAUAUUAUCAGAAAUAUUUAGAUAAUUAUUAUGCCAACAAUUAUACUAAGAAAAUUCCCAGUUAAAUUGGAGGGGUCACAAAUGGUCCCGCUUAAAACCCAACAACUAGACAGAACUCACUUAGAUAUUUAUAGCAAUAAUAACUAAAUAAAUAUAACCAACAUAAAGCUAUUAAAUAUAAGCAAACAAAUAAGAAAUAAAAUACCAGAGAUUUAACGAGGUUCAGCCAAUUUAGCUUACGUCCUCGGACACUACCAAAUUAAUAUUUCUUCUAGAAAUAUUACAAAGGAGAAGAUUUUGGGGAUGAUACAACCAAAGGGGGAGGGGUUCUAUAUAUAACAAACCAAACCCCCUCCCUUUCUAUCUUUUCCUAAUGUGGGAUAUUGCCAAUAUUCAACAAAAUCAUCAUUUUAAAUGAAGAUUUUAGGUUAAAUUAUACAAUUGAUUCUUGUAUUUUUUCGUUUUGAGCAAUUUAAUUUUUUGUUUUGUUUUUUAACUUUUUUUUUCCUUAUUUUCCAUUCUCUUUUAUUUCUCCUUAUAUUUUCCUCCCUUUUCUAUUUUUUUAACAUGGUUUUUUUAUGUUUUCCAUUUAUUAAAAAUAGUCCCUAUAUUUUUAUUUUUUGAACAAUUUAUUUUUUUCCUUUUUAUUUUUAUUCACAAUUGUCUAUAAUAAGCAAAAAAAAAGAUUAAAAAAUCUUUAUUCUAGGUUAAAAAAUCUUUAUUCUGGGUUUUCGUUGAAAAUCAAUACAAAAUUUUUUAACUUUCUUUUUUUUUUCUUUAUUUUUCAUUCUCUUCUGUUUCUCCCUCUGUUUUCCUCCCUUCUCUGUUUCUUUUAACAUAGUUUUUCUAUAUUUUCCGUUUGUUAAAACUAGUCUCUAUACUUUUAUUUUGAUAUUGGGUAUUUCUUGUAUGUUCUGUUUAAUCUUCCUUUUGAUUAGUUUUUAAUAUAUUUUCAACUGAGGGUAACAAUUUUGUAUUGCUCUUCAAUGAAAAUCCAAAAUAAAGAUUUUUUUAAUCUUUUUUUGCUUAUUGUAAACAAUUGUGAAUUGGGUUUUUGAUAUUUUACACUUAUUGUUGAUGCUAUACAAAGGAUCCAAAAAUGGAUUAUUAUGGUGAUUUUAUAGAAUUGCUUGGACCUGAUAUUUCAAUCAAGAUUUUUAUAAUAUUGGUUAACCCUUCUGAUCCCAUUAGAGUUAACUUGAUUUUUAGUUUUUGGCACCAAUUUGGUAAACAAAUUAAUGUCUUUGGUAGAAUUUAGCUUGGUGUUCUAUUAUAUAUUGAAGAAGAAUAGGAAUUGAUUGAUGCAAUAAGAACGAUUUUAUUCAUCUUGCAAUGAUCAAAAACAAUCUUUGGGUUUACACACGGAGUAUGUAAUCAAAGAUAAUUUGCUUUAACAAAUAAAGAAAUAAAAAAAAAUUAAAUUGUUCAAGAAAAAAAAGUAUAGGAACUAAUUUUAACAAAUGGAAAAUAUAAAAAAAAAACUACAUUAAAAGAAAUGGAAAAUGGAGGAAAACAGAGGGAGAAGUGGAAAAGAAUGGAAAAUAAAAGAAAAAAAAAUUAAAAGAACAUAAAAGAAAAGAAUUAAAUUGCUUAAAAUGUAAAAAUAUAUGGACCAAUUUUAUAAUUUAACCUAAAAUUUUCGUUUGAAAUGAUGAUUUAAUGUGCCACAUCAGCUUACUGUUACACUGUUAACGGAAAUUAAUGGCUUAGUGACUAAAAUGUUACAACAUGAUAACGUAAGUGACUAAAACGUAACAUUUCAAACAUAAGUGACUAAAAUGUAACCUGAGGCAAACAAAAGUGACUAUUUUAAUAGUUUACCCUUAACUAAUACUAAAACAAAUUAAGAAGUUGAUGUUAUGAAACCUAAAUUUCCACCUAUUAAUUAAAUAUUUACUCUUUUUUUUUAAAUAGCUCAAUUCAAUUUUCAAUUGUAAAAAAAUUUAUUAAUCUCAUCCUUGCUAAAUCAAUUCUUACAGAGACAUCAUCCUAGUAACCCAAAUUGUUCAGCUAGAUUAUUGUAAGAAUCAUAGCCUACCAAACAACUGUUCAAUCCCUACAAAAAAAAUGUUUUUGUAAAUAAAAAACGAAAAGAAACAUUGAAUACCAAAAGUUUCACUUUAGUACAUGUAUUAGAAGCUUUCAACUUCUUGUGAAAUGUUGUCAUUGAAGUCCGGACCUACUGGUUUGGUCAUUUUCUCUUUUGUGCUCACAUUUGUUUCUGCUUUUGCAUUGACUGAACUUGUAGAGGCUUGAAGCUUUCUUUUUGAUCAAGCACGCCUAUUCUAAAACUAGUUAUAUACAUUCGUUUCAAAGAUUUGACCAUGUUGUGCUAGUUCAGAUGCUAUCUCUUUAUUUUUUUGCUUGCUUGGUGUUCCAGUUCCUUGCUUAUAUAUAUUCUCAAGAAUUUGAAGUUGCAAUGCGAUUGGACUUCAUCACUAUCUAGCAGUGAUCUUGUGCCCAACAGAGGCUGAUAUUGGAACACAGUAUAGAUUUCCCAACCUUAUACCUAAAAGCAAAACAACAAACCAGCCAUAUAUUAUUAUUGAAUAUAAAACCAAGGCAGCCAACAUGAGAAAAGUCAAAAAAAAAAAACAAAAAGAACUGAAGGAGAAAAAAUAAGAAAAGAACCAGUAAAAUUGUAAUGGGCAGACAAGGAUUUGUGCAUGUUAGAAUUGAGUGACCCGAAUCCUUAUUUAAAUAAAAUAUAAUAGUAAAAUAAAAUAAAAGUAAAAUCCAUAUAGAACUACACUUCUUUUAUUUUAUUUUAGAAUAAGGUUUUUUAAAUCUUAUUAAACUCCAUCUAUUUGAUAUUGAUUAGAAUAAUGUGUUUCAAUCUUACUACACUCUAUUAGAAUAUGAUUUUACAAGCCUAUAAUUUUAUUUUUCUCUGCCCGUGGGUUUUUUCCCAAAAGAGUUUCCACGUAAAAAUCUGUGUUCUUUAUUUUUUUUCUUUUUUCUUUGCAAUACAUUGUCAUUAUCGACGUUUUAUUUUUCAUAAAUUGGUAUCCGAGCUUCCGAGUUGUUCAUCUCAAUCACAGUAAUGGCGUCUUUGAGGUAUGAAAUUUCGCUGUUGGAUUGUAACAUCAGAUUCGCAUUGUGGCAGAUUAAGAUGCAUGCAGUUCUUGCAUAGAUGGAUCUAGAGGAUGCCCUACUAGGGAUAGAUAAGAUGCCUUCGACAUUAACAGAUGAAAAGAAGAAGCGUAAGGAUCGAAAGGCAUUAACACAAUUACAUCUACAUUUGUGUAACGAAAUUUUACAAGAAGUGAUAAAGGAUAAGAUCGUCGUUACAUUAUGGAAGAGGCUGGAACAAAUAUGUAUGUCAAAAACUCUCACUAGCAAGCUGCAAAUGAAACAUCAUCUUUAUGCUCAUUGUUUGGAGGAAGGUGUGUAUGUGCACGAACACUUAACAGUGUUUAAAAAAAUUCUCUCAAACUUGGAUGCUAUGAAGGUUCAGUAUGAUAAGGAAGAUUUAGGGUUGAUUCUAUUUUGUUCGUUGCCCCCGUCUUAUUUAACCUUUAGAGACACAAUUUUAUAUAGCCGCGAGUCUCUCAUAGUUGAUGAGGUUUAUGAUUCUUUGACCUUGUAUGAUAAGAUGAAGCAUCUUGUGGUUAAACCCGACUCUCAGGGAAAGGGUCUCAUUGUUCAUGGGAGACAAGAUCAGAAUGCUGAUGAUGAUUGUGGAAUGACACAGGAACGAAAUCCUCGCGAUAAAUCUAAAGGUAGAUCAAAGUCUUCAAACAAAGGUAAAACUUGUAACUUCUACAAGAAAAAAUGGUACAUUAAAUAUGAGUGUUAUAAGUUGCAGAACAAGAUCAAAAGGGAGGCUACGAAUCAAAAGAGAAAACAACCAGAAAAAUCCAGUGAAGUUGAUGUUGUAGAAGACUACAGCGAUGGUGAACUUCUAGUCGCUUCUAUCAACAAUUCUAAAGUGAUCAAGGAGUGGAUCCUUAAUUCGGGCUGCACCUUUCACAUGAGUCUCAAUUGGGAUUGGUUUACAACUUACGAAACAGUGUCUGAAGGUGUUGUUUUGAUAGGAAAGAAUGUUUCGUGUAAAAUUACAGGUGUUGGAACGAUUAAAGUUAAGAUGUUUGAUGGAGUUGUCAGAACACUUAGUGACGUGCAACAUGUUCCAGGAUUGAUGAGAAAUUUAAUUUCGUUGAGUACUCUUGAUUCAAAAGGUUACAAAUACACAACUGAAAGUGGGGUUUUGAAGAUUUCCAAAGGUUCCCUCGUUGUGAUGAAAUGGCAGAGAAAGACUACCAAGUUAUAUAUUUUGUAGGUAUUUAUUGCUACUGGUGAUGCAGCUAUCGCUUCCUCUUUCAUAUCAGAUGAUGAUAUUAUUAAACUUUGGCAUAUGUGCCUAGGGCAUAUGAGUGAGAAUGACAUGGCAGAAUUGAGCAAAAGAAGACUUCUUGAUGGGUAAGGAAUUUGCAAACUGAAGUUCUGUGAGCACUAUGUUUUUGGGAAGCAAAAGAAAGUUCGACUCACCAAAGGAAUCCAUAACACGAAGAGAACGUUGGAGUACAUUCUUUCUGAUCUGUGGGGGACAUCCAAAGUGCUUUCGAGAGGUGGAGCUAAUUAUUUGCUAACUUUUAUUGAUGAUUUUUCCAGAAAAAUUUGGGCGUUCUUUCUGAAAUAGAAAAGCGAUGUGUUUUCCGCAUUUAAGUCUUGGAAAACUAUGAAUGAAAAACAGACGAGAAAUCAAAUAAAACACGUCUGCACAGACAAUGGCUUAGAGUCCUGUUCUGAUGAGUUUAAUGAACUAUGUAAGUCAGAAGGGAUCAUGAGACACUUGACAGUUCGUAAUACUCCACAAUAAAAUAGCGUUGCAGAACGAAUUAACAGAACAAUUAUGGAGAAAGUUCGAUGUAUGUUGUCGAAUGCUAACUUACAGAAGUUGUUUUGGGUCGAAUUAGCCUCUACUGUAUAUUUUUUGAUCAAACGAUCUUUAUCCAUUACCAUUGAGAAAAAGACUCCACAAGAGGUACGGUUUAGUAAUCCUACUGAUUAUUCUGAUUUAAAGAUCUUUGGGUGUCUUGCGUAUGCUCAUAUUGAUAAUGGAAAAUUGGAACCGAAAUCCAUUAAAUAUAUUUUUCUUGGUUAUAAAGCUGGUGUAAAAGGGAUAAGUUUGUGUUGAAUUUUCCCUUCUUCUUUUUUUAGCUUAAAAAUAUUAAAUAAACAAUUUCCUUUUCUUUUAUUUUUCAAAGAUAAUUUUCUUUAUUUUUCCUUUUUUUCUCGGUAUCUUCAUUUUUCUCCAACUUUUUCAUGCUUAAACCCUAGUCAUAGCCAUUUAAUUUCUUGGUUUGACCUUUUUAAGCCUAGUGCAGCCUCGAAAACAGCCCAUCAUUUCCUUAAAUUCUACACAAAAACAUGGUGAAAUGCAUUAAAUAUUUCUUAAACUUGUAGUUGCUCAACUUUGAAACACAGAUGGGCGCUCAAGCUCCACCUAAAAGAGUCUCCAGUCCACUUCCAACUCAUUCACGUUUUUCUUCUUUGGUUUCUUAAUUCCUUGCAUUAAUGCAUUUCCAGCUCUGAAAUCCGAUAGAGUAAUCAAGCUGCCAAACCAGCCGGCGACGCCGUCGAUUUCGCAGUUUUUGAGGUAUGUUAAUGUGAAUGAAGAGCAUGGAAGGCCACUUUUCUACUGGUUCUUUGAAGCUCAAUCUGAGCCAUCUCAGCACGUCUCCUGUUAUAGCUUAAUUGAGUCAUCUCACCAUCUUUUUGCCGAACCAUUUUCUGCAGCCAUGGGGGUUUAAGGGUCUUGGGAUUUUGAAGGAUUGAAGGGUUGAUCGAGGGGGUUAGGAGCUGAUCGUUUGGGAACACUGGAUCCAGUUUCUUAUAAACAAUCAAAAACUGUUGCAGAUUUGGGUUUUUUUCCCUCUUGGUUUUGGGGUUAAGUGAGACUCUGUCUUUUUUUCUGAUUCUCAUUUUGAACCAAAGGAUUGUUGGGUUAUCAAUGAAUGUUCUUCAAAUUUCUUCAAUUGUAUCUGUAAAAUCUCACAAAUUCUCGGACCAUUCUCUCCUUCUCCCUUCGUAUCGCACGGCUUAGUUUAGAAGUAGAAAUUUGAAAAUAAAACAAACAAAAAAAAUGAAAGACUAACAGGGAAAUUUAAAGAAAAAUUUAAAUGUAUAUUAUUUAUAAAGAAAGAAUAAUUUCAAAUGUGAAAAUAAAAUUUGAAAAAUAAUAUCUAUUUUAACAAAUUUAGUUUUUGGAGUAAUUUUAAAAAGGUAUUUGAGUUUUUUUAUGAAAAAAAGAAAAAAAAAAAAAAAGGAGAAUUGCUAUCAAGAUCAACAAACACUCAGAUGGAAUGUCGCCCAACCAAUAGCAUAAUUUUUACUCAUGUUUUUUUUUUUGUAUACCAUAUACUCUCCCAUAAUUUUUGGUACUCCCUAUUUUUUUUAGCAUACCCUUAUAAUUCUUUUUACUCCCUAAUAAAUUUUGGUUUUGGUACUCACUCUAUUUUUUUAAAUGUCCUAUGAUUUUUUGGUAUGCUUUACAAUAUAGUUUGUUAAGAGGAGAAACUAAUAUUUGAUAUUCAGAAAAUAUUAUUGCUGCAUACUACGUAAUUUAUUUAAAUGUAAUGGCAAGUCUACCAUUAUUGAAAAUUAAUAGUUAUUUUGUAUGUAAUCAACUAUUGUUAUCACUUCAAAUUUUCCUUAAAAAUCUGAUAUAAUAAAUCCUAAAAUAACAAAAACAGAACACUUAUUGUAUUAGAGUUUUUCUUCAAUUUCGAGGGAAUAACAAAUAUCGGUUUGCCUUAAAAUUUUACUUUAUUUAUUAAAUUUUCAAUAUCUGUUAACUUAUCCUUGUAGAUUAAUAAAUUUAUUAGUAUAAAAAAAUAAUCUUUUCUACCAAUAUACCAUUGGUUUGUCCCAACAAAAUCCUAACCAAAUUUAUUAGUAUGCAAAAAUAAUAUUUUAUAUACCAAAAAUUAAUUUUGAAAGCAUAAAAAAAAAAUCAAAUGGCAUAACAAAAGUUACGAGGGAGCACCAAACCAAAAUUUAUGAGAGAAUACCAAAAAAAUAUGAGAAAGUACCAAAAAUUAUAAAAGAUUACCAAACCAAAAAAAUAUAAACAAAAUACCAAAAAUUACAUAGAGAUGCAAAAUAUAUUUAGAUUUAAAAAAGAGUGAAAAUUUUAUGAGGGAAUACCGCUCCUUUAAACUUUCUUAACCCAAAAGAAAAAAGUGAGGACGAGGGGGCCUCAGCCUGCCACAAAUUCUCAGUUUUGAUGGUAUGUUCUGGUCUGGUCAGGUCUGGGCAUUUCACUUGAAAGUUGAAACCAUUAAAAGUUUUCAUUCACAAGUAAAGAGAGUGUGAAUGAAAUUUUGUAAUCUUACAACCACCAUUCCAACUGCAAAAGUGUUGCAAAUUUUCACCCUUUUUAUAAUAAUAAUAAUAAUAAUAAUAAUACUCCAUUAAUUUGUUUCUCAAGAUCAAUGUACAUGGAAUAACUCAAGGGAUGAUGACAAAAGCUUUAUAAAAUGAAAUGAAAUGUCUCGGGAGAAAACCAAAAAUGCAUCAUUUCUGUUCAGGGCUCCAGAUUUUGACUGUUUCAUAAUUAUAAUAAUAAACCACCAUCAAAGUUCAUCUCUUAAUAUUGACUUAAAACAUUAAAUAUUCAGAAGAAACGGAUAUUAACCAAACUUGAUAAACCAAAUUAUCAGCUGAAGGCUUCACCUCUAGGUGAAUGGAUACUAUAUUAUCAAUAAUUUGUGAACAAGUUCAAUAAAAAAAAAAUGAAACCAGUGAAAUACCAGCUCGACCUUAUGUAUUAUGGUAAAACUAAUAAUAUGUGCAUAAGUUGCAUGUAAUAUCCCAUGCAAUGAACUAGUGGCUGACAUGCACAAACUCAUGCACAGCCAACUUCAAACCUCAAUAAUUCUACUUUCAGGAGGUUGGGGGGGGGGGGGGGCAGCACAGGAUAAUCAAAUACUACAAUUUUUGGAAGGAAUUAUGAGUGUUCAAUAGCAGGGCUUGACUUGGGGGUAAUGAGGCUGCUUGAAAUGAUUGCAUGCACAUAUGAUAAGUGAAAGCCUUAGAUUAAACAUGUUUUGGAGUUAAAUGUGAAUUCCUGGAUUAGAAGGCCAACGAACAGCCACUAGGAAAAUCCAUUAACAACACUUACUUCAAGGUGGCCUUUUCACUAUCCUUUAGCUAUAACAUCAACUACAAAAAUGCUACCCGAAUCACACCAUCCACCAAGUAUAUCCCUGUUAGAGCACUGCAGCAGAAAUCGACAAAAAGACCAGUUAAAUAACUUCUGUUCACUGAAUGCAAGCAUCAACGCUUUAAAUGAAAGCAGACCUAGGACAAAAUAUAUUUAAUCUUUUUCUGAUAUUACAUCCAUGUUUAACAUUUCUAAAGAAAGAUAUCUUGGUGGCUUGAAAAGGAUGAAACAGACAUCACCAAAAGAACUAAACAAAUUAUAGUAACUACUAAUACUAACAAGGUUACCACAUCUUAGAAGAUGGGUAGUAAUAAAUAAAGAGAAUAUUAUAUUGACCUUGUUCCCAGUCACAUAUGGUCAUUGUUGUCACACUCUACACAAGAUUACCCUUAGAAGGCUGCCAAGACAAGAGUUUCAUGACAGAAUUUGACCUCGGCACUGGCCAACCAAGACAAGUGACUCUCUCUGUGAGUGCCAGCAUUAAGAAAGAACAGAUAUUUCAACCAGAAUUUACUACUGAACUCAAUACCUUACUGAAUCCCAGCCAAUUUGAGUCUCCUCUAAAUGAAAAUACCUUACUGCUUUCUUGCCACUGCCCACAGAAAACCUGCAAAGCUUCCUUAUUAUCCAAAAGUCAUACUGGAUGGAACCUCAAAGUAAACUACUCAACAUGAUCGGAUAACUACUAUGCUAGCUAUAGAAACUUACACAGCUACAUAUUACAUAUAUGUAAAGGGACUCAUGAAACUGAAGGUCAGACAGAUAAGAAUCAUUCUUCUAAGCUAGAAUCCAACUACACAUGGAAAUAAAAUUGCAAGUUGAAAAGCAGUCACCUCAUAAUCAACCCCUUGAACAAAGAUGUAAUCAGGGUCAAGAGACGAGAAAGCAAGUCCAGUAAUCUGCAGUAUCAACAAACAAAAAAAACACCCAUACAUGGCUAUAAUGUUAAAUCCCAAGAUGAUGAAAUCACAUGGAACCUCUCUAGCAAGAAAAAAGGCAUUGGAACUUCUCUAGUAAGUGUUCACUUCCAUAUGCUUGAUGUCAAGAUGAGCACAUAAAAAUGUCUUUUGUUACCAUAUUUCCAUCUCUAGGUUUGAUAAACAUUAAUGACAAACCAGGAGGAAAUUUAGUCAAACAACUAACCUCAUAUUUUGAACAGUGCACCCAUCUUGAAAUUGCUGACCAUCUACAUAGAAGAAGUAAUAUUAGUGCAGCAUAAUCUCAUUGUGUCUAAGGUGAAGAAACAUUCCACAAAAUUUUUAUUAAACUGCCAUACACAAGCCAAUCAGCCCGUCAUGGAAGUCCAUUAGGAGGACUGUAAAUUGGAUUAAAUAUUUUGACUAUAUCCUCCUCUGUGAUUUCAUAAACAUGAUUAGCAGUAGGUUAAAGUAAUUGUCAUAUGAGUUCGUCAUAUAGGCAAAAUUGGAAAUGGGAGAAAUGGAUUUUAUUUUUGACCAACCUUAAUAGUCUAUUAUAUAUCAAAAAUCAUUUCAUCUCUACUCCUUUACUAGAAGACAAAUUCUAACAUGUAGCUCACACUUUAAUGGGUUUGUUUAUGACUUCAUUACCAAUUUAUGGAAUUCAAAUCUGAAAAAAGAAAAUGCAAAUAUGUAGGAAAUGGUAAAAAUAAACCCAUAAUAGAUACAAUCAGAAUCACAGAAAAUUGUCUGUGUAUCUAUUCAUGUGACCUUCACAAGUUGGCUCUCUCAACACAAGUCAAGUCACCCUGGCCAGACUUAAUCCAACUCCCUUCUCAGGGGUCUAAUCUAAUGCCAUAGAUCGCCCAAAUUCAAUCCUCCUCUAUAAAUGUGUAUAAAAACAUUAUUUUAUAAAAUUGAUUGAUUAUUCUCGCAUAAUCCUGUCUACUAGAGGCACCCUAAGGAAAAGUUAAUAUAAUCAUCCAGAAGAUCAUAAUAAACCAAUCAUCCGUAUGAAUUGAGGGAAAACUAAUUAGAGUGAGUUAUUGCACAUUUACUUUUUAAAACUGACAUAUAUAAUGGCAACCAACCUGCGGGGAUCAUAGAUAGUCACAGUUCGAUCAGCACCACCCACUGCAAUAUUACCAGUUGAAGAACUGCAGACAGCAUAAAAGAUAUCUCCAGCAGAACCACAAAUACGAUUUAGACAACCACCAUUUUCUUUUAUUCUCAAGUCCCAUACAGACAACUACGUUAAUACCAGAAAAAGAAGCAGAACCAUAAGAUUAUUUAACACAUUGAGAAACAUAAAAUAUAAUGCAUUAUUAUAUACCUGGCAGCCUUCAGUUACGGCUAAUAUAGAACUCUCAUUCCCAUGACCUAAAUUCCGCAUGAAGCUUAGCGAAGAUGGAUACCAAAGUCUGAAAGGUGUCAAUAAAUCAAUAUAAAAUGUCCAUAUAAAAAAUUCCGGAUGUCAAUAACAUUAAAUAUAUUUUAUAGUGUUCUUAGGAACUUGAAUCUUCUACAUUCUAUAAACUGCAAUGUUGUCAAAGGGACGAUCAGGUAGGCUGCAGAAGCAGAUGUUGUAUGUUGGUUCUCCGUGAUAGCUCAAGAAAGUAGAUAUGAGGUUUUAGCAAAUAAUGAUUCACAAGUAGCUGUAAGAAGUAUGAGAGUAGGAAAUUUACAUGCCCACACAAAACCUUUUCUAUUUGACAUGUUGACUGCACUCAAAUUAUAUGCAACCAGGUCCAUAAUUGAGAAUCAAAUAACCAUGUUGUCAUAAAGCAGAGAACUAUUAUUUGGACAGUACUCUAGUGAGAGUUUUAAUGCAAAAUUCUCGAGUCUCUCACCAAGGACAUAAGUAUGACCUGGUACACAUGUAAGAAGAUAGAUUGAUAGCACUCACGUACGCAAAGUCCGAAGAUGGAUAUCCUGGUCAUAAACAUCAACACUUUUGCAGAAGCUUCGUGCCACAGCUGCCUGGAUUAAGAAAUUAGUGCAAAGUGAAGCCCUAAUUUAUGUUGGAAAGGAUAAAAUUCAAUUUAUCAAAAAAAAAAAAAAUUUAUGGUAGAAAUAGUUAAGUGCAUUAAGUAUUGACCCAGAAGAUGUUUAGAAGUUGAAGUAACAUGUCCGACAUGUUAGAACAUAGCAUAUAUUUAAAGCUGAGUUUCCUUAAUGUAAUCUCACUUCUACUUAUCAUUGCUGCAAAUGCAGAAUUCAAAACCAUAGUGGCUUUGACUAGGUAUAAGAAAUAUUUAGCAAAAUCAACUGUCCUUUAGAUACUAUGCACUUAAGACAUGAAUAAAAAUGAUAUAGAAAAACCACACCCUAUAGAAGAGACCAGAAACUCUAACAAACCAUAAAGUGUAAUAUCCUAUAGAAUUUUAUUAGUUUAAGUUAUACAAUGGAAGAUCACAUACCAUGGACCAUUGAAUUGGACUGAAGCAAACCCCAGACCAACUACCUUCUCCAACACCAAAAUCCCGAGGUAACACUGAAUAAGUAAUCUUGUCAACAUCUGAAAAUUUCAACAGUAGACAUUGAUAAGACACCUUAAUUACUUAAAAAUGCAAAGUUAGCAAACAACAUGAUGCAAAGUCCACCAGCAAAGAAAAUAAGUUGCAUUUAGUUGUUGCUGCAGAGAUAGAGGCACUAUUAAUUGUUUGUUUACCCCCGUUUCCUCAUUAUUCUAAGGGGUUAACACAAAGAAAUUUGGAUAUUUUAUAUCAAACAGAUUAAUUUUUAAAUGUUCUAGACACGCUUUUCCCCCCAGAUUUCCAGCUCGCUGUCUAAAACCACACAGCAUAUGAAUCUAACAUAUCAACAAAUAAAAGAGGGUGGCAGAAAAGUAAUAUACAAAGAUGAAUAGAUAAUGGAAUUAACUAAAAUUAGCAAGUUUUGAAAAAAAACCAAGACCGCAGAUCAUCUACAGCAUGGCAGCAUAGUAGAAAGCAAAAAAGUUUCUACCGGGGUUGGCCUUAUUUGAUGAUGAACCAGAACUUGCAUCCAAUCAAAGAAAAGAUAACUAUCAUUGUAUGGAAGUCAUGAAAAACACUUAAGAAAGCCUUAGGAGAAAGUAUGGAACUCUUUUCGUCUCUUCUGAGAUAGACAUGCCUACGAAACAGAAAAUUCCACAUGCAAAAGAGCCAAAGACUUAAACAAGAACAUAAAAGCUCAUAAUUGCUUCUCAAAAAGAGAAGCACCACAGAUUACUAGUGUUUCAAAUAUGAAGAAUACACCAGAAACGUUUUCAUUAAACCUACAAUCAAACAACAGUGAUAUGAGUAUGUACCUUUACCACUGGCAUCCAGUUUAGAGACAAUAAGAUGACCAUAAGCAUCCACACUUGCCAAUACUAAGUAACCAGUGCCUGUAGACGUAACAUUUUGAACAAGUAUUCUAAAGUCAAUCCAAUCCAAAAACCUUAAUAGGAUUUUGUCCCUUACAAGAGAAAGAUGAUUUACCGUGAGAAGUAGUUAAUAGCUACAAGAGAAUAUACAAAAGAAGCAAGCAAUAUAGGAGCCAAUGCCACUUGGUAUUCUAAAGUCAGUAGCAUUAACAAAUUAAACCACUCCAAUGCUACAAACAGCUAAAAGUACAGCUAGACAGAAGUAAAACUCAUGCAGGUUUAAUUAUAACUACAAACAAAAGUAUGCAAGUUAAAAGCCAAUGUUAGACCUUGAAGCAUUUUAAAGGGGAAUAAAUGUUCUUUCUUUCCUUGUGUUAAUUUGCAAGAGGCACCUAAAUGUCUAGUACCAAAAGAUACCUCACUAGAACAAGAUUUUGACAAUUUGUUUGAAUGUAAAAAUGAACCCCAAUAUACUAAUGAGAUACAAGAAAAGAGAAGUAUCCUGAGAACGAAAAUGUAUUAAAGAUCAAAUGCUUCUAAUCAACCACACACAGUGUCUACCAUAUCUCUAUCUACUCUCCCUAUCCAUGAAUAUAACGGAACUUGCUAUCAUACGUUAUCAUUUAGAGAAAUAAGAUAAAGAAUAAGAUAAUGUCAAUAAAAAGUAUGAGUAAGAAAUAUCCCAUCUUCUUCGAACUACAACCAACCAUUAGCAAUUUUAUGCAUAACAUAAGCCAUAGAAAUGAAUUCUGUUAGGAUAUGAUCAAUGGAAAGAUACACUAAUAUCAAUGCCAAUGCCACUUACUUUCUAUUUCAGUAAGUACAAUACUUUGGAUUUCUGAACGAUGAGGGCACCGUUUAAGUAACAAAGAUUCUAUAACCUUCAAAAUCACAGCUCAAAACAAGAUCAAUACAUAAUUAAUGAAUAACAGAAGGGCAGGUUAAUUUGGAGUCCAUAUUCUUCUUUAGGAGAGAAUUUAUGAAUGGCGUGCUGUUAAAAGUCAUAGAAUGAGCACCUCUUUUGUCUCCGGAAUAAGGAGGCCUUCUUUCCCUGUGCUAAGCCAAGAAUCUUCCAGCGGAAUCUAUUUAAAUUAAUAAUUACAAAAAAGCAAAGAUUAAAAAUAAAAAGCGGGGGUUGUAAGAAUUCAUUAAAACACCCAAACACAUAUAAAAAGUUUCAAUCUAUUUAUACUUGAAGUCUGUAGAUGUUGCAUCCGGAUGCAAUGUAAACCCAGCAAGAGGAGGAAUCCUCAUUCACCUACGAAGAAUUGGGGAAAAAAACAACAUUAAAUAAAUAAAUAAAAAGUAUGAAUGAUUUCAUGUAAAUGCGAGGAAUAUAUACAUACAUACACACACACACAUGCAUAUAAGGGGGAAAAAAAAAAGACACACACACAUGGAGGGCAAGGCGAGUGGACUGGAGGUUUCCAGGAGAUGGGUUCUCUAGGAGUGUUGGUGGCACCACCGCCUUUCUCAAACUCUUUGCUUCCAGGGUUGACCCCAUUUCUCUGUCUGGGUCUGGCGAGAUAUAGCAGUUAAAGCUAUUGGUGGUUUGGCCAGUAUUUUGUGGAGAUCGGAGAGGAAAUGAAGGAAUCUGUACACUAUCGCUUACACUGAUAUUUUUCCAAGGGUUUAAGGUUUUAGAUUAGGUUCGGAUAUCAAUACUUCAGUCAGAAAAACCUUUCUACCCUUUUUAUUUUUGGGUAAAUUGCCUUUACGCAUUCUUUUUUUUUUUGAUCAUUUAAAAAAAAUUUGUUAAUUUGGAUACUAAGGUUAAAAAAUUGGUCAGAUUUCUCCUUUUUUUUUUUUAUUUCUUAUUUCUUUAAUUUUUUUUCUUUCGUUCAUUAUUUUUCUAUUUCUUCCCUUCUAGUGUCAUGGGUUGCGCAUGGGAGCACGCAACCAUGACAAACUUGUGCGAUCCAUCAUAUUUGAAGGAGGUCAUUUGGCCCAAACAAACUGGCCCGUUGCCUGGAGAGAUUAAAAGCCCAUCCCAAGAGCCUGGUAAAAAUGGGAAGUAAUCCAAGAAGAUAUGAUUAUGUAAUCUUAGAGUUCUAAUUGUACACAGCUUCUAAUUGUGUCUUAGAGUUCUAAUUGUAUACAGCUUUUAAUUGUAGCCUUUGAUGUACUUUGAGGCUCAACUAUAAAUAGAGACCUCUUUGCUCAUUGUAAUUCAUUAAGUUAUCAAUAAGAAUUUUGAGAGUAUUCACUCAAAUUUUCUCUUAAGUGUUCUUGCUUUUCUGUGGCUUUCGUUCAUCUUUCAACGUUCGUUCUUACUUCGUUCUUCUGCUGUUCUUCGCGGGUGCCUUGAGGUUAUCAUUGCAAGUUAGGCCGACUUAGGCGUUUUUGCUGAUGAAUCCUUUUAUCAUUGCGAGUUAGGCUGAUUUAGGCGUUUUUAAGCAAAGAAACUGCCUAAGGCCGCACGGAUCGCGUGGGAAAACUCUAAGUCUGUGACAGUUGGUAUCGGAGCUAAGGUUCGAAGCCACCAUUGAAAGAUGUCGAAAGAAGUUACUGGGAACGUUGAGGGAAUGGAGACCCGUGGGAGGGCUAGGAAAGCUAGUCGCUCAAGGGACAUAUUAUCAGCUUUAGAGGAUCAUGUCGUCACUCUCGAGAAUUCCGUGGGGGAUAUCAGGGAGAGGAUUGAUGAUGUCGAUGAUAGGCUCCAUGAUGGAUUGCAGUCCAUGCAUGAGCAGCUCAAAGUGUAUGUGACGGAUAAUGUGGAACAGUUGACUGGUAAAGAUGAUGCCAUUGAGGCUAUGGUGGCGGCCUUGAAAAGGGAGAUUGCGGAGCUCAAGGGUGAACUCACAAUCUACAAGGUUGCUUUGGGCAAUGGUGGGUUAGCUGCCGUUGCACCCAAGCCCAAUAUUGAUGUUUCCAAGCCCAAGGAGUUCAAGGAAACAAGGUCUGCAAGAGAUGUGGACAACUUUUUGUGGGGAAUUGAGCAAUACUUCUGUGCCAAAGGCAUCACGGAGGAUGUCACUAAGGUAACUACUGCUGCGAUGUAUUUAUCCGACGUUAUUUUGUUGUGGUGGCGUCAUAGGUCCACUGAUGUGAGACGUGGUGGGAUCGAAAUCGAAACAUGGAAGGAGUUUCAAUGUGAGUUCAAAGCACAAUUUUACCCAGAGUAUGCCGAGGAUGAAGCUCGGGAAAAGUUUCGUCGGCUUGCACAACAAGGCACUAUGAGGGAGUAUGUGCAGGAGUUUAGCGAACUUAUGCUCCAAAUCUCAGAUAUGGGGGAGAAAGAGGCAUUCUUUUCUUUCAUGGAUGGAUUAAAAUCGUGGGUGAAGCAAGAGUUGCAACGCCGAGGAGUUCAAGAACUCACCAAGGCGAUGUCCGUAGCAGAAUCGCUUGCUGAAUUUGGUGGGAAGAAAGACAAUCCCAAUUCUUCUAAGCCCAGAUUUAAUCAAAAGGGUAAUAGUGGGGGAGAUAAAGAAAGGCCCACUAGGAAUGGCAAUGGUAAGAAGCCUUGGGACAAGAAAAAGAGUGGGCCUAUAAGUUGCUUUCACUGUGAUGGUCCACAUAUAAUCAAGGACUGCCCAAAGAAGGCCGCUCUCACGGCUAUGGAAGCAAAGGGGGAGUCCGAUGUGGAGGAUAAAAAUCUUGGUUCGAUACUAGGGGGUGUCGAAGAUAGAAUGAGCCAUGGUUUGAUGUUUGUAGACAUCAUUGUGGCUGGCAAAAAAUUGAAUACGCUCGUUGACACAGGCGCUUCUGAUUUGUUCAUGUCCGAGGAGGCUGCUUAUAAAAUGGGCCUCAAGGUAGAUAAUGAAGUGGGUCGGAUUAAAACAGUGAACUUAGAAAGCAUUCCAAUCAAGGGGGUUGCAAAGGGAGUGGAUCUUCAGCUCGGCAAAUGGUCUGGGAAGGUAUCCAUUAAGGUAAUACCACUUGAUGAUUAUGAUUUUGUGGUUGAACUAAGCUUCCUAGAUUAGGUUAAUGCUCUUAUUGCCCCGUCGAGCAAUUACAUGGUGAUUUUGGAUGCAAAACAUCAAUGCAUGGUGAAAGUGACAAGGAAAAGAAGCUUUGAGGGAAAAACACUGUCAGCAAUUCAGUUUGCUAAAGGUGUGCGGAGAAAUGAAGUCUCAUAUUUAGCAACCUUAAAGAUCGAAGAGACCGCUAAGUCUGUUAGUGAGACCCCAAAAGAAGUGGGUCAAUUGUUGCAAUUAUUUCAAGAUAUACUGCCUGCUCAGUUGCCUAAAAGUUUUCCACCCAAGAGGGAGGUGGAUCACAAAAUCGAGUUAGUGUCUAAUGUGGUGCCGCCAGCAAGGGCCCCCUAUCGUAUGUCUUCGCCAGAAUUAAAAGAGUUGCGGAAACAAUUGAAGGAACUUUUGGAUGCGGGAUUCAUUGGACCAUCUAAAUCCCCAUACGGUGCCCCAGUGUUGUUCCAAAAGAAACAUGAUGGGUCCUUGAGAAUGUGCAUCUAUUAUCGAGCUCUAAACAAGAUCACUGUGAAGAAUAGGUACCCUAUUCCUUUUAUUGUAGAUUUGUUUGAUCAGCUUGGUAGUGCAAGAUGGUUUACCAAGUUAGAUCUGAGAUCAGGGUAUCAUCAAGUACGGAUAGCCGAGGGAGAUGAACUAAAGACAGCUUGUGUGACACGGUACGGUUUGUAUGAGUUCCUUGUGAUGCCUUUCGGACUCACAAAUGCCCCAGCUACAUUCUGCACCCUAAUGAAUAAGGUACUUCAACCAUUUCUUGAUCGUUUCGUGGUUGUUUACCUUGAUGAUAUUGUGGUGUAUAGCAAGUCUCUUGAAGAGCACAAGAGACACUUGAGGGAGGUGAUCCAAACUUUGAGGGAAAAUGAGCUGUUCAUCAAAAAGGAGAAAUGCUCAUUCGCCCAACAAGAGGUGUAAUUCCUAGGCCACAUUGUGGGAGGUGGUAAAAUCCGAAUGGAUAAGAGCAAGGUUCGAGCCAUUUUAGAGUGGGAGCCUCCAACCAAGGUAACGAAGUUGAGAUCCUUCCUUGGGUUGGCAAAUUACUAUUGACGCUUUGUAGAAGGCUACUCUAGAAUUACCACUCAUUUGACGGACAUGUUGAAAAAGGGGAAGGUAUGGGAUUGAAAACCGGAAUGUGAGAAGGCAUUUAAUCAAUUGAAGCAAGAAAUGACGAGGGAACCUGUACUUGCCUUUCCAGAUUUUGCAAAACCUUAUGAGGUACGCACGGAUGCAUCAGAUUAUGCUAUUGGGGGAGUACUAAUGCAAGAUGGGCACCCAAUUGCUUUCGAGAGUCAAAAGCUUAAUGAGACGGAGCGUAGAUAUACGGUCCAAGAGAAAGAGAUGACUAUGGUAGUACACUGCUUGCGCACAUGGAGACAUUAUCUAUUGGGUUCCAGGUUCGUGGUCCUUACCGAUAAUGUUGCCAAUAGUUACUUUCUAACCCAGAAAAAGUUGUCUCCCAAGCAGGCUCGUUGGCAGGUUUUACUAGCGGAGUUUGAUUUUACAAUGGAAUAUAAACCAGGAAGUGCCAACAUUGUGGCUGAUGCACUCAGUCGAAAUAUGGAAUUCGCAGCAAUUAUUCAACCUAAUGGCUCUUUGUUGGAACGCAUUCGAGAGGGAUUGUCCCAUGAUCCCAUGGCCAAAAAUUUGAUUGAACUUGCAAAUGAGGGAAAAACAAGAAGAUUUUGGCUUGAUGGGGACCUGUUAUACACUCAUGGGCACCGCCUCUAUGUGCCCCAUUAUGGGAAACUCCGUAAGGAAGUCAUGAAGAAGUGUCAUGACUCGAAAUGGGCAGGCCACCCAGGGAUGCAUCGCACUUUGGCCCUUUUGGAGGAACGUUAUUACUGGCAUAACAUGGGUGCUGAUGUGGAAACCUAUGUGAAAACUUGUCUAGUAUGCCAACAAGACAAGGUUGAGUUAAAGACUCCAAGCGGUUUGCUUCAACCCUUGCCAAUUUUGGAAAGACCAUGGGAGAGUUUAUCCAUGGAUUUUAUUAUUGGUUUGCCUAAGUCUGAUAGGUUUGGGAGUAUUCUUGUUGUGGUGGAUAGGUUUUCAAAGUAAGCGGCAUUUAUUCCGGCGACCAAGGAGUGCCCUGCUGAGGAAGUAGCUCGGUUGUUUCUUAGACACGUGGUGAAAUAUUGGGGAGUGCCACUGUCUAUUAUCAGUGAUCGAGAUGGGCGAUUUACGGGCCGGUUCUGGACGGAUUUGUUCAAGUCAAUGGGCUCAGAUUUGAACUUCUCCACGAGAAUGCAUCCACAAACCGAUGGGCAAACUGAACGAGUGAAUGCAUUGUUGGAGACAUAUCUUCGACACUACGUAAGUGCCACACAAAGGGAUUGGCCAAAAUUGUUGGAUGUGGCCCAAUUCUCAUACAACUUGCAGCGAAGUGGGGCCACGAAUCAAAGUCCAUUUGAAAUAGUGACGGGUCAACAACCACUCACACCCAACGCUGUUGUGACCCAUUAUAAAGGACCAAAUCUGGUAGCCUAUCGAUUCGCAAAAGAUUGGCAAGAGAAGAAUGACUUGGCUAGAGCUUGUUUACACAAGGCAAGUAAGCGUAGCAAGAAGUGGGCUGAUAAAAAACGAAGGGAUGUGCAAUUUCAAGUGGGUGACUUAGUCCUCGCUAAACUACACUUGAUUUUGCGAUAUACUGGCUUGCAUAAAGGUCUUGUGCGAAGGUAUGAGGGGAUGUUCAAAGUUGUGAAGAGAGUAGGCAAGGUGGCUGUAACAGCCCGAUUUCGACUCUAAUCGGACAUAGUGGUUUCGGGACCACAAGUCUGAGUCAAAAAAAAUUUUAAUAUUAUUUUGUGUGUUUAUUUUGUGUGCAUUUGAUUGUGUGAAAUUUUCGUGUUUUAAUUUCGUCGUUUAAGCGUCCGAUUUAAUAAAAGGGCUUAAUCGCGUAAAAUGAAAAUUUAGGGGUUAAUUAUAAAAGCACCUAAUUGUUGAUGUCUUUUUAAAUGGGAGGAUUUAUGAUGAAAUAAGACCAUAAAGUAGAUAGUGAGUGGCAUAUGACAUAAUUGACCUUAAUAUAUAUGUUAUAUAUAUUUAUUAUAAUAAGGUUAAUUUAGUCAAUUGUUAAAUUAAACAUUAUAAUUAAAAAUAAAUGAUGAAAAGAUGAAUGUUUUCAUCUUUUCUUAGCCGAAUUUUAAGCAUGAAGAACCCAACAAUGGCUUUCUAAAAUUCGGCACUUUCAUAGCUUGAUUAAGGUUAGUUUUGUUUCGUUUUUUUUUAUAAUUUUUACGUUUUUUAGAUCGUUGCUUUUUGUACUACAAGACCCAUGCUUUAAUUUUAGAAUUUGAUGGUGAUUUUGAGAUAUGCCAUUGAUGAAUGUUUGAGCUUUUCGAUAGUUGAUGGUGAAAUAUGAAAGAUGGGUGAAAGAUUAAAAUGUUUUGUCUUUGAAUUUUUAGUGAAAUUGAGUAAAUAGGGCUAAAUUGUGAAAUUAAAUUUUUGGGGGACUAAAAUGUGAAAUAAAUGAAAUGUGUGGACUUGUAUGAGAACCAUGAAUAUUCGGCCCUUGUGUGGUAUGGGCAAAUUUUGUGUAAACUGUAUUUUAUGCAAUAGGGAGUAAAUUGCAAAAAGUGUAAAUAUUAGGGGCAAAAUAGUAAUUUUCCAAAUUAUGUGUUUUUGGACUAAAUUGAAUGUGUUAAUAAAUAAAUUAUCUCAUUUUAAUAUAUUUAGAUCGAGAACCAAAGAAAUCAGAGUUAGAUAGGGGAAAAGCCAAAUUAGUCGAAUAAUCGUCCGACUUCGAUUUUCCAUCGUCCGAGAUAAGUCUAUUAGCAAUUUAAUGUUAUUAAAUCAGCAUAUAUAUAUUUAUUUUAUAUUUGAUGAGCUAUAAUUAAAAAUAUAUGAAUUUUUAAUUAGUUAAGUAUGAAUGUUAUAUAUAUCAUAAAUGAAGUUCGAAUAUAUGUAAAUAUAUAUGCAUAUCUAUUGUAUAUUUGAUGAGCUAUAAUUGAAAGUAUAUAAAUUGAAAUUAGUUAAUGUGUGAAUGUUAUAUAUAUGCAUAAAUGAAGUUCGAAUAUAUGUAAAUAUAUAUGUAUAUCUAUUGUAUAUUUGAUGAGCUAUAAUUGAAAGUAUAUAAAUUGAAAUUAGUUAAGUAUGAAUGUUAUAUAUAUGCAUAAAUGAAGUUCGAAUAUGUAUAUAUGAAUAUGUAUAAGAUCUUGAGUUUAAUUAAAGGUAUGGAUGAUAUAUUUAUAUAUAUAUAAGGUUUGAAUAUAUAUGUAUAUACAUGUAUAAGUUUUUGAAUGGAAUUAAAAGUAUGAAUUCUAUAUAUUCAUGCAUAUGUGUGAGGUUCGAAUAUAUAGUUAUGUGUAUAUAUAUAAGUUUUUGAAAUGAAUGUAAAGUAUGGACUUUACAUAUGCAUGUGUGUGGUUCGAAUAGAUAUAAAUACAUAUACAAAUACUUGAGUUGGAUUAAAAGUAUAAUUUGUAAAUGCUUGUAUGAUUCAAACAUGGAUUACAAAUUUUCUGGAGAUAAAGUUGAGGUUGUGAAUUAUACAUAAAUGUUAUGAACAUGUGUUGCUAUUAAGAAAUGUACGAGGAAUCAUCUUUGUAUCUGUGAAAUUGAAAUUUUCAGGCUAAGCGCCUAGCAAGCUUAAUGCCGGUGAAUUUUUCGGACUUUAAGUUUAGCAGGCUAAGUGCCGGUGAUCUGAAUCAGGUUAUAAAGCUAGCAGGCUAAGUGCCGGUGAUCUGAAUCAGGCUAUAAUCUUAGCAGGUUAAGUGCCGGUGAAUAUGUUAAAUUAAGUGAUUAUAUGCAUUUGAUAUAUAUAUAAAUAUGUAAAUGAUUUUGGGUUAUAUAUAAUGGAUAACUAUGUGAACAUUUAUUUAUAUGUAUUUGAUGAGCAUAUAAAUGUUUGGAUCUAUGUGUUUAGUGAAUAGGCACAUAUAUAUUGGUUGUUAUGAAGAUUGUUGAAUAUACAUGUAUGCAUUCGGCACAUGUGGAUUAGAAGUAUAAAUGUGCAUUUGGUUCAUGAAGUUGAUAAGUAAAAAUAUAAGCUUUUGACAUAUGUAUUGGAAAGAUCAUAGAAAUGCAUUCGAUGAAAUCCAAAUGAUAAGUAUAUUAGAAAUUAGUAUAUGCAAUUAAUGAUUAUGUUUGUAACUUGAUUAUAAGCAUAUAAUGUUUAUACAUAUGUUCGUUUAUAUGUAUUUUUAAUUUGCUAUAAACUUACUAAGCUAUAAAAGCUUACUUUGAUUGUUUUUGUCCAUUUGUUUUAUAGAUUUUGGAGUCGCGUUACGAGCUCGGGGAUCAUCAGCAUAGUCUAUCACACUAUCGACUUCUUUUGGUAUUUUGUUAAGUUGAUCUCGAUUUUAUGGCAUGUAUAGGCUUGAGUUUGUUUUUGGUUAGUUUUGUAUCAUAAAAUAUAAAUAGCCAUGCGGAAAUGGUUUAAUUUCCAUGUUUGUGAUCAGUUUGGUUUAAAAAAAAUGUUUUGUUCAUGAUCAUUUUGUUUAAAUUGGGUUAUAUGUGUUUUCGAAUGUGUGCUUUGUUUAGUAAUGCCUCGUAACUCUAAUCCGGGUGACGGACGUUGGUCGGGGUGUUACAGUGGCCUACAAGCUUGAGCUGCCAGCAAAACUUAAAGUCCACCCAAUCUUCCAUGUAAGCAGGCUUAAGCCCUUUCAUGGGGAUCAAGAGGAUCCAAAUCGAGGCAAGUCCGAACGAGCACCGAUGGGGGUAAAGGUGUCGUACGAUCGUGAAGUCGAAAACAUUGAGGCAGAUCGGGUAAUUAGGCAAAAGUACCACCGACCAUGACAUGAGUACUUAGUACGAUGGAAGGGACUUCCUGAUAGUGAAGCAAAUUGGGAACCUGCCGAGGCAUUGUGGCAGUUCCAAGGGCAGAUUGACCAGUUUCAUAAGGAAGAUGCGACGAGGGCGUCGCUAGAACAAGUGGGGGAGAAUGUCAUGGAUUGCGCAUGGGAGCACGCAACCAUGACAAACUUGUGCGAUCCAUCGUAUUUAAAGGAGGUCAUUUGGCCCAACCAAACUGGCCCGUUGCCUGGAGAGAUUAAAAGCCCAUCCCAAGAACCUGGUAAAAUGGGAAGUAAUCCAAGAAGAUAUGAUUAUGUAAUCUUAGAGUUCUAAUUGUACACAGCUUCUAAUUGUGUCUUAGAGUUCUAAUUGUAUACAGCUUUUAAUUGUAGCCUUUGAUGUACUUUGAGGCUCAACUAUAAAUAGAGACCUCUUUGCUCAUUGUAAUUCAUUAAGUUAUCAAUAAGAAUUUUGAGAGUAUUCACUCAAAUUUUUCUCUAAAGUGUUCUUACUUUUCUGUGGCUUUCGUUCAUCUUUCAACGUUCGUUCUUACUUCGUUCUUCUGCUGUUCUUCGCGGGUGCCUUGAGGUUAUCAUUGCAAGUUAGGCCGACUUAGGCGUUUUUGCUGAUGAAUCCUUUAUCAUUGCGAGUUAGGCUGACUUAGGCGUUUUUAAGCAAAGAAACUGCCUAAGGCCGCACGGAUCGCGUGGGAAAACUCUAAGUCCGUGACACUAGGAACACUUGUCGCUACGCCAUUGUUGUUUUUGUUGAACCAGCGCCGACGAGCAUUGUCCUAUCAAUGGACAACGUUAACUUUUCAGAUUCAAAGACUUAAUUUAUUAUUAUUAGAUUCAAUUUUGAACUUUAAACUUUAUUUUUGUGUUUUAUUUCGAAAUUGAUACUGACUUUAAAUUUUAAUUUUAUUUAUCCGUAUUAAUUUAUCACAAAAUUAAUAUAUACAACUUAAACAAAUAUUAUGAAUCAUAUACAAAUCAUACCGAAUUUAACUUACCAAUUUCUAAAUAUUUAUAUAAUUAUUUCAAUUUGAUACAAUUCAAUCUCUUAUUUAACUUAAUUUUAAUAUUUUCAUUUAACAAGUUUAUAAUUUUUAUGUCCAAUUUAAUCCUUAAUGUUUUUCCCAGAAAUUACAAAACAAUCUUUGUACUUUCAAAUUUAACAAUAUUUACAAUUUAGUCCUUAAAAUCUAAAUUUUCACUAUUCUAUAAUUUAAUCCUUAAAAAUAGAAUUUAUACCUUCUAAAAAUGCCCAUAUUUUUCAGAUUUUACAAAUCAAUCCAUUUUACCAAAUUUUUUAAAUUUUAAAAUCUUUACAAUUUGAUCUUAUAACCUUGAAUCUUAUCAAACAAUGCUCUCUUUUCAAAUUCACAUAUCCCAUAAUCACACAAAAUAAUUUAUGCAUCAAAAUUCUAGAUUUCCACAUCUCAAUUCUCAUAAUUCAAACUUUUCAAUUUUUUACAAUUUAGACCUUAUUGCAAUUUUUUUAUCAAAUUAACCCCUACACACACAUAUAUGUAUGUAUAUGUAUUCAUCCAAACAAUGUAAAAAAUAAAUAUUUACCACUUCAAACAUAAUAAAUACACAAUUCCAUCAUAAAAAAUAACUAUUUCCAAUUUCAAAUAUUCAUAGUAAAAUCAUCCACACUUUCUUACUUUCAAUUAUUCACAUAAAAUCAUCCACCAAAUUAUUCAUAAUAUCAUUCACCAUUCACUUCAUACAUAAACAUAAUACUUUCAUAACUUGAAACAUAAUAAUAAUAAUAAUGCACACAUUAUUUUUACAAUUGCACAUCAAAUUAUACAAUUAAAUAAAUAUAACAUAAUAAUUUAAGCAACUUAUCUAUGUUUUCUCUCACUUCCAUCUUCCUCUUGAUGCUUCCAUGGUUGGUUUUGUAUGAAAGAACACUCUUAAAUUAGACUUUGGUGUGAAAUCUCACUUUAAUUUCAUGAAAAUUUCAAAAAUUUUAUGUUAAAAAUGAGAAAAUGACCAAAUUAAAUAAAAUAGAAAACAUUUUUUCUAAAUAUAUUUUUGAAGAUACAGUGGCAAAACCUCACUCAAAAUUUAGCCAAUGGACCUAUUUAUAAUGAUGGGAGAAUUGUCUCCUUUGUUUCUAGAUUUUUCCUUUCUUUUCUUUACUUUUCUUUCCUUCUUUUGUUAUUUUUAUUUUAUUAUUAGCUGUUUGUUGUUGCUAUCGUUUACCCUUUUUAUUAUGUAGAAAAAUCUACAUAUUUUCUUUUUCUUUCAAUUUAAUCCCUUAAUUACCAACCAAUCAAAUUUCAACAAAUUUCUUGCUAAUUCUCCACAAUUUGUCUCUUUUUUACACCUCAACACUUAGAUAUUCUACUCUCAUGAUUUUAUUGAUUUAAAUAACUAUAAUAUUGGUCUUUCUUCACAUCAUCAUUUCAUAAAACAACUAUCACUUUUCAUAAUUCAAUUCAUUUGCUUAACGCUUGAACAUUUUUUUCAUACACAUUUUCCACUGUUAUCCAAAUUUCAUAAAUCAUUCAUACUCCAUUCUUUGUAACACUCUAUCAAUUGUCAAAUUGAUCAUUAUUUUCUUACAUUUUCUUAGUAAUUUCCAUCACUUUUGCAACCCUUGGUAAAUGUCAAAGGAGUUUGUUUCAAUAAGAACAUAUGGUGUUUCAAUAAAUUCUAGAGCUCCAAGCCAAAAGAGGAACUCUCGGCCCAUGUACGAGAACUCUAUUAAACACAUUACAUAUCCCAUUUCACCUCUUCUAGUCCCCUCCGAACUCCCAACCUCUAAUCACACCACACUUUUCAAUAAUUGAUCAUAUUUCAUAUGAGCUCACUAGGGCAUUUAUUUACAUAUCACUUUAUCAUAUUGUUCUCUCUCUUUUCUCUCUCCUUUUUUUCCCCACAUAUUUCGCAUUUCACAUCUCCCACAUCAUUUCAAUAUUCAAUUCAUUUCAAAUACCAGUUCAUAUCACAUACAUGAUAAUAUAUUUCAUUCUUAAAUUCGGCUUUACUGUCAUAAGAAAAUAAUCACAUCACAUUUUCUUUAUUUCAUAAAGUACAUUUUAAAUUAUAUCUAUAUUCUCAGUUUGGUCCAGAAUCAACUAAACUUGUAGCUCUGAUACUAAUAAAAGUAGCAUCAGUACCUGAUUAGGUAACAAAGCCGAACAAGAGAUGUUGCAUAAAAAAAUUCAAAUUUUUUUGUAAUAUUUAAACACUUAGGGUCCGUUUGUUUACAUGUAAAAGGUUUUACGGAAAAUAUUUUCUGCAUUUUCCUGUCUUUGUUAACAGUUUGGUCAACGAAAAAUGACUUACAGGUCAAAGUAAAAUAAGUCAUUUUUCCUAUAAAAUGACUUACCCUUUUGAAAAGCGUAAGUAAUUUUUUGAAAAAAAAAACUCCUCUAUAGAUCAUUUUAUUUUUAUAUAAAAAUUAACUUAAAUCAAACUUAAUAUUAUUACAUUAAUAAGAAUUUUUAUUUUAUUUUUAAAAAUAUUUAAAAUAUUUAAAAUAUUAAUAUAAAAUAUUAUAUUUUUCAGUAUCAUUAAAAUACCUAUUUAAUUAUUUAUAUUUAGUCAUAUAAUAAAUUAUUAAUAUUAUUAAUAUAAUUUAUUAUUUUAAUAAACACUUCAAUUUUAUUUAAUAAUAAAUUUUAAAAAUAAUAAAUUUAAAUAAUAUUCAUCACAUAUUAUUGAAAAUAUUCAAUAUUAAUAUUUUAAUAAUAAAUAUGUAUUAUUCACCAAAAAUAAUAAUAAAUAUUUAUUACAAUUAUAAAUAUAUUAAUAAUAAAUGUUUUGUAGUAUAAAGGUUAAAAUAUGUCAUAAGUCUAUGUAUUUUUCACAAAUUUGUAAUUUAGUCUCUAUACUUUUGUUUUUAAGAAUUUAGUCCCUCUACUUUUCAGAUUUGAAAAUCAAGUCCAAUUGUUGACAUUGUUAAAAUUUUUUUUAUCAAUUUUGUUGAUAUCAUAUUUUUUAAAUAAAAAAUACUCACUUGGUAAUCAUGCAACUAAAAAAAUAAUGUUGUAAUGAACUUGAAUUUAACAAAAUAUUUUUUAUAUAUUCAAAAACAAUGUAAAAUAUAAAAUUAUAGAUAUAAAAUAAACUCAAUUAAACAAUUAAAAGAUAAGAAAAUCUUAAAUGUAUGUUUGUUUCCUUGAAAUUAAAUUUUAUAAAAUAUUUUUAAGAAAUCUAUCAAACACCAUAAAAUAUUAGCUUUUUCAAAAAAGUUAUUUUCUAAAAAUCAUAUUCUGGAAGUCAUUUUCAGUAAAACAAACGGAGCCUUGAUUUAUUAUUAUUAGACUCAAUUUCAAACUUUACAUUUUAUUUUUGUGUCUUUUUUUCGAAAUUGACACAUAUAUCCAUCAUCUGAGCUUAUUCUAUAGCCUUAAAAUUUAAUUUUACUUAUUCACGCUAAUUUAUCACAAUUGGUCAUUUUUAUUCUUAGUGUCUCGAUACAUGCUUCCAAUGUCUUAAGACACAAUGUUCUAUUACUUAUAUAUAAUUGACAAUUUGUAAAUAAUUGUUUUUUUUUAUAAAUAAAAUAUUACAAAGUUUAAUAAACUAUUUUUUCUAAAAUUAGGAUUACGCUUGCAAUUAUAAUUAUUACAUUUAAGAACUGAUUCACUUAUUGUAAUAUAAAACUUACUUUCAUAACUUUUUUAAGAAACAUUUGCUUAACUUUAACUUUUUGUAUUAUAAUAAUAAUAGUUAAGUUAAAUGAAUUAGUCUAUAUAAACAAUGAAAUUGUCACGUAUUAUUCUAUUAAAAUUAUUCCUUUAAACAUAGAUUUUUUUUCCAUUCAGUUUGAUUUGGAUAAAAUGAAUUUCAUGUAAAAGAUUCGAACCAAAUUGAAUUGUAUAAUUUAGGUGAUAACAUCAACCCGAAACCAAACCAAACAAUAUAAAACUUGUAUUCAAAUCAAAUUUUCAAUUAUCUUUGCUCAGUCCUACUUUAUUCCAAUGCAUUGCAAUUUAUCCUUUACACGCAUGGGUGGCCAUUGCUCUUAUUCCCUUUGUAUCAUUAUGCUCUUGGUUGACAAAACAACAAAUAAUACUAUACUUCAUUAUUGUUUAGUCUUCAAGUGGUAGCUCCCAAAAUGGGUUAAAUUGUCCAAUGAAAGCUCCCUAAGGUCCCAAAAGUUAUAUUUAUUUAUUUAUUAGUCUAUUGUGCUUAGCGUAUUUUACGUUUUUUUCAAAUCCCCACCUUACAAACAAGAUUAAUAUAAACAUUUUUGUAUACAUCCAAUUUUAAUUCGGUGUAUUUAUAUAUAUUAAAAUUUAAUUUUAAUUCAAUUUUUAUAUGUUAUUAACCUUAUUAUUUAUGUGCCACAAUUUAUUGUUAAAUCAGGUAUAAAUUACAAAUGUUAAAACUAUUUUUAAUUGAAAAGUAACUUUGACAAUAUUUGAGAAAACAUACAAAAAAAUUCAUUACAACAUUGGAUGUUAUUAAGAAAAUAAGAGUUAUUAUCGAUCUUUUUGAUGACGAGUGAUCGGUCACCUAAUAUAAAUUACCUUUUAAAAAAGAAAUUUUUUGAAGUUCUUUUAAAAAGAUAAAUUUUGGAUCUGUGUUAAAAAAUCAGAGUAAAACGAAUUUAGGUUCGGGAGUCGACUACAUAUGAAGAAAGUAUUAGCAUCCUCACAACUCCCAAAAAUUGGUAACUUGUCUAAUACAUGUUGUUUUCAAAUUGAGAAAAUUAUACGUUAAGUUCAAUAUUUAAACAUGAUCUCGUACAAAGUUGACAUGGAUAUAAAUUUAUGUAAUUGAAUGAAUUUAAUUUUAGAAGUAGAUAUUUUGUUAAAUGUGACAUUUUUAUUAUAAAAUAAAAUAUAUAUUCACUCAUGUUUGAAAAGAGUAUUUUAACGAUAUGGUAUCUAAUAAUUUUGACAACACAUCCUCAUUAAUUUUCUAAUGCAAAAGCAAAAAAACAAACAAACAAAUGAAAUCAUGGUUAAAUGCACACAUGUUGAACCACGUUUGAAUCAACAUUGUGAGAUCAGACUAGAUUUUAAUGGUUAUGUACGCAUGAAUUAUACAAAGAUGUAUAUGUAUAGACUAAACUCAAGGUAAAGUGGGAAAGUAGCCACAAAAUAUAUAAAAAAGAUAAUGAAAUGAAAGUUGUAGCAACUAAGUAAUUUUCUCACAUAUUAUACAAAUAAUUUGUGGAUGCGUCUCAUAUUCUUGUCCUAGUUAAAUUUUGAUUAUUCUAGGUAUAUUUUAGUAUGAUUGGAACUCUAACUUUAGCCUAUUUAAAGGCGUAUUGUAUCAUUGUUUUGAGAUGCCAAUUAGAAAAAAGACUUUUCUUUGGGGAGCGACAAGAUGUAGUUGCAUAUGAGUUUUGAUGAGAGUUUCAUGGUAAUCAUGUACAGUAUUUUAUAUUCCUUUUAUGAGUGUCCUAUGAGAUUUAGGGUUUGCUCUUUGAGAUUUUGAAAUUUGUAUUCAGGGUUUUUGGGUAAAUUAACUUUCCCUCUUUGAGGGUUUUCCUAGUAAAAUAUUUGUAUUCAUUUUUCUCCACUUUUAUUAUCUUGUUGUUUAUAGGGGUCCAUCCCUAAUAUAAUUAAUUAUAACAUGACAGCAGUGUGAAUUGCACGAGCAAAUUAUGACACAUGCAGCAACCAAGCAUUGAAAUUUCUCAAAGAUAUCAAACAACUAAGCUACCGUGCUAAAAGUAUAUAAAAGGUAAAUGAUUAACUCAAGGAAUUUGUUUACCAAUAAACUGAUCACUUUGAGUUGCUCCCGGUUCUCCUUCUAGAACUAAGCUACACAGACAGAAGGGUUCGUCUCCCUCACGUCAUCAACGCUCGAAAGUCUAAGGCCAUCUUGCUUUGCCAUUCAAAGUCGACACAACCAGCGAAUGAGCAUAUCUUCUUGUUCUUCUAUAUCUUAAUGGUUGGGUUAAAGGGAAUGACUUGUAUCGAGAGCGGCAGCAAGUCUUCGGUUGGGAGGAUGAGUAUGGAUUUGAUGAAUGGUGGUGUCAGUUGGAGAUAUAAGGUGAGAGAGAUGGCUAAAAUAGUUCAACAAACCGCUGCUAAAAUAUUCGAAAACAACUGUACAACAUUUUGAUUGUUCAAAAUGAUUUUAGCUUUGAAUAAUCUAACUUUUGAGUAGCUUUUAACUUUAGAAUGAGGAUAUAAUCCUUCAAAUAAAAUAUGUGAAAUUAUUCACAUAAGAAUUUGAUCAGACUCAUUUGUUGUACAUUCGACUCUCAUCAGAGUCCUAGUCAUGUUUCCAAGGGAUGGUCUAACUUGAAAGCAAAUGGCUUUCUUAAAGUUGUGCCUAUCAAUGUGAAAUUAAUUAGGAGAAUAUCACUUGAGGCUUUUUUAUUACCACAUAAAUAUUUUACAAUAUCAACUAUGGACGAUGGUGAUGCGGUUAUGGAAUAGAAUUAUACUAUUUGAAUUUUGAUUAGCCAUUCACUUUUAAAGGAAAUAAUGGUUAAACGAAAUUGAUUCUGAACAAAGGUAUCUGAUCAAAAGCUAGCAAACUAGGGAACAGUGUUAAACAGAAAAGAACAAAAGCAAUUCAAUAUUGUAUGAUAAUGCACUACAGCAAAACAGGUUUUUAGCGGCGUUUUUUGGGGCCUUUAGCGGCGCUUUUUGCCGCCACUAAAGAUAUUUGCGGCGCUUUCAAAAAAGGCCGCUAACAAAAACGUCGCUAACGUUUGCAGCGUUUACAACUAAAAACGCCGUUAAAGAACAUGAUCUUUAGCGGCAUUUUUCCUUUCUUUAGCGGCGCUUAAGGAAAAAUGCCGCUAAAGAACAUGUUCUUUAGCGACGCUUUUUCUUUGAGCGCCGCUAAAGAACUUUUUUACAAAAACACCACUAUUUUUGGGAUUUUUUUAUAUUGAAAUUUUCAUUUCUUCUGCCCUCCUGUAGCAAAAAAUAAAAAACAACCAAAUCUAAACCAGCCAAAAGCAAUAAAUUUAUAUAAUAUUUCAAAUUAAACGAAUAAAAUAAUAUUAAUAUCAAUAAAUAAAAGUGAAUUCAUAUUAUUUUUGCAAAAGUGUUAAAAGUUAAAAUGAUAAAAAUAUUAAUGCAAUACACUAUGACGGCGGAAGAUGCGACUGAAACAUCUUCAUCAUACUCUGAAGCUGCUGCUGGAGUUCGUCGUACUUUCUGCUCUGCUCUGCUUCUCUCGCUGCAGCCUCUGCUUUAAGUUUUAGCUGCAGUUCAUAUUUCUUUUGAACAUCUGCUUCUCUCGCUGCAGCCUCUGCUUCCCUCGCUGCCGCAUCUGCUUUAAGUUGUAGCUGGAGUUCUUCAUAUUUCCUUUGAACCUCAGCUGUGGUCGCUUGCAUCUGAGUCAUCUGAUCUUUUAACCUCUGAACUUCAGCUUGAGCCUGACUCCCCGAAGCCAUGUAUUGCUGCGAACUGAAUCCAAAAUAUUAGGUUGGGCUAACAAAAGAUCCUUGAAAUCGAACCCGACCAUACCUUUCAGGACCCAAAACUUCAGUAAUAAUCCGGUUAUCAAUGUCUUCAAGAUGAACAGAACUAUCACUAGAAGCAAUCGCUUCGUACUCUGCCUUUUUAUCCUUUAGUUUUUCCUAAUAAAUAAAUCGCAUAGUUAGGAACGCAAUAUAUAUUAAAAAACAUAUGCAACAUAACAUUAGCCGCAUUACAAGCAAUGAAUUAAACCAUUAGAAAAUAAACACUAUAAAUAACUAAAACAAGUCAAAUCGUAUUAAGUAAACAUACCAUUAUUUCACCGGCUUCAGGAGUCAUGGGAGAUCCAUCUUUCUUCCUAUGUGUAAUUUCAAAAAGUUGAAGUCGUCCAACUUUUUGACCGGACGACAGUUCCUACAAUAUAGUAGUAAAAAUAUUAUUUAAUGGAAAGUUAUACAUAUUUGACAAUAUUAAAAAAUUAAAAAUACCUCCGCCUCAGCUACACAUGCAAAACUUCUCGACCCGGCUGUGUGAGUGAAUUUUUGUUUCUGCCUGCUGCUUUUUCCAACUUGUUCACGAUCCUACGUUAUGAAAUUUUUAGUACGUAAAUAGUAAAUACUAUAAACCAAAAUAAUUACAAUAGUUUGGAAGUACGUCAUACCUCGCAUUUUUUCGAAUGCCAAAAUCUAACCGCAUCUUCCCAUUGGUACCUCAACAUACCCGGCGGGACAUUUUGCAAUUUCUCAUCGAGGGUUGUUUUUGUCUUGUAAUAAUUUUUCUUCAAAGUACUUUUAUUGUCUCUCCAUCUUUUUCUCAAUGCCUUCUUUACAUAAGCAUCCGAGACCUCUAAAGCAAACCUCGCCUACAAAAAACACAAGUUAAUAAAGUAAAUAUAAAUGAAACUAUUUCCCAAGCAUUACAGAUGACAUUAACAUUUUGUUACCUUAAUAUUAUCGAGGGCUUGGUUUUUGUUGCUAUCGGGCAUUUGAUGCCAUGACUCGUAGUUGAUAGGCAACAUAUUUGCAUUUCGUGCUAAAAUGCCCAUGUAUCCUGCUAAAAGUCGAGCUUCUGAUCCAACAGGCUGACCAAAACUAUUUCGUCCAACUUUGACACGCUCGACUGGAUCUAACUCGUAUAACUCUCUAAGUAGCGUACGUCCUCGACCUCUGCGCGUCCCACCAUUUUCAGCUACAAAUGGUAUAUUAUAAUAUAAGAAUUUGAAAAAUGAAUCAAUUAUAAGUCAACACGCAUGUAAAUUAAAUGUAAAAUUACUUUGAACUUCUGUAGGAUCCUUAGGUGUAAUCGGAACAUUCGAAGAUCCAAUUGCUGUCUGUUGUUCAGUACUAUUUAUUUCUGUCGAGUUUGGAUCAUUUUGAACAAUGCUUCCCCUUAGAAUUUUUCUUCUAGGCAUUUUAUCUGCAAUACACAUAAAAUAGUUGAAAACUUAAUAACUAAUUACAACAAUAACAACACAUAUAAAAUAGUUGAAAUAUAAUAAGACCAAGAUUUAAAUUAUGAUAUUACAUAUAAUUAAACAAUCGUAAAAUCUUACUACAUCAUUAUUCGUAGAUAUCUUCAUCCGUAUCCUGACGAACCCAUUGAAAUUGUGCACAGUACUAGGGAUAUUAUCGUUUAAGUUUUGUUCUGGAAAGGGCAAAGUUUCUGAUCUGUCAUCGAUGUUAUCUCUACUUCCACUGCCCAUGUCAAACAAGUCUCUAGGGAUGUUACGGAGUACAACGUACCAACCCUCAUCAGUUGGAUCUUUUGAGUAAAAAAUUUGUUUGACUUGAGAUGAGAAUACAUACGGCUCAUCUAUCAGUUGUUGUCCUGUGUGAAUCAAUCGGUCAAAGUUCACCAUUGUAAAACCAAAUUGAUCUUGCUUUAUUCCACGAGCAAUAUUAACAUCGGCCCAGUCACCUCGAAAUAAGACAACUUUCCAUUUGCCGUAGUAAUCCAACUCAAUUAUGUCAGUAAGAUGUCCGAAAUAUUCCACAUUUCCCUCGACAGGAUUAUUGUCCCUAGCACUAGCAUAACUUGUAAUUGCAGAAUUAACAACUAUUCCAGAAUUUUGCGUUCUCCUCAACCUCUUAUGAUAUUUUGUAUGAAACCUAAAUCCGUUGAUGAGGAACGCACUAUAUCUUUCAACCACUCGAUUAAGUAGCGCGUAGAACUUCGCUGCUUCUUCAUUCGGCUCUUCAUGAGGUAUACUACUUCCCGGUUCGGUAAAAGUAUUUCUCUCAAUAUUACAAUCAUCAGAAGCCACAAAGUCCGCUGGGAACGACUGGACACCAUGAUUGUGCAUAUUAAAUGCAUCCCGCAACAUACCUUCCAUGUCAUCCCCUCUAUCAGACUGAUGGUAAGCAGUACCAGAAUAAGAUACAUCCAUCGUUGAAGAGGAAGUACUAUGCGGGCAUUCUCCAUGAAAUAACCAUUGUUUAUAACCCCGAACAAACCCAUCAACAAUUAGAUACUCGUAUACAACCUCACGAUAAUGCCAGUUUAUGUUGACACACUUCUUACAGGGGUAAAGAAUCAUGUUCUCUUGGCUUGCAUAUUGAAAUGCAAAAUUUAGAAAAUACUGUACUCCAUUUCGAUUACCGUUGCUAACCCUUGACAAAUUCAUCCAAGACCGGUCCAUUUCUUAAUUCUUGAAGUCUGACGUUGACAAUAAUUUGCACGGGUAAGUUAUUUAAUUUAUGUAAGUUAUGUAAGUUAUUUAAUUUAUGUAGGUUAUGUAAGUCCAUGAAAUUUAUGUAAGUUGUGUAAGUUAUUUAAUUUAUGUAAGUUAUGUAAGUUAUUUAAUUUAUGUAGGUUAUGUAAGUUAUGUAUGUUAUUUAUUUUAUGCAAGUUUAUGUAAGUUAUUUAAUUUAUGUAAGUUAUGCAAGCUUAUAUACAAGUUAUGUAUUAUAACAUAAAGUAUUAUGUUAUUAUAUAUAAGUUAUGUAAAUUAUUAUGUAAGUUAUGCAAGCUUAAAUAUAAGUUAUGUAUUAUAUAAGUUUUGUAAGAUAUGUAAGUGGUGUAUUAUGUAACUUAUGUAGAAAACUUAUAAAAUUAAUACACAUAAAUUUUAUUUCUCCCAAAUUUAGAACACUUAUUUAGAAAACGAAGUAAAUUUAAUACUAAUAAAUUUUAAUACAAAUAAAUUUAGAAAACUUAUUUAGAAAACUUAUAAAUUUAGAAAACUUAUAUAGAUAUUAAAACAAUAUUUACAAUUAUUUAGAAAACUUACAAAUUUUAUAGUAAUAAGUUUUAAAUAUAGGUUAUAUACCCAUACCAUAUAUGGGGUGAUAUAUUAAAAAUAUUGGUUUUAAUAGAUAUUAAAUUAUCAUUUACAAAUCUUUUUUAAUUUUAAAAUGUUAUUAUUACAAAAAAUGAAAUAUAGGUUAAAAUGCCCAUAUUAAUAUAUGUAAUAUAUAAAAAGAAUAUAAAUUUAAAUAUUUACGAUAUAAUAUUUCUGUCCAAUAUUUUAAUAUUUACGAUAUAGUUUAUUAAUUUAGAAGUGAAAUUGAUAACUUAGUUACAUACUUUGCCAAAAUCAAUAAAUUUUUCAUAUUAAACCGAAUAAACUAAUCGCCCAUAAUUUAUUCAAAUACUCUUUACGUAAGUCCUUUAAGAAUUGGGAUAAUCCGAAAUUUAGUAAACUCUGACGAUUGUUUUUAUUUGCGUAAACAGUUCGUCAACAUAUAUCAAAUCAUAAUUUAAACAUCGCAAUUAUGUAAUCAGGUAGCUGCAAAGUUAUAAGUAAACAGAUGCAUAUAGGUUAAAAACCAAAAACCUUAAUUAAAACUCCCUUUUAAAACUAAAAAAUAAUAAGUAAUCUAUUAAGCUAAAAUAUAUCCAGGUCAGAAAUUUAAACAUUUGGAUGUGUUUUUGUAAGAAAAGUAUAUAGUGAAACAUAGGAAUAAAUACCUCAAAUUUCCUCAAAGUUGCAUAAACUUCUGCAAAAAAUAACAAAACACAACUAACUAAGUACCAAAAAAAUAAGAAAGAAGUAAACAGAAGAUUAUUUAAGUACAUUUAGAUUCAAAUCAACUUAAUAUAAAUUAAAUCAAAAUCUUAAAUUGAUAAACUAACUUAGUACCAAAAAACAGGAAAAAAUACAACAGAAGUAAGCAGAAGAUUAUUUAACUACAUUUAUAUUCAAAUCAAUGUAUCAAUUUUAAUUAUCACAACAAUAAACUUAAUAAUAAUUGAUAAAGCAACAAUCAACUUAAUAUAAAUUAAAUCAGAAACUUAAAUUAAACAAAUAUGAUAAAGUAACAGUUACAGGAAGCACAGUUACAGGAAUUUUACAGAGAAAAUAAUCGAAUUUCAUUUGAAGCCACUAAAUAUUCCAGAGAAAAAGGAAUUUUACAGAGGUUUAAAAUUUAACAUAUGAAUAUUUCUUCAAACCUAUUAAAGAAAUGAACGCUUACCCAUGGCAAUAUUUGCAUUUUGUGAUGAAGGACCAUAAAUAACUAGUGUCUUAUCCAUGAUGAUAUUAUCAAAAUAUCAUACUAAACUUGGAACAUGCUACAUGAAACUCUGUAGACUUCACUUGAUUAAAAUCAAACAACAUUCAGAUUAAGUCAACCAAACUCAACCCAAUCUAAUUUGAUUAUGAAAAGCCAAAACCCCAAAAAUAACUCAAAUCCAAAAUGGCCAAAACUCAAAAUAACUUAAAACCCGAAAUGAGCUAAACAACUAAUCCAAAAUGACCUAAACCUGAGACGACCUAAUCUGAAAAAACCAACUAGCAGAACUAAAUAAUCCGAGCAGAAAAUGACCCAAACCGAAAUAACCUACACUUAAUUUAAAUAUAAGACCCAAAUAUAAUUCUUUUCAAAUAGACCCAAAAUUUAAAAUUUCACAUAUGUAAUAACUCUUAAUUUGUUUCAGUAAUAUUCUAUUUCCCCUGAAAUGAAUGCAUAUAAAAUUAACAAAUGUAAUAAACAAAUUAAGAGCACGUUUGGUUCGCUGUAUUGGAUUAGAGGUGUAUUAGAUUAGAGGUGUAAUGGAAUAGAGGUGUAAUAGCAAAUCAACUGUUUGGUUGAAUGUAAUGGAAUAGAGGCGUAAUAGUAAAACUGUGUUUGGUUGAAUGUAAUAGAGGUGUAAUAGCAUAAUGGAGAAAACUAAAAUGACCAGAAUACCCUUAGCAUAAAUUUGUUUUGGUAAAUGAUUAUUGUUAUUGUUAUUUAAAUUUUAAUAAGAUUAUUUAUUAUCAAAAAUAAAUAAUUUAAUCAUAUUUAAACAUAAUUAUUAUUUAAUAUAUUUUAAUUAAAAUAUAUAAUUUAAUAAAAUUCUUAAUAAUUAGCAGAAAUUUGUUUUGGUAAAUUAUUUUAUUUAAAUUUUAAUAAGAUUAUUAAUAUCAAUAAUAAAUAAUUUAAUCAUAUUUAAACAUAAUUAUUAUUAAAUAUAUUUUAAUUAAAAUAUAUAAUUUAAUAAAAUUCUCAAUAAUUAAUAUUCUUAUAUGAAUUUACUCAAACCAUAAUAUAUGAUACUGUAAAAUAUAAAAUAACAUAAUUAUUAUUAAAUAUAAUAUAAUUAAAAUAUAUAAUUUAAUAAAAUUCUUAAUAAUUAAUAUUCUUAUAUGAAUUUACUCAAAUCAUAAUAUAUGAUACUAUAAAAUAAAAUUUUAAAUAAUUAAUAUUAAAUAUAUUUUAAUUUAAAUAUAUGAUUUAAUAAAAUUUAAAAUAAUUAUAACUAAUAAAUUAUAUUUUAUGAAUUUGUAUAAUUUAAAAUAAUAAUUAUUACAUAUAAUUUAAUAAUAAUAUAAAAUUUCAUAAAAUUCUUGAUAAUAAAUUUUCUUAUAUGAAUUUAUACAAUUUAAAAUAAUGCCAAUGCCAACACUACCACAUUUGGGUUCAAAUUAUACUCAUAGUAAGCUCAAACUUUUAUUGAUGCCAAUGCCAACACUACCAAAACCUUUUGGACAAUUAUUUCGAAGAUUUAAACCAACAAAAAGAAAAUCAAUAAGUAAUAAAACCAUAGAAAAUAAAAGAAAAAAUUUGCCUUUGAAGCACAUUCAAUUGUGCACUUGGUUCUCUUUGAUAUCUCCAUGAUUUCUUCAUCUUUAUUCAUAAUAUCAAACAUAGGCAAACAAAACGAUAAUUGUAACCCCCUACCCCUACCAACAUUUUAUUGUAAGUAUAACUAACACAGGAUAACUAGUUGGCCUCUUAAAACAGUCAAAGACCAGACCCCAAACCAAACCAAACUGCUAAACAACAAAGCAGACAUCAUUAAAAAGACCCCAUCCCCAGAUUGCAUCAUUUUCAAUUCUUAGAAAUGAGGAGCAUAGAGCUGGAGAACCUUCUGCUAGGACGGUCUGCUGCUAAUAUCAUCCCACCAAGCACUCACAUGCUUCCUGCUGGUUGUCAUGUAUUAGGGAUCACUUCCAGAACCCUGUUUUCCCUUAGCAACAUUUGCAAACUCACAAGCUCCAGACAACAAGGGACUGGAGAUGUUACCGUUAGCAUACUACACGUGUGAUUGCAAAUUUAUGAACAUUCAACUACAAAAGUCCAGAACCUACCAAAAUUUCUAAGCCAAUACCUCAGAAUCGAUUUGCUGAAUAUUGGGGAAAAUUUGUUUCAGGGUAGCAUUGUAGUUAGGAGACUGCGCUUGCAAUAAAACAGUACAGUUGAUCACAUAUGAGAAAGGUUAGGAGAGAAGAAUGACUACUAGGCCAGUAUAGAAGAUUGAGAAAUGUCAAACGAUAAUCACCAAUUGUGCUAAUAACUCUAUAGCUAAAAUGAAUGCAAUAUGCCAAGGGGAGGAUGAUGAUAUAGACUUAACUGAACUUAGCCUAGGAAGGUAGAAAACUACUUUAGAUGGAUGCCACUACUUUGGUGAUCAUAUAUUUAAUCACCUAUAGCUAGAUUCAGAUCAUCCAUAAUUUCAACUAUCAAACCAUCACAUUAUGCGCAGAUGAAAGUGACACAGCUUAAUACUAGCUUGAGAAGCUGGUUCAUUCAUUAUUUGCAAAUUACUCAGAAGUGGUUCAAUAGUUUAGUUUAUAUAUAGAUACGAGUCUCCACAGCAUAAACAAGAAUAAUACCUAAAGUUGAAAUGCAAAUCUUAGCACAAACUCUUGGCCAACAGAUCAAGAAAACAUUUAACAAAAAAGUACCUGCUUUAUUAGGCAAACAAAGACGAGAAAAACACAUUGCAAUGUUGGAAUUGAAAGGAGAAAUGAAACAAACAUUGAGAUUUCGAAAAAGUACUUUACUCCAGAGGUGUCAAGCAAAUAUACCAAAAAAAAUAUAAGCCAGAAAGUUUAGAAGAUAAUACUCAAGAGGUUUAUAUAAAAGUUAACAAGUGGAAAAAAACAGAAGGAUUAAAAUCAUACCUGAUGCCCCUACUACUACCUCCCCAAUCACAAUAGCUUACAAUUAGCUUUUUAAGUUGCUAAACUCCUCGCAACUUAGCAUUUCAACUACACAAAUUCACAAUGUAACCUACUAAUUACAACUUCGACCUACUACAAAUACUCAACACCUCCUACAACUUAGCAUUUCAACUACACAAAUACUCAACACCUCCUACAACUUAGCAUUUCAACUACACAAAUUCACAAUGUAACCUACUAAUUACAACUUCGACCUACAAAUUUAUAUUCUACAACAAACAAAAAUCCCGCUUCUAAUCAACUAUCCUUAAUGUAACAUAUAAUGAGGAAAAAGAAAACAAUAUUUCAAAGAUUCUAUCACAGGAAAAAAAAUCAAAUCAAAACAGAAAAUUUGAAUAGCAUACAUAUAAAUGGUCUUCUAAAAUUGACCAAGAAAAAAGAAAACAACAACAUUUUCAAACCCAAUAACUUGAACCCAAAAUCACCCCCCAAACAAUAGUUUACAUGCAAAGAGAUUAUAAAUAACAGCAGAAAAACAUAGAUCUAGUAAAAAGAGACUCGAAUUAGAAAAAAAUUAUAAAGAAAGAAAAAUAGAACAGAGAAAUCAACAGGCAAGAAUGCAAAUAAAUGGGAAAAAAUAAUAGGCAAAAUAUGAGAAUUUUACCUGACAAAUGAAAUCGAUUCUCAGAGAAGACGAUGAGUGUCUAGACACGAAUGAAAAGCAUCCAACUUAUAUGAUAUUCCCGAUUAGAAGUGUUUCGAAAUUCGACAAAGAUAAAUAAAAUCAAAAUCAAAAUCGAUUCUACAGAAAAGAAAAGAAAAGAAAAACAGGGAAAAAUUUGGAAGAAGAAGCAGAAAUAUGGAGAAAAGAAAAUGGAGAAAAGAAAAGAAAUGUGAGAAGAAAAGAAGCGUACCGUACCAGAAGAAGAAGUAGAAAUCUGGAAAGGAAAAAAUUGAGAAACGUCGGAAGAGGAUGAGGGAUAAGAAAUUACCUGUGCAAGGAAGCGUGGGAGAAUCGGAGCGUUGAGGACGAGGGCAGACAACGGAAGAGAAAAAAGGGAAAGACGCGGAAUGGUUAAUCGGCGCUGAGGGAGCGUAAUGCCUAUUACCCGCAGUCAAUGUAAUGGGGGAGUAACUGAUUCGGCGCGGAAUGAGAAAACAGUGAACCAAACGCCGGAAUAGGUCGGUAAUGUAAUAGGCGCGUAAUCGGGGAGUAAUGGUAUACCUAUUACAGCGAACCAAACACGCUGUAAGAGUUAUUACAUUUGUAUGAUAAUAUCAUCAUUUAAAAUUAACAAAGUGCUAAAUGGUUAAAUCAAAUUUAUAUUUGUUUAUAGUACUAAACUUGAAAUUUAACAUAUGUAAUAACUCUUAAUUUGUUUCAGUGAUACUCCAUUUCCCCUGAAAUGAGAUAAAUGCAUAUAAGACCCAAAUAUAAUACUUUUCAAAUAGACCCAAAAUUUAAAAUUUAACAUAUGUAAUAACUCUUAAUUUGUUUCAGUAAUACUCCAUUUCCCCUAAAAUGAAUGCUUGAAAAACUCCAUCGGCAACGAAAUUAAAGAAAUUAAAUUGGAUGCUUGCAUAAUAUUUUCUGCAAAUAGCAACUCCCAAGAUAAAAUUCUUUUAACUCAGGCUUUCUAUCCAUAUAUAACCAUUGAAAGAAUUAACAGAAUUGAUUUCAUGGUAAAUACCAGCGAAAUAAACAAAUAAUUCACACCAUAGUUACAUAUAUAAUCGAAACCCUAAAAACCCAAUAUUUCUUCCCACAACCGAAUAAAAUCAGCAAUGCAGGUUAUCAAUCUCUAUACGACUGAACAACUUCAUAAAACCAAAUAAACCUAUAUAACCCGAAGCCUAAAGACACAAAAACAGUAACUGGAAGCAACGGGUAAAACCUUACCCAAAAAACUAAAUGUCCUCGACGCUGUCUUUGGAGUAAAUGUUGCGAAGCCUCCAAAUGAAAUGAUCCGGGUAAGGUAACCGAUGAAAUGAUGAAUCGAAAGAACAAUACCAAUGCAGGGGAUUAGGGAUUAGGAAAAAAAGCUGAAGGGGAUUUAGGGAUUUCGAUGGAGGGCAAAGAAUUUUUCAGAAAUUAGGGGCUAGGUGCGGGAAAAGAAUGGGGAAAACUGCUAACCUAAGCAAAACGACAUCGUCUUUGUUAAGAAUUUUUAAGUCCCAGAAAUGAAACGGCGACGUUCAGGGGAAUUUCUAAUAUGCUAUUGAGGCGAUUUUAGCCAAAACGCCACUAAAUCUAAUAAAAUUGCGGGGAUUCUGACAAAAACGCCACUCCAAAUUUAAUAUCAAUUAAGAAAACGAUGCCGCUUUCGUUCAAGUUUUGAUAAAUUUUUGCGGCGUUUUAAAAUAAAAACGCCGCUAUUUCAUGCCUUCUACGGCGUUUUCGAUAGAAACGCCACUAAAAACAAAUUCCCUCUAACCAAACGGCGCCAUUUUCUAUAAUUUCUAGUACAUUGUUGCGGCGUUUUUGCUGCAAACGCCACUACUUUUAAAAGUUUUCAAUUACUUAAUAAUUUUAUAAAAUUUACAUUUGAUACAUUAAUAUGCCAUUAUUUUUAAUUGUUAAAUUUUUACAAAUUGAAAUAUUGUUCGAUUUUAAAUUUGAAUUGUGAUGGAAGGCAUUUUAUCUGCUAUUAAAAAUUAAUUUAAUUUCGGUAUCUAAAAAUUUAUAUAAUUCUAUUAUUUAGAAAAUUUAAAUUUUAAAUAAUUCUAUUUAAAUUUUGUUACUUAAAAUUUCAGUAUCUAAAUCCUAUAAACCAUUAUAACCCUUAUAUCCUACAAAACCAUAUACAGUAGACGUACGACCCUAGAUCACAUACCCUAAACAUUAAACUGUAGACCCCUAAACCUAAGCCCCAACCCUUAAACCAUAAACCACAAAUUAACUAUAAUGCCUAAACCCUUAACCCAUAUCCCCUAAACAUAUUGAAUCGUAAAAUAUUAACUAUAAACCCUUAAACCCAUGACCCAUAACCCCUAACUCCUAACCCUAAACCCAUGAACCCUUAACCCCAACCCUUAAACCAUAAUCCAUAAGCCUCUAACCCACAUCUCUUAAACCUUGAAUCGUAGAACAUAAAUAUAUAAACUAUAAACCCCUAAAUCCAAAACUUAUAAAUCAUAAACCCCUAACUCGUAACCUUUAACCCAUAUCCCCUAAACAUAUUGAAUCAUAAAACAUUAACUAUAAACCCCUAACCCCAACCCUUAACCCUUAACCCUAAACCCCUAAACCCUUAACCCCAAUCCUUAAACCAUAUCCAUAAACCCCUAACCCAUAUCCCUUAAACCCUAAAUUAAAGAACAUAUAUAAAUUAUAAACCCUAAACUCUGAUUCAUAGCAUAUAUAUAAACUAUAAAGUGUAAACCCCAUCCAUUAAAAAAUAAACAAUAAACAUAACCCCUAAACUGAUAAUACCUCUAAAGUUCAAAAACAAAAGAUAAACUUUUUGCGGCGUUUUAAACAAAAGCGCCAGUAUUGGUUGACUAUUUCGGCAUUUCUAUAAAAGCACCACCAAUUUUUGAGAAGCUGAACAUGGAAACGGCGUCGUCUCACUUAACUCUUUUGCGGCGCUUUCCGAGAAAACGCCACUAAUUCCUGACUAUUGCGGCGUUUACUAUUUUGCGCCACUAAAGUCUCUAAAAGCUAUAUAAAAACGACAUCAUUUCCUUAACAGUUUACGGCGUUUUUAAACUAGCGCCACUAAAGGCCCUAAAUGCUAAAUAAUAAACGACAUCGUUUGCUUAAUAGUCUUGCGGCGCUUAUGUUAAAGCGCCGCUAAUUCUUCACAGUUUGCGGCGUUUCUACGAAAGCGCCACCAAUGUCACAAAAGCUCAACAAGCAAACAGCGUCGUUUGGCUUAACUCCUUUGCGGCGCUUUUCAGAAAUCGCUGCUAAUUCCUAUAUUUGGUGGCAUUUUUAGACAAGCGCCACUAAAGUCUAUAAAACCUAAAUUGAAAACGACAUCAUUUUCUUAACAGUUUUGCAGCACUUCUGAUAAAGCGCCACUAAAGCUUCGCUACUACGACGUUUUCUGAAAAUCGCCUCUAACGUCUCGAAAAGAUAAAUGAAAAACGGUAACGUUUUCUUAACAGUCUUGCGGCGCUUAUGAUAAAGCGCCGCUAAUUCUUGACUAUAGCGGCGUUUUUCAUUAAGCGCCACUAAAGUCCUCAAAACCUAAACUGAAAACGGCAGCGUUUUUCUUAACAGUUUUUCCGACGUUUAUGACCAAACGCCGAUAAUUCUUGCAUAUUGCGGUGUUUCUAAGAAAGGGCCACAAAUGUUUAAAAGCUUAACAGGAAAACGGCAUCGUUGAACUGAACUCAUUCGCGGCACUUCCUAGAAGCGCCGUUUAUUCCUGUCUUCUGCGGUGUUUUUUUAAAAUCGCCACUAAUAUCUCUAAAUCCAAACAAAAAACGGCAUCAUUCGCUUAGCUCUUUUACGGCGCUUUUAGGAAAGCGCCGCUAUUGAUGAAAUUUUGUGGCGUUUAUUUUAGUUCGCCGCUAAUGCUAUAUUUUUUGUAGCGUUUUUUGAUUAAACGCCGCUAUAAACACCGCUAAUAACCGAUUUUGGUGUAGUGAUAGCAGCUAAAGGAGGGCUCUGUCAAGAUCAAUUCUUUCCAUUUCUAUUACAUAAUUCGUUGGUUUCUCAUUCAGAAAUAUCUAUUUGAUCUUUGUCGAUAAUCAAUUUUGAGUAGAACGGUACACUUCGGGUAGCACCUCAAAGUUAUCACUCGGCUUGAUUUUCUUGAAAGAAGAAACGAUCCCGCAUCGAUGUUAUGUAUAAAGAGCCCACUAUUUAAAUAAUAGGUUAAGAGGCUACUCGCUCACUGAGUGGGGUAGCGCCUGCUUUUAAUCCAAGCGGAGGCAUUAAGGUGAAUGGACAUGUGUCUUGUGCGAAAGCUUGGGUCUUGUGGCCUCCUAGAGAGGAAGGCAUUGCGUGAGGCUGGUUUUCACAUGUUUUUUAGUUUUCCCAACUAAGAGAAGAAAAAACUGAACAAGAGAAAAAAAGUCAAAAUGUCAAAAAAUCGUAAUGAAAAGUAUCCAUUGUCUAAUGGAUAGGACAAGGUCUUCUAAACCUUUGGUAUAGGUUCAAGUUCUAUUGGACGCAAUUUAGUAUUGAUUUCUCUAUAUGCCAUCAAGUUAGAAUUUUUUAUUUAUAAUUGUUCUUGAAGUUGAAAAUGUUCUAUUGGACGCAAUUUAGUAUUGAUUUCUUUAUAUUCCAUCAAGUUAGAAUUUUCUAUUUAUAAUUGUUCUUGAAGUUGAAGAUGUUCUAUUUGGUCUUCAAACGUCUUCCAAAAGCGUUUCCACUUCCUUAGUGAAUGUCUUGGUAGAAGAUAUGAUUUCUUGGAACUGAGGUUUAUUCGUUUUUAAGUAAGUACGUAACUCAAUGAGAAAUUUCCUUACUUGUACAUGUGAUACCCAAUUAUUGCCCGGGGCUCAAAUAAAAUACAACCAAACCCAAUAAAGCUUGGGUCAAUCCUAACCCAAUUACAAGGCUCAAUUGGCCUAAGGUAACAGAAACCCUAAGCAGGAGAUAGCCUUGGCGCCGCACGUCCCCACGUUGCAGCAACUGCCCAUCACCCACGUCGCUUUACCCACGAUCAGCAGCUCCGCAUAACGCCGAUUUCACCUGCAAACCACGGAUAGCAAUAUAACAAAAAUGUAAAAGAAGGGAUUUUGUCCUUUAUUUUAGGCUAUAUAAAGCCAAAUAGAGAUCGGAAAAAGGGUACGAAAUUUGUAUCACAAAAAAAAAACCAUUGAAAAUACAAAGGGAGAGAAUCAAAUAGAUUUUAAAGGUUAUUUUGCUUUUUCCUUUCUUCAUUUUUCUCCAUAUUGUUUAUGUUGACACCAUUUUUUUGAUGAAAACGGGGUCGACUUGGAUUUUAAAAAUGAAAACGGGAGUCGCCACCAAUCCUUUUUAAUGAGGUGUGAUUGGAUCACCUUGAAAAAUGGUUGUUUUUAAUAAACAAUUUAAUUUUAUUAAAACAACGAGUUUGGUCCACGAAAUUCAGAAAAACUGGUUCGAGAGUCGGUUACGUACGAGGAAGGAUUAGCACCCUCGUAACGCCCAAAAUUGGUACCUAGUCGAUUAGUUAAUGUCUUAAUGUCGAAAAUUAAAAACUUUGAAGAAUUUUUAAAAAUAAGAUCAUUGUAUUAAGAUGUUGAAAAUUUCGAGAAAAGUGGGUAUUUUUCACGUUAAUCGAGAAAAAGAAUCAUGUCCAGUAAGUUAGGACACGAUGUCUCGAAUUCCCGAAACGCGAAUGAAUACUAAAAAUUUGCUUAUUUAAAAGGUAUUUAGCUAUCUCGGACUUAAAAAAAGGAUCACGGCCAGUAAGUUAGGACACGAUCUUUUUUAAUUCCCCAGAUCGUUUAAAACUUGAGUUUGAAAAGAAUUGUGCAUUUAGAUGUAUUGUGAAAAUUAAAACCCAGUAAGUUAGGGUACGAUCUUCUCGAAUCUAAACACAAAAUGCUAUUUAUUUAAAACAAAUUUUGAUAUAUCGGGUAAAAUAAAACGCGAAAUCGUAGUAAAGAAUGUGAAAACAAAUUACAUUGUUGUUAUGCAUGGCAGAACCAUAAUGAAUACGAAAUUAUAAAAAUGAUAUGAGCAAUAGCAUAAUAUAAAAUAAAUAAAAUGUCAAAUCUACAACAUACAAAAUAACAACGUAUACUAGCAAAUAAAAUUAAGGCAUUCCUUUAAACCAAUAAAAAAUAAAAUGAAUAGAAUUAUAAAAAUAAAAAAAGAUAUAUGUGUGUAUAUACGUAAAAUUAAGGAAAUAUGAAAAAUAUAUGUAUGUAUAUAUUUUUAGAAUUAUCAAAUGAAAAAUGUAUAAGUAAUCAUAUACAUAUGUAGCUAUCAUAAAAUGUGAAAAAUAUAUGUAUAUAGGUAUAUAUGUAGGAAUCAUAAAAUAAUAAGAAUAUACAAAAUAUAUAUUUUAAAAGUAUAAAGAGUAGGUAAGUAUAUGUACGUAUAUUUAUGAAAAUGAAAUAUAUAUAUAUAAACAUGAAUGUAUGUAGGUAUGUAUAAGUAUUAUAAGAUAUAAAAAUAUGUGUAAAUUAUAAAAAUAAAGUAAGACAAAAAUAUAAAUAUGUAAAAAUGGACCAAAUCGUGAUGCGCGCGAAAGUAAAAGGGCCAAAAGGAAAUUAAUCCUGGCCUCCAGAGCGCACUGCUUUGAUGAGGACCAAAUCAAAAUGAGAGAAAAAUGAUAGGGUCAAAAUUGCAAAUAAAAAAUAAAUUGUAUUAGAAAAAUAGAAAAAUCAGAAGGACCAAAACGGUGAAUAUCCCCAAAAGUCAGAAAACGCGCGAUCCUCCCCCGGGUCGGGUCACUGCGCAGGUCAAAGGGGGAGGCUAAACGACGUCGUUUAAUGGGUCUUUAAAAUCCCUUAAAAAAACCCUAAUCCCAUUUUAACAACCUCAAAAUAAAAAGAAAAAAAAAAGAAAAGAGAGCCACCAUCCCCUUUUAGCCCUCUGAAAUCCGGCGCCGACCUUGACGGCGAUUUGCCGUGCGGUCAAUGCGGCCCAAGGCCUACGCGGUGUGAGGAAACCCUCUUUUGCCCGUGUUCUAAUAUGAACCCGAAUAUAUGGGUUUUUCGAUCCCUAAAAUCGAAGAGGAGAGACUCAACCCACCCUCUUUCCGAUUUAGGUCCGGCAACGACGCAGGUAAGUCCUCGUCCUUCCCUUUUUAUUAUUUAUUUCUUAUGUAGAAGAUAAAAUAAAAAUAAAAUGAAAUGAAAUAAAGAGAAACACAAAUCUAAAAAAGAAAAAAAACUUUCAAAAGUUUGUUUUUUUUUUAUUAUUUCUUAGUAAUCGUAAAAGCAAAUGAAGAACUUCUUCUUCCUUACAGCAGAUUCAGUUUUAACCGAAAGAAAAGAAGAACAAAAUAAAAGAAAAAAAAAUCCCCCCUUUACAAAUCUCUGCUUGGCUUUUAUAUAGCCCCCCAAGAGAAAAAUAAAGAAAAAUUGUUUAUAUUGUUUUCUUCUAUUUUCUGUCUUUGUUUCCUAUUCGUGUUUGCAGGUAUUGACGGAGAUGUGUGGCAUCAGCAGGUGGCGGUGGCAGAGGAGUUGAUGAGCGGCAGAGGAUAGGUUCGGCGCUAGGGUUAGGUGCAAUAGAGGCUAGGGUUUUCUGAAAAUGUUUUAGUAUUGGGCUUGUUGGGCCUUUAGUUUUUUUCUUUUUGGGCUGUAAUUUUAUUGUUUUGGGUUAGGUCUGUUUUAGGGUAUUGGGUUUGGUUUAAGGUUUGGGUAGUUGGAUUUUUGGGCCCCGGGCAAAUUUGGGCUUGUACAGUUUAUAUGUUCGUUACAUUUUCUUAAACGAAAAGAAAGGAAAAAGAAUAUACUUACCUGCGAGGAAGAAACCCUAUUUGUUGUCGAAUCGGAGUUGGAGAGGGGCCGGAGGUUGCGGCGGCUUGGGGGAGUUUGGGUUAAGGAAAACCCUAGUAGAGCAAUGCCCCCCUUCUCCUUUUAUUUUGUUUUAAAGCAGAAAAAUGAUUUUUUUUAAAUUUUUUUAAAAAGGAAAAAGAAUUUUUUAUUUUUAUAGUUAAAGCAAAACGACGUCGUUUGGAAGGGGAUAGGAUCCGCGCGUCGACCCAAUCCGGUCCCAGGAUUCGCGCGUUUCUUAAUUAAUGGGCUAAUUGUACUUUUAGCCCUUCUAAUUUUCUACUACUUUGUAAUCAAUUUUUUUUAUUUUUCAAAUCUGCGCAAAAAUUUUGCUUUGAUUUCAUUUAAAUCCUGCGCAAAAUGUUGCGUUUUGAAGGGCAGUAAUAUUUUUCUUCUUGGUCCCUUUUAUUAUCUGCGCAUUCGCUUUGGUCCCGUUUCUGUUUUAUUUAUUUGCAGAUUUUCCCCAAAUUUCUAAUUAAAGUUUAUAUUAGUCCUUCUGUCAUUUUUCUCUAUUGUUGUAUUCUUUGUUAUUAUUAUUAUUAUAAUUAUUAUAAUUAUAUUAUAUAUUAUUAUACCUACAUAUAUACACGCAUAGGUAUGUUAAUAUAUAUAUGUAUUUACUUUAAACGUUUUUAAAUACAUAUACAUAUUCUAUGCAUAUUUUUUUAUUAUUUUGCUUUCAUAGUUUUUUUUUACAUAUAUAUAUACAUAUAUACAUUUAUAUUUUAUAAUAUUUAUACGUUUUCAUAUGUUAUAAUGUAUAUAUGUUUAUACAUUUUUUAUAAUAUAUAUACAUACACUAUUCAAAAUUAUUAUAAAUAUAUUUUCCGUAUUUUUCUUAUAUAUACAUAUAUAUACAUAUUUUCAUAAUUUAUUAAUAUCUUUUACUUAUAUUUUUUAUUUAUGUAUUUUUAUUUAUUUAUUUAGAUACCUAUACAUAUUUUAUAUUUUAUUUUCAUAACUUUUAUAUACAUGUUUUAAUAUAUACAUAUACAGAUUUUUAAAUUUUACUUAUAUAUCAUAUUUUAUUUUGUGAAUACAUAUACGGCCUUUUUACCAAAAAAGCCAUUUUUUUUUAAAAUUUACCGAAAUGGGCCAAUUUUUUAAUUAUUUACCGGAAUGGGCCAUUUUUCGUGAAAUCGCUGCCACGUAAGCGCGAUGUCAGGGUACGUGACAGAUCAUCGCGUCCAUGUCAGCAGGUCGCGUUGACGUGGACGCGAUGAUCUGUCACGUAGCGUGUUUCCGGGGACGCGAUUUUGACGUUAAUUUUACGUUUGGGUUUUCUGGGUUUUAGGGUUUAAGAUGCAGGCUUUUUAUGGUUUAGGGGUCCCGGGAAAAAUUAUUUCGAGUUGACGUUUCUGGUCAAAUAGUAUAAAAUCGCUUCUACCAGGAUGCUAUCAAAGAAGAAAUUGUGAAAUCGUGCCCUCGUGGACGCGAUUUCGGUACAGUUGGUCAUGUAAGAAAUAAUUUUUUUUGACGUUUUCUGAGCAAAUAGUAUAAAAUCGCUGAUACCAGGAUGCUAUAUGAGAAGAAAUUGUGAAAUCGCGCCCUCGUGGACGCGAUUUCGCUACAGUUGGUCAUGUAGGAAAUAAUUAUUUUUUGAUGUUUCUGAGCAAAUAGUGUCAAAUCGCGCCCUGGUGGACGCGAUUUUGCUACAGUAGGAAGUUUGGGCUGAGGCUAUAAAUUAGGUAUAAAAUGUUCUUAGAAUGCAUAAGUCAUAGCAGAAACAUUUUAGAGAGGCUAAGAAAGUUAGAGUUUCAAAAUGAGUGAACGUAUUAGUGCUGUUAUUUACUACGAUGCUAAGGUUUGCCACACCGAGAAUGGUGUUGUUUUUUUGUCGGAGAAUACGGUGCGACUGUCAUUUAGCCAAAACAUAGAUUUGACAAAACUUCGUAAAAGAAUUAGGCGUAAAAUCUUCGGAAUGACGCCAAUGAAAGUUCUGUCAAUCACGUAUCAAUUUUGUUCUUCUGUUGAUCCGGUGACAUAUGACUCAUUCGACAUAAAAGGUGCUCGUAGCUCGGAGGCAAUGGUGCAGACUCAUCUUGCUAGCGGAGCAACUUAUAUUGAGUUAUAUGUACAAUUUACGUCACCAACUGAUGUACUUCCGUCCAUACACGACCCCUGGCCGACACUCGGUUAGCGGGUUACAAAAUACGGAGCAGCCCAUGUUCAGUAGCGGUGUCGAAUGCACAUCCCCACCAAGACACUCUGUCGGUGGAUGGGACAUGUACGUCGGUGGCUCGACGUUUGACGCUGGAAAUACGAGCUGGGGAAUUGCAUCAAGUUCUAGUGGAUGACAAUCUACAUCCAAUUGGGGACGUUAUCAAAUGCCCAGAAGAAGGGAUGACGUACUACCUACGACAUCAACCGGGGAAGGGACAUCGUACGCUGCAGAUGAUUGUGGGUUAGAAGAUGAGUCUGAUGUGGAUCCACCUCGAGAGCCCGAGCCGGAUGGUGCAGAGGUGGGAUUAUUUUCUGAACCGAAGCCUAUUCCAACAGAAGGUGAAGAUGGUGAUAGGAGUGCAGAUGAUGAAGAAAAUCCAUGAUUCAGAGCAUACUCACCUCCAGCCCAUAUACAUAAUGUCGAUCUGUCAGCAGACGAUGCGUUAGAGUUUCCAGAUCUACCACACUGGUUACGCGAUCGUACAAGUUCGGGGGUAGAUCUCGGUGAACUUGAAGUUGGUAAUCAGUUUACUAAUAAGGAUAGUUUUAUUGGUGCUUUGAAAUAGCAUAGCAUCAAAAACGGAGUUAAUUACCACGUCGUUAAAUCAAAAACUGAUAAGUUUGAGGCGAAGUGUACGGUGCAAGACGGCACAUGUUCAUGGAAAAUCGUCGCCUCGUUAAGGAAGAGGACAGGGUUGUGGGAGAUCAAAAAGUACAAAGGUCCACAUACAUGUUAAAUCAAAAUGGGUUAGGGUUAGGGUUUUUACUUAAAUUAGGUUAAGGUUUAGGGUUUUAAUUAAAUUAAACUAGGGUUAGGGUUUUUAAUUAAAUUAAACUAGGGUUAGGGUUUUUAAUUAAAUUAGGUUAGGGUUUAGGAAUUUUAAUUAAAUUAAAUUAGGGUUAGGGUUUUUAAUUAAAUUAAACUAGGGUUAGGGUUUUUAAUUAAAAUGGAUUAGGGUUAGGGUUUUUAAUUAAAUUAAAUUAGGGUUAAGGUUUUUAAUUAAAUUAAAUUAAACUAGGGUUAGGGUUUUUAUUUAAAUUAAGUUAGGGUUUAAAGUUUUAAUUAAAUUAAAUUAGGGUUAGGGUUUUUAAUUAAAUUAAACUAGGGUUAGGGUUUUUAAUUAAAAUGGGUUAGGGUUAGGGUUUUUAAUUAAAUUAAAUUAAAUUAAAUUAGGGUUAGGGUUUUUAAUUAAAUUAAAUUAGGGUUAGGGUUUUUAAUUAAAUUAAAUUAGGGUUAGGGUUUUAAUUAAAAGGGGUUAGGGUUAGGGUUUUUAAUUAAAUUAAAUUAGGGUUAGGGUUUUUAAUUAAAUUAAGUUAGGGUUAGGGUUUUAAAUUAAAUUAAACUAGGGUUAGGGUUUUUAAUUAAAAUUGGUUAAGGUUAGGGUUUUUAAUUAAAUUAAAUUAGGGUUAGAGUUUUUAAUUAAAUUAAGUUAGGGUUAGGGUUUUUAAUUAAAUUAAAUUAGGUUUGGGUUUUUAAUUAAAUUAAAUUAGGUUAGAGUUUUUAAUCAAAUAAUAUCAAAAUAACUUGGAAAAAUUUCUAUGUGUAUUACAUCGUCAUAAACUUGUAUUUCAUUACAUCAAAUGAUAAAUUUUAAUACGGUAAUCAAUGUCUAUGACCGGGGGAUUCGGUUCCACAUGGCGACCGUCGACGGUUACGCGCUGGAUUCCUCCUUCCUCUAGCUUCUUCCGGCGGUUGUUCUUCCUCCGGUGGUGAUUGUUGUUCUUCUGGUUCGGCAUCUGGUUGUCAGACUUGGGACGAUGAUCCACCUUCAAAGAAUAGUGUAUGUGGAGGUGUUUGCAUCAUGAACGGGGACGGUGUUUGAAAGCCAUGCGUUGCUGGCGAUUGGUAAAAAGAAGAGCUCCCAGACGGCCCCCUUGCGACCCCUCCUGCGCCGCUGGCCUAGUUAUCGGUGGUCCGCUUAGCAUUACACGAAAUGGAGCUGAUCCGGGCAUUUGGCUCCAACCUGCCAUAGGAUUCGGAAAAGGAUACAUGUACGGGUUAGGGUACAUAUAAGGGCUAGGAAACAUACCUGGCAUUAUAGGGAAAGGCGAAUGCCUGGGUACCAUCUAUUGAAUUGCUGCGUCAGGUGACUGCGUCGGUGCUCUCGUUGGGGACGGUGAUUGCAUGGUCGCUGAUGAUGAACCGAGUGAAUGUCUGGGCCUCGUUGAGGGGCUGCCAUCGUAGUCUUGUCCCCUUGGAUUUAGAGGCUCGCGCCUUUCCCUUCCGACACAUAUUUGCCGCUGCCUCUCCUCUGGCAUAAGUAAAUACGGCUUCCCAUGGAUCCUAAACCAUGGCAUGUAUUCUGGAACACACGCUAACUCGGGAACGAUGAUUUGCUCCCGAGUAGGUAGAGAUUCAUGCCGAUUUUCCCACAUUUCUGUGUACUCUGACCAGUAUCUAGUCCAAUCCGUACCUAAUAGCCGAAGGUCGAUUUUGUGGUGCUCGUCAAACACCUCAAGGUCCGCAGGGAUCGGUUGUCUACAUCCAAACUGACGUAUGACUCUGUCUGUCUGGUGGGGCUCCACGGUUGCAUAGUUUAUCAACACCACUUUCACGUGCCAAGCGUUCGGAUUUUGUCAAAACUCUUUUGAGAUUACUGCCCGGACUGCCGGAUCCUCGUAUGGAGUUCAUUGAAACUCAUGAACAUGAUAGAAAUAUUACUUAUAUACAUAAUACAUAAUACUAAAUACUAAAUACUAAAUACUAAAUACUAAAUACUAAAUAUCAAUCCACUAGCGAAUGUAUGGAAAUAUCUAUUUGCAAUAAUACUUACUUCUGCUUCUGACCGUUGCUCCAAUAGAAGCCGUAUAUCUUCGAGUUCAGACGGUAAUCCACGAUAACUUGCCGGAUGGUUCCACCUAAUUAAAUAAAUUUUUAGCAUACUUUUGUUCUUACAAAAUCUACAUAACAAUUUCAAAAUGUAAUAUAAAAUUUAUCUCGUUACGAGUGGGAAUGUAUAUGGGUGGUUCACUCGAGGACGUAGAAAUGGAAAGCGAAAAUGUGCCCAUGAUUGCAGUAGUGACAGACAACCUCUGAUUUUUGCUCUCCUCGGUUUGAUCGCCCCGCACAUCUCCCGAUAUAAUGUUGCCAAGACAGCAGACCCCCAACUUAAUUCACCGGCUGCUCUAAAAUCAACGAGUUUUAGCAGCCACCUUAGAUGUACACGGCUCCGUGACGUGUCGGCCAUCAGAUAGCCUCCAAUUAUUUGAAGAAUGUAUGAUCGAACAUAUCGAAUUCUUUCAAUUUCGGUUGAAUUUUCAUUUAGAUCGGGGAAGGUGGCACGUAACCAGCCCAUCUUCACCUUACCUCCAUCCAUUUUAUUCGGAACAGCGCCCAAAAGCUCGUAGCACACCGCCUCCCAAUUGCUAGAUUGGGUAGACCCGGUGACUGGGUGCUCGUCCACCGGCAAUUCCAAAUGCAGAUGGACAUCUUCCAGAGUGAUAGUGCACUCUCCACAUGGAAGAUGAAAUGUGUGCGUCUCGGGUCUCCACCUCUCGAUUAACGCACUGAUCAAUUUCGGCUCCAACUUGCAUCCCCGGCCUACCGUCGCCACGUGCCAAAAUCCCGCUUCCCGCAGGUAGUUCUCUACUAACGGUGAUGGAGGACCAUGCAUAUUCCGAAUAUUGCAUUCCAAUACCCGAUCUUUAGACUUUUAUAACAAAAAAUAAAUUAAUAAUUAUCUAAAAAUACAUAAAUAAAAAUAUCUUAAAUAAAAUUUAAAUUUUAAAUUUAAUACUUACCAUUUUCAUUUGCUCCACCGAUAUGUGAUUCCUAUCAAGACGAAUCAAUGAUCCGGCCAUUGUUGAAAAUAUUAAAAAUUUUAAAAUUAUUUUAAAAAAUAAAAAUAUUUAAAAUUUUCUUAAAAAAAUGAAAUUGAAUGGAAAAGGAAAUUAAAUAUGGAUUUCAGAGAUUUUUUGAAGGAAUUUGAGAGGAUUUUGGAAGGAAUUUGAGAGUUUAAGAGAAUUUUGGAAGGAAAUUGAGAGAAUUUUGGAAGGAAAUUGAGAGAAUAUUUGUUUGUGAAAAAAUAAGGGGUAGGGGGUUUUAUAGUAAAAAAAUUGUGACCGUUGGGGGGGCAACGGUCAAAUUUUUGACCGUUGGGCCACUGUUCACGCGCGCGUGUCAUCGCGUCCACGUUAGCGCGACCUGCUGACGUGGAAGGAAAUUGCUUCCUUGAGGGUGCGAUUUCCUUCCACGUCAGCAGGUCACGCUGACGUGGACGCGAUGAUCUGUCACGUACCCUGACAUCGCGCUUACAUGGCAGUGAUUUCGCGGAAUUGGCCCAUUCCGAUAAAUAAUUAAAAAAGUGGCCCAUUUCGGUAAAUUUUGAAAAAAAAGGGCUUUUUUUUGGUAAAAAGGCCUACAUAUACAUAUAAUUUAAAUUAAAGUAAUGGUUUCAUGUUAUGCAUUUUGUCAUACUUUUAAAGAAAAAUAUUUUUUGGUUUUGUCAAAGCAUUAAAAUCAUCAUAUUUUAUAAAUUUUCAAAAUAUUUGGCAUUCAUGAUUCUCGAGAAAGAUCGUGUCCUAACCUACUGGAUUGCGAUUAUUUCUCGAUGAAUUUAGAAAACCAAGUAUUUAUUUUGCAAUAAACUCACACAAAUUUCAAAUAAAAGCUUAUUCUCAGGAAUCCAAAAAUGUCGGGUCCUAACUUACUGGUCAUGACAUUUUGUUAUCUCGAAAUAAGAAUUUCUAAAAUAAAAGGUCAUAUUUCGGUAUUUGGAAUUUUGAGAAAUUGUGCCCUAACUUACUGGGUUUCGAUUUUCUUCAUUUGACCUAAAAAUAACCAAAUAUUCUUAGAUUUAACUGUGUGAGUUUUAAAAUCAAAAGCCAAACUUAAUUUUGAAGAUUUAAAAAUAUUGUACCCUAACUCACUGGGUGUGAUGUUUUAUUUCUUUGAAAUAAGAAUGUUUUAUUAUUUUAAUUCAUUCACGAGUUAAAAGUUUUCUUUUAAAAUCUUUUCAAAUUUUCGACACCAAGACAUUAAAUAAUCAAUUUGGUACCGAUUUGGGCGUUACGAGGGUGCUAACCCUUCCUCGUGCGUAACUGACUCCCGAACCUAUUUUUUCAAAUUUCGUAGGUCAGAAUUGUUUUUAAGGUGAGCCGGUCACACCUCAAUCAAAGAUCGGUGGCGACUCCAAUUUUUAUUUUUUUAAAAGUCGACAACUAAUUUUUUGUUUUCAAAAAAAAUGGUUUCGACAGUCCAAUUUCUAAUGAAUCAAGAUAACCAUUUGUUCCGGUAUAAAUAGUACUUAUCUGUUCUGCCACCGUAAGAGGAGCUGAUUGGGAUUGUUUAAGCAACUCACGUAAUCGUUGAAUGUUUUUGUAAUUAUUUAGAGGACUUUUAGCUCAUUGUUGAAUGUUUCUAACAUUUUGUGAUUUGUUCAACUCUCUUAUUUCGUUUUAGACUCAGCGUGACUUAUCUAGCUUGCUAGUGACGUCAUUCUGUUUCUUUGGAACUUAUCACUCAUUCCGAAUGUGGCGUUCUCCAAAAUAUACCUUUGGUUCCUAACUUCCUAGUUAAUGGGUCAAGGUCCACCUUAAAUGACGUAUAAGUCUCGAGUCAACACUUGAUAUAGUGUUGGUUCUUUCUUGUGCUUAAGAUCGUUUUCCCAUCCACAUUUAUCAACUUAUUUAUCUUGUUUCUUUGAUUAGCCGAAUUUCCAUAAUCCUCGUUCAUUUAACCAUUUUUCCAUCAUCAUUAUACUUAACCAAACCAUCCCCAACACAAUUAUAACCUCUGAACCAUCUAGCCAACCUUUGUUUAAAGUCUUACUUAGCCAAAUUCAACCAUUAUUCUGUUCAAGAACGAUACUUCUUCAUUUUAACGAUCGGGCAACAAACGACUCGAAUCAUCACCGAGGCGAGUUCGUAUCACUUGUCUAUCUCAAACACAAAUAAAAAUAAAUCUACAAAAUUCUAAUUUUCAACUGCAAGAAAAAAGAAGAAAAAAGUAAUUUUUAGCUAAGUGAAAAUGUACCCUGUAGGACGUGUUUUCCUUUCUCUCUCCAAAAACAACAUAGAUCGGUAAAAUUUCAAAAAAAAAAAGGAAAAAAAAAAGCAUAGUUGCUUGAUUAAUUUUUUUUCCAUCAUAUUUCUAAAAUUUUGCCGAAUUUGAAGUUACAAAAAUAAAAGGAAACAAUUCCUAUGUGGAUGCGUAAAAUCUCUCAUUUAUCACUAUAUUAUUCUAUGAUGUGUAAUUAUUUAUCACAUUUUUAAUAAAAUUAAUUAAAAUAAAUUCCUUAAUAAUAUAUACUAUUAAAUUUGGAAUAAAAAAAAUUCAUUAGUAAUCGUAUUCAUAACAAAAAAUAAAAAAAAUUAGCUUCAAAAUUUCAAGAUUCCCUACUUUUUUUAUUUUUAUUUUUGAAAAAAAUAGUUUUUAUCAAUUACAUUUGAUACUAAUUAGAUUAGAAAUUAAAAUAUUACACCAGAUUUGUAUUAGACUAUAUUUAAUAUAAAAAUUGAUUAUGAGAAUAAAAAAAAUUCAGAUUAAUAAAAAUUUGCAAGUCUAAUAAUUUAAAUAUAUUAAAUAUUAUUGUAGUAAAUUUGAAUUGAAUAUAAUAAUAACUUUAAUAUACCAACAAAUUUGAAAAAGAAAAGUGUAGAGGUAAUUUAGUUUAUGUAAGAUUACUACAUUAAAUUUAAUUUGAAUAUUUUUAAUUUAUUUAAAAAUAAAAUUAUGUUGAAAAACGAAAAAUAAUAUUGUCUAAUAAAAAGUGAAAAAUUAAUUGAUAUGUAAACUUCUAAAGUAUUAAAUUUAUUUAUUUAUUAGAUCAAUCGUAGAUUUCAAAAUUAAUUGAUAUAUUUGAUCUACACAUUGAUUACGGGAAAAGAGAUUCCAAAUUAGAAUUUUGUUCCCAAUGAAACUUUUUAGUUUAAAUUAUUUCUUUCCCUUAUAAGCUCGAUUAAUGAUGAAACUUCACGAGAGUAAAUAUCGAAAUCUAGAUUUUAGGUAACUAUAUUUAAUACUUUAAUUCCUUAUUAAUCCUGUUUUAAUAUCUUAUUUUAUUUACAUCAUUUUCUAUGAUAUAUUUUUUUGAACUUCAGUUUUAAAUUUAAUUUUUGAUUGCAAUGCUAUUUCAAUUUUUAAUUUAAUAAAUAUUCAAUUUAUUGUAUAUUAAUUUGGCUUCUCUACAUAAUAUCUUUAGUUAAUUACAAUGGUUUAUAUCCUUAAUUAUUCUAGUGAAAAUGUUGAGAUCAAUUUGAAACCCAAUAUAAAGCACUAACAAUCGACGAGGUUAGUUCGAAGUGAAUGAAACCCAAACUCCCCUAUUUAAUUUGAAACCCAUAUUUAUUUAAAUAAUUAAAACCCUGAACCUUUUAUUUACUUAUAAAUUAUAGAAAUCUACAAUUGGUGCACUAAAUCACUCAAAUAAUGCAAGUACAUUAUGCGAAAGAUUAGUGGGUUUGCUAAGAAAAAAGGAAGAAUAGUGGGUUUAGUCCCUGGUGCCAAAACCUUAAUUUUUUUUAGAGAAGACAACUUCGUUUGGGAUAAAAUAGAGAGGAUAGUUUUACCCCUUGUAAAAACUUUUAUUUUAAUUCAUUUUUCCAUGGCAGCGCCACUGAAACAUGUUUACAGUUUUCUUGAUCUCAACGGUGAUGUUUACAGUUUUCUUCUUUUUAUUUUGGUGUGUUUGUAUAUAUAUAGUUUUGGUUAUUUGAUUUGCAUAGUCUCAAAUUGAAUGUUUGAUCUUUCCAAUUUUCUAUCUUUCCUCGUCUCAUAAAAUUUUCAAAUAUUUUUACAUGAAAUCUCAAAUUAAAUAUUAAAGAAACUGUGGAAGGAAGAAACAAUGGGAAAGAAGAUUAGAGACGACGAUGAUGAUGGUGAACAAUGGAAAGAAAAAAUGGGGAAGAAGAAACGGUGGAAAUUGGAAAUCAUAUGCAUUUAAUAAUUUUAUAUUUCAAAAAAAUAAUAUAAUAAUUUUAAUAGUUUUAAAAUCAUUUGAUAAUACAGCAGCAUUUAAUUACAUUUGGACCGCCAUGUCAGCAGUUAAUGUUGACUGUUAGUCAACUAACAACCAUGUUAGCAGAAGUGCUCCAAGAAAAACAUGAAGGGCCAAAGUAACCAAACAGUCAAAUGUCAGGGGCUAUUUUUGGUUUUAUGUCUUUAUUAACAAACACUUAGUUUGUACAGUAAAUGUUUUUAUUUAUCAUAUGUUUGAACUAACAUAUCGCUUUUAUAGGUGGAACCAAGGGUCGAGUUAUAUGGGACUACCCGAGGAGUUAGAAGACAUUAGGCUGUUGUUAGAUCAACACUCGAAAGUCGAGGUUUGUUACUUAUUCUUUCGAACCUAUGUUAAUCAUGCAAUGAUUUGUAAAAAAAGGAUCAUCCAUAACGAAAUCUACAAUUGUUCAUUUCAGUUUGAAUGGAUGUCAUACGUCGACGCUAACAUCAUAUAUUGCAUCCCGCCGAAAGUGUUGGAUAAUCGAGGGAUGUGAGACGCGAAGGUGUCGUUGAUAGUGUACAUGAUGGUGGAAAUGUAGGAAUCAGACCAAGUAAUGCGACAGUUCAAGUGGAGGCAAAAAAUGUUGCCACCAUUGCAAGACUUGAAGGAGCUGCAUCAGGUGGACAUGCGCAGAAAGAACAACGAGGAUUGGCGAAAAGUGCACAAGGAGUACAUCGAGGCCUGGUAUCGUAGGAUGGAUUUCUUACCCACCCAUAAACCUUUUUUCUCAAUAGAGACGGCGGCCUAUUUGGAGUGCUUGUAGUGGUUCAAACUCGCCAGCAAGUUGUAUUUGCUAUCAUCGGAGGUGAGGAGUAGACAACUUCAUCAGAAAUGGCAACGACGAUCGCCCCAGCAGCAGCGUAGGGCCAAAUGCGAUCGCACAACGGGUUCGCCAUCAGCUCUGCCCUAAGAAGCGUCGCUUAUGUCCACGUAAUAUCCCGGCCAGGUCACUCUACUUGUCCCUAUUCAUUUCACUAAUCCUGUAUUUUUUCUAAAAUACCGCAUUACACACCACCACCGAACGUGGCGAGAUCUUCUGUUCCCGCAGAUACAUAUUUUGGGCCACCAAUGUCCCUCGCAUUCUAAACCUCAAUGCCGACUUCGAUGCCAAACCAAAUGUAGGGCUAGAUAUCGACAUAUGCACCGUCACUGAUGUAGAUACCGAUGCAAACACCAAUGUUAGUGUCGAUUCUUAGGUCAAUGUCGACGUAUCUCAGUUUUGUUGCACCUUAUGGUUACACGUCGGUAGUGACAUAAUCACUGCAAGCAUCAUUAUUUUAUCAUGGUGGGUUAUCGGUGCAAUCGUAUACCAGUGGAGUGGAGGUUACACAAUGGGAGGCUAGGAUGACACCUCAUUCGAGCAUAGAGAAAGGUGAUGGAGACGAAGGAGAAGAAGAAUAAUAAUAUGAACACAAACAUGAAAAUGAAGAUGAAGACCAAUAUCAACAUGGAAAGGAAGCCCAGGACAAACACGAUGACGCCGAUAGGGACGGAUACGAGCAAGAGGGUAGGGGUAAAGGCGAUGAUGACGUGGACGGUGGCAACGAGGAAGUUUAUAGGGUUGUAUCUCCUGUUGUGCGAAAAAAUCUUUUUUGUGAUUGUCGUCCACAGCCCUACAGCACAUAUUCUCCCCCACGACGCGAUUGAUGUAUUUUUUUAUUACUAGUGUGAUGUAAAUAUUGUAACAACCCAGUUUCGACCCUAAUCGGAAUAGUGGUUUCGGGACCACAAAUCCGAAUUAGAAAAAAAUAUUUUUUUAUAUAUUAUUUUCUGUGUUCAUUAUGUGUGAAUUUACUAGUGUGAAAAUUUCGUGCUUUAAUUUUUCCGUUUGAGUGUCGAAUUAAAUAAAAUGAUUAAAUCGCGUAAAAUAAAAAUUUAGGGGUUAAAGCUAAAAGUAUCUAUUUGUUGUUGCCUUUUUAUUUGGAAGGUUUAAACAUGAAAUUAGGCCACUAAAUAGUUAGUGGAUGGCUAAGGACAAAACUAACCUUAUUAUAUAUAUAAGUUAUAUUUAUUUAAAUAAGGCUAAAUUAGUAAUUUAGAAAUAUUAUAAUAUAUGAUAGUUAAAAACAUAAAAAAACAUUAGAUUAUCAUCUUUCUUAGCCAAAACCAACAAGGAAGAAAGCCAUUAAGCUUAGUGAAGUUUCGGCCAUAUACAAGCUUAAAUUCAAGGUUCGUUUUGUUCGGUUUUUGAUAAUUUUUACGUUUUUGAUAUCGUUGCUUUGUGUUCUUCAAAACCCAUGUUUUAAUUUUGUGAAUUGUUGAUGAUUUUGAAAUGUGUCAUUGAUGAAUGCUUGGACUUUGUGAUAGUUGAUGAUGAAAAAUGAAAGAUAUGUGAUAGAUUAUUAUGUUUUGUAUUGGAAUUUUUAGUGAAAUUGAGUAAAUAGGGUUAAAUUGUGAAAUUAAAUUUUUGGGGGACUAAAAUGUGAAAUAAAUGCAAUGUGUGGACUUGUAUGAGAACCAUGAAUAUUCGGCCCUUGUGUGGUAUGGGCAAAUUUUGUAUAAAUUGUGCUUUAUGCAAUAUGGAGUAAAUUGCAAAGAAGUGUAAAUAUUAGGGGCAAAAUAGUAAUUUGCCAAAUUAUGUGUAUUUGGAUUAAAUUGAAUGUGUUAAUAAAUAAAUUAUCUUAUUUUGAAUAUAUUUAGAUCGAGAACCAAAGAAAUUAGAGUUAGAUUGGGGAAAAGCCAAAUUAGUCGAAUAAUCGUCCGACUUCGAUUUUCCAUCGUCCGAGGUAAGUCUAUUAGCUAUUUAAUUUUAUUAAAUCAACAUAUGAGAAUGUAUAUCAAUGGUAUGUGUGUUGAGUUAAAUUUAAAAGUAUAAAAAUUGGAAUUGAAAGUAUGAAAUUAUGUAUACAUAUAUAUGUUAGAUUCGAAUGGCUAUGAAUAUGCAAAUAUGCAUAUGAAUGUCCAUGUAAUAAAUUUAGGCAUGAACAUAUAUGUAUAAAUUAUAUUCGAAUAUACAUGUAUAUAUAUGUAAAUUUUGUUGUAUUGAAUUUAGGUAUGAAAUUAUAAAGGUAUGAGAUAUAUUCGAACAUUUGAAUAAGUUGGAGUGAAUAAGUAUGUGUACUUAUGAAUAAUAAUUAUAUUGAGUAUAAGUAUGAAAUUAUAUUCAAUUAUAUAUAUAUAAGUAUAUAUAUAUGUUAAAUUCGAAUAUGUAUGAGUAUUUAGGUAUAUGUUCUUGUUUCGAAAAUAAGUAUAGAGUAAUAUAUGGUUGUUAGAUUUGAAUAUGCAUGUAUGUACAUGUAUAAGAAUUUGUAUUGAAAUGGUAUAUGAAACUAUAUAGGUAUAUAGAGAAUUCAAAUGUUUAAGGUACCUAGUAUAUUAUAAGUUAAAUUUUAUGAUAUUAGAAGUGGAAUCUAUAGUAUGAGGUUAUAUAUAUACAUAAAUGUGUUUCGGUUGGAAUCAUUGAAUUAUUUAAGCUAGAUUUGAUGAUUGGGAUCUAUAUCUAUCCAUGUGUUUUAAAGAUAUAAGUUAUGAAUAUUGAGCUGAAUUUUAUGUGGAUUUUAUAUACAAAUAAGAGAUACAACUUCUGUGAAUUGAGAUUCUUUUGUUAAAGCUCAGUAUCAAUCGGAUUUAUUGCCAGUGAAAUUAUUCGGACUAUUCAUCUAGCAGGCUAAGUGCCGGUGAACUGAAUCGGACUAUAUGUCUAGCAGGCUAAGUGCCGGUGAACUGAAUCAGGCUAUAGGCCUAGCAGGCUAAGUGCCGGUGAACGGAAUUAGACUAUAAGCCUAUCAGGUGAAGUGCCAGUGAAUCUGUUUAAAUUAAGAGAUUCUAUGCAUUGGGUAUAAAUAUAUAUAUGAUUUUGAUUAUAUGAAAUGGAUAAAUAUAUGAACAUUUGUUUCAAGGUGUUUGAUGAGUAUAUAAUCGUUCGAAUCCUUGUGAUUAGUGAGUAUGUAUAUAUAUCGGUUAUCAUGAAAUUGUUGGAUAUAUAUAUGUAUGCAUUCAGCAUAGGUGGAUAUAAGUGUAUAUGUGCAUUCGGCACUUAUAGUUGAUAAGUAUAAAAAUUAUGCUUUUGGUAUAUGUAUUUGAACAAUUAUAUAUAGAUGGAUCCGAUGAAGUGCGAACAAUAAGUACUCUAGAAAUCAGUAUAUGCAGUUAAUGAUUAUGUUAGUAACUUGAUUAUAUGCAUAUAAUGUAUAUACAUUUGUCCGUUUAUGUGUAUUAGUUAAAUAUACAUUAUUUUAGAUUUAAACAAAAUGACUUAAGAUAGCAAUGUUUGAUUUGAAAUUAUAUUUGAUAUUUGUGAUUUCAAUAAAUUUACUUAAAGAAUUAUAUGAUUCUUUUAUAUGUAUUUUAGAUAUGCUAUAGACUUACUAAGCUAUAAAAGCUUACUUUGAUUGUUUUUGUCCAUUUGUUUUUUUUUAUAGAUUUUAGAGACGCGUUACGAGCUCGGGGAUCAUCAGCAUAGUCUAUCACACUAUCGACUUCUUUUGGUAUUUUGUUGAAUAUUUGAACUCGAUCUUAUGGCAUGUAUAGGUUUGAGUACGAUGUUGGUUAGAUUUUGAUUGUAAAUUAUAAAUAGCUAUGCGAAAAUGAUUUAAUUUUCAUGUUUGUGAUCAGUUUGGUUUUAAAAAUGGUUGUGUUUGUUCGGUAAUGCCUCGUAACCCUAAUUCAGCGACGGAUACGGGUUAGAGGUGUUACAAAUAUUUAUGACAUAAAUAAAGAAACCAUAGAUUUUCAUUUCAACACUAUAUUUGUUUUCGUUACAUUCAAAGAUGAGAUAUGCGCAAGUUAACCUGGGUUGAUCAUCCGACUUUCCUCCUAAUUCUAGUAUGCAGCUCACGCAAUUAAAUGUCAUGAUUGAAUACCAAUUCCACAGACUUUGAUCCUACAAAUAUCACCCCGACCUUUGCAUUACAAAUUUGACCAUAGUAGUAAAUAAUAGAUUUCACCCGUCGACUUAUUUAAAUAUCGGUCACAAAUUGGAUUAACAGCACCAAAAAAAGUAUAGGGUUGUCUGAAGAAGUACACACGAGUUUCGUGACUCAACAAUUCAACUUUUGAUAUAUUUUUACUGUGUGUCUAAGUUAUGCAAAUUGCGUGUCUUUAAUAGGAAAAUAAAGUAAACAAUAAAAGGAAUUACGUACAUCAAUAUCUGUUUAUGAAAAGACGCAUUCGUCAAACAAUGACGAUGGAAUGCAAAGUAUUAUUCGAAAGUGCGUUCUUGAAGUUAUAAAAUUUCAUUACUAUAGUGCUCUUAAUAGUAUUUGAUGCUUCGAAACGUGCAUCAAUUAUACCAAAAAAAUCUCUACAACCCUCUAGUUUUAAUUAUCAAAAGUACAUGCCCGUUAAAUUUUUCAGCCUUUUUAGGCACAUUUUAAAUAUAUUCUUAGAAGACACAACUCCUACAGCAUGUUUUUUACCGCAGAAAAUUUCUACUUUGCAAUCUAGCCUUUCCUUAUGCCUAUAAAAGGACUUUUCCACUCCAUGCUUCAUCGUCCCUUAAACAUUUUCUCCCACAGCCUCUCCAUCCCUCCUCUAUAAAACACUUCUUGGUGUUAAAAUUUUCUAUUCCUAAAAAUUUUUAGUUGAUGUUCGAGGUAUUAUUAAGGCGUCGGUGAUGUAAUAUCGCUCCAAGAUAAGACCAUUACCUCUGAACUAUCCUGGAGAAGUCGGGUUUCGGGGUGAUUUUGUUUUAUACGGUCACGAGUGGUAGUGUACGUGGAGGUCUCAAUUGAUGGACACUAUACGGUCAUAGAUCAAGGUAUAAUAAGGGAGUCAGUUGACGGUCGUUACGCAACCACAAGCUUAAAAUUUUCGGAUACUCGAAAAUGUUGCCCUAUAAAUAACAUACAGAAGUUUGAGGGUAUUUUCAUAGGGAAAAACUCUGGGUCUUCCUGCUAUAAUCAACAUAAUUUUUUCUCCAUUUCUAGGCAGUCAAUACAUUUAACCUUCAUUCUUGUCCGAAGGUCGACACCAUUGUGGACGCAGGAAGACUCUCAAGCGGGGAGCAACGGUUUCGAUGGAUUAAGGGUGAUGCUCUUUUCAAGAUGACAGCGGUUGUUGUUGUUAAACAGCCCAUUAAUGACUACAAUCGCUACCGCUCCGACCCGAGUUUGACCUCUACUUCCACCAAAACAACUGCUCUCUGUAACAGCCCACUUUUCAAUAGUGUCAGAACAGUGAUUUCGGGGCCACAAAUCCGACAAGUGAGUCCGUAAAUAUUACAAUUUAAUAUUUAUGAGUUAUAUAUAGUAUUAUAAUAAAAUUUGAUAUGAUAAUUUUUGUUAUUUGUUUGAAUAGUUAAGUUCAAGUGGUAUAUCCUUAAAGUCAAGUGGUUUUAGAAAAAAAGGUAUCGGGAUUUCGUUUCUGUAAAUUGAGAAUAUUUACGGAGUGCUAUUAGGUUCAUCUUAAAAUUUGGUUAAGAAAUUUUAAGGUUUAAAUAGUUAAUUUAGUAAAAAGGAUUAAAUCGUAGAAGUUACAAAAAGUGUCAACUAGGAAUAGAAUUAUGAUUCAAUGAUUUUUAUGUUUUUGUAAUCGUUGCAGCUUAAUCUAGCUAACUCGGGGGUCAAUUUGUAAAACUAUUAAAAUUUUAGGGAUCUACCAUGGAUGGUUUAAGUGUGUUUGUGAAUUUAAUUGUUAGAUUAUUAAGCUAGGUUGUUAACUAUAAGUAUUUUGUUAAGUGAUUUUUUAAAAUAUUUUAAGGUUAGGGACCUAUUUGAAAAAUAGUAAAAAUUCCAUGUAUAAUGUAUAAAAUGUGGAAAAAUAUGGACUGAUAUGAGAUUAGGGAAAAAUCGGCUAACAUAGAUUUUAGCUAAAAAUGGUAAAUUUGCAAGUUUUGGGUUUAAGGACUAAAUUGCAUAAAAGGUAAAAUGUUGGAGUAAUUUUGUAAAAUGAUUAUGGAAGGACUUAAUUGAAUAAAAUUGAUUAUUUUAAGUGUUGGAAUUGUAUUAAUUGAAUAAAAAUUAUUAUUUAGAUCAAGAAACGCUAUGAUUGGAUUUAAAUCGAGAAAAAAGCUAAUGUUCUGAACUAGUUGUUGACUCUAUUUUAGCAACUGUUCUAAUCGAGGUAAGUUCGUACAACGAUUAAAUUUGUUACAGUUGUUUUGGAUCGAAUGUUAAUUAACAUUUGUGAUAUGCAUAAUUGGAUUGAUAGUUUUGUAUUAAUUUAGUAUAAUGGAUUAAGUUGUGAAGCUAAUUAAAUUAAAGUCUAUAUAUGAAAACAAGAACUUCAAUUAAUGUGCAAUGGAAUGGUACAAUGGAAUGAAAGGAAAGAAUUUGGAUGCGUAAAUUGAGAAAUAUAUAUUUCAUUAAGCAUGUGUGAAAUAGUAUAAUAUAAUGAAUUUUAAAGAAUCAGAUAUGUGCAAAGGUCCCGUUUGAACAUUGUGAGUACUUAGGAUACAAAUGACAUGUCAUUAGGAAUUAUGUAACAUCCUCAAAACCCCAUUUGUAGUAAAUAAAAUAAUAUAAAUCCUAGUGAAAAAAAAGUAUAAGAUCAAUGAAAACGAAAGUUGCAAGAUAUCAAAAGAAAGUUAAAUGAAGAAGCAAGACAUAAUGUAUUAAAUUAAGAAAUGGACUAAAUUGUAAAUAUGUGAAAAGUUUUGUGGCAUAAGUAUAAAUAUGGAAAAUUUGAAAUGAAAGGCCAAUAGUGCAAAUAUCUUAAAGGUAGAAGGAUCUAGAAAUUAAGGAAAACGGAUUAAUAAGGACCAAAUUGAAUAAGCAAAAAAGUAUAAGGGACUAAAUUGUAAUUUUUCCAAAUUAAGUGAUGAUUCAAGGAUGAAAUUUUAAAAGAUUAUGAAGGGUAAAAUGGUCAAUUAGAAAGAGAGAGAAGUCUAGAAGGCAAUGAUGAUGUUGGAGAUAUUUUAUAAUUAUUUAAUUCGAUAAAUAUUACUUUAUUAAUAUAUUAAUGAGAUAUUUUACUAAUAUUUUAUUAUAAAUAGAUAGUAUAAAAGGAGAGAAAGAUGAAGAAGAAAAAAAAAAGAAUGAAAAGAUCCUCUCAUCUUUCAAAGGUGAGUAAGGGGGAGAGAAGAAGAAAACUUUGUUGUCUUUACAAUUUGUUCCUUCCACAAAAAAUCCUCCAUUUUCACCCAGAAUUUCAAGGAAUUUUCAUAAUCAUCAAGAGAGAAAAGUGAUAAGGGGACUAUGGAGAACAAGAAAAUCACCUUGGAUUCAAGAAAAUGGAAGUUGAAUGAGAGAGUAAAUCAAGUUAGAGUUUGAAAUCAUUAGGACAAGGUAAGAACAUCAAGAUUUUAAUAUAUUUUUAAGUUUGAUAUUAUUGCAAAAUCAUGAAAAUGUUGUAAAAGUAGAGUUUUCUUAUAUAAGGUUUUAUGUUCUUAAUAUGUUAGUGAAGGGAAAUAAGAGGAAGUAAUGGGAAAUAUUAUAGAGAAAGGAAAGGAGUGUGUUAUAAACUUGGUUAUCAACAUUUUGCACUAAAACAGUUUUAGGCAGCAGUAGUAGUCUGACUUUGAAAAUUCACCAAAAAUUGUAGAAAUUUAAUUAGAGGUUAAUUAAAGUAUGAAAUUAAAUCCUAUUAAGUCUAGUUUUACAUAAAAGAAACGGUGUAAGAAAAAGAAUUUCAUAUUAUGAGAUAUAUGAAUUUUUGUGAGACAAUGUCCGAUUGAUUUUGGGAUCCCCUGUUCUGACUUUGGAAAAUCAUAAAAAAUUGUAAAAAAUGAUUAGGGGUUUAAAUUUAUAUGUUUAAAUUAUUAAUGAGUCCAUUUUCAAUAGGAACAAAUGGAAACAUCAUCCAAGCCUCGUACUAAGAGAUAAUUAAUUUUUAGUAAAGAAAGGUCGAAACUGUUAAGCAGCAGAAUAGGGACAAACUUGAAGAAUUUAAUGUACUUAUUGGAUAAUUUAUAAAUUCUAAAAUUUUUAUUGUAAAAAUAUAUUUGAGUUUAGUUUCAAAAAUAUCAAGCGGAUCUUAAUUUCGAAUUUUGUAGCUCAAGAUAUAAAUAAUUUAGUGAUUAUGACUCAAGUGAACAACUUUGAUAUGAACACAUAAGUAAAUAGUGGAAUUAUAGAUAAGGUUACAUAUAAGCAUGUUAUAUACUAAAAGCUAAAGAUUCUAACAAAUAUAUACAUAAAGGAUGUGGAAUGGAGAGGAGGAGGAAAAAUAUAUGAAUAUAUAUAAUAGAUGAAUUUGAAAUGUUUCGAAAUGGUUGUAGGUAAUGGAAUGAUUAAUACAUGUGAGUAUGUUUAAAAAUAAUAAUAAAAUAAAAAGUGAAUAAUUGUUAAUUGAUGUGAUAUUGAAUUCUUUGUUAAAAUUUUAUGAAGAAUUAAAUUGAUUGACACAAUUUAGAAAUAAAUAUGAAAUAUACAUAAAGUGGGUAAACUAAUUUUGCAACUUAUUUGUAAAACUUUGUUAUUUGUGUUAAUUUUAUAAACUUUGUUAUCUUUCAUUGAAUAUCAUGUUUUUAUGAGAACUUGAGAUUAGAAAUAGAUGUAAGUGGAUGAUAUGUAAAAUGAAGUGGCAGUUAUGACAUCUGAAUACGGUUCAGGUAAUGAUAUAAAAUAAAAUAAAUAAAAAUAAAGUGUGGAACUUGUAGGAAAAUGGAGACGACGUCACGAUGACAAGUUCGCCAUGUCACGACGUGGAAACCUCAACAUCGAGACGAUAGUUCAAAAUUUUUUAUGAACUUUACAAUUUGACAUUUGAUCAAUUGUGGAUGUUUUAAUGAACUCCUUUAACUCAUAAUUAGUUCUAUUGUAAUUCAAUUAUUACUAAAAUUAGUUAAUGAUCUACAUUAAUUAAAUAAUAUGAUAAAUUGAUCUGAAAUUUUCAGUAGUUGCUUCGACAACAAAUGUGACAUCCUGAUACCUUGACUCGGCGAUCGGGUCGGGUAUGCGGGUGUUACAAAUUAUACGAUUUCAGGUGCUGGUCCUGGAUGUCCUACUGAUAGCUGAGGUCCUGCAUUUGUUGUGGAUUCUACACAGCUCGUGUGAGCAGCAUCGUGUAGCUAACAUCCCAACCUACAACUCGUGUGAGCACUAUUGGAAAGGUUACGGUUACAUGAAAAGGCACACUUUAUGUGAGCAUUCCCGAGCAGCCGAUGUAAUUCUAGAUGGUUCAAUGGGUAAGUAAAGGUUAAUGAAAAGGCAUGUAUAAAAACUUAAUGUACUAAUGUUCAUAUGAAAUGGAAAGAUGGAUAUGCACAUAUGCAAUAAAAAGGAUGAGAAUUUAUUAUGUGACAGAUGAAAUAUCCAUGGAAUUUAUUUCUUAAAAUAUGUUAUGUUUACUUAUUAUGUAUUAACUAUAUGGACUCAAAAUGGUAGAAUGUGAAAUGGAUAUAUAUAUGUGUGUGAUGGAUGAUAUAUAAAACCUAAAUGCUUAUUAGGUAUAUGUGGAAGGUAAUGAAAAUGAAAGGACAUAGUAUAUGAUGAAAGUGAUUGAUGAAUUUGAAAAGCUUGAGAUGUUAUAUGCCUUAUUUGGUUAAAUUUAUAUGUGUAUUGCUUCACCUACUAAUCUUGUGAGGUGUUGUGUGUAGGAAAAUGAAAUUUGGACUAUGGCUAAAUGGAAUCAUUUAUGGUUGUUUAAUUAAUGCAUUUGGUAAGUUUAAGUUCCGUUAUAAGAACUUACUAAGCAUUAGUUGCUUACCUAGUUGAUUUUCUCUGUUUUUAGAGGUCAUCGAAAAGCUCGAUCGAUUGGAAAUUGCAUCGGAGCAUGAUCUCACUAUCUAACGAUCCAUCUUGGUAAAUUUUGGUUAUUUUGGCAAAUGGUUAUAAAUGGCAUGUAAGAAGAUUAUAAAUGUAGUAUUAGUAAUUGAUUUGUUUUUAAAUGGUGUCAAGUUCAUUUAUUUUCAUAUCUUUCGAUGGAGGCUUAUAAAUUAUGUGUAUUCAUAUGAGAUGAUAGUAACUAUGCAUGCCCUCAUGUGAGUAGAAAAAAGAUGUUUGUGUGAUAUGUUGUGAUAUGGUUAUUUGGCAUGUAUAGGCCAGUUACCACUUGGUAUUUUGAUGUUUGAGUUGCUAUGUUUGGAUUGCUACCAAACUUAUACAUAUGUUAAUAUGGCUAUGUAAAUGUAUGUAUAUGUUGUGACUUUGGACCUAAAAUGCCUUGUAAAUAUGUGAUUUGUGUUCAUUCAUAUGUGAUAGAAAUGGUAUAAUAAUGGUGUGAGCAUAUGAAUAUAUGUUUAGGUUAUAAGGCAUGUUUGAUCGAAUUGAAUAGAAUGAUGAUUGAGGUGUCAUUUAAAUGGCAUAUUGGUUAAAAAUAGGUUGAAUGUGAUUUUGGCAUGUUUAUAGAUGUUUCGAGGUAUGCUUUAUAUAUGUUAAUGAUGGUUGAAUUGGUAAAUCUUUGUGUGCAAGUUUUGGGCUUGAAAUGACUUGACUUAGAGGCAACUUUUGUUGCACGCGGCCUGAGACACUGGCUGUCACACAGUCGUGUGCCACACACGGUCAUCCCACAUGGUCAUGUGUCAUUUAAAUUUUAGGUGUAGCGUGGACCACAUGAGCUUAGAGAGUUACACGGCUUGGCGACACGGUCGUGUGACCCAACUUCGUUUUCACACACAGGUUGAGACACGGCCGUGUAUCCAAACUUCGAAUGUCCACACAGUCUAGGCUAUGUCACACGGCCGUGUGACCCAUGUUUUUAAAAUUUUCAACUUUUUCCUAAAAUUUCUUAUUUGUUUCAAAUUAGUCCUAGCUUGUUUCUGAACUGCUUUUAGGGCCUCGAAGGCUCGAUUUAAUGCCCAAAUGUGUAUGUUUACUAAGAUUGUGAUAAGUUCUGAUAAUUAAUAACAAAUGGUAUUAUUGAUCUGUUUUGAAGUAAAUUGUUCUGAUUUGUACUGUAAUGAUCUGUAAUCCUAAUUCGGUGACAGAGACGAGUUAGGGGUAUUACACUCUCCCCCUGAGAGUCCUCUUGUAUCCAACUCAGUGUCAACCUUUGAAUAAGAAUAAAAGGUUAAAGAUACCAACUGCGUAGAAAUAGAGAAAAAAAUACGUUGAUUACACCGAAAAUCCCUCUAUUUUUCCCUAUGAUUAUGGCCUAAAUCUUAUGUAUGGUAUAUAUAAGGCAUCAUUUGCACGGUAUCCAAAAAGCUUGAACUCAUGACCACGUAACGACCAUCAACUGGCCCCCGGUUAUAUUUGAACUUAUGAUUGCAUCACGACCGUCAACUAGGACCUCCACUUUGACUUCGACCUCUGAUAUUAUCAAACGCAAUCACCUCGAAACCUGAUUUUCCCAAAAUGGGUUUUUGAUGUGAUGGUCUUAUCUCGCUACGACAUAUGAAAUGUAUAUGUCAUGAGGCGCGUUAUCACAUCCCCGACUCCUUAAAACUACCUUUGAAAUUUUCUAGUUUUAAACGAAAACCUCUAACCCUGUUAAAAAAACCCUAAAUCAAAAAGCCCUAAACCUUAUUAAAAACUCUAAUAUUAUUUAAACCUUAAAUCUAAAAAUAUUUUUAAAUAACUAACCCUAGGAAAGAUAAAAGGGAAAACGCGUCCAGUUGAGUGAGCUUUCUAUACAAGUGGCAGGAAAACGCACUCGGUUGGAUGAGCUUUUCUUUCACUUAUGCAGAAAGCGCGCCUAGCUAGGCACGCUUUCUAUUUCUCUCUCCAAAAAUGGCUUAUUUCCCUAAAUUAAAAAAAAACUGCUUAAAAACCUAAUUUAAAAAAAAUUACAUAUUAGCCUAAUUUGGCCUAAAUAUAAACACUUUAAAAAGGAAAACACUUUAAUUAUUUAAUAAUGAGAAUAAGUCAUUAAUUAACACUUGUGAUCAGGAAAAAUGUGAUGACAUAUUUAUUAAGUUUAAACAAAAAAAAUUGAUAGGUUAUAAAUUUUAAUGUAAUUCUACUCAACUUUCUUUUUUUAGUAACAGAAGUAAAAAAAAACGAAAAGUAUUUACAAAAUAAAAUUAUCAAUUUAUUUGUUAAUAAACACCAUAAGCAGUUCAUAAUCAUGUCUGAUCGUUAUAAUUCUAAAAAUUGCAAAAAAAUAAAAUAAAAUAUUCUGAUCAUAUAUGUUCUUUUUGACAUAAGAUGUUUAGAAUUAUUUAUAGUCUCUCUCUAACCCAUAAAUAGGAGGAUAAUACGCUUCAGUGCAUUUGAACCUACGUCCUCUUGCAUUGACAAUAAUACUCAUAUCAAUCGUAUUAAGACUCAACCGACUAAUAUUUUUUAAAUUCAUUUGAAAAUUUUAAUAUUUUUUAUUAAACCCUUCCAAGUAAACUUUUGAACUGGAGCAAGGUACUCUAUUCUUUAACAAUAGUAUUCUUUAAUUAAUGUAUAAUAUUAAUUACUUUGGUACUCUAUUCUUUAACAAUAGUAUUCUUUAAUUAAUGUAUAAUAUUAAUUACUUUGGAGUCAAAUACUAAAAUUAAUAUUAAUUAGCUUAUAAUAUUUUUAAAAAUUUCAAACUAAUGAUUAUAGAUAUUGUUGAUUAAAAUAUAAAAGAACUAAAUGAUUAGCCCAUUUGUUCUAAAAAUUAUUGAUGAUACAUAUUACAAAAAUAAUAAAGAAAUCCUUGAAUGACUCACGUUUGUUCAAGUUGCAAUUUGAAUUUUCUUUUUCAAAGAUAACUAGAAUCGUCAAAUUCAUUAGCAAUAAAAUGUCAUUUACUUUUUCUAUACUUUAUUCCUUUAAAUUAACAGAUAAACUUCUACUUUUUUUUAAGGGUAUCAGUUUAAUAUUUUUUUUAUCUAAACUCUCUCAUAUUUCAAGUAGGACUUCGAGUUUGGGUGGGUGAGUCAAACAUUAAAUAAGUCUAAAUACUUUUAUCUUUUUUUCUCCCAAUUGUUUACUUCUUAUCUUUUGUUUUGAACAACGGCGGUACCAACUUUUGGGUUGGCUAUCGCCCGCCUUUUUCUCUCUUCCACCAACCAUUUCUUUCUUUCUGCUUCUCAUUCACUCCACAUGUAUUCUCUUUUUUCAAUUUGUAAACCUAUUUUGUGAGUAUAUUUGUUAUCUUCACAAGUUGUGAUGGCUAAAUGACAAACGCCUGUCAUUCACUAAAACUCUACCAACUAGCAGUAAUUUUUAUUGGAAAAUGGGUGACUCUUUGUCAGUUUCUUAAUAUGUUUUUGUUUUGAGAGCAAUUCAAAAUAAUAAAUGAUUUCACAAUUCGAUUUGGACUGGUGUUGUCUUAAGUUUUAUAUGUUUUUUUAUUUAUUUUUCCAUUAUUUAAUAAGUUUUCAGUUUUAGAAGCUUUUGUCUGCUCUUGUAGCACGUUUUUUAGUCUUGCUUAUGCAUGUAACAUUAGUUUUACAACUGAUUUUAGGGAUGGUUUCGUUGUCGUCCUCUCUAGUUUGGUAAAUGCUCGAUUCUUUUGUCGAUUUUUGCUCAUCGCUUUGGACUAUCCGGGGUUGAUUUUCUUAUCGUAUUACGUGAUUGCAAUCACUCUAGAUAUGUCGUGAUUGAGUUGUAACAAAGCCAAUUGUCAACGUGUCAUGAUGUUCUAUUGAUGCUAAAGCUAAAACCUUAGCCUUUGUUUUGUUGGUGGAGCUUGUCUUUCACUAUCUAUAACAAGUGUUCGUUAUUUUUCCCCCUGAAUUGUAUGAUUCCAUUCAUUGAAUAAAUUAAUGAAUUUAAAAAGUUUAUAUUUAAAAAAAAUGUUGUUAAUUUUCCAAAUCUUCCCUCUUUUAUGGAAAAACUUUUUGUAAUGUUACAUGUAACUUUGCAUUAUGUACGACAGACAUUAAGACCUAAAAAAAUUCAUAUUUAGUAUAAAACUCAAAUUAAUCAAAAAUUUCCAAAAUGUGAUUGUAAUACACUUAAUUGUAUAAUUAGAUAUCUUAUUUAUCUUUAAAUUUAUGUUCUUAAAAGUUGUUUUAAAAUAUUAUUAUAAAUCUUAUGCUAGUAAAUAAUAAAUUAUUAUCGUAUGUAUUAACUUACAUUUCAAUGUAAGUGCAUUUUGCAAGGCACGAAAAAACCACCAUCACAUUUCAUCAAAUUCCCUGUUUUUUUUUUUAAAUAAAAAAAAUAAUUGCAUGACAAACUCGCUACGGAACUUAUAAUAGAAGUUAUUAAGAUUGAAUAAAUAAAAAUGUUAUAAAUAAAUUAUUUUCCUGCUAUACCUUUUUAUUUUUUUCUAGUAAAAAUUGUGUUUCAUGUUUGUAACAUACAUCAAGAAGACGUGUAACGUUAAAUUUUUUCUCCAAGGUUGUAAAAUAUACAAACAUCUUAUCAAACUUUCAAAAAUAGUUCCAACCUUUACAUAUCCAUCUUUCUAUGUUAUGGGCACGGUUUAAAGACAGUGAUUAUUGCACAAAAAGUAUUUUAUAGAGGUCUAUCAAUUAAAUAGGAUUCAUUUAACCCACUUAAAUUAGUCCAAAUUCGAAAAAUAAGUGAUAAAACCCAUCUAUUUGAAGCUUUGGUGACCCAGUGAAACACUUAUGGAAAACUAUAGUUAUCUUGAUAAAUAGCGAAAGUAAUCUUAAAAGAUUUGUAAUUUGAUAAUAUUUGAUUUUGUAAUCUUGGAGAUUAUGUAAAUCUCUUAAUUAUAGAUAUGCUUCGAUCUCGUACAUCGAUGUAAAGCUAGUUGUACCGUUGGAUUUGGGAGAGCUCAACUAUAAAUAGAAAGUUUCCCCCUAAUUUUAAAUUAUCCAUUGUAUUCCAUUCUUUAGUAGUGGAUACUAAUUGAGAGCAUUUACUCAAACAUUUGGCGUGCUUUUACCUUUUGUGGCUAUUCUUUUAUUUCAAGUUUUCUUUUGUCUUUGAGUUGCUUUCGCUAUAUUUUUGGUGUCUUAGAGAAAUUUUAUGAGAAUUCUCACUUUGCGAGAGUUAGAUUAACUUAGACGUAUUUGAAGCGAAGAAAUCACAUAAUGCCACACAGAUUGCGAAACUAAAACUCUAGCCCCGUGACACCUACAUAUAUUUAAAAUAUUUACAAAAUAGUUAUUAAUAUAGUAUAAUAGUGUUAAAGAUGUAAUUAAUAAUCAGUGUUUGAUCAUAACCUCGUAUUAAAUUUGAAAGAAUUGUUUUACAUUAGAGUCUUUAACAUUAGAUUGAUUUUCCAUUGACAAGAACUAAAAAUACAACUUCAAUCUCAACAGCAACAUUAAUUGCCAACUUAUAUACGUGGAAGCAAAAAAAAUGCACUUUUAUAUUAUUAUUUAUAAUUAUUUUUUUUUUUGUAAAACUAUUAGGUAAAUGUUCAAAUUAGGGUUCAACUUAUUAGAGGGUGCUCACAUGAGAGUUAAACCUUUCAAAAUGACCACAUAAAGGCUUAACCUUUAUAAAAGUGCUUAAAUAAUAGCUUUUCACAUGCUUUAAUCUAAUUUGUAGAAAAAAUUAGGCAAAUGCUAAGGUGUUUAGAAUAAAACACUUAACAUUCUAAUCAUAUAUUGCUUGAAAAGAAGAGAAAACAGUCAAAACAUAAUUUGUAACUAGAGGUGCUCAUCGAUCGAGCCAGGCCCAAUAAAAAAUUUAGUCCCAUUUGCUAGGCCCGUGCUCGGCCCGGCUCGAAAAAUGGGCCUAAAAUUUUACUCAAGCUUGGCUUGGAUAAAAAGUUAAAACUCGAGUUUGGCCCACCAGUAGUAAUUUUUAUAUUAUUUUUAUAUAAUUUUAAAUAUAUAUAAUACAUAAAAAACCAAAAACAUUAAAAUAAAUAUUUUUCAACAAAUUGAAAAUAAAAUUUAAAAAAUAUGUAUACUUAAAUAACACUAAAAUAGAACAAAAUUAACAAUAAAACAAGUGUUAUACAAUAUCCAAACAAUAACAACAAAAUACUAGUAACAUAAUAGUGAAAUAGUAGCAAAAUAGGGAGAAAACAACAUGAAAAUAGCAUUAAAACAACAAAAAAUAGCAGAUUUUUUUUAUCCUUUUGUGAAUUCAAGCCUAGCAGGGUUAGGCCCGGGCAAAAAAUGCCUUACCCGAGGCCUGACUCAUUUUUUAAAUGGGCCUUUUUUUUCAAGCCAAUUUUUCAGGCCUAUAUUUUUGCCCAAACCCUCCCACUUUUUGAGCGGGUCUUCGGGCCGGGCUGGGUGGCCCGACAAAUGAGCAGGUCUAUCUGCAACACGGUAUAUGACACUUAAGCACUUUUGAAAAAGAUUUAACCCUUACUUGAGCACUUUCGAAAAUGUUAGGACUUUAUUUGACCAUUUUAAAAGGUUUAGCCUUCAUUUAAGUACUUUUAUAAACAAUAGGCCUUUAUAUAACCAUUUUGAAAGGUUUAAUUCUUAUGUAAACAAGUCCUAAAAGGUUGGGCCCUAAUUUAAAGAUUUAGCUAAAAUUAUUUUAAUAAAUUAUAUGGAAGAAAACAUAGAUGCCAAAAACUUGAUGAUAAUGAAAUAGUGUAUAUAAAUUUAAUACAAAAAAAUAUAUUCAAUUCAGCCACAAAAUAAUGUUGAUUAUUCCCUCAAUAAGUAAUAAUUAGAAUGAAAUAAAUAAAAUAGAUAUCAGUAAUGAUUAAAAUAAAUAAAAAUGCAAUAGACAAAGUAAUGUAACAUUGAAGUUGUGCUCAUUAUCUCCUAAAGUUAUGAUUCAUAUGCACCUUCAGAUUUUCCCUACACUUCAAGUAGUUUAACGGUUUACUAACCUCGUACCAAGUGCAGUAUAUUUUCCCCCAAAUUAUUCAUCAAGUAAAAACAGAGAAUAUUUUCAUCAGUUCAAAUUCGUACUUUUUUAUAUAUAACAAAUAUUUUUAAAAUUGUAAUUAUUUAUAACUAUUUCUAGAAAACUCAUUUAUAAAAAUUUAAUUACACCAAAGAGUUAUAUUACAAUAAAUAUAGGGUUAGGUUUUAUUUUAUGGUAAUGAAAUUUUAUAUUAUUAAAUUUUUUUAAAGGAAAAAUUUCUUAUUACAAUAAACCUCUAUGAAGAGGAACACCAAUGAGAGGAGAGAAUGAAUUUAAACCCGAUAAGUUUACCUCAUACACUCGAUCUUCGGUUCUCAUUCUCUCACAAUUGUUAUAAUAGUGACAUCCAAAUUUAAAACAGGGAUAAAAAAACCUAAAGGCAAUUUAAUGUUUUUUGAAUAACAAAAAAUAUAUGUUUUUUAACUGGUUUUUUAUUCUACUUUCAUAAAAUUUCAUUUUGAGUUGAUUUCAUGAGUUAAUUGUGUACAAAUUCAAUUAGGAGAAGAGUGAAGUACAUUUUUUAAAAUUUCAUAUAAUAAUUUUUCAUAAAAUAACUCAAACAUAAGCAUAUGAUAGGAUGAUAGGAUGUUGGACUUUUAGGCUUUACUUAGUAGAGUGUAAAAAAAACCAAAAGGAUGAAAAAUCCAGAAGGUAGAAAACUAUAAAGAUGAAAAACAUAAUUUUUCUUCUCAUAAGUUUGUUUGGGAGGAAAGAUGGAAAAAUGGAAACAAAAUUAUAAUUUUCUUUUCAUCCAUUUUUUGGUAGAGUUGAAAAAUGAAAGGAAAGAAAAUAAAAACAUUCGACAAAUGCAUAAUUUUGAACUAAUAUACUCAUUUCUCUCCUUUUCUCUCUUCUCAUCAUCCAGAUUUGGAAAAAUUAAUUUUUAUGUAUUAGGAUAGAAAAUGAUCAUCCAUUCUAUUUUAUUUCCUCUUACUUUUCUUCCCUGGUCAAUUUAGCAUUGCUUUUAAGAAGCACUUUUGAGAUAAAAACAUUGCUAAAGAAGAUGUUUUUAAGCUUUUCAAAAACACUUUAGAGAAGAAAUGCUAAACUAAGCCUACACUUAAAAUUUAAUUUCUUUCCACUUUCCACCUUCUCCUCCCAUCGUUCUAAUUUUUCACCCAACUAAGUACACCCUGAACUCGAGUAAUUUGUAAUCAAACUCUGACAACAUAAUUAAAAAAACAUAAAUAAAUAUUUAAAAAAAAUCACCUCUUUUAAUUAACCUACAUUUAUUUCCUUCAAAUUUUCUUCUUUUACUCACACGUGAAAAACGCUAAUUAUAUGUAAUUUAAUUAUUUUAAUUUAGUAUAAAUUGUAUUAAUUAUUUUUAACGUAAAAAUAUAUUAAGGAUCAUUUUGGAUGGACGUUUAUCUUCAGUGCAGCGCGUUUAAUUUUCUUUUUAUCUCACACUAUAGUAUCUAAUCUCACCAUCACCACUAUUUUUAUACUAAUUACAGAUAAACCGUCCAUCAUUAUUCUUAUAAUUAUAAAAAAGAAAUACAACACUGCAGAUGGCACAAACUAGUAUCUGGAAUAGAUGAAACUUAGAAGGCAGAUCGGGCCGCCCUGGUUAUAGAUCCAUUGAUUUAUGAUUAGGCUUUGCAAGUGAAUUGGGCUAGAAUUGAGUGGGAGAAGGCCCACUAAAUCUCAAUCUCGUAUAUGUAAUAUAAAAAUAUCUUUUAUAACAUUUAUGGGGAUAAGGGGCAUGAAUUUACCAAUUUGGCCCAGUGCCCAAGCAAGGCGUGCAGGUCAAUAAAAGGAAAGGAGAAAAGAGAAACCAAAGCAUGCAGUGAGAGCGAAGAAGCACAAAGGAAACACAAAAGGGAGAGAGGUGAAUCUGGGAAAGGCAAAAGCUUAGGAGUCACGCAGCCAAUAAUAUAAAAGCACACAGAUCGCUGACCUGGCAUGAAAUUUACAAAUCCCGCCUAAACCCCCAAUUUUCAUUUCGUGCGCAAUUGAAUUUCAAUUUGCCCCUAACUUAAUAUCUCCGCCUUUCGGCCUUUCAACUCACCCCUCAAUCCUCAAUCCCCAAUCUCAUAUCUCUCCUUUGUUUCCCCUUUUCUCUCUCUUUUUUCAACCCUAACCCUACCUCACCAACCAGGUAUUUUCCGUCGGUUUCCUCCAUUUUUUUUCUCAAUUUUCCACGUUUUCUCUCGCUCUUUCCACUGAUCUGCGAUUUUAAUUUGCAGGAUUCAACAUGAAGGGAGGAAAAUCUAAGUCAGAUACUAAGAGUGCCAAGUGAGUUUUCGUCCCCCUUUUUCCAUUCGUUUUUUCUCUUGCUUUUUAAUAUCGUGUUUUCUAGGAUCUAAGAUCUGGAUGGAAAUUUUCUUUCUUAUUGGUCGACUAUUUUUUAUUUGUUCUUAGGCUAUCCGUGAAAUCCAAAGCUGGAAAGAAAUCGGGGAAGGCUGCCAAGGAUCCAAACAAGCCAAAGAGGCCUGCUAGUGCCUUCUUCGUUUUCAUGUAAUUUAUUUUCUUCUCUUAUCUUGCCUCUCAAUUUGUGUCGUCAACAAUUCUCAACUGUUUCUUUUGUCAAUUUUUCCUUUAAUUUUUUUGUGUUUGUUCCUUUGCUCCUUUGGAAGUUCUGGCGUUCAUAAUCCCUCGUUGAAGAGGCAAAUUAAGCGAUUUUUCUUAUUUCGUUGAUUUUCUCUCAUUUUCUCAUCCAAAUUGUUGAUGCUCGCUUCGUAUUAUAGGGAGGAGUUCCGUGAGCAAUACAAGAAGGAUCACCCUAAAAACAAAUCCGUUGCCGCUGUAGGUGUCACUGAUUUUAUUUGUUCUUUUUGGUUUAUAGCCACGGGUCUUUGUUUUUUUUCAAUAAAGUUCAAUUUAUUUGUUCUAUUUUUCGUGUGCCAACUUUAGGUCGGCAAAGCUGGUGGAGAUAAAUGGAAGAGCUUGUCUGAAGCUGUAAGUAUUUAGUUGUUUCGUUUGAAGUAUUCGAAAACUAUAUUCGCAACUGCGUUUUCUGAUUAAAUUUAAAUAAUUAUAUUCAGGAAAAAGCACCUUAUGUAGCCAAGGCAGAAAAGCGAAAGGUCGAGUAUGAAAAGAACAUGAAGGCCUACAAUAAGAGACAGGUAAUUCAGAUUUUCAUUUAUGAGCAUAAUGUAUCUGUUUGGGCAGCUAAUAAUUGAUGGAUUUUCCAGGCUGAGGGUCCUAAAGACGAAGAUGUUGAGUCUGACAAAUCAGUGUCUGAGGUGAAUGAUGAGGAUGAUGAUGAAGAAGGCAGCGGAGACGUAAGUUGCAAUGUUUCCGUUAAUUGUUGCUGUUGUUGAUGUUGGUUGCUAUUGUUUGACUUAAUGAAUUGUUUCUUAUUUUAAUGCAGGAAGAAGAUGAUGAGUAGGAAGGUCCGUGGUGGAUAGCAUAAUCAAUGUAGGCUGUGAUAGUGUUUGAUCAAAACCUUAUGUUAAUGCUUUCGAUGUUUCCAUGUUAUUCUUUUAGAUGCGCAUGCCAUCUAAGGGAGAAAUGUACCUCUGAAUCCUGUUGGUUCCUUUUGACCUUCAGAAAUUAAUAGUUGUAGAUGGGAUAAUCUGCUUCUAUAUGUACUUUUUGAUUUAAAGUUGAAUGGCUUAGAUAAAUCCUUUUGUAGAGAAUUAGUCCGAUAAUUUGGUCUUGCUGUUGCCAUCUUUUAUAAUUUUGCUGCUUGCUCCAAUGCGAUUUGACAGGCGUAUUAAUGUAUAUAUGUCGUGGAUGCUGCUGGUUUGUGUGGUUGUGUGAAUGUUAUUUCUUGGGUGGUGGUAUUUAAUAAUGGUUUCUGUAUUCGUUUUAAUGGGUUCUCAUUUGUGCGUCAAAUCUUUCAAAGCAAUUUACAGAUAUCUUUAAUCGUUGGUCUUCCAUUGUAUGCUGUAAGCUAAUUAUUGGAUGUGGUUUAUUUAUUUUAUGUGGUUUGACGGUUUAAAGAUUUUAUUCCACUAUUAUAUAUGGUCAACUGCUAAAGUUAUUAAAAAGUGUUUAUUAUGUGUAGGAGAAAGUCCAUUAGCCUUUCUGGGACGCUUCCUUAUAUAAAAAAUAAAUAAUCACCUAUUGACAGGCUCUCCUUUCAGUUGAUCUAUUUUGAGUAAGUCUGACAGGUUCUUAUUCUUCCAGUGGUUUACAUGGUUUGAUUAGUCUUGACGUUAACUUGUGUUUCCAAGCAGUGAUUUUUGAAUGGAGGUGUAUAAAAACUAGUAACCUUUCAUUUCCUCUGAAACCAUCAACAAAAGUUUUUGACUAACCUUUGCAUAUGAAGCAUUAACGAAAGUUUAGAAUCAACUAGCUUACAUCUCACCGUACAUUUUAUCUAAUUGGACGGGAGCUGGAUUGGCCUUUGCAGUCUCCUGGCCCCUACUAAUCAUUGCUGAUUCUAUGGAUUUUCCCGUGACAUUAACAAGCAUCCAAUCAAGUUUGUCUUGCCAAGAAGAGUGAGUCAAAUGUAACACACAGCAUCAAAACUCCUUGUAAUAAGGGCAACAACCAAAUAGGUGAUCCCUAACUUCAAUUUCUUCCCUGCACAGGUCACAGGAUCAACUUGCUUUCCAAAUGACAGUAGCUUGGACUCAACAACCAGUCUGUCCCGUAUAUCAAGCCAAACAGUACGAGAGCGACUUGGGAUUGCGUGGUUCCCUUAUACAAGUUUGUGCCAAGGAACCAUUUCCUUUCGAUUCCAUAACUUGUCCCUUAUCAUGAAUCUGUCUUGCUGCAACCCUCCUGCCUAAGAUUUUUUUUAUUUUGGUUGUAUCUAAGAUAAAAGAUUAAUCAGAAAAUGUGUUUCACUCCCAUGAGCGAGGGUUGAACCUCUAACCAUAGAGGUGUUAAGGUUUGGUAUUUGAUAAAUAUAAAAUUGGCAUCUAACAACAUAUUAUUUCCGCUUGGGGAUGGUAUCAUUCCCAGAUGGGUAACGCGGAUCAAUUAGAAUUGGGGAAUUGGGUCUCAUGUGCCAUCCACAAGUUUCGUCUUUGUUGAAGGGGAUUUUUCAGUCCAAAAGAUAUCCUUCGAAAUAGAUUUGAGUAUUUUCUUUGGGCUGAUUCUUUGCAAAUGUAAUCUAUUAGAUGUGUAGCAAUUUGCAUUUAGCAAAGAGGAACACAGUCGGUUCCUCGCAAAAUAUAACACUUUGAGACAUUCUCUUCCAUUAUAAUGUACUUUUCUCAUUAUAAAUAAGUUUUAGUAAAAUUUAAGCUAGCCAAUUCCGUUCCUGUAUCAUCCUUACUAGCCAAUACAUUUUGUUUCGGUAAUAAUUGGAACAAUAAAUUUUAGGUUCAUUCCAAUGUAAACUUUAAUUGGCUAGAAUGUGAUGUACUAAUUAAUAAGAAUGAAUUUUAUAGUAUAAAUAUAAUUCUUAUUAUUUAUUUUGGGUUUUGUUGAAUGAUGGAUUGUUAUAUGUUUUAUAUUUAUUGUUUGUUUAUUUUAGGUUUGUUUAAUUAUAGAUUGUAUUUGUGAAAAUGAUUGAACACCUGUUUAAUCUUAUUAUUUGAUAUUUUCUAAAUAAAUAUCGAAAAAUAGGACAUAAAGAAAAAGGAAAUGUUUCUAGAUUUGUUUCUGGAGAUUGUAAUUGAUGGUUUUCUCAAACCACUCACCCUUUUCAAGAUAUUUCUCGUAAAAGCCGACUUCUUCACCAGCAGAUAUGGUCAAUGCUAUAGUACUCCUUGUGCCACAAAGCCCCUGUAUCCCAUAAAACGCAUAGUUCAAACGGCCACAGUUUUUAUCAGCUUUAACAUUGUUUUUUUCUUUCAAUAAAUUUAGAACGGAAUUUUACCAGUGGAGUGUCCGUUUCAACAAAUAUGGAGCUAAGCUCGAAUUCCCACUCCAGAGCACAAAUGCCAGGUAACUUGCUUUUAUCAGCUUUAACUUUGUCUUCCAUGAGUUUUUCAACCAUUUCCUUCACCAUUACUUCAUUGUUACCAUACUUAUUCAGCAUUUGUUUGAAGCUUUUACGUAGCCGCAGAGCCUGCAGAGUGGGAAAGGAUGGAUCAAAUCUCCAGUGUCCAUUUGCAUUUCUGUAUGACUUUAUAGCAAUGUAAUAUGGAAGAGUUGUUUUUCUUGCGUAAAAGAGAUGUACCUUAGGGCAGGGUGAGUCAAGAUUGGCAUUUGAAAGUACAUGAAGACCUGGAGAAACCUGUUGAAUGUUAAUGUCUUCCCCCCUUGGCCUAUUGGAGGCAUAAACCAUUGAUUUUGAAGGAAUAUCAGCCAAUAUGAGGUUAAAUCCUUUGUAUUGAUGAGCAUCAGUGAUCAGUUGUUGGGCAAAUUCCAUGGGGCUCUUUGUGCUCUGUAUCAGCAAUACUUACUGUUAGUUGAGUUUCGCUUGAACCAACAAAGAAAGGCAUAUAGAUUUACCUUCAAGAAAAGUAUAGGGAGAUCCCCGCGGGUCUUGGCGUUGGGAAGGUGAGGAAGCUCCAAAACAUUGGUAAGACAAGCUACUCUGCCUUGUCUUGAACAUGCCAACCAUGUCCCUCCUGCAACCUCAUCUCUAUCUCCCAGUAUUUCACAACCAUCAACAUCCCACCAUGCAACUGGCUUUGUAGGCCUUCAACGCCACCCAUAAAACAAAUCCCAUAGAUUAAUCAUAGAUGCUUCCUUCCUUGAAAGAAAAAUAAUUGAAGCGAAAUGGAAACCUACCUGUUGUGGUAUUCAUCUCUGUUUUGUAAAAGCAGAAGAGGGUACAGUGGAUGAGCUUGCCAAAUGAAAGCAGCAAUACACAUGGUUAGACAAUUCUAUUCAAUUGUUUGGCUUUGAGUGAAUUGGUUGAACUCUAGAAUGAUAGCAGAAUAUGAAAUGAGAAAAGAGAACAGAGAAGCAGAUUAGAUAAGAUCAGGGGAAAAAAUCUGCAAUUUCUUUUUGGCUUGCUAUGACCAGCUGGAUUGCAAUGAUUAAUAAGAGUCAUCCAACACUAAAUAAUUGCCUCAGAACCAACAUUUACAGCAAAAGGGGCUAUUCUUGUUUUACAAGAGGGGUUUGAGUGAGGUAGAAACAAAAGGUAAUCUUGACUUUUCAAAACUAAGAAAAAUAUUUUGAAAAAUGUAGCUGACGGCGGUGCAUCUGUUCAACACUGCCCAGUUUGAAUCGUUCUCUAAAACGUAAGAGGAAACAAACAGAUUUGGUUCUUGCUGCUCCCCCAUAUACCUCCAAAUUGAUAUUGCAAUCACACUGCAUUUGGUCUCAUCUGUAUUUAAAAACAAAUAUCCUCAACACUGUUUAAUCAAUGCAGUUGAUGGAGGAUACCGCUCCCAGAUUGAAGAAACAGUGCGGUAGUCCCUGAAUGAAUGCAUAAAAUCUUCCACAUUCUCUCCACAAGUAAGAUUCAUUCACCUAAUGUUUUCAUUGAAGGCACAAAAUUGUAGUAAGUUGAUUCAUCAUCAGAGAGUGUUGGGAGCACAUGCGCUGACUGUUUCGUAAGUCCUUGUUCAUAUUCAGCCCAUCAUCCUCCCCAAGUGAUUGAAACUAAUCUGUAAUGUUCAAUGAUGUUAAUUUAUGACUAAUGAAAUUAAAUUUUGAUUCAGGAAAUAUUUUGAUGGUAAAUUCAAAAAAAAAAAUCAAUUUAUCUAUAUCUAUAAUCUAUCAUAUAUAAAAACUCGAGUUUAGAAAAACUUUUAAAUAUAACAAUUUUUUUAGAUUAUAGUUCUGAAUUUGUCAAUUUAAAUAUUUUUUUUAUUAUUUAUAAGAUUUAUCAAAUUUAUAAAUAAUAAUUUUAAUUUUACUAAAAUAUUUAAUUAAAUAAAAUUUUUGAUAAUAAAAUUUAUCAUACUUAUAAAUAAAAAUUUCGGUUCUAUUAAAAAAAAAACCUUAUUCAAAGCUUUAUAUAAUAAAUAAUAAAAUUAUUUUUAUUACAUUAUUUGAUAUUUAUUAGAUAAAAAUUGAAUAGUGAAAAGUUUAAUUUACAAUAAAUUAAUUUUUAUAGUUUAUACAAAUGGGUUAAUAAUGAUUAGGAUUUUUUUAUUUGCACUAAAUUAAUUUAAUGACGUUGGUUAUAUUAAUUAAUUAUUAUUUUGAAUAAUGUUUCUUUGUAUUAAUUAUAUGUAGUAAAACUAUAUUGUACGUUAAAUAUAAUAAAAUAUUUUAAUUAUGAUUUGAAAUUUAUUCUUAUAAUAUUUGAAUUGUUAAAUAAGUUAAUAUAUUUUAACUAUGUUCAACAAUUCAAAUAAUAUGAAUUACGUUUACACUAAGUACAAUAAUUAAAAAUUAAUAAAAAAUUAAACGUUUAAAAUCAUGUGCAACACAUGUGACAUUAGAAAUAAAUAUAAGUAAAAAGGUGAGCAAUAUUAUAAACAAAAAUAAUAGAUAAAAGAUGGACAUGAGAAUAUGAGGAUUUCUAUUGUAUUCUAUAUUUUUCAUCACAUUUACAAGUAGCGUACUUCUCUCUAUAUAUAGGGAGAUUAAACUCUUCAUAUUCUAAUACAUAAAUAGGAAAGGAGUUACAAGAAGAUGAGAGGUUUAAGGAAGAUGAAAGCUUAAAGGCUAAAGAAAAUCAAAUGUGGAAUGUUAAGGGAUAUUAAAGGUGAAAGGUGAAAGGUGAAAGGUGAAAGGUGAAAGGUUGAACAUCCACUUAAUAGCUUUCAUAACACUCCCCAUUGGAUGUUCAUUAUAUAAAUGAUAUGCUUCAUUAAAAAUCUUACUAGGAAAAACCCUGUGGAAUAAAAACCUAAUAAAGGAAAAAAAUGGUUCAUAAUCCUUUGAUGCACAGUAUGUCACAACCUUAAAAGAAAAUGUAGUGCGAAUUUACUCCCCCUCAUGUAAGCAUCACUUAAGAUCUUUGAAACGAUGCAAUCCAAUGUUGAAAAUUAACUUCUCAAAUGAAGCAGUAGGGAGCGCCUUAGUAAAAAGAUUUGUCAAAUUCUCAUUUGAAUGAAUCUAUUGAACAUUUAUAUCUCCAUUCUUUUGUAGAUCAUGAGUGAAGAAAGUUUUUGGUGAUAUAUGUUUUGUUCUAUCACCCUUAAUAUAUCAUUCCUUAAAUUGUGCAAUGCAAAUUGUAUUAUCUUCAUAUAAGACUGUUAGAGUUUUUUUUUUCAAAGCAUAAACCGCAAUCUUUUCGUAUGUGAUAAAUCAUAGACCUUAGCCAUACACAUUGACAACUAGACUCAUGGAUUGCCAAAAUCUUAGCAUGAUUAGAAGAAGUAGCAGCAAUUGUUUGUUUCAUAGAAUGCCAAGAAAUUGCAGUACCAUCAUACGUGAAAACAUAACUAGUUUCUGAUCGAGCAUUGUAAGGAUCAGGCAAGUACCCUGCAUCUGCAAAACCAACCAAUUCUUUUUUGGGUAGGUUAGGGAAAAAUAAACUCUUAUCUCUUGUACCUUGAAGAUAAUGAAAAACAUGCUUAACCCUAUUCCAAUGUCUUCGGGUUGGAAAAGAUCUAAAUCUUACUAAUAAGUUGAUAGAAAAUGAUAUAUCAGGUCGUGUAUGACUAGCAAGAUACAUCAAUGCACCAAUAACACUUAAAUAUGAUACUUCAAGACCAAGAAAAUCUUCAUUAUUUUCUCGAGGAUAGAAAGAGUCUUUAUUUACAUUAAGUGACCUAACAACCAUUAAGGUGUUCAACGGAUGCGUGUUAUGCAUGUAAAAUCUUCUUAGCACUUUUUCUACAUGUAUUGUUUGAUGCACAAUGAUACCAUUCUUUAAGCACUCAACUUGUAACCCUAGACAAAAUUUUGUCUCUUCAAGGUCUUUCAUUUCAAAUUCUUUCUUUAAGCACUCCAUUAUCACUAAAAUCUCUUCAGGGAGUCCUAAUGAUAUUUAAAUAAUCAAUAUACACAACAAUUAUAACAAAUCAUGAUCCAAACCUCUUUAUAAGAAUGCAUGGGGAAAUGGGAUCAUUAUUUAGCCUUCCCUCAAUAAGUACUCACUAAGGCAUUAUACCACAUGCGCCCACAUUGUUUCAAUCCAUAAAAGGAUCUAUUUAAUUUGAUUGAGUAAUGUUUUUGAGAACACGAAUUAGCUGUUUUUGACAGUUUAAAACCUUCUAAGAGUUUCAUGUAAAUGUUAUUAUCAAGUGGGCCAUAUAAAUAGGCUGUCACUACAUCCAUUAGGCGUAAAUUAAACCCUUAUCUUAUUGCCAAACUAAUCAAGAACCUAACAGUAUGUUUUGUUGGCAUGAAUAGCCUUUCCAUUCCUUGCCUAUUCCCGCGCUACAGUAAUUACAGCCCUAUUCCACCGUUUGGUUCAGCGUUUACUAAUUCGAGGGUUUUGCUAUUACACCAUUAUUCUCUCAGCAGCUGUAAUAGGUAUUCAGGCGUUUUAGCUUGGAAUAGCUAUUCACCGUUUUCUUCUUCACAUUUUGAGACCAAAAUAGCUUGCCUUUUUCUCCCCAAAAAUUUCUCAUCGAUUUUAUAUCCCCAAAUCAAGCCAAAUCAAUUCGCCUUCAUCUUCUUCCAGCCAAAGGUAUGUUUUCACAUUUUCUUGCAGUUCUCGGGUAAGAACUCAUUUUGUUUAGGGCUUCACCAUUCUUCCGCUUCUUGCAGCGACUGAGAAACAGUAGUGGGAAGGGAGGUAAUCUUUUUUUACCCUCAUCAAGCUUCAUCCUCUCCGACGUUUCCCUUCCAUUGAUUGCAGAAGUAAUCUUUUUACUUCUUUUCUUCAUUGAUUUUUCCUUCUUACGUGUAAACAAAGUCUAUUUUAUUUUCCUUUAUUUUUUGCUCUUUCGAUGUGGCUUAACUUCUUUUGACAUGAAAUUUUUAGAUAUUUUCAUUUUAUCGUUUGAGUUUUGGGGCAUUUCAUUGUUAGCUUCUUUUUUUUUUUUUUUUUAAACUUGUUUGUUUAGAUUCUUUAGUUGGAGCUAAGUAUUUAGCAUUUGCAUGAACUUAGAGCUAAAAUAAGUUUUUCUUUAUAUAAGAAAUAAGCAAGUAAACUGCUACAAUGACAAUAUAUUUUACUAUCAUUUAACAAAAAUUGAACUAUUUAGGGCUCAAACCGUACAAAGAGCUAAGUUAACACAAUGGAAAUCGAUUCCUUAAUCUGCAUAAGCAAAAAAUUGAACUGAUUCCUUUGUUUACAUAUAAAGUAGAUGUUGGCACUAAGCAGUCUAAGCAAUUAGCAACAUGAAAGUAAUAAGAACUUUGGUUUUCAAGUGGUUAAAUUGCCAUUGUCGGUUCCUCAUCUCAAUUGAAAGCCAUUCUUUGAAUUUGGCAAAGCUCCUACACUGCUUGCCAAACUUGUUUGGUUACCCCGCUAGUGAAGAAAAGAUGGCUUCUGGUUUCAUUUUCUUGCUUACAAAAAGAGCAAACUUCAUCAUUGUGGUAUUCCCCAGAAAUGAUCGUUUGUUGACAGUCUGUCCUUAAUCGCCAUCCAAGAAAUAAUAGUACCUAAGAACAUUGUACUGAAACCAGAUUAACCUAUUCCAAGCUACCUUAUUUGCCCUGUAGGUCUAAGAGCACUCCAUAUAGCAGCAGUAGAGUAGGCUCUAGCAAAAAAAAAACUUGAACUUUGCAAAUGUUGAAAAGGCAUUUAGAGUGGACUGUUGCUUGAAAUUCAGCUUAAAUGUCUUGAGUUUGAACUUCCGAGAAAGAGGUUUAUGAGCUAGGGAUUGGGGUUAACUUCCUUUCUAUAAACCACCUUUGUAUAAACCAAUCACAAUGAGAUUUUAUAUGUAGUAUAAUGUUAACAUUUAAUUUCUUAAGUAUGGGCAAAUUUGUUGAACAUUUAGACCCCUUAUUUUGAAUUGGUGUAGCAGUAGGAAUCUAUGCUAAUUGUUACCCGAGUAUAUUUAAAGUGCUCGUGUUCAAUAUUCUAUUCCCAAUACAUAUUUUGCCAUGGGGGUAUGAUUCUACAAAUAUAUAGAAGAGCUUAGAAAAUACUAGGCACAACUAUGUUGAACACGUACCUCUAUCUUAUAUUCAUCUGGGUCCAAGUAACAUAGGUAAGAGUAAAAUCUUCUACUAUAUAUAACCUGUGUGUGUUGCUGGUGAUAUGUGCUACUCAUUCUAGGUUCUUAAUUCUCAAUUACACUGCUUUCCCACUCCCCCUUUUUAGAAUGGAAAAAGUGCAGUAAUCAAAUUUAUUCGUUUGUUAGUACAUUUCAUCAACCAUAAUCAUAUCACAAAAGCUGCAUUGGCAUUGUUGUUAAUCGAUUAUCGUGCCAUCUAUUAGAUAUGGUAUGUGUUUGACAUGGGUAUGCUCAAUUUUACUAAAGUUUUAUCAUAUAUUUGGAGGAUAUAUCCCAUCCCCAUGUCCAAAUUUGUAUCAGGCAUGAAUACUUUAGGAAAAAUUAAGAGUCUAAGUAACAUGGGUCUUAUUAAUUUGAUCUGGGUACAAUUUAUUUGUUUUGUCUUUGGAACAAUAUUAAAGUCUUUCAUUUACAUUGUUGCAUGCAUUUCUCGAGCUUCACAUCAUCAUUCUGUUAAAUCCCCAAGAAUCAUAUUCUGUGACCAACUAUUUUUCCUUGUUUCAACUUCAGCUUUGUCUCACUCUUUUGUCUCACAUUCUGUGUUUUGUUACGUCCAGUCUAAACUAAUUUUGACCUAAUAGUAUUAUUAGGUUUUGGUUUUUGCAAAACAAAGUUUCAGCCCCUUUAUUGACAAGGAAUGUGAAACAGCUGAAUCUCUAAAGUAAAGGUUUACUUGAGAAACAUAGAGAUUUAAGCUGUUUAAGAAUGUAAUUGGUAUGGAAUGAUUUUGACUGACCAACACGGUAUACAAAUUUCAUCAAGUCAUAUUUGGUUCCCUUGUUACUCCUCUUUAGGCUUCCAUAUACAUCAAUUUAUUGACAUUUCAUUUGGUGUGUCUCUAGCUUUUGAAUUUUUUUCUCCUACUUCUGCCUGUCAAAUCUGGAGAACAACACAUAUCUUUACUGAUUAGUAUGAAUCACCAACAAGGCAUAUACCUUUCAUACCAACGUCGGUUAUGACAAGCCUCCUUAUGGCCAGAUAUGCAUCCUAUAUGUAUCUAGUUUGUGAAACUUUGGUGGUGUUUGAAUUAUUUUUUGUAUUGUACUAAACUUGUUGAAUUAUAAUUUAAUUUCUUUUCAUUCAUCAUGUGUUAUAAUUUUAUAAAGUGUUGAGCUUUUGAUUCAUGAUAUUGAACUUAAUUUUAAUUUUAUAAAGUGUUUACCUUUUAAUUCAUGAUAUUAAACUUAAUUUUAAUUUUUUUUCUGAAGAUAAUUAUGUCAGAUGUUUUAGAAUCAAAUGUUUCUUCCCAAACUUCUCGAGGAACCAAAAGGAAAUGGGUUCCAGAAGAAGAAGCAGCGUUGGUUUCCUGUAUGAUGGACUUGCACAAUGUUGGAACCUUUAAUGUUGAUAUGGGGUUCAAAGCAGGUUAUUUAAACGAGUUGGAAAAAUGUUAGAAAAAGCUUUACCCAAUGCAAUGUUGAAGGCUAGACCUAAUAUUGAAUCGAGGAUUAGGGUACUGAAAAGGGAUUGGUCAAUCGUGUAUGACAUGCUUAAUGGAAAAAACAAUAGCGGUUUUGGGUGGGAUGAGCAUAGGCAGCUCGUUGUUGCUGAAGAUGUGGUUUGGAACUCUUAUUUAAAUGUAAGAAUUAUUUCAAGUCUUUAUUAUCUUAUUUUGACCAAACUUAUAACUAAUAUGAAUUCCUCAUUUUUAUAGAGUCAUAAAGAAGCCGGUCAAUUCAGACAUCGUAGUUUCCCUUACUAUGACCAACUUGCUGCCAUCUACGCAAAAGAUCGAGCUACUGGGAAAGAUGCUCAAACAACUGCUGAUGUUAUUGAAGAAAUAAAUGUUAAGGAUGUAGCUACUACAGAUAUUAAUGAAGAAAGAAACGAUUUCUAUGGAUGCGAAGCUGAUGUCUCUUUGGAUGACAUGGAUGUUUUUGCUAUAGAACCGCAACCAGAUAGAAACCAAGGGGGUUCCACAUCUUCAAAGAAGAAAAAAAAGAAUUUUGAUGCAAGUGAUCAUAUUUUUUCUUCAUUUCAUGAUGCUGCCACUUUAUUAGCAGAAAACAUGUGGGCCAUUGGCGAACAAAUCAGUAGGAGUAUUACCUCCAAUGUGGUAGUUCAACAAAAGUUAGAAGAAUUCUAGAUCAUCCAAGAAAAAGCUAUAAAUUUAUAUCCAAC
RNAcentral lists this long non-coding RNA (315658 nucleotides) under Gossypium barbadense (sea-island cotton). Its description in RNAcentral is "long non-coding RNA (GBAR_LNC013357)". The stretch from base 280453 to 280539 matches the Rfam family "MIR7486 microRNA precursor family". The record is from RNAcentral. Lineage: Eukaryota; Viridiplantae; Streptophyta; Magnoliopsida; Malvales; Malvaceae.